Molecule: long non-coding RNA, 214373 nt
Filed under: Citrus x clementina
Lineage: Eukaryota; Viridiplantae; Streptophyta; Magnoliopsida; Sapindales; Rutaceae
Description: Citrus clementina (C. clementina) long non-coding RNA (CCLE_LNC002730)
Source: RNAcentral
UCAUCAAAUCUAAAAAUACACAAGAAAUUCGUGACGUAUAUAUAACAAUAGACCUCUCAUUGAGUCAUAGAUAUUGAGAAUAAAAUGUCAAAAUGCAUACAAAGAGCUUAUACAGAAAAUGAAUUUACACACAUUUAGAAUAAACUGUCUUUGAACUUCCGAUGGUCAAACAAAGGAAACAGACAGGAAAUGACACACACUAUCAUAUAUGUAGGGACACGAUGAAGUAAAUCACAUGAAGAUGGAAACGGAACCCCUCACAACAUAAAAUUUGAAUAAAGGGGGAAAAAAAGGCUUCAUUUCAAAUGUUGCACAGAAGAAGAGUGACUUGAAUCUCCAUCAGUAUCCAGACAUUCUACAAACACAGUGCUGAGAAUUUUAACAAGAAUAACAGACAAAAUAUUGUGCUUCUAUAUUUUUCACAGAACUAGACCAAAUCAGUUCCCUUUUUGGUUUGUGAAAACUUGAUAUUUUUGAAAAUUCUAUCCAAUGCUUUCAAACAAUAUUUCCACAAUAUAGUUGUUCAUAGCUAACCUUUGAUGGUGUAAGGAUUUGUUGUAGGCAUAAUGGGCUAAUUAUAUAUAUAUAUAUAUAUUUUACCCGCUGAAUGAUAUUCAGCUUCCAAGUUUCCAAAGAACAAACAGAGCAGAAACAAAUAUAACGGAACAGCAAUGAUGACGAUAAAUGAUUGGCAAAGAAAGAAAGAAAAAAGUUCGCAUGAUUUCAAGGAAUUAUAAUAUCUGAAGACAUUCAACAUGCAAGUGUUGCCCCUUUUAAUGAAAUUUCAUCAUAAAAUGCUUGCAAGGAAUUAUAAAAUUUUAGAGAACAAGCGAAUUCUCAAACAAAAUACUCAAAUUAAAUUAAAUUAGACCAAAAGACAAUCAAUGACGCAAAAUCUGCCCAUAAAAGCCUGAACGAAUCAUGAAAAGUGCAUUCCAUAUUGACAGUAAACCAAGUGACCCAUUCUAAACAAUUGAGAUGAAAUUGUGAAACAACCCACGAGAUCAAAUAAAUAAAAUAAGAAUUAAUUACCAGCUGGGACUUUCUUCUUCAAAUUCGUAACUCCAAGUCAUAAGAAGGCUAUGAAAUUAGUCGUAAUCCACAGAGUAUGACGACGACCCCGCCAACAGCUGAAAAUAAAAUUCUUAUUCAUCAAUUUAAACUAACUUUAUAACAAAUAUCUUAUCGAUAUUUUAUUUAAAAAGAAAAAGCAAAUUUUGUAAAAUUUUUCUAUGGGAGAUAGAGAGUAACAUGUAUAUCCGUACCUUCUCAGCAUGUAAUUGUUGUAUGGUCGUGUUAAGAUCAUUAUUAGCCCAACGCCGUUGAUCCGCUGUCUCUCCAUAGCAGACGUUUACUCUUAGAGUCGUGAUUGAUUCUCCUGUAGUGAAAAUCUUCAUCUUGGGACAACCAAUCACCCACAAAUCUUGCAAAGAUGGGAAUUUGAAGGUGUAAUUGGCAGAGCAGAAACUUGUGAGGCUGUCUAAAUCACGCAGGUCCAACGCCUUCAAUUUGGGGAAAACAAUCUCUUCUUUUUCAACCCCGUCUUUGUCAUUUAUUACCACGUCUGACAUUGCUCUGCAUCCGUAUACACAAAGUGAUACGAGUCGCACUAGAGUUUUUGCUGUGGAGGAUGUUACUAAGUGUAUCAAUUUCUUGCAAUCGAAAGCUACAAGUUUUGUUAGGUUCCCAAAAGAUACCGACGAUGAUGGCAAUAGAAUUAACAGACUUUGACAAUGAUAUACUUUUAGAAUUUCAAGAUGCUGAAAAAUGGGGCCAAGUUUGGAAUCUUGUUUGCACAGCUGCUUCAGAUGAUAGUGCCGAUGCAGCUUUAAUUCUUUUAUCAUUGCCAACUUCCCCACAUGUUUCUCUAAGCUUCGAGAUUGUGAAAUCUCUCCAGUACGUUCCAGAUUGGAAAACCAGCUGAGUCAUCUGCAGCAAUCUCUAGUUCUCUAAGACUGCCAAAAAGGUGUUGUGGGAAAUCGGCCUGCAAAAUCAUCUUCACAUCUUUUCCACUUAGUGAUAGUUCCUUCAAGUUGGGUACGAUCUGAUCAUCAUCAAUCAUAAUAACUAAUGAGGUCAAUUGAUGAUCUACGGUCACACACAGUGACUUUAUAGUAUUUGUUUUAUAUUAUAUUUUUAAAAAAAUUGAAUUAUUGAUAAAAUUUAUUUUAUAUGUUAAUUUUAGAGGUAAAAAAGAAAUUAGAGAAAAAGGUUGAUUUAUACUGGCUCGAAAUUAUUUUAUUGCACAAUAAUAAAUUACUAAUUUAUUUUGUAAGUUCUUCUAUAUGGAAAGACUAAGGAUUUUUUUAUAAAUGCUAUACCAAAAAAAGUUCAUAUAAUUAUUAAUCUACCACAUUGAUCUCUUAAUCUAGACUAGCAAAGAUUAUUGUAUAAUAAAAGUUUUCAAUUUAUUGAGUAUUAAUUUAUCGAUGCUUUGUCAUAUUUUUCAAAGUUAAAAAUAAGCUAUAGACAAAAAAUCUAGAAAAUGGUUUCAUACCUUUUCCAACGGCAAUGGGGGCUGUUGUGCAGGAAUGCCAAGUUGAUCAUUCUGCGAUAAAUCUGCAGUGAAUAUCUUUAAUUUGUCACAAAAAUACACAAAAAGAAUUUCUAGCGCGGGCCAUUCCGAAGUAUGCAUUCCAGGGUACAAACAUCUAAGUUUUGGUAGACCUUCGAGUCUCAGAGUGGUGAGCUGUGGAAAGACAAAAUAAGGGAUAACUUCAUCUGCUCUGUUCUCAGAAAUGAUCUCCUGGAAAUCCUCACAGAAGCGUACUUCUAGGUGUUGGAGCUGCUUAAGGCUUCCGAUCAUAGACGCUGAAAAUAUGUAUUUUAAUUUGUUACAACGCCACACAAUCAAUCGUGUUAAAUUUUGAAAGCGAGGAAACAUGACCGGAAGAUGAUUGUAGUGCCAAAUCUUGUCGACAUUAAUUGCAGAUAUCUCCAAAGCCUCCAAGUUGGGCAACGCAACCUAAAAAAAUAAGAAUUUCUCGUUAGAUCCAAUAUCCAAAUGGGAAGCACUUGUUGAAAUUUUCUUCUUUGAUUACAAAUUAAUGCAAGUCUGAAUCAAUUUCCAACUGACAGCUGAGUAUGCAUUCUAAUUCAUACUACUUGUUAAGAGCUCAAUUAGUGAGCGCGUGAGAUUCUUUUUAUCCUUUUUUCCAUUUUCUUUCAAUUCUUUAAAUGAUUUAAUUAUUUCCACGUAUGACGUCAAAAGAGAACGUUAUAUAUGAAUAAAAUCUGUUAUAUAUGAAGAAAAUGUUAGCCUACGCACCUUCUCGUUGAAAAGCAGAGUUGAAGUAUCCAAAGUGAUUUCGCUGGAGCAAUACGUAGUCGUCGAUUCCUCUUGCGACGCUGGUCUGUUCGGUGAUGCUGAAGGAGUCUUUACUUCACGGCAGAAAUUUGUAACCUCUGGAAGAUUCCCCAGACUCAAAGAUCUUAAUUGAGCAAACUCUAUCUUCUCAAUUGCAUUAUCAACUUCAUCCCCAAUUGAAAAAAUUUCUUUCAUCUUGCUGCAAUUAAUAACUGCAAUUCUCUCAAGUCUUGGAAGGCAUUUUGUAGUGGAGAGCCAAAAGAUAUUGCUUAACUUAUCACAAUUAUAUGCUUCUACGGUUUUGAGUUUGUUGAAAGACUCUACUUUGAGCCGAUCAAUACAUAUCCUCUCCAUGUUGAUCAAAUUGUGAAGGAUAAGUGACUCCAAAAGAGGAAAGGCAUCACAAGCGACCAUCGCCCUUGAAUCGACGAUGCAAAAGAAGUCAGGAUUAUUUUGAACCCAGAGAAGCUUCAAUUGUGAAAAGCCCUCCGUGUCCAAAUUGAAAAGAACAUCCUCGAUGCCUUGCAGCUUGUCCAACCAUAAGUAUUCAACGUUAUUGAUGCCCUGCAAUUUCAUGGAGCAAAUGUUCAUAAAAUCAAGCUUGAGCUUCAAUGCUCUUAAUCUCUUCCGAUCACUGUUGAUCGAAAAGUGCAGCUGACUUUUGAACCAAUUUUGUCUAACACUCUUGGGAGGCAUGAACGACUCAUUUGCAAUAGAUAUUUUGAACCUUUCGAGCUUUCUGGCCAAAAAACCUUCUGGUAAAAUACUGUCAUUUUUAACGUCAAUUUCUAGAGUGGUUAGCCGAGGUAAAUGCAUCAAUUCGUCAAGGCUAGCAUUACUUCUUUUGCUGUUGGCUCUUUCAACCUCCCAUUCAAUGAAGCAAUUACCCAUAUACAGCUCUUCUAGUCGAGUUAAGCUUGCAUGAGAUUGGGCGCAAUAACUUUUAGAUGGAAACAAUUGGGUUAAAUCUAACAAUCUCAACUUAUUCAAUUGACCUAGUUCUUCUGGCAACUGCAUAAUAUCAGACAUCAAAAAGCUAAGGACUUCUAGAUUCUUCAACUUCCCAAUGAUUGCUAUGUCGCCCAACGCACUUUGAUCCAGACAUAGUGGUGUGGAAGAUUUACUAGAAGAUCAAUUGAAGGAUGGAAAAGAAGGACAAUAACCGCAUUCCAGUAAAANNNNNNNNNNNNNNNNNNNNNNNNNNNNNNNNNNNNNNNNNNNNNNNNNNNNNNNNNNNNNNNNNNNNNNNNNNNNNNNNNNNNNNNNNNNNNNNNNNNNNNNNNNNNNNNNNNNNNNNNNNNNNNNNNNNNNNNNNNNNNNNNNNNNNNNNNNNNNNNNNNNNNNNNNNNNNNNNNNNNNNNNNNNNNNNNNNNNNNNNNNNNNNNNNNNNNNNNNNNNNNNNNNNNNNNNNNNNNNNNNNNNNNNNNNNNNNNNNNNNNNNNNNNNNNNNNNNNNNNNNNNNNNNNNNNNNNNNNNNNNNNNNNNNNNNNNNNNNNNNNNNNNNNNNNNNNNNNNNNNNNNNNNNNNNNNNNNNNNNNNNNNNNNNNNNNNNNNNNNNNNNNNNNNNNNNNNNNNNNNNNNNNNNNNNNNNNNNNNNNNNNNNNNNNNNNNNNNNNNNNNNNNNNNNNNNNNNNNNNNNNNNNNNNNNNNNNNNNNNNNNNNNNNNNNNNNNNNNNNNNNNNNNNNNNNNNNNNNNNNNNNNNNNNNNNNNNNNNNNNNNNNNNNNNNNNNNNNNNNNNNNNNNNNNNNNNNNNNNNNNNNNNNNNNNNNNNNNNNNNNNNNNNNNNNNNNNNNNNNNNNNNNNNNNNNNNNNNNNNNNNNNNNNNNNNNNNNNNNNNNNNNNNNNNNNNNNNNNNNNNNNNNNNNNNNNNNNNNNNNNNNNNNNNNNNNNNNNNNNNNNNNNNNNNNNNNNNNNNNNNNNNNNNNNNNNNNNNNNNNNNNNNNNNNNNNNNNNNNNNNNNNNNNNNNNNNNNNNNNNNNNNNNNNNNNNNNNNNNNNNNNNNNNNNNNNNNNNNNNNNNNNNNNNNNNNNNNNNNNNNNNNNNNNNNNNNNNNNNNNNNNNNNNNNNNNNNNNNNNNNNNNNNNNNNNNNNNNNNNNNNNNNNNNNNNNNNNNNNNNNNNNNNNNNNNNNNNNNNNNNNNNNNNNNNNNNNNNNNNNNNNNNNNNNNNNNNNNNNNNNNNNNNNNNNNNNNNNNNNNNNNNNNNNNNNNNNNNNNNNNNNNNNNNNNNNNNNNNNNNNNNNNNNNNNNNNNNNNNNNNNNNNNNNNNNNNNNNNNNNNNNNNNNNNNNNNNNNNNNNNNNNNNNNNNNNNNNNNNNNNNNNNNNNNNNNNNNNNNNNNNNNNNNNNNNNNNNNNNNNNNNNNNNNNNNNNNNNNNNNNNNNNNNNNNNNNNNNNNNNNNNNNNNNNNNNNNNNNNNNNNNNNNNNNNNNNNNNNNNNNNNNNNNNNNNNNNNNNNNNNNNNNNNNNNNNNNNNNNNNNNNNNNNNNNNNNNNNNNNNNNNNNNNNNNNNNNNNNNNNNNNNNNNNNNNNNNNNNNNNNNNNNNNNNNNNNNNNNNNNNNNNNNNNNNNNNNNNNNNNNNNNNNNNNNNNNNNNNNNNNNNNNNNNNNNNNNNNNNNNNNNNNNNNNNNNNNNNNNNNNNNNNNNNNNNNNNNNNNNNNNNNNAUGCUUCUCCUUUCAUCCUUGAGCUUGUCUAUUUCUGCCUUGAGAUUCUCAACGUUGGCUUUAUAGUUACGCAAAUAACCAAAUCGGCGUUCUAUUGGAGGAGCCAAGCAUUUCAAAAAUUGUAAAACAACAGUAACAAUGCUUUCCACCAUCCUGGAUCCUUUUUUUUUUUUUUCAAAGUUCUGACAAGAAAAUAAACAAGGAGCGAAACACAGAGAGAGUGAAAAAAAAAAAAGCGAAACAACGAAGAUGGACAGUUUAUCCGGUUCUGGAAGCGGAGAAAUGAAAGAAAGAGUAAAAGCUGUUAUGGAUCUGGUGAGAAGAUGGAAACAAGGAAAAGGUUUCUAGUUCGAGAACUGAUUGAGUUAAUAUAAGGAAUGAUUUAGAUAAUAGAGGCAAAGGGAACCAAUCAAAAUAACUGAAGUAUUGUGCAGAAGAAAGACGGAAAAAAUAGACUGGUAAUAGAGAUGGAAAAAAUGAAGAUAUCUUGACACGGUAGAAGUACAAAGGGUAGAUAUGGAACCAAACAGAGACAACAGCAGGCCACAACAAGAUUGGGAAUGGAGAGAAACUAAUUAACGAAGACUGGAGAUUACAACAAAACAGAUGCCAAGAGAAAACUUGAUCCUGUGAAAUUCAAGUUAGCUGACGAAUACGGGGAUCAAGAGGGAAAAACUGCUUGCUCGUAAAACUACUUUCAAGCGAAUCUGAUAAAAUUAAUUUUUAAACUGCAGAACAGGUAGAAUAUCAGAUUGAUUAAUUUAAGAAACCCUUGCUUCAGUUUUAAGUAAGAUCUUUUUUUUUUUUUUUAUAAUUUCUCCGAAUGCUCUUUCAAUGGAAGGCAUAUGAUCAUUUUGUAUUCAGUAUACAAAGAUUAAAGAUGAUCCUUUUUCUAAUUUAUUAAUUAAAUAAGGUUCUCUGACAUCUUCUUGCAUGAGUUGUCCCCCUGGUUUGUUAUCAUCUUAUGAAAUUCUCGCAUGCCCGAUUUUCUUUUAUUAAAUUAUAUAUUAAAGUUUUCAAUGAUGAAAUUAAUCGUCAUCAUGUGCCGGCAUGCAUGUAUUGGUUGAUGUCACGUUUUGCAAGUAUGCUGGAUAAAAUUAAUUUUCAAAAUUAAUUAAUAAAAUGUAACGUAAGUUGUUGAAAGAAACUUCAUAUUUAUCCUGAAGCAUUCAACUCAGUUCUUUUACUCUAUGAUAAAUGUAUUUUAAAAAUUACCAAUAAUUGAGAAUAAAAUAAGGACAAAACAUUAAAAAUCGAACACAACUCAUGUUUUACUUGAGUUUUAUAUUUAUGCUGAUACAUACUUUGGACACAUUCUUUGGAAAAGACAUUGACAUUGGCGUGCAUCAUCAAAUUUGUUAGUGAAAAACCAUAAUUAUAUAUUACUACAUUUACAAAUUUUGUAUAAAAGGUUUUAAAGGUUUGCUACAUAGACCUCUAAAAAUUCCAGAAAUGAUUAUAUAUACCUUUUUACAAUUAUAUCAUUUGGUUAUAAUCAAAUUUUUUACAAUAAAUACAAAUAACAUAUUAAGAUAACUAUGAGUAGCAAAAUAGUAUUUCAAAUAUGAAAACAUAUUAAAUGCAUAUAAUUAAUAAAGUAAGAAAUAUAAAGAGUAAACUAUUAUCUAUAUGUCCAGCCAGAUUUAUUAAUACUAAUCCAUUAACCCAAAGAUUGACUUUAAAAUUCAUACUAUACAUAAUAUUCACAUAAUACAACAUAAUUUUUUUAAAUUAAUUAUUUUGAAUGUUAAAUAUAACUAUUUUUUUAAUUUAUCUUCUAUGAAUUCAAAUAUCCCCUUUAAACUGCAGAAGGAGAAAAAAGAAAUGUUCUGAAUUUCAAUGUAUUAAUUUUAACCUAAUUUAGUUGAGACUCGUAAUCUCGUCUCAAUGAUUAAUUAGUAGAUAAUCUUUCUAAUAAAUAUAUGUUGAAUAGAUAUAUUUCUUGACUAUUAAUAGGUUAGAUAUAUUUUAGCAUAGGAAUGAAAGUACAAGUUGUGUCAUAUUACCAGGAAAGUGUAUCAAUUUCUUGCAAUCGAAAGCUACAAGUUCUGUUAGGUUCCCAAAAGAUACCGAUGAUGAUGGCAAUAGAAUUAACAGACUUUGACAAUAAUAUACUCUUAGAAUUUCAAGAUACUGAAAAAUGGGGCCAAGUUUGGAGUCUUGUUUGCACGGCUGCUUCAGAUGAUAGUGCCGGUACAGCUUUAAUUCUUUCCCACAUGUUUCUCUAAGCAUCCUUCCUUCGAAAAUUCCUCUUCGUUGAAUGAAAAAUAAACCAGUGCGAGUAUUUCGAGAUUGUGAAAUCUCUCCAGUACGUUCCAGAUUGGAAAACAAGCUGAGUCAUCUCCAAAAAUCUCUAGUUGUUUAAGACUGCCAAAAACGUGUUGUGGGAAAUCGGCCUGCAAAAUCAUCUUCACAUCUUUUCCACUUAGUGAUAGUUCCUUCAAGUUGGGUACGAUCUGAUCAUCAUCAAUCAUAAUAACUAAUGAGGUCAAUUGAUGUUCUUUCAAAUGAUUUUGAGUAAUCCAAUCACAAGCAGUGACUUUAUAGUAUUUAUUUUAUAUUAAUUUUACCCCUAAAAAAAUUGAAUUAGUGAUAAAAUUCAUUAUAUGAUUUUUUUUAUAUGUUAGUUUUAGAGGUAAUAAAGAAAUUAGGGAAAAAAUGAAAUUAUUUAUGCAUGANNNNNNNNNNNNNNNNNNNNNNNNNNNNNNNNNNNNNNNNNNNNNNNNNNNNNNNNNNNNNNNNNNNNNNNNNNNNNNNNNNNNNNNNNNNNNNNNNNNNNNNNNNNNNNNNNNNNNNNNNNNNNNNNNNNNNNNNNNNNNNNNNNNNNNNNNNNNNNNNNNNNNNNNNNNNNNNNNNNAAGUAUUAAUUUAUCGAUGCUUUGUCAUAUUUUUCAAACUUAAAAGUAAGCUAUGAAAAAAAAAUCUAGAAAAUGGUUUCAUACCUUUAUAUAUAUAUAUAAAGAAAAUGUAAGCUUACGCACCUUCUCGUUGAAAAGCAGGGUUGAAGUAUCCAAAGUGAUUUCGCUGGAGCCAUACAUAGUCGUCGAUUCCUCUUGCGACACUGGUCUGUUUGGUGAUGCUGAAGGAGUCUUCACUUCACGGCAGAAACUUGUAACCUCUGGAAGAUUCCCCAGGCUCAAAGAUCUUAAUUGAGCAAACUCUAUCUUCUCAAUUGCAUUAUCAACUUCUUCCCCAAUUGCAAAAAUCUCUUUCAUCUUGCUGCAAUUAACAACUGCAAUUCUCUCAAGUCUUGGAAGGCAUUUUGUUGUAGAGAGCCAAAAGAUAUUGCUUAACUUAUCACAAUUAUAUGCUUCUACGGUUUUGAGUUUGUUGAAAGACUCUACUUUGAGCCGAUCAAUACAUAUCCUCUCCAUGUUGAUCAAAUUGUGAAGGAUAAGUGACUCCAAAAGAGGAAAGGCAUCACAAGCGACCAUCGCCCUUGAAUCGACGAUGCAAAAGAAGUCAGGAUUAUUUUGAACCCAGAGAAGCUUCAAUUGUGAAAAGCCCUCCGUGUCCAAAUUGAAAAGAACAUCCUCGAUGCCUUGCAGCUUGUCCAACCAUAAGUAUUCAACGUUAUUGAUGCCCUGCAAUUUCAUGGAGCAAAUGUUCAUAAAAUCAAGCUUGAGCUUCAAUGCUCUUAAUCUCUUCCGAUCACUGUUGAUCGAAAAGUGCAGCUGACUUUUGAACCAAUUUUGUCUAACACUCUUGGGAGGCAUGAACGACUCAUUUGCAAUAGAUAUUUUGAACCUUUCGAGCUUUCUGGCCAAAAAACCUUCUGGUAAAAUACUGUCAUUUUUAACGUCAAUUUCUAGAGUGGUUAGCCGAGGUAAAUGCAUCAAUUCGUCAAGGCUAGCAUUACUUCUUUUGCUGUUGGCUCUUUCAACCUCCCAUUCAAUGAAGCAAUUACCCAUAUACAGCUCUUCUAGUCGAGUUAAGCUUGAUAUGAGAUUGGGCGCAAUAACUUUUAGAUGGAAACAAUUGGUUAAAUCUAACAAUCUCAACUUAUUCAAUUGACCUAGUUCUUCUGGCAACUGCAUAAUAUCAGACAUCAAAAAGCUAAGGACUUCUAGAUUCUUCAACUUCCCAAUGAUUGCUAUGUCGCCCAACGCACUUUGAUCCAGACAUAGUGUGUGAAGAUUUACUAGAAGAUCAAUUGAAGAUGGAAAAGAAGAAACCUGCAUUCGGGUAAAAUCCAGAACUCUAAGCUUUUUCAUCCCUACAAAAAAGUUCUCAGGAAUAUUGAUUUCAAGAGAAGAAUCUUUGAGAGAGAUAAAUAAAAGUUCAAGGUUUGGGCAUUCUAAUCCUUCAGGAAAUUCACGAUUACUAUUAUUUAUUAAAGAGAUAGCAUUGCAUUUUCGUAGUGCAUCCUCAUCUGGCCAGUCCCACACAUCCUCAUCAUUUCUCACCGAAAACACGUGUUGGUGGCGGCAUGCAAUUGAUAUUGCGACAUCGCAAACAACAUCAUGCAUUGAAAAUCGUUCAUUGCUAUCACCCUCAAGCAACAAACAAGAGUCUCUAAGUUCAUGGACCAAUGCAUAUAAUUUGUCUCGUGCAUCUUCCAUCUUAUUGACUCCUUUAAAUAUACCCAAACCCAUGGAGUACUUGAACAAGUCCGAAGUAUUAUGGCUCUCCAUUAGACUACAGAGCAGAAAAAUUUUCUUGAGUUGCUCACCUUUUAAAUGGUUGAAACUGAGCUCAAUACUUGAAUAAGUCUCUGCAGAUACCCCUUCGAAGUUUACCAUUGAAGGCGUUUGGAGUUCUCGCAAGGAAUUCUUCCAUUCAUGCAGACUCUUGCCUCUCAGUGCCUUUGCUACUGUAGUCAAGGCAAUGGGCAAACCUCCACAUGCCCUGGCGACGUCUAUUGCUGUAGAUUUCAACUCACGAUUUUCAACAUCAUCACCGGCCAUCAUCUUAAACAAUCUCCAGGCUUCUUCUUCAUUUAAAUUGUUUAUCAAAAAGUUGUCUUUAGAACCCAUUUUUAAGAGGACACUACGAUCUCUUGCCGUUAGCAGUAGUUUGCAGCCUUUAUGAUCUUCUCCAAAAGGAAUUCCAACUGUCUCCAAAUCAAGGUGUUUCCAAAUGUUAUCUAAAACCACAAGGAUCUUCUUGUGAUUUCUCAAUCGCUCAAAUAGUCUACUUGCUCUUCUAGAUUCAACUUCCUCGUGCAGCUCCAGGCCCAACUUCUCGGCAAUUUCCUGUUGAAUCUUUUUUAUGUCUGGAGUUUGGGAAACCUCUGAAAAGACCACCAUAUCAAAGAGCUUGUCUUCCAUAGCUUGCCUGGCGACCUUCUUCACCAGUGUCGUCUUUCCAAUGCCGCCCAUGCCGUACACCCCAAUGAUGCUGACAUUAACAUCGAUCAAUGCUUUUUUUAUAGCCUCAAAAGUAGAACGUCUUGAUUCGAAGGCCUCGUAGCCUUUGUGAGACUUGAGCCAAAUCUCCUCCGGAAUGGUACGGUAGGAAAUUCUAUCAUCAAAUCUCCCAGCUUCUUCUCGGAGUUUAAAAAGGGCCUCCUUCUCUGUUUCUGCUUUCUUUCCAUGCUGAUAGCGAGUAAUCCAAUUAGGAAACAGCCCCAUGAGACAUCGUUCAUUUGCUUUCUCUUCGUCGAAAAUGAAUUUGGCUGCCUCCUUAAUGCUCUUGUUCGCAUUAACCAGCCAUUUCUCAACCUUCUCUUCAAUCUUUUCACUUUUUCUUUCAGCCUCAGAAACUCUGCGCUGAAUGCUUUCUCUUUCAUCCUUGAGCCUAUCGAGUUCUUCCUUGAGAUUCUCAAAGUUGGCAGCGGAGUUAUACCAAUAACUAAAUUCGCGUUGUGCGUGAGGAGACAAGCAGUUUACAACUCCUGGAACAAUGCUUUUCAAAAUGUCCAUUCUUUUUUUUUUUUUGGGGGAAGGGAACGAAAUAGAAAUAGAACAGGGUCAACGGCUGUGCAAUUGAUAAUCAAGUAGAAGCAAAACAAGGCAAAAUUGAAAAAAGAAAUUAUAUUUGUACAAAACAAGGAGAAAAUCAGUGUAACAGAUUGAGCGUGGGCGACUCCUUUUUAAACCGCAGAAGGAAAAAAAAAUUAUUCUGAAUUUCAAUAUAUUAAUUUUUAUGCUAAUUUAUGUUGAGAUUCGUAAUCUCGUCUCAAUGAUUAAUUAGUAGAUAAUCUUUCUAACAAAUAUGUGUUGAAUAGAUAUAUUUCUUGACUAUUAGAAGGUUAGAUAUAUUUUAGCAUAGGAAUGAAAGUACCAAGUUGUGUCAUAUUAGAAUAAAAAUUUGAGCUGAAAAUAUUGUUAUAUGACCUUUUAAUUAUUUGUCAGCAAAUAAUUAAUUCAUAUAAAAAAAUUAAUAAUCUGAAUUAGUCUUUAAGUAUUAUAAAUAUUUUUUUAUUUUUAAUUAUAAUAUCAUUAUUUAAAAAUAAUUGCUUGACUUAUAUUAGUAACAUUACGAUUGUCAUAAAACAUGUGAUCCUCAUCCAAUAUCCAUUAUUUGUGAUCCUUAAUCAAUAAAAUAUCUAACACUCCAGUCCAAUGCUGCCGUCAUUAUCGAACGGUCGAUAUCCAACACUCGCACGAAGAUUCCAAGAAGUUGCGUGGCUGCCGACUUUUAGAUGCAAAGCCUCAUUGUGUCGAUGUUACACAAAAGAGAGCAGUCCGGGUAAUUGCCAAAACUUAGAACUAAACAGUAGCUUAGUCAGAAAAUCAAAUGCCAGUACCGUUAAAAUGACCGAUAAAAAUAUAAAGAAACCAAAGCUUUAAAAGAAAUCAGCCAAAUCACGAAGAUUGAAGAGUAAAUCUAUGGUUUUAGAUUUUUAUUUUAUUUUUUUAGAUAAUAGAUAUUAUUUUGAUGAAUUUUUAAUAUUAGAAUAAUGUUAGGAAUUUCGAUAGUAGAAUUCUAACUUGAGAUCCAAUUGUUAUGUAUCAUUUUUUUAUUGGAUAAUGAAUUUCAUAACUAGUAAAAUUAAUAUUUUGAUCAUCUAAUAAAGGACUAUCAUAUCAGUUGAGACUCAAUUAUUGGGAUCCUUAACAUUGCUCUUAGUAUUAAAUUGGACAUCUUAGCUAAAUCAAAUUAAAAAUCAAAUUAGAUUUUAGGCUUUUAUCCAACAUCUCUUUUUUUUUUUUUUGGGUCUAUUUGAAGUGAACGAAAUAAAAAUACAACAGGUUCAACAACUGGGCAAUUGAUGGUCAAGUAGAAGCAAAUCAAGGCUAAAUGGGAAAGAGAAAUGAUAUUUGUGCAAAACAAGGAGAAAAUCAGUGUAACUGAAGAGAAUCAAAGUGCUUUUGAGAUCAAAAAUUGAGGCAAGNNNNNNNNNNNNNNNNNNNNNNNNNNNNNNNNNNNNNNNNNNNNNNNNNNNNNNNNNNNNNNNNNNNNNNNNNNNNNNNNNNNNNNNNNNNNNNNNNNNNAGAAGCUUAAUUAAGAACUUAAAACAAAAGAAUUAGAUUGAGAACAGUCAAGCCUUAUUUUUUCAAGGAUGGAGCUUAUAAAUCUUCAAGUACCAACAUACGCUUGGCCCAAUUGUUGUUAUUAAAAUUUCAAUAUACAUAUAUAAGUAUGAUAUAGGAAAAAUUUGAUGGUACAUAUGUCGGAAUAUACUAGUUCAUGGGUGCAUUUGAUUAUUGUUUCCAUAAAUUUGAACCAGGAAGGACGACACGAUAAAAUUUGAUUUUAUGGUAUGGUUGAUUUCAUAGCUCAUGCACUCAUUUCUUAAGAUAAUCAAAUUUUCUCUGGCAUCUUUUUCAACUGUCGAAAUAUCAAUUAUGAUCAAUCAAAACGAUUUCAAAACCUUUCAUCGAGACAUAUUUUUAAUACAAUAUUGUGAAAAUUACACUAAAAAUUUAAUUUAUUAUAUAUUAUUAUCCAACGAGCACACAAAAAUGAUUUCGUACAAAUCUAAAAUACUAAGCAAUUUUCAAAUAGAAUUUACCAUGUACUAAUAGAAUUUACCAUGUACUACAAGAAAAUAGGGUAUAUGUGACCCCUACUGUGAAUGCAAAAGCAGCCAUUACGCAUAACCCCGAGUUGCUUUUGUUACCCUUUAUGUGACGGCCACACUGCUGUCACAUAUGUUACGAACCGCGUGACGGUGAAGAGCCGUUCGGUAUACUAAUAUUUUAGAAUUUUAAAUUUAUUUCCAGUUAGAAAACUAUUCGCUGGACUCCGUGUUGCUGGCCACCAUCGUAAACAUAACUGGUUGCCAGCGAACGGCGUAAAACGCCGGCCAUCUUCUUCUUCAUUGUAUUCUCCCUUCAUCUUUUUAGGUAAGCUUGUGAUUAUGAGUUUCUUCUCUUACUUAGCUUGUAAUUAUAGAUUUUGAUUUUUUUUAAUUCGUAUUGUAGCCGUUAUUGUCAAUUUUUGUCCCGCCAGCAAUAUUUUUUUAUUCCUACAAGUUGAAGCCCCUGUGUUCUUGUUCCAUUGGUGAGUUUGCUCACUCAAAUUAAUUUUGUUCUGCGGAAUUUACAAAGUUCAAAUGGAUUCAUUUGAAUUACUAUUGAAUUUAGCUUUAAUUUCAACAUCCAUUCUAAUGUUUUGCAAUUAGAUUUAAUUUAAUUUUAUGUUUAAAGCUUCUACAAUGAAUAGCGGAGCUUGGGUUUUAGUUUCAUUUUCUGGAUAACUUGUUUUAGUUUAUCUUGUAUGCUCACCAAAUGCUUGUUAUAUUGUCUGAUAAGUUAUAUACAUUGCUGAUUCUACAUUAAUAAUGUUACGUUGUAUUUUCAGAAAUUAUAAUACAAAAGUUUUUGCAAUGGCGUGCAUCUACAAACUGAAUUGACUUGUAGAAUAAGAGCUCGGAGUAGUGUUAUGUUCUUGAAUAAUUGAAAGUUCAUAUUGUGUAAGAGCAUGCAGAUGUAAAGCAUCAUUACCAUUUCUACAAAGUGCUUUCAUUCUGUUCAUAUGCUCUUCUUGAACUUUGAAAGGUGCCUCGUUCAAGUCCUAGCUAUAACUACUAGCUUUGAUUAAUUAAGUUCCUAUACUAGCUGAAACAGAUUUAUUUAAUUAAUUAAUUGUGUAUGUACUAAUUAUAUUGAAAGUAUAUGAAUUUUUUUUUUAACAUGAAUGACUUCUAAAUGACUUAAAAACCUAAAGGAUGUGUGAAACAAUGCUCAUUUCAUUUGAAUGAGCCCAUUAAUACUUUUAUGUCUAUGAUUUUCAAUAUUGGCUAAAGCAUUUCAGUUAAGUGGUUUACCUAACAGAGAAAAAAAUUUAAUAGAAAACUUCAGAGUUCUAACAGAAAUAUAGUUCACUAUGCAGAUAUAGUUAUUUUACGGUAUACAAAUCAAGUUGUCCUAAUCUCAAUGUCCUAUGACCGAUUUUAUUUUAUAUAGUCAUUAAUUUUUUCCUUGGUUUUUUGUGUUUAUGAGUAUGAAAUAGUGGGAUUUGGUGUACCUUAGCAUCUUUUGAAAAUUCUCUUUCAGUGUGGCCAACAGAAAUAUACAUAUAAUCAAGUUUCUUAAUCGUGUAUAUUAGUUUUGGGUAUGAAUGUUCCUAUUCUAGUUCUAGGCAAAGCUUCUUCGUUUUGGUCUUCAGAUUUCCAGUAGGUUAAGUUAAUCAACUAUCAUAACUGGCUAGCUAGUUAUUGUCUGCCUUGGCGCCAUUACCCAGGCCAUUAUAUUGCAUAGCAUAAGGAAUAGUGAUUAGGUGAUUAUUAGUGAUUUGUUGAGCUUAUUAUCGACCAAACAAACAUAUUCGCCUUUGCCCACAACUUAGUUUGAUUAGUUAUUAGACCAUAAAGAGCCUUGAUCUAUUCAUUGGCUUUAUUAUUUUUAUUUGGUUUUUCUUUCAACAAUAUUGUUGAUUUCUUAUAAAAAUAUUCAUUGGUUUUUAAACACCUAAUCAUUGGCUAUAUGAAGCUAAUUAAAACUGAGGCUUUGGAUCAAUUUCUUCUAACAAGAUACAAAUGAGCAUUAACCUAUCUCCUAUGAGUAAAUUUUUUUAAUAUCCUUGAUUUGUAAGGAUCUGGAGGCCUGAAAUCCUCUAGAUUUUUUUUAACACUGUCAAUGUUCUUUUUAUUCUGAGAAGGAAAUAAAAGGUUUUAUCUUUCAUACCCAAAUAGUAAGCUGGCCUUGUCUUAACAUGGCCUCCCGAGGACUUGCAAGAUUCAUAGUGCCCCCCACCCCAAAAAAUAAAAAUAAAAAACACAAAUAGGAAGAUUUUGCAAGAUUCACCACCAGGUUUUUUUUAAUUUGUUAAUUGUGUGUACGUGCUAGUUAUAUGUUGAAAGAAUAGGAAGAAGUAUUUCAACAUGAAUGACUUAAAACUUAUUGCUCAGUAAACAUAAUCUGCAUGUAUUUAUCGUUUGUAUUUUUUAUGGUUUUGCUAAAGAAAUGAUAUGUGAAAUAAUGCUACAUUGCAUCAGGAAUAAAUUGAAGAGAUUUAUGAUAUUUAUGUGUUAUUCAAAUUUCAGAUUCAAUUUUAAACUUUUGAUACGUGCAUUGAAAGCUUAGACUUGUUUAAGAAAUUAUUAAUAGACACAUGUUUUUAUUAGUGUCAUCUUUGGAUGAUAGUGAGGAUCAUAUGUCUAUUAAUAAUUCUUGAAUUGUCCAGGCUUGGACAGUUUGGGAAUGCAUAGUUCACUCUGGUAGCUAGUAGCUGAAGUUUUUUCCCACGUAAAAAUGGGUUUUUCAGUAGCUGCUCCUCGUGUUCUCUGGGUACGUACUAGGUGAAUGGGUGUCAUGUGUUGUUUUGGCAUAACGCAUAAACACUUAUAUAGCUAUGUCGUGUGCUUGGAGAAUUAUAGGGAGAUGGUGCCGAAAUUUUUAUAAACGUGGAAGAAAACUUUAGGUACUUGAGAUUGAAGAAACUUAUGCAUUCUUGAGUGGGAUAUGUAGGAUUACUUACCUUUUGUAAAUAUGAAGGGAAUGUUGGAUAUAUUGGGGAUAGUGUAGGAGCUGAGUUGGAUGAAUGUAAUUGGUGAUGAUUUUGCUGAGCUGACCUUGGUUUUGAGCUUGUAAUUUUGUUUGUAAAUGGAGUGCUAUCUCCAAUGUUGGUUUAUAAAUAUGUUUCAGGACUUGCUGACCUAAUUUUUUGUUUCUAGGUUACAGGCUUUAUAUAUCUGUAAUUGAUGGCGAAGUGAAGUUCCCAGCACUUGGCGAGGAUGUUUCUUUACAGAAGGUAUUGGAAACUGUUUUUUACAUUAAUUAUUGUUGUAUAUAUACUUUGAUUUUCACAUCUUUUUCUCUGAUUCUUGUGGCUUUGCUUGCUUUCAUAUAUGUAAAUUCUAAUGAAAUUAACCAUAAAAUUGUAAAAUGAUCUUUUUAUUAUAUUGCAAAACUGUGCACACACGAAAAUAUAUUGUUUAGUAGUAGAAAUGAAGAACUAAAAUGAUUUACUUAACUAAUUUUUGUAGCGCAUUAAAAGGAGAUAGUCAUGGACAAGUGUUGGGUUGGUUUGCCAAAUAGAUAUCCAAGUCAUAUACUGAUGGGGAUGAAAAAUUUAUAGAUUUUGCAUUUGAGAAUGUUGUUGGUGGUACAAGAAUUUAAUAUCCUUUUAAGAAGUGUUGUAAUCUAUAUUUCGUUAUAAGGAAAGUGGCUGAUGAUGAUAUGGUUGGAAUGAUACAAUGCAUCACGUAAUCAAAUGUUCAAGUUACACGCAGCAUUGUUAUGGACUAUCAGUGACUUUCUAGCAUUGCCAACUUGUCUGGGUGGAGUAUUAAAGGUAAAUAAGCAUGUCUUGUUUGCCAACAAAACACUAGAUCUAAUUGGUUGAUACAUAGUAGAAAAUUUUGUCACGUGGGUCACCGUCGAUUUUUACCAACAAAUCAUAGGUUUCCAAAAUAUAGUGUCUUUUGAUAAAACUAGAGAGUAGGGACCAGCACAUUCUCGGUUGUCUGGAUCUGAAGUGAAAAAGCAGUUUAAUAUACUUACUGAGUAUAAGAUUGAAGACUUGAAAAGAGGAGAAUGAAUAAAAUGAGAGAAAUGAUAAGAUUACUUGGAAGAAGAAAAGCAUAUUUUAUGAACUACCGUGUUGGGAGUUCAAUUUGAUUCAUCAUAAUCUUGAUCUCAUGGGCUGUUUUGAUUUUUGUUAUGAACUCAGAUCAAAAGUUUAAUGUGAUCAAAAUUUCUUAAAAAUAGUGAAAACGACUCCUCCUAAUAAUAUGGAAGAUGGCUAUAAAAGAUAAAAGGAAAGGCUUAAAAAGAAAAGCCAUGCCUGUCAAAAAAAAAAAAAAUCAACAAAAAUCAAAACGGUGCGUUUGAGAGUGUAUAAAAUACAUUUAGAGUGGGAGUUGUGUUGUUGCUUGAAGGCAGAAAGAUAUUUGUCGACGAAGCCAAAACCAAAGAUGAAGCCCAUAAAGCUCAAAACUCCACCGGAGCAAAUUCAGACAAUUACGAGGGUUAUGUUUGACAUAGUCAAGGAAGACGGUCCUCUCACCGUUGCAGAAACUUGGGAACGCGUCAAGGUGUGUGUAUCUGUUAAAUUGAAUUUCAACCGUUUGAUCUGUAAUUAUAAUUAAUCCAAUCGAUCUGACCGCGAUCACUGACCAUAAUACUAGUAGUUGUUUUACAUUUUCAGCAGGCUAGAGCGGGUGGAUUGACGGGCAAAAGCUCAGGCUCGUCUGCAAUCACAUGGGCCCUCAUAAGCAAAUCCUGUACACAACUUGGUUCACUAAACCCAACAACUUGAAGCAGCCAAAAUCAGGGAAUGAUCCUUCUCCGUCACAACCCUAGCUGCCUUAACCUUGUAGUGACACGGUGAAGAUGGAAGCCCCUCAGCAUGUAAACUUUUCAACAGCGACAGAGCUCUUAUUCCAGAGGCUGCACAGAAGAGCGACCUGAAUCCUCUUCAAAAUGUUUGUGAGAUAUUUGUCGACGAAGCCGAAACCAAAGAUGAAACCCAUAGAUCUCAAAAACUCCACCGGAGCAAACUCAGAGUUACGAGGGUUAUGUUAAAUUGAUUAUUAAUAUAAUAAAAAUAACAAUUCUCCAUAUGUUAUUUCUUAUUAAUUCUUAUAUAUAAAUUAAAUUGAUAAUUUCUUAAAAAUAACAAUUCUCCAUAUAUAAAUUAAAUUUAUUUUAAUUUAAUAUAUGUUAUUUUUAUAUUAAAUAUAUGUUAUUUUUAUUAUAUUAGUAAUCAAUUUAAUUUAUUUUUAUUCUUGAGUAAUGGAUUAAAUUUAUUUAGUUUGAAGAGAAAAUUUGACAAAAAUUAAAUGGAAAAAUUGGAUAAUGAAGUUAUAUUCAUAAUUUUAUUAAUAAUAUAGGAAUAAAUUGAACAAUGAACAAUUAUUUUUUAAUAUGCUAUAAGGGUAUAAUGGUAAAAUUAUAAUUUACUGUUAACAAAUGGGGGUCUCAGUGUCUUUUUUGAAACAUUAGGGGGUUUUGUGUCCCUUAUUCAAACGUUGGGGGUCUCUAUGUCCUUUUCCCAAAAAUUUAUAAACUGGAAAUUUAUAAUAAUCUAACUUAUUCUCGUUACUAUUAAAAAAUAAGUAAACAUAUCAAUAACAAUAUAGUUUAUUAUGAUUAUAAUUCAUUCAAUUAAAAUAAAUAAUUUAUUCUUAUUUCUAUUCUCUAUUCUAAUUUCAGUAAAUUUUGAUUUUAGUUUAUUUUAAUUAUUGAUUAGUUGUAAACUUAACUGGAAAUUUAUUGCAUAUAUUACGAGAAGCAGUACACACCAAUGGUAAAUUGAUACAUCGUUUUUGAGCUUAAGAUAGUCAAAUGAAAGAAACACAACGUAGGGUUCAUGAAACACUUUCAAAGCUGCUGAUGACUUAAAGUGAAUAACCUCAGCAUGUAAACUUAACUUCAAAGGACGGAGCACAAGUUUCACAGAAAAACAGCUCUUAUUUCUGAUGCUGCGAACACAGAGGAGUGACCUCAAUCUUCUUCAUCACUUGGGAAUUCUGCAAUUAUAGAGCACGACAUUGAGCAUGAACUAGAAAAAAUAUUUAUUUUCUACAAUUUUCAUAUAAUAAUUCAUAUGUUUUUACUGUCAUCACUUUAGAAAAAACUAAUUUCUCAAUGUGAAAUGGCCCAUAAAAAGUAUUCUCAUUUAAAAACUAAAUUUGACAAACCCCUCGAUUAAAGCAGGGGAGAGAAAAAAAAAAAAAAAGAUCUGAAGGCUUUCCAUGAAAAUGUUGUCACUUUGGAUGAUAUUUUCAAGGGAUUUCAUUCUAAAAAUAAAAUACCUGGGACCUUAUUCUUCAAAUUGACAGCUCGCCCAGUACUAAACGCGUAUGAGAUCAGUACUGGGACAAGUAACGAGACGACCCCUCCAACAGCUGAAAAUAAAAUUCGCAUUCAUCAAUUUAAAUUGAAAUUCAUAUUAUGAAAUUAAAACUAAUGAUUAAUGAAUUUUCAAGGAAUUUAAUAAGAUUCUCAUAUAUAAACGUGAUAAAAAAUUCACUCAUCAAUAACAAAUAUUCUAACAUUUUGUUGAUGUAAUUGUUGUAUGGUUGUGUUAAGGUCAUUAUUAGACCAACGCAGUUUGUCAUCACUCAUUCCGUACCAGACGUUUACUCUCGGAGGCGUGAUUGAUUCUCCUUUGGUGAAAAUCUUCAUCUUCGGACAACCAAUCACAGUAAGAUAUUCCAAAGAUGGGAAUUUGAAGGCGUAAUUGCCAGAGGAGAAGCUUGUGAGACUAUCUAAAUCAAACAGGGACAACGUAGUCAGUUUGCUGAAAACAAUCUCUUCUUUUAAAUAUGCUGUUUCAUUUCAAGACUGGCAAAAUUCAUUGUGUAAUCAAAGUUUUCAAUGAUCCAACUAAUAUAUAUAUAUAUAUGUAUGUAUAUUCCUUCUCUAGUGCAGACAUUCUCAUUUUUUUUUUUCAUGUGGACCAGUUUUUAGAUCCCCUGGUUUAAAAGAGUUAGUUUUUAACUCUUUAAAACCGCAUGGCUUCAUAAUUUAUUUAAAAACUAACUCUCUUAAACCGCACGGUUUAAAAGCGUGUCCACAUUAAAAAAAAAUACGGACCCCCACACCUGAGAAUGAUUAUAUAUAUAUAUAUAUAUAUAUAUAUACACACACGCUCUUAAACCGUGGGAUUUGAAAGCUUCUCCGCAUGAAGAAAGUAAAAAAUAAGGGCAUUCCCACUAGAAACAAACUCCAUAUAGGUAUUUAUUAAACCUCCUGAUCUGUGAGUGAGGAACAACAAAUAUAAUUGAUAAAAAAAAUCUAAAAUUUGGUUUCAUACCUUCUUGAACGAGAACAGGGGUUGUUGUGCCGGAAUACCAAAUUGAUCAUUCUCGUUAUUCUGGGACAACGUUAUUUUAUCACAAUUACAGGCCUCCAAUGUUUUUUAGUGCUGGCCAUUCUGAAGUAUGCAUUCCAGGGUAUAAACAUCUGAGUUCUGGUAGACCUUCGAGAUUCAGAGUGGUCACUUGUGGAAAGACAAAAUAUGGGGUCACUUGAUCUGCUCUGUCUUUGGAGAUGAUCUCUUGUAAACCCAUACAUAUCCGUAUCUCCAGGUGUUGGAGGUGCUCAAGGCUUUGGAUCAUAGAAGCUGAAAAUAUGUAUUUUAAUUUGUCACAGCCCCACACUAUCAAUCGUGUCAAACUUUGAAAGCCGCAAGUUGAUUGUCAUGCAAAAUCUCGUCGACAUUAAUAGCAUUCAGCUCCAAAGCCUCCAAAUUUGGCAACACUACCUGAAGAUAAUUUUCUCUUUAGAUCCAAUAUCCGUAUGGAAAGCACUUGUUUUGACACAAUAUCCAUAUAAGAAGCACUUAAUUAAGAGCUUAAUUAGCGAGUGUAUGAGACUUUUUUUUUUCAAAUGCCAGUGCAUGAUAGAACUAAAAAAAAAAAAGAAGCAUUAGCCUACGUACCUUCUCGUUGAAAAGCAGAGUUGACGUUUCCGAACUGAUCUCGUUGGAACUGGCUGUCAAUUCCUCUUGCGACUCUUGUCUGUUUGGUGAUGUGGAAGAAGUCUUCACUUCACCGCAAAACCUUGUAACCUUUGGAAGCUUUCCCAGACUCAAAGAUCUUAAUUGACCAAACUCUAUCUUCCCAUCAACAUCAACAUCAGCUUCUCCUCCAGUUGCAAAAAUCUCUUCCAUGCUGCUGCAAUUGAUAACUGCAAUCCUCUCCAGUCUUGGAAGGCAUUUUGUACUACUAGAGAGCCAGAAGAUAUUACUCAACUCAUCACAAUUUUCUACUUUUAUGGUUUUGAGUUCAUUGAAGGACUCUAUUUUGAGUCGAUCAAUACAUAUCCUCUCCAUAUUGAUCAAAUUUUGAAGAGUAUGGGACUCCAAAAGAGGAAAGGCGACACAUGGUUCUCUCUCCAUUGAAUCGACGAUACACAGGAAGUCUGGAUUAUUUUGAACAUGGAGAUGCUUCAAUUGUGAAAAGCCCUCAGUGUCCAAUUCUAAAACAACAUUCUUGAUUCCUUGCAACUUAUCCAAACAUAAGUAUUCAACGUUAUUGAUGCGCUGCAACUUCUCGGAGCAAAUGGCCAUAGAAUCAAGCUUGAGCUUCAAUGUUCUUAAACUCUCAUGAUUACUGAUCAUAAAGUGCUGCCGACUUUCAAACCAAUCAUUAUGCUGAAAUCUGCUCGCCCUUGGACCGACCAGAUUCUGUCACCAACGUUUGUGUUAUCAACUGUCACUCGAACCACUGGGGUUGGAAUCGCCCUUCCCUCUCUCACUAGACCUGCGUUCAGCAAAAACGGAUCAGAGACGCCGGUGGUUUUGCCGGCGUAAACCCUCCGAUGCCUAAGUUAGCACAAGGUGUUUACGGGAAAACAGUGUAAUAUGGAUUUAAGAAAUUUGUAAGGAAAUGGCCUGGUUGCAAUUUGGCAGCGUUUCCCCUCUCUCAGUUUUUCUGUCCUGUCUUCUUCGAUGUCUUUCUCUUUUAUAGCCGCCCUUUGUCCCACGUUUUUCGUUUGCCCCUUAUCCCUCCUUUUUCGGGUGGUGGUAGCCCCUCAUGGGACUCUAACUGCCAGAUUGUGGGCAAACGUGGAUCUCGCGUGUCCUUCAACCGCUCUGGGAGAAGCGCAACUACCGCGAUUUUGUGAGAUCGUGUUCCCGCUUUCCUGGGGAUGAGUAUCGGCUCGGCGUAUAUUUAUGGUCGGUAUGUUUUCCUGGUCGCAUUCAUCUCGGGUCGGCUCUUGUUUAACCCCGUGUUCUGCUCGUACCAUAUAGCUGGAACGAUCCGUGCCGGGGUGGAACCAGUAACAUGGCCGACCUGGUGCCUUUAUGUACUCAACACCAGUCCCCCAGUUUCUGGUCUGGCGAGUGAAAUGAGUUAAGAGUAGAAACUGAUGGUCAAAUCUCACCAGCCCGGGGAGCUUCUCGUCUGAUCCUCUUUUUAUUGAGACGGGCCUGACCUGAUGUACCAUUUCUCUACUGAGGAGACUCCGACCUGAGCGUGGGCCUAAGUGAACCUGCCCAUAGCAUAUCUGGGCUUACUUCUAACCUGGCCUCUUGUAACGGUUGGUGAUGUGGCAUCUCCAGACUCUUCGUAUUUGAAAUUUGAAACGACGGGCUAUCCGUCCUCGAUAUAUGGGGGGUGAGCUGGCAUAUCCCAUCACUGAAAUGCUUCCAUUUCCCCCUUUUCGUUUCAAAUCCCUAGACUGGAGUCAUCAUUAUCUUGCUAUUCGUUUCUCCGUCGUCAACCAAAUUUUCUCUGAACUUUGCUCACACUUCCAGCGUCCGGAGUAUCCAUUCGCCGGGUGUUUUCUCUGUCACGGCGGCGCUAUCAGUGUCAGUCUAUUCCAGGUAUAGUCUUUAACCUUUUCCUCUGGUUGUUGUUGAUUGGGUUCUGUGUUGCCUUCUUUGUGUCCAUAUACUCGAGUUUUCUCUGUUUUCUUUUGGGGAUUUCGGUAUGUCGAAUCGGAAGAGGAAGUUAAUUGUUGAUGAGGGUGAUGAAGAGUCAGGGGACUCAGGCCUCAAUGUGCCAAUACCCACUGAUUACUUGGGCCCCUCCAGUAGUGUAGGUCCUUCCCAUGGCAGGGAUACCCUUGAAUACCCACGCCCUUUGGUUAUCUCUCCUUCCCCCGAACUAGAGCUUGUAGGGAAUAGAGGUGGACCUGCGUCGGGCUCUGGUGAGAAUCACAGUUCUGGUGGGGUUGGGGUCCCUGAAGGAGUUAGUGAUGGUGAGGGAAGCGGUUCCGGACCAAGCAGACCUGCUCAGAAAAGGAAACUAGGCCAUAGGGUGGAGGCUGAUUCCUACCCUAUUGAUUUCAUGGCUUGUGCCACCACCCCCACCGAUCUAUUUAAACUUAGGAAUCUCUACAACAUCCCCAACGAUGUUCUUCUUGUAGUCCCUGGGAAGGGUGACGUUCCUAGUCGGCCUCCGCAGGGGUAUGUGACGAUGCACCUAGAGAGUUUUAAACUAGGAGCUCGGCUGCCCCUUCAGCGUUAUUUUGCCAAGAUAUUGGGAGGUAUGCACCUGGCCCCAGGUCAGCUACACCCGAACGGGUGGAGGGUUCUAUCGGCUAUGUUUGUGUUGUGGGAGAGGUGCGGGUUGGAGGAGCCUUCCCUUGUUGAAGUGAAGCAUUUGUAUCAGCUGCGGAGCAGCCCAAGGGAGGCGGGCUGGUACUACUUCAUGUCCAGUUCUGCAAAGAGAAAGCCAAUCACCGGUUUCCCCUCCUCGUGCAAGAAUUGGAAGAACAAAUUCUUCUUUGCUGGGGGAAAAUGGUGUUCAGCACUUCGUUCGUUGGGUGGUGAUCUUUACCUACCAACGCAGUUUGUCACCCCAGGUCGUUCAUUUUUUGCCUGUAUUCUUUUUCGAACUGCCACUUAUUGGGUUCUUUAACCUUGUUUGUUAUUUCAGAGUCAUGGGGUUUGAUCGGGGGGCUUGAAGAUCGACCCUUGCUUCAGGUGGAAACUGCUCUGGUGAACGCUUCUACUUGCCAAGACCUCCUGUCUCCAACAAACUUGGUCGGUUCGGGCCUAGUGGAUAUAGCCGCUGGAAUGGAUAACAAGAUCCUCAGCGCGAUGAGCAGGAAGCGUGGUCGGGCCCCGAGCAGCUCCAGCAACCCUCCUCCUCCUCCGAAGAAACCUACCGUCGGUCCUUCCAAGGCGCCUGUUCCUGCUCUGCCUCCUCCUCCACCUCGUAAGAGUGGUGGGGAGAAAACCUCGGACAAGAGUCCUGAGGUCAGCUUGCAAUCUGGGGACCGAUCUUCUCCUCUCCCAUCUCGGGAUCAAGGUGAUUACCUGAGUCCAUAUCAGAAGGAUUAUAAAAAAUCGGUUGGGCCUAAGAUGGUGAAGGACAUCGAGAGCAUGAGCCUCUCCGAGUUGGCUGCUUCUGUUCAGAGAGUCUCCUUUAGGCUGGCCACAAUGGUCUCGUGCUACAAGACCGGGUCCGCGCGUCAUGAGAAGAAGCUUCAAGCUAACAAUCAGGAGUUGAAAAGGAAAGCUGAAUCUGCUGACCGCUCCAGGGAGAAACUAGCCGAGCUGAACAAGCAUAUUAUGGAGCUGGAGGAGAAAGUUGCGGUUGCUGAGUCCACUUCCUACAAGCUUGAGGGCGAGUUGAAUGAUCUGAAGUCCGAUCUUCAGGCUACUCAAAGUGAGAGAGAUACUCUGAGGACCGCCCUUGAGGGAGAGAUCAAAUCCCUGAGUGACCAGCUGGCUGAAGAGAAAGGCAAAUCUGCUGAUGUAGAUGAUCGGCUGGAUGCUGAGUAUGACUCCGGGGUUGCUUUCAGCUAUAAGUGCAUCAUGUCUGUGCUCACGGAAGAAUACCCCGAGCUCGAUAUGAGCAAGCUGGAGACUGGGGUGGAGAGAUAUAUGGCUGGGGCCGGCCAGGGAGAUAAGGAGCAGGGUGAGCAGGAUCGGGUGGAGGUUCCUUCGGGUGGGGUGGAAGAGGGGGAUGCUGGGGGACGCACUUUCGAAAUGGGUCAAGGGUCCAUGCCUCCUCCUCCCGGUAUUGCUGAUCUCCCACCUCCUGAUGUUGCUGAUCCCUCACUUCCCGGGCUCGCUGAUCCUUCAGCCGCUGGAGCCGUUGACUCUGCUAAGCUUUGAGCCUAUUUUUGUAUAGACUCUAGAUUUGCAUUUGUUUUGUAAACAAUUGAACAUUUAUAAAAAGAUUUUUAAAUGCUCUUUAUUUGCUUUCUUGUCCGGUUUUUGCUCAUAGAUUGUAUCUUAGUUUUGCCUUUCGUAGGAUUAACUGCUGGUCCUUCGUUGACCGAGCCGAAGUAGGCAUUUGCUUUAGUAGAUUUCUUGUAGAGUUAGCUGCUGGUCUUGCGUUGACCGAGCAGAAGUAGGCACUUACUUGCCUUGGUAGAAUCUUCGUAACUUUAGCUGCUGGUCAUUCGUUGACCGAGCCGAAGUAGGCACUUGCCUUAGUAGAGUUUUCGUAGCUUUAGCUGCUGGUCUUUCGUUGACCGAGCAGAAGUAGGCACUUGCCUUAGUAGAGUUUUCGUAGCUUUAGCUGCUGGUCUUUUGUUGACCGAGCAGAAGCAGGCACUUUGUUGCCUUAGUAGAUAUUUUGAAGCUUUAGCUGCUGGUCUUCGUUGACCGAGCAGAAGUAGGCACUUGCCCUAGGAGAGUGUUCGUAGCUUUAGCUGCUGGUCAUUCGUUGACCGAGCAGAAACAGGCACUUUGUUGCCUUAGUAGAAAUUUUGAAGCUUUAGCUGCUGGUCUUCGUUGACCGAGCAGAAGUAGCACUUGUCUUAGUGAAAUUUUUAUUGAUCUUGCUAGCAGGGGGAUUUCAUGCUGAAUUCAUCUUUAUUGAAAUUUGAAUGUAUUACAAAAACAUAGAAUAUAUGCAUGUGCGACAGGCCAUCAGGCAUUGUAACAGAAAUAACUUGCCAGAGUGAGGAUUUAAUAGAGCAUUUUGCUUACUGGAAGUACUUCUUCAGGUGUUCGGCGUUCCAUGAUCUCUUCACGUCUCGUCCGUCUUGGCACGCUAAUUUAUAUGCUCCUGGUCCAGUGGCUCGUAUCACUCGGUAUGGGCCUUCCCACUUUGGGCCAAGAGCGCCAUGGUUAGGAUUCCUGGUGUUCUGGUUCACCUUCCUAAGUACCCAAUCUCCUGCUCGGAACUGCCUCACGCGUACAUUCUUGUUGUAAUAACGCAUGACCCUUUGCUGACAUUGGGCCACUUUCUGCGAGGCCCCUUCCCUUUUCUCCUCCAGCAGGUCUAGGCUUAAGCAGAUCUGCUCGUCAUUUUGCUCCUCAACGAAAUGUUCCGUUCUAUGUGUCCCCACUCCAAUCUCUGUUGGGAUUACCGCCUCAUGACCAAAAGCUAAAGCGAACGGUGUUUCUCCUGUGGCGGUUUUGUGAGUUGUCCUGUAGGCCCACAGUACCCCUGGUAGCUCGUCAACCCAAGCUCCCUUCUUCUCCCCCAAUCUAGUCUUUAGGAGCUUCUUUAUCACCUUGUUGGCUACUUCCACUUGCCCAUUUGCCUGGGGGUGUGCGGGGGUGCAGAACUUCAGGUCCACCCCCAGGUUUUGGCAAAAUUCCCUGAAGUUGCCGUUGUCAAAUUGCCUCCCAUUGUCUGUGAUGAUGGCGUAGGGGAUCCCAUAUCUGCAGAUGAUGUUUUUCCAAAUAAAAUCUGUUGUCUUCCUCUCUGUGAUCUGGCUGAGGACUCCUACUUCCACCCACUUGGUGAAGUAGUCUAUUGCCACGAUUGCAUGUGUCGCCGCUCCUCGUCCCUUUGGUAAUGGACCAAUCAAGUCGAUUCCCCAUUGAGCGAAAGGCCAUGGGGAUGUCAUAGCCGUCAGUUUCUCCGGUGGUUGUGCAGGAACCUCGGAGAAGCUUUGGCAUGUUUUACAAUUCUUGGCCAUUCUUUUGGCAUCCUGGUGCAUGGUUGGCCAGAAGUAUCCUUGCCGAAGUGCCUUGAAAGCUAAAGUUCUUGCUCCCGAGUGAUUGCCGCAUAUUCCCUCAUGAAUCUCUCUCAGCACAUAAUCCGCCUCCUCAUCAUCCAAACAUCUCAAAAGGGGUAAGGUGAACCCUCGGCGGUAUUGCACUCCAUCUAGUAGCGUGUACCUCGCUGCUCGGCAUUUUAACUUUCUUGCUUGCCUUUUGUCUUCCGGUAAAACUCCAUCGCGGACAUAUGCGCGAAUCGGGUCCAUCCAGGAUUCUCCAAUAUUUACACUCAUCACCUCUGCUUCUUCCUCAAUACUUGGUGAGGUCCUUACCUCUAGUGGAACUGACUUCGGUAAUUUUGGAUCUGCGAUGGCUGCCAUCCUAGCCAGCAUAUCGGCUCGGAAAUUCUCAUUCCGGGAUAUCUGCUUUACCUCCACUACUUGGAAAAGCCCAACCAUCUGCUUCGCCUUCUUCAAAUAAAGACCCAUCUUCUCUCCCCUCGCUUGAAACUGACCAUUGAGCUGAUUACACACCAAUUGGGAAUCUGCUCGAAUUUCUACUCUCUCUGCUCUGAGAGCGUGUGCAAGUCCGAGCCCGGUGAUAAAGGCUUCGUACUCAGCUUGGUUGUUUGUGAGCUGAAAUUCGAACUUCACCGCGUAUGUUACCUCAGUUCCCUCUGGGCUCCUUAUUACAACUCCUGCUCCGGAUCCUUGCUCACUACAUGAUCCGUCAACCAUUACCAGCCAUAUCUCCUUUGAAUCCUCGUGCUCUACCGGUUGUUCCUCUUGGACCUCUUCCCCCGGUUCAACACGGUCCACCAUAAAAUCUACCAGGGCUUGGGCCUUGAUUGCUCCUCGGGGCCUGUAGGAUAGGUCAAAUUCGCUCAGCUCCACGGACCAUUUUACUAACCGACCAGACGCAUCUGGUUUUUGAAGUACUUGCCGAAGUGGCUGGUCAGUCAUCACAAUGAUCUGGUGGGCUUGGAAGUAUGGUCGGAGUUUGCGUGCUGCCAUUAUCAAAGCCAGCGCCCACUUCUCCAUUAGUGGAUAUCUGGUUUCUGCGUCCACCAGGGCCUUGCUUGUGUAGUAUACCGGGUGUUGCUUCCCUUCUACUUCCCUGACUAAGACCGAGCUGGUAGCCUGCUUAGAGAUUGCCAAGUAUAAGAGCAGCUGGUCACCCUCUCUCGGAGUUGAUAGUAACGGGGCGUGGGCUAGAUAUUCCUUCAGCUGUCCAAAUGCCUCCUCGCAUUCCGGUGUCCAUUCCAUCUUCUUCCCUUUCUUUAUGACUUGGAAGAAAGGGUGACAUUUAUCAGUGGCUCGCGAAAUGAAUCGGUUCAAUGCUGCCAACUUCCCCGUAAGGCUCUGCACCUCCUUAGCUGUUCGUGGGGACUUCAUUUCUAUCACCGCCCGUAUAUUUUCUGGGUUGGCUUCAAUACCUCGAUGGCUCACCAGGUAUCCCAAAAAUUUGCCCGAGCUGACCCCAAAUGCACAUUUCUCCGGGUUCAGCUUCAUUUUGUACCUCCUCAGCAAUUCGAAAGUCUCUUUUAAGUGCUUCACAUGGUCUUUCGGUUCUCUUGACUUGGUGAUCAUAUCGUCCACAUAUACUUCCAUAGUGCGACCGAUCAAUGGUUUGAAGACCUUGUUCACUAACCUUUGAUAGGUAGCUCCUACAUUUUUCAGGCCAAAGGGCAUCACCCUGUAACAAAACAAACCCAUGUUAGUUAUAAAUGUGGUGCUCUCCUCAUCCUGCUCGUUCAUGGGUAUCUGGUUGUAUCCGGAGAAGGCAUCCAUGAAACUGAGUAGACUAUGACCCGCGGUUGAGUCCACCAGCUGAUCUAUUUUUGGUAGGGGAAAGCUGUCCUUCGGGCAUGCCUUAUUGAGGUCCGUGAAGUCUACACACAUUCUCCACUUCCCAUUGGCCUUCUUUACCAAUACCACAUUGGAAAUCCACUCCGGGUACUUAGCUUCCCUUAUAAAUCCUGCUUUCAGCAGCUUUUCCACCUCGGCAUUUAUGGCUUCGUACCUUUCAUGGUUGAAGCACCUCAUUUUCUGCCUCACCGGCUUUGCCCCUCUCUUGACCGCCAGCUUGUGACAAGCUAUCCCGCGGUCAAUACCUGGCAUAUCCUCAUGAGACCAAGCAAAUAUGUCUGCAUGGGACUGUAGACACUUCACCAGCUCUGUCUUUAUUUCUCUACCCAAUUCUGAUCCGACCUUUACAACUCUGCUAGGGUCGCUCCUGCUUACAACAACUUCCUCCAGCUUCUCAACCAGUUCCUGACUACCAUUUUUUGAAUCCCUUCGGUUAUCUAGCGAGGUAACUUGCAGCGUUUCCUUGGCCGCUGUAGCAUAGCAGCUCCUGGCCAUUCUCUGGUCGCCCUUUACUACACCCACAACUCCAUUUAUUCUGUACUUCAGCGCCAGAUAAUGCGUUGACAUUACACAUUGGCUUAUCCUCAUGAACGGUCUCCCCAAUAUCAUCUGGUAAGGACUUCUUUCCUCUACCACUACAAAGUCCAGCAUCAUCGUUCUUUCAAGUGGCUUUGUCCCUACAGUAAUCGGGAGUUCAAUGACCCCCAUGGGAGUUAACCGUCCCCCUCCAAAUCCCUUCAAGGAUGUAUUCGUUCGCUCCAGCUUUAAAUCUAAAAUCCCCAUAUCAUCUAAGGCCGACUUAAACAGAAUGUCUACUGAGCUGCCCGUAUCUACCAGUAUUCACCGUAAUUCUGUACUGGCCACAAAUGCUUUAAUCACCAGCGCAUCCUCGUGAGGGUAUAAAAUGCCUUCUUCGUCGUCCUCUGUCCACAUAAUAGGAACUUGCCGCACUUUUUCCCUCUUGGCUGCUGGCAAAUUGAAAAGCACUUCUUUGCUAGUCAGGGCGUAUCUCCCAUAGUUCUUCCGUGCCCUGUUUGAAUCCCCGGCCAAUGUUGGCCCUCCUGCUAUAACUUGGAUAGUCGGCUGUUCUUGUUCCAAACCCCUUUCAACUCCUUCAUCCUGUGCAUAUUGCGACUCACUGACGGGGAACACUCCAUCUACGUACUCAUCCAAGUAUUGGUUCCUCACCAAAUCCUCCACCUGAAUCCUUAGGUCACGGCAUUGGCUGAUAGUAUGACCGUGAGUGUUGUGGAAUUUGCAGAACCUGCUCUUAUCACGCCGGUGAGCGGGUUUCGUUAUAGGGGUCGGAGUAUACAGCAGUCCUCGUCCCUCGAUCCUUUCGUAUAGUUCCUCCAUGGAGAUUUUUAAAGGAGUAUAUCGUCGAUAUGCCGCGCUCUGGUCAACCAACUGAACUGCUCGGCUAUCAUGGACAUCACUUCGGGCUGGUAUAGCCGGUAACUGCUCUGGUCGGCCAGACCUGUGAUUGGUCGCGUUUACCUCUCUGGGAGUGCGGUGGUAAGGGUGGGCAGUCACCUGCCUGAAUUCUCGCUGCCGCUCUGGGAUCGGGGGGCGCAGAGGUUGAGCCCGGCUGUGUUGGAACUGUUGUGCUCUCUGAGCUAUGGGGUAAGGGCGAGACCGAGCUGAUAUUCCGCCCAUCCCCGAAGAUUCUCCAGUUCGCUUUCCCGACCCGCUCCCUUUCGGGGCUCUCCGUUCUCUUCGCCUCAGCUCUUCCAGCUGUUCACUUUUAAUUCUUGCUGAUUUUUCCUCUUCGAUUUCUAUGUCUCGUUUCGCUUGCUCAUACCCCGACGAGUAAUUCUGUACGAGGGGGCUUCUUAAGUUAUACCACAAUCGGCCGAUUCUUACACCUUCUUUUAAUCCCCUCAACGCCUGCGGGUGAUUAAAAGCUCCCAAAUCCAGCACGGCUCGGUGAUAUCGUUUUACGAAAUCGUGAAGGGAUUCAUGCUCCUCCUGCUUCAUCCCCAUCAGCUCCAUCAUGUCAUCCUCUGGGGCCACCGCCCCUCGGAACUGCUCGGCCAACUCCUGGCACAUCUGCUCAUACCCCUUUAUUCCUCCUCGGGGCAGCUUGCGGUACCAUUCUCGGGCUCGUCCCUCUAGUGUCAACGGGAACACCCUGCAUCUCUGAGCUGGUGUCAGCCCCUGCACACCCGUCAUGUCGUUGAAACGCUCAAUGUGCACCAACGGGUCACUUCGCCCGGAGUAUUUAAGGUCAGGGAAGCGGAAAUCUCUUGGGAUUAUGGUGCUCAUGAUCUCAAUUGAUAACGGAGAUUCUUCAUCUAGCAUUAUCCUCCAGCUCGGGGGCUUUCUCUUGCCCUGCAUCUCCUCUAUCACCUGCGCCAAUCUGCGCACCUCCCCCUCCAAUUCUAUAGCGCGAUCAGGGUCACGUGCAGCUAUCUGGUCUCUCUCCUGCUCGACGUUCUGCAACCGUUGUCUGAGCUCUCCUUCAUCAACACUGGCCCCUCGGCCAUUUAUUUCCAGUACCCGUCCGGGGCGAGGUUCGUCUCUCCCUUCAUCCACGUGUUCCCCUGGGACCCGGCCAGUACUUCGGUGGGGAUGCACUCCAUUAGGUUGGUCUGCGGGUGGAGGGAUUUCCCCGACCCUACGCCCCCGGAGACUGGGUUCUGCUCCAACUCCAUCUCUUCCCACGGGGGUUUCAUAAUCCCUUCUCCGCUCGUCCCUCAGCUCAAACAAUACGGCCGCGAGAGUCUCCAUUUGUUUCUCCAUCCGCUCCAGUCUAUCUUGCAUCAUCCUCUCUCGGGCUUCAUUUGCUAUCUCCCGUAGAGUGAUUGUCUCCACCGUUUCAUUAUCCUCCCUUACAGUAUCCUUUCUUGACGCAUCCAUAUCUAAUCGUUCGCUACUUCUCAGGUAAUUACUAACUUGGUGGUAGCUUUUUAUUCAGCUCCCCACAGACGGCGCCAAAAUGUUGAUGCUGAAAUCUGCUCGCCCUUGGACCGACCAGAUUCUGUCACCAACGUUUGUGUUAUCAACUGUCACUCGAACCACUGGGGUUGGAAUCGCCCUUCCCUCUCUCACUAGACCUGCGUUCAGCAAAAACGGAUCAGAGACGCCGGUGGUUUUGCCGGCGUAAACCCUCCGAUGCCUAAGUUAGCACAAGGUGUUUACGGGAAAACAGUGUAAUAUGGAUUUAAGAAAUUUGUAAGGAAAUGGCCUGGUUGCAAUUUGGCAGCGUUUCCCCUCUCUCAGUUUUUCUGUCCUGUCUUCUUCGAUGUCUUUCUCUUUUAUAGCCGCCCUUUGUCCCACGUUUUUCGUUUGCCCCUUAUCCCUCCUUUUUCGGGUGGUGGUAGCCCCUCAUGGGACUCUAACUGCCAGAUUGUGGGCAAACGUGGAUCUCGCGUGUCCUUCAACCGCUCUGGGAGAAGCGCAACUACCGCGAUUUUGUGAGAUCGUGUUCCUGCUUUCCUGGGGAUGAGUAACAUUCUUGAUUCCUUGCAACUUAUCCAAACAUAAGUAUUCAACGUUAUUGAUGCGCUGCAACUUCUCGGAGCAAAUGGCCAUAGAAUCAAGCUUGAGCUUCAAUGUUCUUAAACUCUCAUGAUUACUGAUCAUAAAGUGCUGCCGACUUUCAAACCAAUCAUUCUCAAUAACCAGGGUAGAGUCGAAUGAUGCAUCUCCUAUUGAUAUAUCAAACCUUUCCAGCUUUUUGGAAAAAAAGCCAUCCGGUAAAAUGCUAUCAUUUUUAACAUCUAUCUAAGGUGGUCAAUCGCCUCAUAUGCAUCAAUUCGUCGAGGGUGGCAUUACUUCUUUCACUAUUGGCCUUUUCAACUUCCCAUUCAAUAGGGGAAUUACCCAUAUACAGUUCUUCCAAUCGAGUGAAGCUUGAUAAGACGUUGGGCACAAUAAAUUUUAGUUGCAAACAAUCUGUUAAAUCUAACAGCCUUAACUUAGUCAGUUGACCUAGUUCGCCAGGCAACCGUACAAUAUCAGAAUUUAAAAAGCUAAGGAUUUCUAGAUUCUUCAACUUUCCAAUUAUGGCUAUGUCUCCCAACAUGCUUUGAUCUAGACAGAGUGUUUGAAGAUUUGCUAGAAGACCGAUUGAAGAUGGCAAUGAAAAUAAUCGCAUUCGUGUCAAAUCUACAACUCGAAGCUUUUUCAGCCCUUUGAAAAUGUUGUCAGGAAUAUUGACCUCAACAAAAGUGUUUUGGGAAAUAUGUAAAAAUUCAAGUUGCAGACAUUCAAAUUCCUCAGAAACUUCAUGAAUGCUACUAUUUAGUAAAGAGAUUGCAUAGCAUUUUUUAAGUGCAUCCUCAUCUGGCCACUCCCACACAGCCUCAUUUCUCACCAAUAAAGCAUGUUGGUCUCGAUUUAAACUUUAACUCAAUUUGAAAAACUGAGCAAGUAUGCGUUACAGGAAAUCAAAAAAGCUCCACAUACCCAGAUCAUGAUCUCACGUUGAAUCCAGGUGGGAGAUAUAUUUAUGAUCAAGCCCAACAUCGAAGGGGGCAAAAAAAAAAAAAAAAAAAUCUACCAGACAUAUGAUCAUAUUGACCACGAGCUUCAUACGCCGUGGAUUUAUUAACAAAAGUGGGAAUUAAUUAAUCAUGAGCAUGUGUUCUAGUUAAGUCAAAAGAGAGACUUAAUUAAGAACGCAUAUAUAAUUCAUAAUCAGCACAUAAAAAGAUCACUAGUGCUUGCCCCUCCUGCCCUUGCCGUGCUUGCCGUGCUUGCCCCUGCCCUUGCCCUUUCCAUGCUGGUAGUAGCCGCCGUGCUUGCCGUGUGUGUAUGCACCGUGAGCUCCAGGAUAUGCGUUAUUAUCUGCAACAAAAUAAGAAAUUAAAUCAUAAGCUUAUAAUUAGCUCGCUCGCUAAGAGUGAUUAAAAUAAUACCGUGCGGAACGGAUGGGCCAGGAUAUCCCGUUGGUGUGUAACCACUGGCGAGUGCUGCUCCUGUAGGCGGGUAGCCGGCACCGGCUGGGGCAGCAUGAUCAGCACCUUCCAUGAUUUUGAUGAUCACCUAAUAAAUAAUAACUUGGUCCAAAAUAAACAACAAUAAAUAAUUGUGAUUAAUAAAAAGUAAUAUAUUCUCUAAUUAAAACAUUAAUGAUCAUUGGAGAGCAAGCGAGAAAUACUUACUGAAUGCGAUGGGACAGACAACAUCAUGCAUAGAGAAUUGUUCAUCUUCAACGAAUUUGGCUGCCCGGUCAAUGAUGCCGUUAGCACUAACCAGCCACUUCUCAACCUUCUCUUCAAUCUCUUCCCCUUUUUCUUUUGCCUCUGAAACUCUGCGCCGAAUGCUCGUACGUUCAACCUUCAACUUCUCCAUUUCCGUCUUGAGAUUCUCAAGGUUGGCAUUGUAGUUCCGCUUGCGCAAAUAAACAAGUUGGCGUUCUGUUGGAGGAGCCAAGCAUUUUACAAGUUCCAAAACGAGAGUAACAAUGAUUUCCAGCAUCUUGAAUCCUGACAACAAUGUAGAAGUGAAGAAGGCCAAAGGACAGUCAAAACAGAGAGACAGCGUUACGACAAGCAGUUAUGGAGCUAAAAAUAAAUAACAAACAAACAGAAGCAAAGUGUUUUUCGAAUGAGAAGAAGGAAGCAAGAAAAACUUAAAACUAGUAUAAUAAAUUUAUACUAAAACUAGUAUAGUAAAACAAGAAGUCAAGAACCAGCAACUUUUACACACAAAAUAAAACCUUAAAACUAGUAUAAUAAAUUUAUCAUCAAGUUGCAGCCUUCUUAUUCAACAAUUACAGCAUUAUCUUGAGCUCUGUGUUUCUUUUUUUAAAAUUAUUCAAAAAAAUCUGCAUUUGUUUUUCAAGGAUAAAAAUUAUAUUUUUGUCUCAUAUAAUAUAAAAUUAAAAAAAAACAAACAUAUAUUAAAGGUCUGUUUGGGAUUAUUUUUAGAGGCUCAAAAGUAAUUUUAAAAAGUUAAAUGCUAAUUUUGGUAUUUAAUAAAAUUUUUAGAAGUCACCUUUGGUAAAAUCAUCAAUCCUACAACAAAUUUUGAAAGCAAAUAGUUUUUCAAAUUUUUAUUUUGAUAAUUAAUUUUAUACUUAAUAUAAUUCCAUAUACAUCCCUACAUAUAUUAAUUAUCCUUAUUAAUUAGAAAAUAAAAUUAUUAACUUUAAAGAUAUUAUCAACAAUUACAUUGAGAUAACAAACUAAAAAUAAAAUUAAUAAUAUAAAAUAUUUAUUUUAGUAAUCAAUUAUUAUACUUACAAGAUAAAAAAUAUUUUAUUUAAAUGUUUAUAAAUGUACAAAUAAAUUUUAUUUAAUAUUAUAUUCAAUUUAGUCAUUUACAUUGUCAAUAGGACUUCUAAAAAUAAAUUUUCCUAAAUGUUUAACUAAUUCUCUUCAUAGUGAUUAUUUCCAAACAUAACUACCAAAAAUUACUAUAAUAGAUACAACAUUACCAAAAAAAUAUUGAGAUAGAUUUUAAUUAGGUAAUUGACUUAAUUAUGAAUCAAUUUAUUAUUUCCAUAUGUGUUAUCCAUAUGUGUUAUCAAAACCAGCUCAAUAAUGAGAUCACUCUUUUUCUUAAAUAAAAAUAUUUGUGCCAAACAAUUGUUGCAAAAUUUCAAAUAUAAAUUACAAACAACAAAAUUUUCUAAAAUCAUAACAAUAAUUUAUGUUGUGAAUACAUGUAACGAAACCACAUUGAAAUUUUAUUGUUAGUAAAAUUGUUUUUCACGCAAAUGCAGUGACGGAUUCGGUUUCAUGUCUCACCCUCAAUAACUUAAUUUUCAUAUCUAACAAAUCAUCCAUAUUAUUAACAAUAUCAUCACCAACCAUAAUCUACCUAAACAUAAACUAAACAUAACACAUACAUAUAACUAUAUACAUACCGAAUCAGGAAAACAAUGAAAGCUACACGUAUCCGGCUCUACAAUUCCUUCUUGAUACCCUUGUGCUUCUAAAAUAAUCAACCAAUUAUAAAAAUUAGCUUAGGUGCAACUUUACCCCUUUUUUUGGGAAACUUAACUAUAAAUAAAGUAUACAAAUCUCUAAAUUAACUUCGUCCCCAUGAAAUUCGGCAUAAAUAGAAAUAGAAUUAUAGAAACCUUACUACCUUUUAUGAGAAAUCCAACUUAUAUAUUUGAGACCUCUCUCUCUAAGCACGCGCUUCCUCUCUCUGCACACUUUCCACCUUUAAAUUCUCCUUCACUAAGUUUACCUAAAAGAAUUUAGCGUUCUCCCAGUUUCUUUCGCAUUUUUCUCCGUGAAAAUUGGUGAAAAAGAGAAAGUGAUUUGAUUAUUUUAAUGUGCGACAGAUCUGGUUUCCAUCUCUGUAAUAUAAGUGUAUCAAAACGAGGUGAACAACUCUUUGUCGAGUCAGUCAAAUAUAAAAGACAAAUUACGAAACCAAGCAGAGCCAAAAAAAAAAAAAAAAUUUCCAAUUAAAUAAUCAUCAAGUCUUUUUCAAUUAAAAUCGGAGGUGCAGAACAACUGUCAGGAGAUAAUCAUUGUUUAUGGAGCCAUAUUAUAUUUUCGAUUAAAAUAGUUGCGCGUGAACAAUUGGCAGAAUUCGUAUAAAUUGUUUUAAGGUCUAUUAUAAUUAACAUUUAACAAGUGGAAUGGCCAAUGGAUGAAGAACCACUAUAAUUAGGGGGGUUUUGUGUCCCUUAUUCAAACGUUGGGGGUCUCUGUGUCUUUUUCCCAUGAAUUUAAAAUGCUAAAGAAACUGGGAAAAUUUACAAAAAUAACCAUAAAAUUUUUGUUAUUUUUACAAUUAACCCUCUCAACUUUUUUCUAUCAACAUUAGCCAAACACGUGCUUUUCUCCCCAAAUUACCCUUCUUUACAAACCAAAAGCAACAUUCUUUCUCCCCUUUCGUCAAACAAAGGCAGCUUCCACUCUUGAAUCAUCAACCAACGACAACGGCAAAAGGCAACGAUAAAAAGUGAAAUCCGAUCAUAAUUUAUUCGGAUCCAACACUAAUCGGCAUCACAUAGUGGUAUGAGUUAUUUUCUUGCUCGUGAGUUUGCCUGUCGCACCAAAAGCCAGAUUCAUUAUAAUUAACUAUUAAUUUGAUAGGGCUGAAAUAAUUUAUUUUUUUAUAAUUUCAGGCUUAAUGGAUUCAGUUGUACUUGAAUUGUGUUACGAUGGUUGUUGGGAGACAUUAGAGGAUGGGCGUAUGGAGUAUGUCAAUGGUAAAAAUAGAGCUUUUUUGGUUGGAAAAAAUUGUCUUUUUGAUCAGUUAUUGGCAAGAGUAUACGAUGUGUUACAAAUUAAUCCUAAUGAAUAUAGUAUCACAAUGAAGACAACUUUGAGGUCUAGUAACACAUUAUAUCAUGUAUGUGCACUGCCCAUGGAUAUAUUUGAUGAUGAAAUGGUGAGGGUUGUGUUACAUAUGGCAUCCGACGUAGCUAAUUUUGGAUGCAUUCCUAUAUUUGUUACCACAUCACCUCGAGUUCCGAGUGGAGGUAUUGAGCCACAUGUCGAUACAGAAACUUCGUUUAGAGCAAAUAUGUCUAGCCUCGAUAAUGAAGAAGAGGUGUUGCCAAGGACAAUAUCACUGCAUCAAUAUUACUCUCCAAUCCACGACAAUUAUGACAACAUUGAUGAUGACGGCGUUACGUUACAGGAUGUUAGAGCAACGGUAUUUCCAAUAACGACGUCGUUGGAGCAACGGUAUUCUCCGUAUCACAAUAAUGAUUUUCGGGACAAUGAUGAUUUUCAUGAUGAGACAGAGGGGGAUAAUGUUUGUGCAGAACCUUCUAAUAAUAUGAGGGGCACUCAUUUCAAUAAUGAUGGUGAUGAUGGAGGAGCCGGUCCUUCGAAUGUUCCGUCGUUUCAGCAUGAGGAUGAGUGUGAAGACAAUACUCCUGCGAAUAAUAGAGGCAAUAGACCUAUUCUAGCAAUGGUUCGAUCGAGAAGGAGAAUUGACCCUCUCACAAGUCUUGCUCCAACUUUGCCUUCGAACAUGGUUGCUCCAAGUUUUGUUAGCAGUUGUGACUCAGAUGAUAUCAGUGUCGGUAAGCUAUUUGCUGAGAAGAAUGAGUUUAUAUUACAACUACGCAAGGUUGCCUUUCAGGAUAAGUUUGAUUUCAAGAUUGCACGGUCUACUACGACACGUUUCGAGGCUCACUGUAGUUCAGAAUCAUGUAAAUGGCGUAUUCGAGCAACUAGAUGUUCGAACGAGGAAAAUGUUCCUUGGGUGGUGCGGAGAAUUGAUAAUGUACACACUUGUCAUAAUGAGGUGUUGGUUGCUGGAUGUCAUCAAGUCAGGAGCCGGGUUGUCGGUCAUAUUAUCGCAGAUAAAUAUAUUCAAGUCAAGAGAAUUUAUACUCCGAAUGACAUAAGAGCAUAUAUGCAACAAGAAUACGGUGUUCAGUUAACAUACCAGCAGGCAUAUCGGGCGAGAGAAGUUGGUCUUGAAAUAGUUCGAGGCAACCCUGCAGAGUCAUACAACUUGCUCCUUAAAUAUUCUCGCGUACUAACUGCAGCGAAUGAGGGUACAGUCACUCACAUCGAGCUGGUGCGACAGCCACGCCUGUCGCACCAAAAAAUUGGUGCGACAGGCGCGCGCUGUCGCACUUGAUCUGGUGCGACAGCGCCUCUCGCACCAGAUUUGGUGCGAGAGGCUUGCUGUCGCACCAGAUUUGGUGCGACAGUGGGGCACGCAUGGGCGCGCGCGCGCGCCCUGCCCCCCUCCCUCUCCACCCCCAAAAUUAAGCCACAACACUUUAAAAUCGAAAAACAAUACUCCCAAACACCACCACUACCACCAUUAUUCUCAAGCUAUAAUUAUUAUUAUUCUAAAAUCUCAUUUUAAAUUAAUGAAAAUAAGAAAAAUGACUAACCUAGGUUUUGUUGAAGGUUGUAGAUCGUAGAUCGGAUGCCGGUGAGAGAUGGAGCCACCGCCGACGAGGGUUGAUGUUGCCGCCGAUGAUGGGAGUUGGAUCGGUUUGGGAGAGAUGAGUGAAAGGGAGUGUUGGGGAAGAGAUGAGGGAGGGGUAUUUUGGUCUCAAAAGUUGUUUAAUGGCUAAUGUUGAUAGAAAUAUUUUUGGGGGGUUAAGAUGAAAAAAAUCAAAACUUUUAUGGUUAUAUUUGUAAAUUUCCCAAGAAACUGACAUCAACGCUAAACGUGAAUCUGCAGCCCUUGCCUCAGUGUCUUUCAGGCGUUACUCGGGGUAGUUGAUAUACUGACGACCCCUUUAUCAAUUAAUAAUCGAAAUAGAUUAAAAUAUGAAUGGAUUAGAAUAGAAUGAGUUGGAAUUAAAAUACGAAAUGACAAUCAGAUUAAUUUAUUUUUUUUAAUUGAGGAAUUAGAAUUGGAAUAAAUUAUAUAGUUAUUGAUGUGUUUAUUUUAUUUUAAAAUUACAAGAGUUGUUGUAAAUUACUAAUAUGCCCUUAAUUUUUUAUUAUAAUUAUAAUUAUUUAUUACUACAUUUGUCAUAUUAUUAAUAUUAUAAUAAUAAUGAUUGUAACAAUUAAUAUUGAAAAAAAUUUAUUGUUAAUAAUAGUAAAUAAAAUAAGAAUAAAUAGGCAAUUAUUCACUGACCACGUGAUCUUUCGGACUCUUUCAAAAAUACACAAAUACUUUUUUCUUUGCAGAAAUCCUCUUGAAGUUUACAAAGUGUUUCAAUUGUUCACUGUCAUCUUAACUCUAUUAGAAUCUUGUUGAUGUCGUCAGGAUAAAAUUGUCAUUUUACCUAAACAUCCAAAAGGAAGUAUAAGAUGAAGCUCAACUUGGAGAAGUGUGCUUUCGGGGUUGGAUUCGGCAAAUUCCUUGGGUUCAUGGUGAGUGAUAACUCUAUGAAAUGAGAGUUAUCAUGAAAUUUUUAAGUUUAAAUCAAGACUACUCAGAGAGUAAUUGAUAUGUUUUAGUGCACUUUAAUGAUAGUUUGCAUUACAUUCAUUUUAAUUUAAGUUUAAUAAAGUUUAUGUGAUUUCUGAAUAAUUGUAUGCUUAGAACAUAUGUUUAAUUGUAGGUCAAUGGAAACUUGAAUUUCAUGGAAAAGAUGCUUUUGCAAUGGACUUAUAAAGAGGACAAACGAGCAUGGCUAUAGUAGAAUUGGAGCAAGUUUGGAACAGUGGAGUUGCUGUAGCCAUUACUGUAGCAACCAUUGAUGUAGCAAUCCUCGAGCAUUGCGAUCUGCAGUUUCCUAAUCUGAAGAAAAAGUGGCAUAAGAGAGAGAGCCAUCAAUUAAGAUCAAAAACAGAAAAGAACCAAGGAAGUAACAGAAUUCCUGAGCAGAAUUCAAGGCUGAGCCAGUUGAAGAAAUUUGCAGAGUCAAUUGGAAUUCACUCUUUCUCAUUCUUUUCUUAUUUACUUGUUAUUUAUUGAUUAUGAAGAUGUACUCGAUGGCUAGAAUUUGGUUGUUUAAUCUCCUUUCACAAAUUAUGAACUAAAUUCAUUUGUGGUUGAGUAUUAAACUAUCUUGAUGGUUAAUUGACUAAAUAUAGGUGUUGCUAUAUGUUUGCUACAACAUUUUGCUUUAAUAACAUUUAUUUACAUUCAUUAUUUCGGUUGACCACCCAUUUAAUGAUACAAGUUAAGAAAGAGCUAUAAAAGGGUCUAUCUUAUUGAAACAUAUUAGAGUAAUACUUGGUCUUAAAUUGGGUUUCCUAGAUUGAGUUUAACUUGAGACCAAAAAGGAUUGUACUUAAUUUAAGAUUAGUAAUGAACUAGAUAUAGGGAUUUGCCUUGUAGGGUAAAAAGAACAUAAAUGUGUAAUACUAUAUCUUACGUUGACAUAGUAACUGGUCACUGUUAGGUUGUAUAAAGAUAUAAAACAUUCGAACAUGCUACCGUUGAGGAUAAAGAUGGUUUCUGCCCAGUGCUGUAGCAGAUGCUGCAGCAACUGAGCUUGACAUGAAUAACACAGUCAACACCAUCAAGAGAGUUUAAUCACUCAACUACUCUAUUCUAAUUAAAUUUAAUUUCAUGUUUAAUGUACAAAUUUUAUUUAUUACAUUUUUAAUUAUUGUGAUUUUAUUUUACCUAGUCAUUUAGUUGUAUUAGUUGCAUUGAUUUAAUUGAUAACAUAGGUUGCUCUGUGAAAUUACUGUAGCAAGUCUAAUAGCAUCAAUCCCUAUGGAGACGAUCUUGGAUACUUAUCCUUAUAUUACUUAUUGUGUACACUUGUGCAUUGACACUAAUAGCAAUGGAGUUAAAAUUAGCAACAAAUUUUUUGUGCUAUUGCUGGGGAUUGAUUGUUUACUUUUCAGUUGUGAAAUCAAUUUUGACGGUGCUAAUCUUUGAUUUUAUUUUGAAUUGUUUACUUUGUUAACAGAUCACUCUUGCAUGUGAAAAUACAAACUUGUUGAAUUUCAAUUUGAUCCAGAGAUUGAAAGAACUACAAGGAGAUUGAGAAGAGAGCAAAGAAAUUCAAAAGCUGCUGUAGCAAUAGAUGACUUGCAAAACUUAGGAAACUUAGACCCUCACGGACCAAUAUAACCUGUUAAUGCUCAAGAAAGUCAGAAUGGGAAAAUUAAUCAGAGACCAUCAGGGAAUAACAAUAUUAGCUACAUGGAAAAUGAUAGAGACAGGGCCAUUAGAGAUUAUGCUUUGUUAGCCCCUUAAGUUAUACAUCCUGACAUUGUCAGACCUGAGGUAAAAGGUGCCAAUUUUGAACUCAAACCAGUGAUAUUUCAAUUAUUACAAACAGUGAGGUAAUUUAAUGGAUUACCAUCAAGAGGUGAGUGAUGCUUUUAAAAUUAUUGGAGCAUCACAAGAUGCAUUGAGACUCAGAUUCUUUCCUUACUCCCUAAGAGACCGAGCAAGAGUAUGGUUGAACUCUUUACCACCAGACUCAUUACAACAUGGAAUGACUUAGCUGAUAAGUUUAUGAUGAAGUACUUCACACCAACCAAAAAUACAAAAUUAUGGAAUGAGAUUACUUCUUUUCGUCAACUAGAAGAUGAAAACUUAUAUGAGGCUUGGGAAAGAUUCAAUGAGUUAUUCAGGAGAUGUCUUCAUCAUGGCAUUCCUUACUGCAUACAAUUUGAAACCUUCUAUAAUGGGUUGAACCCAAGCACUAGAUUGAUGGUCGAUACUUCAACAAAUGGGGCUUUGUUAUCUAAAUCUUACAAUGAAGCCUAUGAAAUUUUAGAGAGAAUUGCUAAUAACAAUUAUCAGUGGCCAUCACCUAGACAAAUUGUAUCAAGAGGAGCAGCAGGUAUACAUAAUGUGGAUGCAUUUACAGUAUUAUCAGCCCAAGUAACAUCAUUGACCAAUAUGGUGAAAGCUAUGACUACUGCUCUAUCGAAUGACAAUCAAGUUGCCGAUGUUUCUUGUCUGUAUUGUAGAGAGGGGCAUUUAUUUGAUAAUUGCCUAAGGAAGUCAACGUCAGUCAAUUAUGUGGGCAACUCCAAUAGAUAGAACCAGAACAAUCCAUAUUCCAGUACCUACAAUCCUAGAUAGAGGCAGCACCCAGUGGACAGAACAGACCUACUCAGCCAGUUGAUUUUCAUCAGCAAAAUCAAGGGUAAAAAAACACCAGCAAUGAUCAAUUCAGUUCUUUGGAGACCCUAAUUAAGGAGUACAUUGUGAAUAAUGAAGUAAUUGUCCAAAGUCAAGCUGUACCAUUGAGAAAUUUAGAAAAUUAAAUUGGACAGCUUGCCACAUUAUUAAGUAACAGACCUUAGGGGAGUUUACCCAGCAACACAGAAGAUCCAAGGAGAGAAGGUAAGGAAUAUUGCAAGGUGAUCAAAUAUUGCACAAACUAGAAGCCUCAGGUCGGCUGGUGAAAUGGGCAAUAGAGUUGAGUAAAUUCUAUAUAAGCUACAAACCCCGAGCAACAAUCAAAGCCCAUGCAAUGGUGAACUUCGUGGAAGAAUUUACAGAAUCACAUGUGGAACCUAGCCACAUUCAUAUUGCUAUAGGCAACAACAAAGGUCAAAUCUGGCAGAUGAUAGUGGAUGGAUCUUCAGGUGAGCAAAGUACUAGAGCGGGGUGGUCCUGGAGAGUCCAGAUGGAGAGGAAAUCUCCUACGCUGUUAGACUGGAGUUCAAGGCCACAAACAAUCAGGCUGAAUAUGAGGCUCUAAUUGCAGGGCUAGAGUUAGCUAAGGCGGUGCAGGCAAAUAAGGUGAAAAUUCGGACAGAUUCACAGCUAGUCGCCAACCAUAUUAGUGAAAUGUUCUAACCUAAAGACGAAAAGAUGGGGCAAUACCUGAGGAGGGUCAGACAAAUGAUCAAAAAGUUCGAGUCGAUGGAUAUUGUGCAAAUUCCAAGGAGUGAAAACUAUCGAGCUAAUAUCCUAGUUGGAAUGGCUGCUACAGCGGACUAAAAAAUGCCAAAAUCAGUCCCUAUGGAAGUCAAGUCCUCCCCCCAGCAUUGUGUAAAGUCUGGAGAUGAUGCAGAUAGAGCAAAAAGGCUCAUGGAUAGACCCAAUAAUCUCAUAUAUACUGGAUAGAGUGUUACCAGCAGAUAAAACGCAAGCAUGAAAAAUCAAGGGCCAGCGUCUAGGUGUACACUAAUUGAUGGGGUGUUAUACCGACGAGGGUACACCUUGUCGCUCUGCGAUGUCUGGACAAAGACGACGCGAACUACGUUCUAAUGGAAGUACAUGAAGGGGUUUGUGAAAAUAAAUCUAGAGUUAGAUCUCUUGCCUACAAAGCCUUAAGACAAGGUACUUAUGGCCGACGAUGUACUAAGAUGCUCAAGAGAAAACCAGGAGUUACAGAAGUUGCCAGAACUUUGCUAGUUUCCCUACACAGCAAUAAAAAAUACUUACUACUAUGACUUCACCAUGGUCGUUUACUCAAUAGGGAAUCAACCUAAUCGAGUCUUUGCCAAAAUGAUGAAGAGCAGUUACACAUGCUGUCGUGGCAAUAGAUUAUUUCACAAAAUAGGUCAAGGUAAAAGCACUCAGAAGAAUCACAGAGAAUGAUAUAACUGAUUUCAUGUGGAGAAACCUUGUCAGCCGGUAUGGAAUCCCAUACGCCUUGAUAGCGGACAACAACUAACAAUUUGACAAUCACAACUUUAGGGAGUUUUGUCAGAACUUUGACAUAGAGCUAAGUUCUGCUCCCCUGCCCACCCUUAGUCCAAUGGGCAGGUGAAAGUGGCCAACAAGGUUAACAAAAAAACUCCUGAAGACCAAACUAUGAGAGAAGAAGUGUGCAUGGGUUGAUGAGCUUCUAGGAGUGUUGUAGGUAUAUAGGACUUCUCAUAAAACCGCCACCGAUGAGACACCCUUUGCUGUAGCCUUUGGGCAUAAAGCAGUCUUGCAUGCAGAGAUAGGGGUAACCACGCACCAAACUGAGCACUUUGAUGAGAGUGAGAAAGGUGAAUCAGAGUACCAAAGAUUCGACCCAUGGUGUGUAUCCGGAUCAGGAGCCUACAAGCUUGCUCUCGCGAAUGGACAUGAGCUGAAACAACCAUGGAACGUAACACAUCUAAAAAAAUACUUCCAAUAAGGCCCAUUGGUAGCGAGUUAGAGUUAUUUCUGUUCAUUUCUGUUGUUGUUUAAACUUUAUGAUCAGUCAAUUUCAUGUAUGUCGUAUGCCAUGAUUAAUAAAGUUUGGAGGAAGUUCAUUCAAUUAAUUUAAAGAAAAAAAAGUUCGUAAGGUAAAUAAAUGCCUCAAAGUCUCAAAGCCUGCUCGAUGGUGAGACCAGAAGCCAGAUUUUCCAGACUCUGCUCUACCAAACGAUGACGAGCAGACAAUCAAAUAUUUCAAAAAGUUUCUAAGGCAGACAAAAGCUUCAAAGUCUCAAAUUCUACUCGAUGGCGAGACUAGAGGCCAAGUUUGCCAAACUCUGCUCGACCGAAUGAUGGCGAGCAGACGAUCAAAUAUUCCAAAAAAUUUCCUAAGGGAAAUAAAGGCUUCAAAGUCUCAAAUCCUGCUCGAUAGCAAGAUUAGAAACCAAGUCUGCGAGACUUUGCUCGAGCAGGCUACAAGAAAAACCAAGUUAUUCGUUAAUAAUCUAGUGACAAUGGCAACUAGCCUCAAAACUUGGCAUACAACGUUUACAAAAGAAAAUUAUGGUACAUUCACGAGGAUGAAGGAUCUAUAAGUAGAGCAGCUUUUGUUGGAUUUUCAAGCAGUAGAGAAUGAGGGGUCUGGCCAAUUCUGCCCGAGGGAGUGCUUGCUUCGAUCGGGGUUUUGCCUUUCAAGACCGGCCAUGAUGCAUCGACAGAAGUGCCUGAGCCCUUCGUUAAAUUGUCAUCAACUUCCUUUUCCAAGUUCUCAAUCUGAGUCUGGUGUGAAGCACAAAGUGAUUCCAAUUAAGACUCGUAGGAAGCUUUUUAUGUCUCCAAAUUCUUAUUGACCUUGCUCAGCUACUCCUCAAGGGUGAUCACAUUGGCCUGUGCAAGAGAUGUCUGCUCCACUAAUUUCAAGUUCUCGAGGGUGAGGUCUCUUGCUUUCUUCUCAAUAGCAUCAGCUUCGUUUUUAGUUGAUUGAAUAUUAUACUUCAUCUUGUGGUCAUAACGGCCAACUUUCACCUUGUAGUAGGUAGUCAUGCAACAUAGGUGGAAAACACUGAAUUGCAUAGCCCUAACUAGCUCACGAGGGUAAUGCCGUCAAAGUCCUCUAAAUCGUUUUUGUUCACGAGCUUAGAAAACUCACUUAUGUAAGGGCCAUAUGCUCUGGUCGAUCCUCAGGCAAUUGCGGUUCGGAUCUUGCUGGAGGAGGAGUGGUAACAAGACCAGUGCCGCUCGCAGCUCCACCAACUUCACCUGCCUUAGGACGGGGAGGAGGAUGUGGCAGCAUCUUCAGAGGGGAAGCUUUCCCUACAGUAUUGACCCACUUCUCAAGGGAGCAUAGUUGCUGCAACCCCCCUUUACACCACGAAAGCGAGGGCGUUUUCUGUUCAAAGCCCUAAUCACAGCAUCCUCUAUAGCAAUUCACCUUCGAUGCGGUAUUAGACACUCCAGGAACUUGCAACAUAGGCAGAGACUCUGUUAGAAAUUACUCAAUCACUUGAUCAGCUGGUGGUGUAAAACAACUUAAAUAAGCAGGCAACCUGGAACUAAGAAACGGAUGGGGACAUGGACAUUCUCAUCAUCAGUCGGCCACUUGACCCUAAGGACCCCCAGCAAAAAAGAAACUGCUUUUCUAAUUCUCACCACCUGUUAGGAGGCCAGUUAUAGGUUUCCUAGUCUUGGUACUUGACAUAAAAUAGUACCAACUAGCAUCUUUAAGGCUACUCUUUAAUUGGUAUAAGUGUUUAACCUCAUCAAUUAUAGGCUCACUCUGACCACAUCUGUCCCAAAGUACGAGUACACCAGAAAGUACCCUCUAUCCAUUAGGGUUAAGCUGACCAUGAGCUAAGUGUAAUCUACCAAGCAUCUGGACGAAGUAAAGCAGCAAAGGAAGCCUCAUCCCUUGUUUAAAACUCUCUAAAAAUAUAGCAACAUACCCCCUGGAAGGUCGAUUAGGGGUAUCCUUUUUCUUAAAAACCCUAAGGUUUAUGUCAUCAGAAAUCUUGUAAGUAUUUUGGAGGGGUUUAAAGUCAUCUACUGUGGUCGUACAAGUCAUGAGGUCAAUAGGGUAGUUUUCAGCCGGAGUCCUACCACCUAAUUUCCUCCUCUUUGUUGGUCUUACUACCUUUAGUGAGGAUGCUUUACCAAACUCUUCAUCUGGGUACCCGCUUAAGGUCUCCUCUGAGCUAGAAGAUUCGUCAUUGUUACUUUUGCUAGAUGAGGUAGAAACCUCAGGAGACAUCCUCCUAGCACUACUUCUAACACUAGAAUGGCCUACAAGCUCUAAGGGGAUCCUAGGGUCGAAAAUGGGCUCUGUGAGCAAACCAGGUAGGAAAUCCAGUUCGUCAUCAUCAAUCUUAAUUUCUUUUUCCUUGCCUUUUGACAUUUUCUAAGCGAUAUCCAAGAAGAUACAACUAAAUCCCUCUUAACCCUAGAAAAAAAUGAAAAAUAUCUAAGACAAGAGAGAAGAAGACCGUACCUAAAGCAGCGGCACCUCAAAAUCAAAAUGGAGGAAGUGACUUGAUAUUCGAUGGAGGAAAUAGUUGAGUCACCAAAGGGCGAAAGAAAAGCCGGAAAAAAACUUUCUUGUGAAGAUUAGGGUUCCCCAAGAGACACGGAGACCCCUAAUUUAUUACCAUUUAACGACACGCACUGCGAGGGUUCUUAACAGGCAGUUAAAAAUUUAAAUGAACGAGUGGAUUCCUGCCACAUCACCUGCUUUUAAUUAUGACGUGACUCUUUGGAUAAACAGCUAAUAGUAGCUUAAAGGAUCAAGUGGAUAAGGUGACCAGUCCUCAUUUCAAUGCCAAGAAGCCAAAGUGUGUUUUGAGCAAGAUAAGACUACCAAGUUUCUAGUGUUGAUCCAUUGCAUUAUCAGCACCAGAAACUGAGGGACUAGUAUUUGAGGCGUAUAACGACGCGACCAGCUACACUCGAGCGAGGAUUUCCUUUUUGUGGGCGAUGGGCUAUAUAGUGUCCGUGAGCAGAAGUGCUCUAUUCGACACCGAGGAGUUUUCUGCUAAACACCGAGGAUAUCUCCUGAUGGGGCCAAGGUCGGAAGACCCAGUCUAUGGCAGUUGUUAGAACAUGUGUCGCUCUCCGAGAAUCCAGGCACGAGGCCUAUUCAGCCACGAUCACAACGCCCGAGCAUCCAUGACCGGGAACUAAGGUAGAGUGGCAAACGUGGGUCAUGGUGACUAAAUUCUCAGGAGGGCUAUAAAAGGGGCUUGCAAAGAAGGUAAAGGGUUUAGACAUUUUUAAACUAAAAAUUAACCUAAGAGAAUUGGGGGGUGCAUCUUUAUUGGCGAGAAUUGGGAAAAUUUUUGAGAUUUUUCCAGUGUUUGAGAAAUUAUUACAGAGCCACGAGAUUGGUGGCAGGGUUUUUUCACAAUAAGCCCAGAUUGCUGACUUGAACGUCGGAGGGUUUACGUCGGGAAAACCCUCAGCGUUCUUUGACCAAUUUCUGUGUGUACAGGAAUUCACAGAGGAGGAACAGUGAGCCUCAUAGUUCUGCUUAUCAAACAGGAGCAGAGUAAAGUUAUCCCCUACCACUACAAAUUUAAGUGUUGAAGAGAGAUCUUGGUCUCGAACGAGCAGAUGCAAAAUCCCGUAUCAAUAAUAACAACAACAACAACAACAACAUCAUCAAUAAUAAUAAUAAUAAUAAUAAUAAUAAUAAUAAUAUAUUAACUUUGUAGGAUGGAGCUCUCGCAAAUCUUCAAGACACAAAAUGUGUUUGACCCCAUUGUUGUUAUUAUAAUUUCAAAAUCAUUUGUAUAUAUAAUAUUAGGGAAUAUGACAUAGAAAAAUUGAUGGUACAUAUGUUGCAAUAUUCUUGUUCAUGUGGCGGCACACUGAAGUAAAGCAUAAGCAGAGCAACAACAAAUGUAAUGAGAGAGCUCUCAUUAUGUAGAUUUUCAAUAGAAGUAAUGCAUAUUUCACAAAGGCAAUGGCCUUAUUUUGAAUGCUGCACCUGAGGGUUGACUUGAAUCUUCUAUAGAACUCAGGCAUUCUGUAAUCAUAGAGUAUAGCAUUUCAACAAAAAUAUUAUACAGGUCGUUCCUUUAUAUAUUUUCUGGGUACACAUACAGAAAUAUUAUUUUGGGUACAUUUCUUGCAGUAAAACCUGCCCAGUCUAGCGUUCUCGUAAGUUGGGUUUCUCAUUUGCAUGUUUUUUUCCAUUGGUUAAUUAUCACAAACCUCCACUAACAUUUAGCAUAUUCUUAGUUUAAUAGAUUAUAUUGGCGUAUUCUCAAAUAUAAAUUAAGCUGGUGAGGAUAAAAUCGUAAAAGCACCAUUAAUGAUAAAAAGAAACCAAGUAAACUUGAAAUUUUCAAGUUGUGUUUUGAAAUUGGUCUCGACUUUGUAAAUGUCCAUUGGGUAAAGAAGCAAAGAACAGAAGCAAGCUGUUCCCAGCACACAUAAGCAAGCUUUACGCAGCACAAAUUAACACCCACAAAAAAUGAAAAGAAAAAAUGGUCAUCUCUUUCCUCCAUUCGAAUUGAAGCCAUGAAACACAACAUCCCUUUCAUCUUCUCUCUAAUGCUUUGAUUAGAAAACUUGCUUACAAACGGGAGACCAUGACACUGAAUCCUGAGACGGCAAUACCAGAGACGACUGAUUUACGCCAACGGCGUGGAAGAAUACCAACCAGUGACUUUCGCUGUCGACCCACAAACAAUCCCAGUGUUUUCUAGCUGCGAAUGAGGUAUGAAUCAGAUUAUUUCCGUGCAUUUCAAUUUUGUCAGCUGACAUUAGGAGAUUUGGUUAAAAAAAAAAGAAUAAUGGGUCUCGAAAAUUUUUUGAGAGUGUUUUUGUUGCUUACAUUAUUUUCCAUCGAUUAAUGUUAGUUGUAGGUGAAUGAUUGUUGCAAAUGCAUGUUCGCUUGUGAUUGAUUGAAAAUGGCUUGUGAUUUGUUAUGCUGCCGUGUGACUGAUUAAAAAUGGCUCUGAAAAUUUUUCAUUUGUUUAAGGUACUGCUGUUGAUUAUUGAACCAGGAUUCAUGCUAGUUUUUGUUAAAUUGAAGAUGAGAUUACUUUUUAAGAGAUCUGCAAAACCUUCUCUACUAUAGAUUUGGCUUCUGGCAUACCUGGUUGGCUGGAGAUAAUUGUUUAUAUAGUCAUUGCUGCCCAUAUUAAUCAGGAAUAUUGAUUAGCAAUGUACUGGAUUAGUGAUUGGUAUAAUUUUGAAAAAUCAGUCGUAGAUGCAACCUGGUUAUGGUCUCAAAUAGUGUGAUCUGUCAAUUCCGUUUGCUCUGGCCUAACAACCUUGAAUCUGAGCUAUGCCACUAUACAAUGUCCUGACCCAAUCAAGCUUGUUAGCCAACAUCCAAAAUUGCAAUGUCUUUAGAUAAGUCCCGUCUUAUUUGUUUGAGUUAUAAUGAAAAUUGCAGUGUCUUUGGAUAAUCACGCUGAUGUUCACGUUAUUGACGAGAGGAACCUCCAGAUUCAAGGCCGGAGCUCCUUGUUGAGAAACUUUGCAUAUAUAGGAUUGUUGCCGAGUGGAGGAUCGAUAUGACUGGUCUUGUUUAGAAUAGGGAUGGAGAUUUUGCAUUAAGGCUUUCUUAACAGAUCAUUCUGCAAAUCAAGGUCCAUGUACAUCUCUUUAAACUCUUUGAUAUGUAUAAAGCAGGUGCAUGCUCUAUAUGUUACUUAUUGUAUCACAAUUAUUUUUCUAUUGCUUAAUAUAAUUGCAGUCCUUGAUGAAGUUGAAGACAACUUAUGGAGGGUAUACAAAGGCUCAAGAGCUUGAUCGCCAUUCAUUUUACACUUGGCUGAGCUACAGCAUACCAACUAGUGAUUAAUAAAGAGAAGGUAUGAAGGUCCUGUUGCUGGUGGUAUUAUCAAUCAGAAUUGUUAUUUUACUUAGUCAUAGUUACCAUGUAUAAGAUUCGUAGACUUUUUGCAUGUUUAUGCAUUCGCAUCAUCUUUUUGUUAAGCUAGAAAUGGUUGAUUUGUGUACUCAUUUGUAUCACUUGUAGCCCUUCAGGAAUAAAAUUUAAAAUUCUGUUGCAUCUCAUGUACUAAAUACUAAUUUUGUUGGCUUUAUGUAUGGGAAAUGGUUCAUUAUCUUAUUUCUUUGAUGCGUAUAGUGUGACAAUGUCUAAAGGUGAAAAGUAUUUAUAUCACUUGUGUAACACUGUCUAAAGUCAAAAAGUGUUUCUAUCACUUGUGUGAAAAACAACCUACUUUUUUUUCACUCUUCUUAUAUUGAAUAAAAGACAGACGCCAAGAUUGAACGAAAUUUGAUGCAGAAAGCAUAGCAAUUAGGCCAGUGCAAAACAACUUCCUUCUGAUUCUCUGAUAUUUGACUUAAAUCUUUUGUCUGUUUCAUUCAUCAAAGUCAUUUUGGAAAGUAGCAGGGGUGAUGUGAUAUUUUCAUUGUAUUCACAUCCCUUGGCACCAAAAACAAACAUGCUGGUACUAACCAACAAUUUUUUAUUUUCAGUAUACAAAUUUUUUUUUUCUAAAUUAGGGGUAUUAAGAAAAGGUAUACUAGCACCAGAGGAGGUAUUUGAGAAUACACAAAUACAAUCUAUCAAAUUGAGAAUACGCCAAAUCUCAGGAGUGGUUUUUGAUAAAUCCUUUUUUUCUUUUUCCUCCAUUCACUAUAGGUUCAAUUUAGGGUGGUUGUUAAGUUAUAUCAUUGUGUAAUAUAGAUCAAUUCAACAGUUGUUAUCAGUAACACAAAAGUAUAACGAACAAAAACUAAUUGUGUGUUACUGAUAGUAACUAUUAAAUUGAUGUAUGUUACAUAAUUAUGUAACUUAACAAGUUCUUCAAUUUAGACACGGUUGACCAAACUGAAGGUUUAGGUUGGUAAACGCACUAGUUUUAAUGUCAACAACCCAAGGGGCUUCAUGGUCCUCUGGGUCGAAAUCGCGUAAUUAUUAAUUCUCCUCCACUGAAAGUCUUUAUCAUCUUGGGACAAAUAAUUACAAAUUGACAUUAUAGCCGUGGAAAUUUGGAGGUGUAAUAACCGGAAAAAUAAAAAUCUCAAGAGACUUUUUAAAUAAAAAAGAUAACACCUUCAAUUUGCUAAAAGUAAUGGUAUCAUUUCUUGUAUGGAUAAUGGAUGAUUAGAUUUUGUUUUUGGUUAUCUGACGAAGGAUAUUCAGUUGUUCUUUAUGUGUUCAUAGGCAAGAGCAUGAGCAUAUGCAUGAUUUGAUAUAUGGUUCUUGCAUUUUCUAAUUAAGUGCUCUUUUUCCUUGCCUUCUUAGUUUUGAAAGAAAGAUGUGAAGCAAAGCAAACCCAGUGAAAUGUACAGAGAAACAGAACCAUCAGAGGAAAAACUAAAUAACAGAACUACAAUUGAACCAAACAAAAUCAAAUAAACGGACGCAACAGAUGCCCUGAACCUAGUAAUUACUCAAGAGUUGAGGAGUUGGAAUGAUUUGGUAUUCAUAUCUUCACAAAUCAUAUGCUUUAAUGCAGAAUCGACAGCUUUAUAUUAUUUUAUUCAAAAAACGAUAAAGCAGGAAAACCACAAUAAUCCACCAACUUUUGAUACUUGUAGGAAUUUUUUUUAGUCAAAUUAAGUUUCAUGAUGAAACAAGUGGCUCGUCCACACACUUGCACUUGCUUGAAUAUUUGUGCCGACAUUUUCAUAUGUGAUGGUACUUCUUAGCCAGUAGAUAUGUUGAAGUACUACAAAACAGAGUAUUUGAUGAAGUUUUGCUACAUUCGUAUCCCCUUUUUUUGUUGCAUAACUAAAUUCUUUAUAAACACAAAUUAGAAAGAUACAAAUAAUACAGUAGCUUGAAUUUAUAUGCUUUUAUGGUUAUUUGAUAAUCUAGUGCUGAUCAUAUGUGAUGAUAAACUUAGCUAGUAGUUUUAUAUUUGUUUUCGCAGUUUCCUUAGCGUUCACAUUUUGAUGAGUAAAUUAAGGAUUUCCAGAUGAAGUACAUAAUUAGAUGAAUGCUAAGGAACUGAAGUUUGAUUAAUUGAAAACAAAAAUAAUAAUGAACGUAAUUACGAAAAUGAACAAUGCAGAAGUAGUCCCUAUAGUAUUUCUAAAUUUUCUCUUGGGAUUUCUUAGUAUUCCUCAAUAUUUUAAAAAAAUGACAUGACGAUCUUUGAGUUGACAAAUCUUGGCCUGCUGCUUAGUACCCUUCCAACAUAUAAAGUACUAGAUGUUUUACUGAGAAAAUGACAAGAUCAUUUAUCAAAUUUCUUGCGCAUAUAUACGUAUGUAUAAGAGAAAUGAGAAUCAGUGAUUAUAAGACCUUGCAAUGAGACAAUAAUACAUCAUCAAAUCUAAAAAUACACAAGAAAUUCGGGACAUAUAUAUAACAAAAGACCUCUCAUUGAGUCAUACAUAUUGAGAAUGAAAUGUCAAAAUGCAGACAAAGAGCUUAUACAGAAAAUGAAUAAACUGUCUUUGAACUUCUGAUGGUCAAACAAAGGAAACAGGCAGGAUAUAACACACACUAUCAUAGAUGUAGCGACACGAUGAAGUAAAUCACAUGAAGAUGGAAAGGGGAACCCCUCACAGCAUAAAAUUUGAAUAGAGAGGGGAAAAAGGCUUCAUUUCAAAUGUUGCACAGAAGCAGAGUGACUUGAAUCUCCAUCAGUAUCCAGACAUUCUGCAAACACAGUGCUGAGAAUUUUAACAAGAAUAACAGACAAAAUAUUGUGCUUCUAUACUUGUCACAAAACUAGACCAAAUUAGUCCCCUUUUUGGUUUGUGAAAACUUGAUAUUUUUGAAAAUUCUAUCCAAUGCUUUCAAACAAUAUUUCCAUAAUAUAGUUGUUCAUAGCUAACCUUUGAUGGUGUAAGGAUUUGUUGUAGGCAUAAUGGGCUAAUUAUAUAUAUAUAUAUAUAUUUUACCCCCUGAAUGAUAUUCAGCUUCUUAAUUAUGUGUUCAUAGGCAAGAGCAUUUUCUUAAGUACUUUCGUUGCCUUCCAAGUUUCCAAUGAACAAACAGAGCACAAACAAAUUUAACGGAACAGUAACGAUGACAAUAAAUAAUUGGCAAGGAAAGAAAGAAAAAAGUUUGCAUGAUUUCAAGGAAUUAUAAAAUCUGAACUCUUUCAACAUGCAAGUGUUGCCCCUUUUGAUGAAAUUUCAUCAUAAAAUGCUUGCAAAGAAUUAUAAAAUUUUAGAGAACAAGCGAACUCUCAAACAAAAUACUCAAAUUAAAUUAAAUUAGACCAAAAGACACUCAAUGACGCAAAAUCUGCCAUUCUAAAUAAUUGAGAUGAAAUUGUGAAACAACCCACGAGAUCAAAUAAAUAAAAUAAGAAUUAAUUACCAGCUUUGACUUUCUUCUCCAAAUUCGCAACUCGAAGACAUAAGAAGCCAAUGAAAUUAGUCGUAACCCAUAAAGUACGACGACGACCCCGCCAAUAGCUGAAAAUAAAAUACUUAUUCAUCAAUUUAAACUAACUUUAUAACAAAUAUCUUAUCGAUAUUUUAUUUAAAAAAAGCAAAUUUGUAGAAUUUUUCCAUGGGAGAUAGAGAGUAAUAUGUAUAUCCGGACCUUUUUAGUAUGUAAUUGUUGUAUGGUUGUGUUAAGAUCAUUAUUUGCCCAACGCCGUUGAUCCUCUGACUCUCCAUACGAGACGUUUACUCUCGGAGGCGUGUUUGAUUCUCCUGAAGUGAAAGUCUUCAUCUUGGGACAACCAAUCACUUCCAGAUAUUCCAGAGAUGGGAAUUUGAAGGUGUAAUUGGCAGAGCAGAAACUUGUGAGACUGUCUAAAUCACACAGAAUCAACGCCUUCAAUUUGCUGAAAACAAUCUCUUCUAUGUCAACUCCUUCUUUGUCAUUUAUUACCACCUCUGUCAUUGCUCUGCAUCCAUAUACUUGCACUGUUACGAGUCGCACCAGAGUUUUUGCUGUGGAGGAUGUUACUAAGUGUAUCAAUUCCUUGCAACCGACAGCUACCAGUUUUGCUAGGUUCCGAAAAGAUACCGAUGAUGAUGGCAAUAGACUUAACAGAUUUUGACAAUGAUAUACUUUUAGAAUUUCAAGAUAUUGAAAAAUGGAGUCAAGUUUGGAGUCUUGUUUACAUAGCUGCUUCAGAUGAUUAAGGUGGCCCAGCUCUAUACAUUUUAUCAUUGCCAACUUCCUCAAACGGUUCUCUAAGCAUCCUUCCGUUGAAAAUACCUCUUCGUAUGAACAAUGAUACAGUAAGAGUAAUUCGAGAUUGUGAAAUCUCUCAAGUACAUUCCUGAUUGGAAAACAAGCCGAGUCAUCAUAAGUUAUGUCUAGUUUUUUAAGACUGCCAAAAAGGUGUUGUGGGAAAUCGGCGUCCAAAAUCAUCUUCACAUCUUUUCCGCUUAACGCCAGUGACUCCAAGUUGGGUAAGAUCUGAUCAUCGUCAAUCACGUAGUAACUAAUCAGGUCAGUUGAUGUUCUCUCCAAUAAUUUUACCUUAGAGUACUUGUUGUAGAUUAUAUAUAUUUUACCAAAAAAAAAAAAGAAAAGAAAGGAAAAAUUGAAUUAGUGAUAAAAUUCAUUCUAGGAUUUUUGUAUGUUAAUUUGAGAGAUAAGAGAGAAAUUAGAAAAAAAAAGGAUGAUUUAUACUGGCAUAAAAAUAUUUUAUUGCACAAUAAUAAAUUAUUAAUUUAUAUUGUAAGUGAUUAUAUAUGAGAAAACUGAGGAUUCUUUUUUAAUGCUAUACCUAAAAUAAUUCAUCUAACUAUUAAUUUAGUACAUUGAUCCCUUAGGCCAGACUAGCAAAAAUAUUAAUUUUGUAAUAAAAGUUUUCAAUUUAUUGAGUAUUAAUUUAUUGAUGUUUAGUUAUAUUUUACAAAGUCAAAAGUCGCUAAUGAUCUAAUUGAUAAGAAAUCUAGAAAGCGGCUUCAUACCUUUUUGAACAAGAAUAGGGGCCGUUGUGCAGGAAUACCAAGUUGAUCAUCCUCAUUAUUUUGUGAUGAAUCUGCAGCGAAUGUCUUCAAUUUGUCACAACCAGACACCACUAAAAUUUUUAGUGCAGGCCAUUCCGAAGUAUGCAUUCCAUGGUAUAAACAUUUAAGUUCCGGUAGCUCUUGGAGUAUAAGAGUGGUCACCCGUUGAAAGACAAAAUGAGGGGUCACAUGAUCUACUCUGUCUUCCGAAAUGAUCUCUUGCAAACCCCUACAAUUCACUAUCUCUACUUGUUGGAGAUGCUCAAAGCUUUGAAUCAUAGAAACUAAAAAUAUGUAUUUUAAUUUGUUACAGUGGCACACAAUCAAUCGUGUUAAACUUUGAAAGCGAGGAAGCAUGACCGGACGAUGAUUGUAAUGCCAAAUCUUGUCGACAUUAAUUUCAGAUAUCUCCAAAGCCUCCAAAUUAGGCAACCCUACCUAAAAAAAUAUUAAUUUCUUGUUAGAUCCAACACCCAUAUGAGAAGGACUUAUUGAAAUUUUCUUCUUUGAUUACAGAUUAAUAAUUCAAGUCAAAAUCAAUUUCCAACUGACAGCUGAGUAUGCAUUCUAAUUCGUAUUACUUGUUAAGAGCUCAAUUAGUGAGUGCGUGAGAUUCUUUUUAUCCUUUUUUUUUCACUUUCUUUCAAUUCUUUAAAUGAUUUAAUUAUUUUCCACGUAUGACAUCAAAAGAGAAUGCACAAUAGCAUAAAGAAAGUGUUAGCCUACGCACCUUGCCGUUGAAAAGCAGUGUUUCCAAAUUGAUUUCGUUGGAGCAAGAACUUGUCAAUUCCUCUUGCAGCCCUUGUCUGUUUGGUGAUGCUGAAGGAGUCUUCAAAUUACGGAAAAAAGUUGUAACCUCUGGAAGAUUUCCCAAACUCAAAGAUCUUAAUUGAGCCAACUCUAUCUUCUCAGCAGCAUUAUUGUUGUCAACAUCAGCAUCUCCCCCAGUAGCAAAAAUCUCUUUCAUCUUGCUGCAAUUAAUAACUGCAAUUCUCUCAAGUCUUGGAAGGCAUUUUGCAGUGGAGAGCCAGAAGAUAUUACUCAACUCAUUACAAUUUUCUACUUUUAUUGUUUUGAGUUUAUUGAAAGACUCUACUUUGAGUCGAUCAAUGCAUAUCCUCUCCAUGUUGAUCAAAUUGUGAAGAGUCAGUGACUCCAAAAGAGGAAAGGCAUCACAAGCUACCAUCUCCAUUGAGUCGACAAUACAAAAGAAGUCAGGAUUAUUUUGAACCCAGAGAAGCUUCAAUUGUGGAAAGCCCUUUGUGUCCAAAUCGAAAAGAACAUUUUUGACACCUUGUAGCUUGUCCAACCAUACGUAUUCAACGUUAUUGAUGGCCUGCAAUUUCAUGGAGCAAAUGUCCGUAAAAUCAGGCUUGAGCUUCAAUUCUCUUAAACGCUCAUGAUUAUGGUUGAUCAAAAAGUGCGACCGACUGCGAAACCAAUCUUUUGUAACAGGCAAGGAAGCCAUGAAUGACUCAUUUCCAAUAGAUAUUUUGAACCUUUCGAGCUUUCUGGCCAAAAAGCCUUCCUGUAAAAUACUGUCAUUUUUAACAUCAAUUUCUAGAGUGGUUAGCCAAGGUAAAAGCAUCAAUUCAUCAAGGCUUGCAUUACUUCUUUCAGUGUUGGCUCUUUCAACCUCCCAUUCAACGGAGCAAUUACCCAUACACAAUUCUUCUAAUCGGAUUAAGCUCGAUAUGACAUUUGGGGCAAUAACUUUUAGAUGGAAACAGUCUCUUAAAUCUAACAGCCUUAGCUUAGUCACUUGCCCUAGUGCUUUUGGUAACUCUACAAUAUCAGACCACACAAAGCUAAGGAUUUCUAGAUUUUCCAACUUUCCAAUAAUGGCUAUGUCCAUGUCUCCCAAAAUGCUUUGAUCAAGACAAAGCGUCGGAAGAUUUACUAGAAGAUCAAUUGAAGAUGGCAAUGACAAUAACCGCAUUCUAGUCAAAUCCAAAACCCGAAGCUUUUUUGUCCUUUCGAAGAAGUUCUCAGGAACAUUAGGCGCAACAAAAGAGUUCUUGGGAGACAUGAAUAAAAAUUCCAAGUUGUGGAGAUUCCAACACUUCGGGAAUGUCAUUAAUAAUACUAUCUUUAAAAAAAUUGCAGGAUAUUUUUUUAAUGCAUCUGCAUCUGGCCAUUUCCACACAUCCUCAUUUCUCACCGCAAAUGCAAUUUUGUCACGACGUGCAAUUGAAAUGGCAACAUCGCGAACAACAUCAUGCAUGGAAAAGAAUUUACUGCCACCAUCCUCAAGCAACAAACAAGAGUCUCUUAGUUGAUGGACCCAUGCAUGUAAUUUGUUAUGUGCAUCUUCUAGCUUAUAGACACUUUCAAAUGCACCCAAGCCCACGCUAUAUUUGAACAAGUCCAUAAUUGAAGUUGGUGUAAUUAGACUACACAGUAAAAAAGUUUUCUUGAGUUGCUCACCUCUUAAAUACUUGUAACUUAGCUCAAUUGUUGAGUAUGCCUCUACUGGUACUCCUUCAUCGAAGCUUGCCUCUGAAGGCGUUUGGAGUUCUUGUAAGACGUUCUUCCACACAGGCAGCUCUUUGUUUCUCAGUGCCUUUGCUACUGUGGUUAGGGCAAUAGGCAAACCUCCACAUGCCUUGGCUACAUUUGUUGCUGUAGAUUUUAACUCACGAUUUUCAACAUAAUUACCAGCCAUUAUCUUGAACAACCUCCAAGCUUCUUGCUCAUUUAGAAUGCCAAUCAAGAAGUUUUUUUCAGAUCCCAUACUUAACAAAACAUUACGAUCCCUUGAUGUUAAUAAUAACUUGCAUCCUCUAUGAUCAACGCCAAAAGGAAUUCCGACAGUCUCUAAAUCAAGAUAUUUCCAGAUGUUAUCCAGAAUCACAAGGAUCAUCUUCUCUUUCUUCAAUCGUUCAUAAAGUCUACUAGCUCUUCUAGAUUCAGCCUCCUCGGACAACUCCAGACCUAGUUUCUCUGCAAUUUCCCCUUGAAUCUUUUUUAUGUCUGGAGUUUGGGAAACCUCUGAAAAAACCACCUGAUCAAAGAGUUUCUCUUCACUGGCUUGCCUUGCAAACUCCUUCACCAGUGUUGUCUUUCCAAUGCCGCCCUUUCCGUAUACCCCAACGAUGCUGACAUUGACAUCAGUCAAUGCAUCUUGUAUAGACUUCAGAGUAGAAAGUCUUAAUUUAAAGGCCUCGUAACCUUUGUUAGACUUUAGCCAUACCUCCUCCGCAAUGGUACGGUAGAAAAUUCUAUCAUCAAAUCUCCUAGCUUCUUCUUUGAGUUCAACAAGGGCCUUCACCUCUGUUUCUGCUUUCUUGCUAAGCUGAUAGCGGGUCUUCAAAUUAGGACACAAGCCCUUGAAACAUCGCUUACUUGUUGUCUCCCCAUCUUCAAUGAAUUUGGCUGCCUGCUCAAUGGUGUUGUUCGCACUAACCAGCCAGUUCUCAACCUUCUCUUCAAUCUUUUCUCCUUUUCUUUCAGCCUCAGAAACUCUGUGCUGAAUGCUCUUACUUUCAUCCUUGAGCUUGUCUAUUUCUGCCUUGAGAUUCUCAAAGUUGGCUUUAUAGUUUCGCAAAUAACCAAGUUGGCGUUCUGUUGGAGGAGCGAAGCAUUUCACAACUUCUAACAGAACAGUAACAAUGCUUUCCACCAUCUUCGAUCCUCUUUUUUUCAAAGUUCCGAAAUGAAAAUAAACGACGAGCGAAAAACAGAGAGAAAGAGGGGCAAAAAAAAAAAAAAAAAAAAAAAAAAAAAAAAAGAAAAUGAAACAACAAAGAUGACAAGUGUAUCUGUUUGUGGAAGCGGAGAAAUCAAAGAAAGCUUAAAAACUGUUGUGAAUCUGGUGAGAAGAUGGAAACAAGGAAAAGGUUUCUAGUUCAAAACUGAUUGAAUUGAUAUAAGGAAUGAUUUAGAUAAUAGAGGAAAAUUGAAUCAGUCAAAAUAACUUAAGUAUUGACCAGAAGAAAGAUGCAAACAAUAUUAGAGACAACAACCGCGCUAUUGACUGGUAAUAGAGAUGGAGAAAAAGAAAAUAUCUUCACACGGUGGAAGUACAAAGGGUAGAUAUGGAACCAAACAGAGACAACAACAGGCCACAACUAGAUUGGGAAUGGAGAGAAACAAAUUAACAAAGACUGGAGAUUACAACAGAACAGAUGCCAAGAGAAAAGGGUUUCUUCAUCCAGUGAAAUUCAAGAGAGUUGACAGCAAAAGGGAGCACAUGUGUUUCUUGAUUGAGAACGAGUGCAAAGGAUGACUUUUUAAUGAGGUUCUGAAGCUGACGAAUAACGAUUUGCUAAAAUUUUGAGAAAGUUAUAUAUUCCGUAACUUCAACAAGUGAAGAAUAAAAGAAUAAUAGUUCGUCAUCUUCACAAUGAAGAUCAUGGACGAGAUUAAAAGCUAAAACUAGUCCAUUUGAAAAGCCAAAGUUCAAGUUCCUUGGCUAAGUUCAGAAGUGAAGCAAAGAAUAAAUAAAUAAAGAUCAAGGGAUGGGAAUAAAGUCACCCCCAGACAGUUGCAGAAAGAUUAUUAUUUGGUAAGCGUAGUUGAUUAUUAGUACAAAACAGAGUAGGUGAAACACAUCCUUUCUAUUUAGACUGAUCAGCAUCUAAAAUUUUAUGAAUUAUGAGUUGCAUUUUAUUUUGUACAUUCUGUUAACACAUUUUAAUUUAGCCAAUUUUGCAAUAAAUGUUAUUGAUGUAUUAAAUUGCAACAACAAAACACAAUUAUUGGUUUUAAAGAAUGAAAAAAAAAAUACAAAAAUAGAAAAUGAAUUGAAUUCCACUCAUCGUCAUCUUGGCAAAUCAAGUCAAAAAAUAAAAAUCCAUAUGCUUUUGUUAAAGUUAAAAGCUACAUAAAUAAUAUCACAGAAGCUUCUGCUAAGGUUCAUGUGAAGUCACAGCUUUGAUACUUGUAAUACAAGGAGCACGGAGAAACCAUAAACUUCAGUUUAGGUAUAUACAUUGCUUGUCUUUCAAACUUGAAUUGAUAAGGGGGAAAAAAAUAAUACUAAAGCAAACAGAAGGAUCAUUUAGUUGACAAAAUUAUUAUUAUUUUGAAAUUCGGGUCAUUCAGUUACUUUCAUUUCAGUUUCACUUCUGAUUCAAUUUAACCAGUUAACGUUGACAAAAAUAAAAUGCAAAUAUAAGGCUAAGGCUGCUAAUUUGAUGAACUAAUUGUCUCAGGAACCAAAGCAUCUAUAAGCAUGCAUGGGUGGCAACACCAUAAUUACUCAAGACUGGAGGAGUAAAAAGAUUGGUGAUGAUAAACAUUAAAUUUUAGGAAAAUCAUUCACAAAUAUGCUUUUAUAAAAGUUUUGUUGGUAAAGUUCGAGAAAUGCAUACAUGUCAAAUUUCCAUUUCUUGUGAGCAUUUCACCAAAUAGCUGAUAUGCAUUAAUAACUCCUAUCCUAUACUAUUGGCCAGUAGGUUGUUGCUGCUUCCCCAUUUUUAAUGAUGCGAACGUCUCAUACUUAGAAAUAAGGGCGGAGCCUGGAGAUUGAUUUAUAAGAUAAUCUUUUGAAUAAAAAUAAAAACAAUUACAGAUUUCAAAUGUGAGAAAAAUAAAAUUGCGUUAUAAAAUUAAUCCCACUAAGAAAGUCGUCUACGAAAUUGCCACAUUAAAAGAAAAUUUUUCCAUAAAUUAAAAUAAAAUUAAAUGAAAACUAUUUUUCAGUAAAGUCAAUUGCCCACGCUAGGCUAAGGCGUUUGUUUAUUUGUUUGUUUGUUUUUAUAAUCUGAAUAGGUAUAAAUUUUUUGUAAGCAUGAAUGAGCUGAGUACAAAUAUAUGAAUGAUAUAUUUAUUUUUCUUUUUCUUAAUACCCAAAUAUAAGUGACAUCUUAUUUAUCUUAAAUAUGGUUAUUUGAUAUUUAUAUUUUUACAAAUAAAAACAAAAAAAAGUAGUUAGAUUUUAUAGUUUAAGAAAUAAAUAUAUUUUAUAAAAAUAUUUUUAGAAUAUAUAUUUAAUUCUUAUUUAGACUUUUUCCUAUUCAAUAAAAGUCACAAAAGUUACUUUUUCUAUUCAAAUGUAAAUGCUUAAAAAUCAGAUAUAAGUCACAAAAAAAAUAAAUUUUAGAAAAAGUCAUAAAUUAAUAAAAUUUCAUAUAUUUAACUCCCAAUGCAGAUCCGCCCCUAUCAGUGUUAGGAAAUUGACUGGUGAAGUAGGUUCACAGCUAAAAUGAAAUUGGAAGAAAAUGAAGAACAAGCACAUAGAGGACACCAAAAAUUACAUGGUUCGACUUUUAGCCUACGUCUACGGGUAAAGACAAAAGGAUGAAACUUUACUGGUGAAAUGAGGAUUACUAGUAUUAUAAUAUUUUGUUUCACUUCCCAGAACCCCAAUCCACUCAAUCUCUUAAAACACUAAUCACUCAAGAGCAUUAAAACUCUUAGUCUCUCACUCUAGAAUUGAAGAAGAAAAGAAUGAAAUGCAGGGGUGAACCCCUCAUUUAUAGUUAAAAAUUUGGGCACUAUUUAUAUUUUUAUACAUUUUUUUUAAAUUAAAAGUUUGAACUUGACAUUCAAACUUUGAAUAUCAAAAGGUAUUGGUCACUCUUCUAGAAAAGUGACAUUGACUUUGACAUUCUCCCACUUAGAAAUUUGAUUGAGAAUCAAUCAAUCUCCACACCAUCCUUUCUGCUUCGUCGCUAUCAUGUUGCUUAUGUCUCUACUAGGCCAUAAAAUGAUAUACUCCAAACAAAUUUAUCAGCAUUGAUAGGCUUGGGCAAAACAUUUGUUAAGUUCUCCUUGGUAUCCACUCUUGUAUCUUUCACUACUUCACGAAGAAGUGAUAUUGUACUCCUAUAUUCUUUGUCCUGAAAUAAAAGGUUGGAUUCCUUGCAUUCUAACUAUCACAAACCAUAAAAAAAUUUAUGCCCAAGCUCCUUCAGUAACCUUUGUAUCCAAAUAGCCCUUCCAAGCUUGUGUAGCUGCUAUGUAAUCUGCUUCUGUUGUUGAUAAAGCCACAAUGGUUUGCAAUUUUGAAAUCCAACUAACAAUUUCGCCUUCUGGUGUAAAUACUUAGCCAGUAGUGGGUUUCCUUUUAUUAAGAUUUUCUGCAAAAUCUGAAUGCACAAAGCCCUUGACAGUAAAUUCUAAUCCUUCGCAGCAUAAUGCAACAUCUGAUGUUCCUCUGAUAUUUCUCAGAAUCCUCUUAAUAGUCUUCCAAUGUUCUUUGCAAGGAUUCGCUAUGUAUCGACUAACUGCUCCCACUACUUGUACAAAUCAUAGCAAACCUUAAAUUUUCCACUGCUGAUGCAUACAGUACUCAAGACAUCUCUUCUUCUCUACUUCAUUACUAGAUGAAUACUUAAGAAUAACUUGAAAUUAAUAGGAAGCGGGGUAGAAAGCCAAAUCUUCUUGCUAUUACUAUCUCGGUGAAUUUGCAUCCCUAAAAUCUUGUUUGCUGGUUCUAAGUCUUUUAUUUCAAACUCCCUAGUUAACUGUGCCUUCAGUUCUUGGACUCGAUCUUUGUUGGGGCUUGCUACCAAUAUGUCAUCCACAUACCACAGUAGAAUGAUGAAAUCAUUAUUAUCAAACUUGUUGUAAUAUGUACAACAGUAUGAAAUGAUUCUAUUGUAUCCAAGGUUUAUGAUGAAAGGAUCAAUUCUUUUAUAUCAACAUCUCGGUGCAUGUUUGAGAUCGUAUAGAGAUUUGUUCAACUUGCAAACCAAGUGUCCCUUUUUAGUAAAACCUUCUAGUUAGAGCAUAUAAAUCUUUCCUUCAAGUUCUCCAUGAAGAAAUGAAAAUUUCACAUCUAACUGCUCCAAAUAUAGGUCAAAUGUAGCACACAUCGACAAGACCACUCUGACUGUCCUGGGUCAAAUCAUUGGAGAAAAUAUCUCAUUGACGUUAAUACAUUCUUUCACCACCAAUCUUUCACGAUAUCGCUCCACUAGGUUAUUACCAUCACGUUUGAUCUUGUGAACCCAUUUGCAACCAAUGGUUUUUUUUUAUAUGGUAGUAGUACGAGUUCCUAUGUCAUAAUCUUGUGUAGAGCCUUAAUUUCUUCCUGCAUUGCUAUCAUUCACAAAGUAACAUCUGAGCUGUUUAAAAUUUCAUAGAAAGUUGAUGGCUUUCCAUUCUCUAUUAAAAGACAGUAUGCAAAAUUGAUAUAUGUGACAUAAUCCAAAUGCCACACAUACAUUUAUCUAUCACGAGUUGACCAACAAACUUUUGGGGCCUCAGACUUGAUUGGUUCUUGUUCUCAUACUUUGGAUGAUGCUUCAAAAAAAUCUGAAUCUUCAUUUUCCAGAUUAUUUUCAACAUAUAUUAGCACAAUCUCUAAAUUUUAAUAGUGCUAUCAUCCAUAUCUCUCUUUUGCAUUUGAUCUUCUACAAAGACAAUAUCUCUGCUAAUAACGAUCUUGUGGGCAUUGAGGUCCCACAGAUAAUACCCUUUCACUCCAUCAAUAGAUUCUAAGAAGAUACAUCUCUUGGAUUUUGGAUCCAUCUUUAAUCUCACUUGGGUAUCGUAUAUCACGUAAAAGGACAUCAAAAUGCCUGAGAUGAGAGUAAUCAGUUGGCUUUCCUGUCCAUUUUUCCAUUGGAAUCUUCAACCCGAUUGCCUUGAAUGAUGACCCACUUACCACAUAAUAAGUAGUUUUUGCUACUUCCGCCUAGAAUGAGUUGGUAGACCAGCAGUUCUCAACAUAACUCUUAUUUUUUCUAUAAGAGUCAUGUUCUUUCACUCUACUACUCUAUUUUAUUGAGGAGUGUAUGCCACUGUGAACUAUCUCUAGAUACUUUCUUACUUACAUAUGCAAGAAACAUGCUAUAUGUAUACUCUCCACCAUUGUCUGUCCUCAGGCACUUGAUCCCUUGCCCUGAUUUAAGUUCAAUCUAUUCUUUGAAUUCUUUGAACAAUGGAAAUACAUUUGACCUUUUCUUGAUUGGAUACACUAAAUAUCUCCUAGAAUAAUCAUCAAUAAAAGUCACCAAAUACUUUGCACCUCCCAUAGAUAUAUCAAUUGAUUCCCAAACAUUAGAAUGAAUCAAGUCUAAAAUACAUUUACUUUUGAAAGUGGAUUUGCUAAACUUUCAUCUAUGUUGCUUCCUUGUUUCGACAUGUGGCCAAGUUUAAGAUGCCACAUCAUCGCUGAAUUUUCUCUAUUUGAUGUGACACACACAAAAGCUUUCUGUAGUGUUUCCAUUUAAGCAUGAAUAGAUUAGCACCGAUCUUUUCCACCUUCAUUAAUGCAAGUGUGCCUUUGACUAUCUUUAUGAUCCCAUUUUCUACAUGAGUUUUGUGCACAAGGCUAUCUAUUUGUCCUAAAGACAAGAGAUAUUUUUCAAGUCUUUGACAUGUCUUACCUUCUCAAUUGUGCGAACCAUACCAUUAAACAUAUUUAUUUUGACAGUACCAAUAUCAAUGAUCUCAAAGGCAUGAUUAUCACCUAUGUAUACAGAUUCUCUUGAAAUAGGUUCAUAUUUGUGAAAUCAUUCUCUUGGAGAGAUCAUGUGCCAAACAACUAUUAAGUCUAUAAGCCAGACGUCGUAUAGUGGUUUUCUGCCUUCUGAAGCAGUUGUUGCCUUACUGUAGAGAAUUUUGCUAUCAUACGAGGUACUUACUACAUACCCUUGAGCAUUUGAUGACUCGGGAUCUUUACCCUCUCUUCUCUUCUAGUUGUUCCAAUACUCUUCCUUGACAUGCUCUUUCUUGCCACAGUUGUUGCAUUUAACAUUCUUCUUACUUCUUGAUUUCGAUCUACUGUGAUUGUGGCUCUCACUAGGGCCACGUUCCAUGGAUCUUCCUUUCAUCAUCAAUAGCGCUUCUACUUGCUGCGAACUUGUCUGUCUAUCUUUUUUAUUUUUUGCUACUCUCCUCAUUUAAUACGGAGGCUGCCAUAUUGUCAAAGACUAACUUGUUUGCUCGAUUGUUAUUAGUUAGAUUAAUGACGAAUUAAUCAUACGAAUCUGGUAAACCUUGAAGUAAAAGCUCUACAUGAUCAUUUUCCUCUAUUUUAUGACCCAACGUUGUAAGUUAUGAAAAUAAAGUCUUUAAAGUGUUGAUAUGGUCGAUCACUGAUGUAGAUUCCGUCAUUCGAAGAGUAUAAAGCCUCCUCUUUAAAAAGAUUUUAUUUUGUAGUGAUUUGACCUCGUAUAGUCUUGUGAGAGUAAACCAUAUUUCCUUUGCUCUCUUUUACUCUACCACAUUGAAUAAUACCUUAUUUGAAAGUGGUAUGUGUAGAUUUGCAAUGGCAUUAUUGUCUAUCUCAUUCCACUUGUCAUCAUCAGUUAUCUUUGUGAGCCUCUCUUCAAUUGUUGCCAAGCAAUUACUCUUCCUCAAUACAACCUUCAUCUUCAUUUUUCAUGACGAAAAAUUAUUUUUGUUGAACUUCUCAAUUUUGUAUUUUUCCGCCAUCACUGUUCACCACGAGCUACCUUUGCUAAGAUCGAUUCCUACCAUUUCACAUGAGCAGUAACUGUAUAUAUGAAUAAAGUGUUGUAUACAGAAACAAUAUCAUAUACAUGAACAGUACAAUAUAUGUAAACAGUAUCUUGACCCCAAAAAAUACAACCCGAAAAUUAAUUUGUGAAGUAGGGCCGCGACUAAAAUGAAAUUGGAAGAAAAUGAAGAGCAAGCACACUGAGGACACCAGCAAGCACACUGAGGACACCAUAAAUUAUUUGGUUCGACUUUUAACUUAUGCCCAUAGGUAAGGACAAAAGGAUAAAACUUUACUAGUGAAAUGAGGAUUAUAAGUAUUUUAGUAUUUUGUUUCACUUCUCAAAACCUUAAUACACCCAAUCUCUCCAAACACUAGUCACUCAAGAGUAUAAAACUCUUACUCUCUCAUUAUAGAACUAAAGAAGAAAAGAAUGGAAUGAGUGAAAUGAGGGGGUGAACCCCUCUAUUUAUAGCUAAAAAUUUGGGCACUUUUUAUAUUUAUUAUUAUUAUUAUUUCAAAAUUUAAAGUUUGAACUUGAUAUUCAAACUUUGAAUAUCAAAAGAUACGAGUUGUUCUUCUAGAAGAACGGCACCAACCUUGACUCUUAGGCAGACCUUUAGAGCUUUAAAUAAAGAAAAAGCUUUUAAAAAUGCCAUGUGUACUUGAUUAUACAAUAAUCUCCACCACAUAGAAUGAUUUGAUAAAAGAAAUUUUUUAUUUUUAAUUUUACUUUUAUCAGGCACGGUGCAUUUCCCCUUGGGCUCAUAUGUAAGGAUGUCAAUAAGAUGGGAAGGAGAGAGGAUUGAUUUCCCCAUACUCAUCUUUAAUACUCUGUCUAUCUCUUUGUACUCUAGACAUUUCCUUCAAAAUUACUUGAAACGAGGGGAUGGAUGUUUCUAAAUAAUACAAAGGGAUCUCUUAUGGCAUCCGAUCUCUGAUUAUUUAAUUUCUUUUUUUUCUUAAUUUAAUCAUCUUAAAGUAAAAAUAUAAAAUCAUAUUAACACAAAAAAUAUCAAAUUAACUAAAGUGAUUAAAAUCAUUUCCAUCAAAUUAAGUCAAUGCCAUCAAAUUAGAAGAUAAUCUUUGAACUAAUUAAGCAAAAGUAAAUCUUCAAAGUUAAACUCAUCCAUAAAUGUCAUAUAGUAUAAACCAUCAAUUAAAUUAUCUUUGUCAAUUUUAAAGUGUUUAUAUUUACUUUAUAUUGGCUGUUAUUUAUAUUAUUUUUAUAAAUGUAUUAUGAUAUUUUUUAUUUACAUCACACUAUUGCAAUUGAAAUUUUAAAUGUAUUUACUAUAAAUUUGAAAAAAAAAUGAAUUAAAAAUAAAAACUAAAGAUAAAAAUAGAAAAAUGUGGAGCCAAAUAAAAUAUUAGGGCAAACACUAAGUUAUAUUUCAUGUAACUUACACCCACACAUAUUAAUUUAUCACAGUCUUGUCUCCACAUAGAAAAAUUAGAUCUAAGAUUAUCAAACUCCCGAAUGAGGAAGAUCCCUCGGGGCCAUCGUCCCUGUGGAAAUUUCUGCAUCCCUGCAGUCUACAACGCCUAAUAAUGAAUUGAACGGUUGAAAUCCCUCUAAAUUUUUGAUAAUUUCUAAUCGCCCCUCCAUAUUUGAUUGAACAUCAAAACUAUUGAGUCCAAAUUUAUAACUUUGAUUUAUCUUCCAUUCCAUAGUUUUCAAGUUCUCUCUCUCUCUCUCUUUUAAUCCUUUUUACUGCAACCACCAUCAAAGCCUAGUAGUUAAUAUGUAUGCUGCUUUGCUUUCAAAAUCGGACACUACUGGUAUUUAUGGUUUUUAUUCUUUAUUUGACACAAAAUUUGGCGAUAUCUCCGCGGAAAAACACUACUGGUGUAUUCAAUUUUAUCCGGUAAUGAUUAAAUUGAUUAUUACAUGAACCGUAACUUCGCCAAGCCCAAAAUACAUAUUAAGUUAUAAAGCGUGGCACUCAUUAUUUUUCGCAAAAAGUUUCGCCCAAAAUACAUAUAUUUUUUUAAUUUUUUCUGUGAAAAAAACUACUGUUAUAUUCAAUUUUAUCAUUAAAGUUGUUAGUUACAUGAACCUUAAAUUAACACAAACCGUAACUUAGCCAAGCCCAUAAUACAUAUUUCAUAUUUGUAUGAAAUUUAAAGUUUUUCCACUUAUUAUUUUUCGCUAAAAGUUUCUAAAUUGUAUUGUAGUUUGAACUUGCCCAUCAUUCAAUUUUUUAACUCCACAAUUAUUUGACCUUACCAAGCUUGAAAAUAUCCUUCCAUACAUUUUUAAUUUUCUCCAAGUAUGAUGAAGAUUUAAUCAAGAGCCUCCGGGAUCUUAAAGUGCAAGAAAGGUCCGGAAAAUUUUUAAAACCCCACUGUUUAAAGUUUUUUUGGACUUUCUUGCACUUUAAAAUCUUGAAUUGAUAUAUAUAUAUAUAAUCAUUAUUAGGUGCUAGUGUUCUCUUUUUUUUUUUAAUGCAAACACCCUUUUAAGCCGUAGGGUUUAAUAACAUUAAAAACUAACUUUCAACUAGCUCUCUUAAAUUGUACGGCUUAAAAGCAUGUUAGUAUGAAAAAAUGAACACGUCUGUACCAAAAAAGGACUAUAUAUACUAUUUAUUUUAUAUAUACAUACGUGCGCGCGCUCGCAUAUAUAUAUAUAUAUAUAUAUCAUUUUAAUAUAUUCCAUUACUUUAAUAAUCAAUUUAAAAUAGUUUGUGAUAUUUUCAGCUAUUUAUUUAUCUACUUUUAGUUAGUUAUUUACACCGAAUGAAGUGAUAGGGUCCAAAUUUUAGUAUCCUUCUCAAUUGUUUGGGGUUAGUAAAUACUAAUUAGCUUAUUCGUCCCGCACAGCCGCGUAAAUGCUGUUAGAUUUCGGAGAGAUGCUGAGGAUGGUACAAGAUUUAUCAAAUUGUGGCGACAUUUUUAUACCUUUAGAAUUUCAAGAUUUUGAAGAAAUAAAUGGAAUCUGUUUUCCAUAAGUGCUCCACUAUCCACCAGGAGGAAUUCUAAAAUACAUUACAGAUUAGUAAUUUUUCAGAAUAAAUAAACACAUGUUAUAACAUUAUCUACUUAUCGUAUGAUUGAUAUGAUACUUCUGAUAUAUUUUAAAAUUUUUAAUGCACCAAAGUUCAUUUUUAGCUUUUAAGGUUUUUAUGUGUGAGCCUCUCAGCACGUUACCCAACCUCCGCACGUGAAAAUAUUUCUAUGUACGGUUACAAGCUUUUCCAGAUUGUGAGUAUUCCGAAGCAAUCCAACUUGAAAAACAGCUGGUUCGUAGAAAAUGACAGUUUACGAAGCUGGCCCUGCUGCCAUACAUAUGAUGAAGAAGACCAUUUUGCUUUAUGUCAAUUCCUCCAAGUUGAAAUCUUUCUCGGUCUGGGACACUUCCAACACAUAAAGUACUACUAGGCUAGAUGAUUUUAAAAAAUGUCAAGGUCCUUUAUCAAAUUUCAUUUGCAUUCAAGACCAAUCCCCUUUGAUGAAAAUCAAUAAUUAAAGGCUUUCCAAUGAGAAAUUAUUACGUCUUCAAAUCUCAAAAAACGCCAGAAUAUUAAUUCGCUACAUAUAAUCAAGAUAUCUCAUUGAGACGCAUUAAUAAAAAAUGUCAAAAUGCAUAGAAAGAGCAGACACACGGAUGAUGAAUUUACUCAUCUUUAGUAGUAUUUGAACUUGAGAGACAGAAUGAAGUACAUGUCAAGAAUAUCAUAAAGAUGGAAACCGGAAGUCCUCCGCACAUAAACUUUGAAGAAACUGGAAAACGACUUUAUUCCAGAUAAUGCACACCAGAGUGACCAAAAUUCUCUUCAGUAACUAUAGAGAAAAUAUUAUUUUGCAUGCAUUUCACGUAACUGGAUCAAACUACUCCCCUGUUGGUUUAUCAGACCACAUUUUUAUGGUGCAAUAUAAACCAUCUUUUCAAAACACUUCUACAAUGUGAGAAACAAAUGAUUUUUAUAUAGUUGUUCAUAGCUAACUUUUGAUGGUUUAAUGAUCUGUAGAUUUUGUUUUAUGUUAUUCAAGGAAAGAUAUUGGAUUGUUCCUAAGAGUUCAUAGGCAGGGGCAUAUAUGCAUGAUUUGAUAUAAUUCUUGCAAUUUCUAAGUACUUGCUCUUUCCAUCCCUUCUAAGUUUUGAAAGAAAGGUCGAAAUAAACAGAGAAACAGGACAAACAGAAGAAGACUGAAUUAACAGAUUAGCAAAGAUGGCAACUAACAAAUGGAAAAGUUCUCUUGUCAUCAAACUAUAGCAAACAGAUGACACCAUUACCAUAUAUCUUAAUGAGUAGAUUGAUUCUAAACAUAAAUGUUAGGAUACAUUUGGUUGUUUAAUAGUUUGAAAUAAGGAGGAUGAGAUGGUUUCCACAUAAAAGUGCUGGCCCUUUCAAUGACAUUUUCAAGGAAUUAUAAAAUUCAAAAUUAAAAAAAAAAUAGCACAUUAUAAAGCCACACCGUCAAAAAAAUAAAUAAAUAAAUAAGUGAAGAUCAAACUAAGUCACUAAGACCUUUAAUGAUAUAAAAUAAGCAUAUAAAUCUCAGAACAAAACAUUAAAACUCAUUCUAAAAGUAAAAAUAAACUAGUGGUGUAUUCCAAACAAUUUAGAUGAAGCGAUAAAACAAGCCAAGAAAUCAAAUAAAAUGAAAUGAAAUUGAAUUACCUGGGACUUUGUUUUUCAAAUUCACAACUCGCUUGUAAUUAAAGUAAAAUGCCAAUGCCAUUAGGACAUAUACAUCAUUGAAUAAGAUGAGGACCCCUCCAACAGCUGAAAGUAAAAUUUUCAUUCAUUAGUUUCAAUUAAAAGUAAAGCACACAGAUUUGCAGGGAAGCAAGAGAUUUAAUAAAUUUAACACCAGCAAUUUAAUUUGACAGGACUUCCAUACAGUAAUGAAGUCAAAAACUAAUGAUUAAUGAAUUUUUGUAAUUGAAUGAAUAAGAUUCUCUGAUUUUGGAUAAUUGAAUGAAUAGGAUUCUCUAACUCUUGUGAAAAUAUCAAUUUUAAAUAGGGUAGAGUUUCAAGAAUUAAGCACAUAUGUAUCCCAAGGCUGUUGAUCAUCUCUCUCUCCAUAGUAGAAGUUUACUCUCAGAGGCGCGUUUAAUUCUCCUUUAGUGAAAAUCUUCGUCUUGGGACAACCAAUUAUAGAUAAAUCUUCCAAAGAUGGGAAUUUGAAGGUGUAAUUGGCAGAGCAGAAACUUCUGAGACUAUCAGCAGAAACUUGUGAGACUAUCCAAAUCAUACAGAUACAAAAUCUUCAAUUUGGUGAAAGCAAUCUCUUCUUCAAAAUUUUCUGCUCCAUCUUCGUCAUUUAUCACCACCUCUCUCAUUGCUCUACAUCCAUAUACCAACAUUGAUAAGAGUCUCUGUAGAGUUUGGAGUGACAGAUUCGAUAAUGAUCAACUCCAAAUACUCGCCAAGAUCGCAAAUCAAACAACCAAGAUGCAAAAAGAAUCAAUCCAGAAAAAAUCACAGAGAAACUUAAGAACCUAAAAGAAUUAAAGAAUUAGCGGCAAAGACAAAAGAAUUAACGUGGUUCAGCUAGCUUUCACUAGCUUACAUCCACAGGAAAAACCCGGAUCAAGUUUAUUGAUUUUCAGAAGAUGAUUACAGAGAGUUUUAAGAGCUAAUAACAGAGUAUUUCUUGAAGCCUUCUCACGAAUCUUCUAAUCACUCAAUAGCUCUCACGCACACGCCUCCUGUUGCACCAGAAUCAGCUGUUUAUAACAGCUUCUUCAACAAACCAAAAUGAACCCAGAAACUCACGUGAUUGGCAUGCGUUAUAACAGAUUCAUAACGACCCUGAGCGGCUUCUUCGAGCACGUGUUUCUCUCGUGCUUUACUUAAACACAAAACGACGCUCAACUAAGUCGUUCCAGAGACAAAACAAAUUGCUCUUCAAAACGCAAUCAGCAAUUGUCGUAUUGUAGUUUACUUAAGCUGCAAAACGCAAGUCCAACUUGUCGUUUCAAAUAUCUUGAUUUGCUUCACAACACAACAGUCGCUCUAGACUUUUUGCUGUGGAGGAGGUUGCUAAGUUCCUUGCAACGAAGAACUAGAAGUUCUUUUAGGUUCCCAAAAGAUACCGAUUGAACAAAGGACUCCAAUUUGGAGUCUUGUUUCCACAAUUGCUUCAGACGAUUAAGUUUGUGCAGAUCUAAAUGUUUUAUCAUUGUAAACUUCCUCACAUGUUUCUUCAAGUAUCCUCCAUUCGAAAAUACCUCUUCGCAUGAACAACGACGCCGUAUGAGAGUUUCCAGAUUAUGAAAUCUCUCAAGUAAAUCAAGUGGAAAACAAGUUGAGUCAUCAUCCACUGUUUGUAGUAGUUUAAGACUGCCAAAAAGGUGUUGUGGGAAAUCGCUCUGCAAAGUCAUCCUCGAGUCUUUUCCACUUAAUGCCCGUUCCUCCUAAGUUGGGUAAGCUCUGAUCAUCAUCAAUCACGUAAUAACUUAUUAAGUCAAUUCAUAUUCUCUCAAAUAACUUUUAAUAAUCCAAUCAUACACAGUGACUUUAAUAUAAAUGCAUAAUAUUUUACAAAAAAGAAGAAAAAAUCGAAUUAGAGGUAAAAGUUAUUCUACGAUUUUAUUUUUUAUAUAUAUCUUGCAUGCUAUUCCCAAGAGCAAUCCCAAACGGCCCUUAAAGCAAUUUUACAAAAGCGGCCGUUACAUAUAUUGCCAACUUUGUUGGGAAUGGCAAUGGGGAGAGGAGGGGAAGAGACCGAACUCCCCGUACCCAUUCAUGAUAUUCUGCAUAUAUCCUCGUCCUCUCCUCAUUUCUCACAAAAUUGCUUUAGGAAAUCCCCCUCCCCUCCCCAAAUAAUAAUAGGGGAUCCUUGAAGGCCCUCGAUCCUCGAAUAACUGAUACGUUUUUUGUUUUAAAUUUUAAUUUAAUCAUAUUAAAAUAAAAAAUAAAAAUAAAAAUAAAGUUUGACGAUAUAUCUUAUAUUAACAUUAAUCUAUUACAAAAGUCACAUUACAAAGUAUAAAUCACCAUAAUAAUUAUCUUCGGCAAUCUUCAAAAUCAUAUAAUAAAAAAAAGAAAUUACUUUUAUAUCAACAAUGAGAUAAAUGAAAUGAAUAUAGAUACUUAAUCAAUAUUUCUAAUAAAAGUAUUUACCUCUGCGUCUCCUACUCUUCUUGUUCUUCCUCGAGGAAUGUGACAAAUUGAGAGAUAGCCUCAGAUUUCAAAUUUAAAACAAUAAAAAUGAUAUAAGUAAUGUAAAUUCUAAUUAAAAUAAACUCAUACUGCCAUUGUAAGCUUGUGGUCAACUUUGACAACAUAUUAAAGCCUCCAAUGUGCUUGAAUAAAGCGUGUUACGGUACUCUACCACUGGUGCUAAAAGCUAAUUCAGAAGCAACAUUUGUAAUUAGAAUUGCCAAAAUAUCUCUAGGUGCCAAUAUAGGAUAUCUAUAGACAUUUAUUUUACACCAACUCAAAUUAUUAAAAUCUUUCAUCCGUGGCAUAACUUUCUCAUCCAAAUAUUAAUGUAGUCAAUUAAGCCUAAAGUUUAAUAAUAUAAUUAUUUUAAUUUUAAUUUAUUUAUUUAUUUAUUUAUAUUAAUAUUUUAUUAUUUAUUUACAAAUAAUUUUAAAAAAAUUAAAAUUAAAUUAAAAAAUUAGAAGAGAAUAGGGAUUCCGCCGUAUCCCCGUCCUUUCUCUUAAUAAGAAAUUGGGUAAAAAAAACUAUUUCCGUCCCUUUUUCAAAUAAAAAAUUAAGUAAAAAAUUAUGUACCCUCCUGAAUUGGGAAAAUCUCGAGGGUCAUGUCCCCGCGGGAAUAUCUGCCAUUCCUAAACUUUGUAACAGCCAGUUGCUUUUGUGACCGUUUAUGUGACGGCUAGACUGCUCUCACUUAUGUUACUAACCACGUGACGGUAGAGAGCCAAUUGGCAUUCCAUUAUUUUGAUUGUAGAGUUAUAAAUUUGUUUCUAAAUAGAAAACUAUUUGCUGAAGUCAAUAUAUUGAAAACCAAAGUCCCAAAUUCUCUCUCGUGCGUACCUGGCCAUCCUAAACCUUACUGGUAGCCGGAGAAUGGCGUAAAACGGCAGCGAUCUUCUUCUUCAUCUUAUUCUCUCUCUCAUCGUUUCAGGUAAGCUUGUGAUUAUGAGUUUCUUCUCUUUCUUAGCUUGUAAUUAUAGGUUUUGAUUUCUUUACUUCGUAUUGUAACCAUUAAUGUCAAUUUUUGUCCCGCCGGCAAUAUUUCUUGUUCCUAGAAGUUGAAGCCCUUCUGUUCUUGUUCCAUUGGUGACUUUGCUCACUCAAAUUAAUUUUGUUCUGCGGAAUUUACAAAGUUCAAAUGGAUUCAUUUGAAUUACUAUUGAAUUUAGCUUUAAUUUCAACAUCCAUUCUAAUGUUUUACAAUCAUGUAUUUAGAUUUACUUUAAUUUUAUGUUUAAAGCUUCUACAAUGAAUAGCGUAGCUUGGGCUUUAGUUUCAUUUUCUAAUUAACUUGUUUUAGUUUAUCUUAUAUGCUCGCCAAGUGCUUGUUAUAUUGUCUGAUAAGUUAUAUAACAUUGCUGAUUCUAUAUUAGUAAUGUCAUGUUCCAUUUUCGGAAAUUAUAACACAAAAGUUUUUACAAUGGCUUGCAUCUACAAACUGAAUUGACUUGUAGAGUAAGAGCUUGGAUUAGUGUUAUGUUCUUGAAUAAAUGAAAGUUCAUAUUGUGUAAGAGCAUGUAGAUAUAAAGCAUCACUACCAUUUCUACAAACUGCUUUCAUUCUGUUCAGAUGCUCCUCUUGAACUUUGAAAGGUGCCUCAUUCAAGUCCUAGCUAUAACUACUAGCUCUGAUUGCUUAAGUUCCUGUGCUAGCUGAAACAGAUUUAUUUAAUUAAUUAAUUGUGUAUGUACUAAUUAUAUUGAAAGUAUAUGAAGAAAUUGUUUAACAUGAAUGACUUCUAAAUGACUUAAAAGCCUAAAGGAUAUGUCAAAUAAUGCUCAUUUCACUUGAACGAGCCUAAUACUUUUAUGUCUAUGAUUGUCAAUCUUGCUUAAGUGUUUCAGUUAAGUGGUUUACCUAACAGGGGAAAAAAUUUAAUGGAAAACUUUAGAGUUCGAACAGAAAUAUAGUUGACUGCAGAUAUAGUUAUUUUACGGUACAUAAAUCAUAUUGUCCUAUACUCAAUGUCCUACGACCUAUUUUAUUUUAUAUGGUCAUUCAUUUUUGCGAUGGUUUUUUGUGCUUAUGAGUAUGGAAAUAGUGGGAUUUGGUGUGGCAAACAAAAAUAUACAUAUAAUCAAGUUUCUUAAUCAUGUAUAUUGGUUUUGGGUAUGAAUGUUUUCCUAUUCUAGUUCUAGGCAAAGUUUCUUCAUUUUGGUCUUCAGAUUUCUAGUAGGUUAAGUUAAGCAACUAUCAUAACUAGCUAGCUAGUUAUUGCCUGCCUUGUCGCCAUUACCGACGCCAUUACAUUGCAUGGCAUAAGGAAUAGUAACUAGGUGAUUAUUGGUGAUUCGUUGAGUUUAUUAUUGGCCAAACAAACAUAUUGGCCUUUACCCACAACUUAGUUUGAUUAGUUAUUAGAUAAUAAAGAGCCUUAAUCUAUGCAUUGCUUUAUUAUUUUUAUUUGGUUUUUCUUUCAACAAUAUUGUUGAUUUCUUAUAAAAAAUAUUCAUUGGUUUUUAAACACCUAAUCAUUGGCUACGAUGAAGCUAAUUAAAACUAAGGCUUUGGAUCAAUUUCUGUUAACAACAUACAAAUGUACUUACUGAGUAUAAGAUUGAAGACUUGAAAAGAGGAGAAAAGAGGAGAAUGAAUAAAAUGAAAGAAAUGAUAAGAUUACUUGGAAGAAGAAAAGCAUUUUUAAUGAACUAACGUAUUGGGAGUUCAAUUUGAUUCAUCAUAAUCUCGAUGUCAUGCACCGUUUUGAUUUUUGUUAUGAACUCAGAUCAAAAGUUUAAUGUGAUCAAAAUUUCUUAAAAAUAGUGAAAACGACUCCUCCUAAUAAUAUGGAAGAUGGCUAUAAAAGAUAAUUUCUUAAAAGUUUAAUGUGAUCAAAUUUGCUUGUGAACGCAAGGGUUUUAGUUACACUGUCAACGCUGUCAAUGUAGUGAUACAAUGAAGAUGAAGUAAAGCAUUAGUAGAAUAAUGAAGUUGACCAGUAACACAGUAAAGCAAAUUUUAUUCCAGAGCAUGAAAACUUUUAAACAGUAACACAGCUCUUAUUCCAGAGGCUGCACACGAGUGACCUCAAUCUUCUUCAGAACUUUCAAAUUUUAUCAAGCAAAGCUUUCAAAAUCCUUGCCUUCCUAAGUUAGGAAAGAUAGAUGUGGAGCAAACUAUUUUUUAUAGAUAUUUUCACUUUGGGCUGUCAGCCCGAGGAAGUACGGGGUUCUGAGUUAUUCAACUGAAAAUGUCGGCCAAGUUCUUGUGUUAGUUUUAGUAUAUUGUGUAAAAAUGAUACACUAACUUGAAUUUAUAUGCUUUUAUGACUAUUUGAUAAUCAAAUGGGUACAUGACACGAAGAACUUUGAGUUUAAAAAUCUGGCCCUGAUGCCUGGUAGCCCUCCAACCUAUGAAGCACUAGACGUUUUAAUGAGAAAACGACAAGACCAUUUAUCAAAUUUCUUGUGGAUAUAAAUACAUACACAUAGACGAGACCAACCUCCUCAAAGGAGAAUCAGAGUGAUUACAAGACCUUGUGAUGGUUGUCGAAACCAGUAAAAAUAAAUAUCUACUCUAAAUAAAUUGUGUAUAGUGAUUGAGCAGGAUCGUGUCCAUAAAGAUCGGUAAUUAUUUAAAUCCUUUUUAAAAUGUAAAUUGCAAAAUGGGGAGAUUGUUGACAAUAAAAAAAAAUCAAAUUAAAAUAACAAGAAUGCAAAUUAAAAUUGUAAUUCAAAUUGGAAAAAGUUCUGGUUGAAGGAAUUAACUCAGCUUGAUUCGACUACUGAUCAUUGAUUCAAAUAUAAAUUAUUACUACUUAUGAAUAAAUCGGUUAUAGCUACUGAGACCCUCUAAUAGCCAAUCUCUCUUUAACUAAUCGAUAACCAAGGUACGACCGUUGGUUAUUUCCCUAAUCAAUAGACAACCCUAGAUACGAUCAAAGGAUUUAAUCAAUUGACAGCCUAAAAAACCAGAGAGACCCAAAUCCUAAUCAACAAACGCAUACGAUGGUUCAUUUAAAUUAGAUUGUUUAUUCUCAUAACACAACUCACUGCUAUGUUAUUUGUCACAAAUAUUAAAAUCUUCAUACGAUGAAUCCUUUAAUUGACAAUAGAUUAAGUUGAUAAUUAAAUAGUGGCCAAUUAUCUAAUUAACAAACAUAAUCAUGACAAUAAUUCAGAGAAUAAACAAAUACCCAAAAAGUAAUAAAAUAAUUAAAGCAUAAGAAAGAUCUCACAGUAGUUAUGAAUCAAAGCUUCAUUAACUUUCAACCAGAAUAAUAGGUUUAGUUCUUCAUAGAGAGAAGAGAAAAGUUUAGAUCUAGGGUUUCUUUCUUUUAAAAAAUCUCCUUUUUUCACAAUAGAUUCCUCCCUUAAAUACUCUCUCUCUUCUCCUUUAGAGUUCUAUUUAAAAUAAAAUACUAAUAUAUGAAAUAUUAAAUUUGUAAUUACAAAAAUAAACAAAAAUACAAAACACGUUAAACUAAAAACUGUAGGUCCGUAGUUGACAGCACGCACCCACGCCUUAUCAACAAAGUUCUUCUGACACUCAUAAUUUCUCUAAGAGAACAAUCAUCCUUAAACAUCAUAUUGUAGCUCAAUUUUAUCACCAAUCAAUAGAAUUGCACCUACAAAAGUAAAACACAAGUAAAUCACUAUUAUUAAGUGCAAAACAUCGAUAUUAAGGGAAGUAAACAAUGCAAAACUAGUGCAUAAAUUGCACUCUAACAUAUACUCACUGUGACGAGUUGCACCAGAGUUUUUGCUGUGGAGGAUGUUACCAUGUGUAACAAUUUCUUGCAACCGAAAGCUACAAGUUUUGUUAGGUUCCGAAAAGAUACCGAUGAUGAUGGCAAUAGAAUUAACAGACUUUGACAAUGAUAUACUUUUAGAAUUUCAAGAUACUGAAAAAUGGGGCCAAGUUUGGAGUCUUGUUUGCACAGCUGCUUCAGAUGAUAGUGCCGGUUCAGCUCUAAUGUUUUUAUCAUUGCCAACUUCCCCACAUGUUUCUCUAAGCAUCCUUCCUCCGAAAAUACCUCUUCGUUGAAUGAAAAACAAACCAGUAAGAGUUUUUCAAGAUUGUGAAAUCUCUCCAGUACGUUCCAGAUUGGAAAACAAGCUGAGUCAUCUGCAGCAAUCUCUAGUUCUCUAAGACUGCCAAAAAGGUGUUGUGGGAAAUCGGCCUGCAAAAUCAUCUUCACAUCUUUUCCACUUAGUGCUAGUUCCUUCAAGUUGGGUACGAUCUGAUCAUCAUUAAUCAUAAUAACUAAUGAGGUCAAUUGAUGAUCUACGGUCACACGCAGUAACUUUAUAGUAUUUAUUUUAUAUUAUAUUUUAAAAAAAAAUGAAUUAUUGAUAAAAUUUAUUUUGUAUGUUAAUUUUACAGGUAAAAAAAGAAAUUAGGGAAAAAUAGUUGAUUUAUAUUGGCUCAAAAUUAUUUUAUUGCACAAUAAUAAAUUACUAAUUUAUUUUGCAAGUUCUUCUAUAUGGAAAGACUGAGGAUUCUUUUAUAAAUGCUAUACCUAAAAAAGUUCAUAUAAUUAUGAAUCUACCAUAUUGAUCCCUUAGUCUAGACUAGCAAAGAUUAUUGUAUAAUAAAAGUUUUUAAUUUAUUGAGUAUUAAAUGAUUUUUUAUAUGUUAAUUUUAGAGGUAAAAAAGAAAUUAGGGAAAAAAGGUUGAUUUCUACUGACUCGAAAUUAUUUUAUUGCACAAUAAUAAAUUACUAAUUUAUUUUGUAAAUUCUUCUAUAUGGAAAGGCUCAAGAUUCUUUUACAAAUGCUAUACCUAAAAAAGUUUAUAUAAUUAUUAAUCUACCACAUUGAUCCCUUAGUCUAGACUAGCAAAGAUUAUUGUCUAAUAAAAGUUUUCAAUUUAUUGAGCAUUAAUUUAUCGAUACUUUGUCAUAUUUUUCAAAGUUAAAAAUAAGCUAUAGAUAAAAAAUCUAGAAAAUGGCUUCAUACCUUUUCCAAUGGCAAUAGGGGCUGUUGUGCAGGAAUACCAAGUUGAUCAUUCCCAUUAUUCUGCGAUAAAUCUGCAGCGAAUAUCUUUAAUUUGUCACAACCAUGCACUAAAAGAAUUUCUAGUGCGGGCCAUUCCGAAGUAUGCAUUCCAGGGUACAAACAUCUAAGUUUUGGUAGAUCUUGGAGCUUCAGAGUGGUGAGCUGUGGAAAGACAAAAUAAGGGAUCAUUUGAUCUGCUCUGUUUUCAGAAAUGAUCUCCUGUAAAUUCUCACAGAAGUAUAUAUCCAGGUGUUGGAGCUGCUUAAGGCUUUCGAUCAUAGACGCUGAAAAUAUGUAUUUUAAUUUAUGACAACGCUGCACAAUCAAUCGUGUUAAAUUUUGAAAGCGAGGAAACAUGACCGGAAGAUGAUUGUAGUGCCAAAUCUUGUCGACAUUAAUUUCAGAUAUCUCCAAAGCCUCCAAGUUAGGCAACGCAACCUAAAAAAAGAAGAAUUUCUCGUUAGAUCCAAUAUCCAUAUGGGAAGUACUUGUUGAAAUUUUCUUCUUUGAUUACAAAUUAAUGCAAGUCAGAAUCAAUUUCAUACUACUUGUUAAGAGCUCAAUUAGUGAGCGCGUGAGAUUCUUUUUAUCCUUUUUUCCAUUUUCUUUCAAUUCUUUAAAUGAUUUAAUUAUUUUCCACGUAUAACAUCAAAACAGAACGCAUGAUAGAAUAAAAUGUGUUAUACAUUAAAGAAAAUGUUAGCCUACGCACCUUCUCGUUGAAAAGCAGAGUUGAAAUAUCCAAAGUGAUUUCGCUGGAGCUAUACAUAGUCGUCGAUUCCUCUUGCGACACUUGUCUGUUCGGUGAUGCUGAAGGAGUCUUCACCUCAUUGCGGCAAAAACUUGUAACCUCUGGAAGAUUCCCCAGACUCAAAGAUCUUAAUUGAGCAAACUCUAUCUUCUCAAUUGCAUUAUCAACUUCUUCCCCAAUUGCAAAAAUCUCUUUCAUCUUGCUGCAAUUAAUAACUGCAAUUCUCUCAAGUCUUGGAAGGCAUUUUGUAGUGGAGAGCCAAAAGAUAUUGCUCAACUUAUUACAACUAUAAGCUUCUAUGGUUUUGAGUUUGUUGAAAGACUCUACUUUGAGCCGAUCAAUACAUAUCCUCUCCAUGUUGAUCAAAUUGCGAAUGGUAAGUGACUCCAAAAGAGGAAAGGCAUCACAAGCGACCAUCUCCCUUGAAUCGACGAUACAAAAGAUGUCAGGAUUAUUUUGAACCAAGAGAAGCUUCAAUUGUGAAAAGCCAUCCGUGUCCAAAUUGAAAAGAACAUUCUCGAUGCCUUGCAGCUUGUCCAACCAUAAGUAUUCAACGUUAUUGAUGCCCUGCAAUUUCAUGGAGAAAAUGUCCAUAAAAUCAAGCUUGAGCUUCAAUGCUCUUAAACUCUUGCGAUCACGGUUGAUUGAAAAGUGCGGCCGACUUUGGAACCAUUUAUGUCUAGCAUACUUGUUGGGAGGCAUGAAUGACCCAUUUCCAAUAGAUAUUUUGAACCUUUCGAGCUUUCUGGCCAAAAAGCGUUCUGGUAAAAUACUAUCAUUUUUAACGUCAAUUUCUAGAGUGGUUAGCCUAGGUAAAUGCAUCAAUUCGUCGAGGCUAGCAUUACUUCUUUUGCUGUUGGCUCUUUCAACCUCCCAUUCAAUGAAGCAAUUACCCAUAUACAGCUCUUCUAAUCGACUUAAGCUUGAUAUGAGAUUGGGCGCAAUAACUUUUAGAUCGAAACAAUUGGUUAAAUCUAACAAUCUCAACUUAUUCAAUUGACCUAGUUCUUCUGGCAACUUCAUAAUAUCAGACAUCAAAAAGCUAAGGACUUCUAGAUUCUUCAACUUCCCAAUGAUUGCUAUGUCGCCCAACGCACUUUGAUCCAGACAUAGUGUGUGAAGAUAUGCUAGAAGAUCAAUUGAAGAUGGAAAAGAAGAAAACUGCAUUCGAGUAAAAUCUAGAACUCUAAGCUUUUUCAUCCCUACCAAAAAGUUCUCAGGAAUAUUGAUUUCAAGAGAAAAAUCUUUGAGAGAGAUAUAUAAAAAUUCAAGGUUUGGGCAUUCUAAUCGUCAGGAAAUCACGAUUACUAUUAUUUAUAAAGAAGAUAGCAUGCAGUUUCGAAGUGGCAUCUCAUCUGGCCAGUCCCACACAUCUCAUUUCUCACCGAAAACACAUGUUGGUGGCGGCAUGCAAUUGAUAUUGCGACAUCGCGAACAACAUCAUGCAUUGAAAAUUCUUCAUUGCUGUCACCCUCAAGCAACAAACAAGAGUCUCUAAGUUCAUGGACCGAUGCAUAUAAUUUGUCUCGUGCAUCUUCCAUCUUAUUGACUCCUUGAAAUAUACCCAAACCCAUGGAGUACUUAAACAAGUCCAAAGUAAGGAUACUGUUACCCAUUAGACUGCAGAGCUGAAAAAUGUUCUUGAGUUGCUCACCUUUUAAAUGGUUGAAACUCAGCUCAAUACUUGAAUAAGUCUCUGCAGACACUCCUUCGAAGUUUACCAUUGAAGGCGUUAGGAGUUCUCGCAAGGAAUUCUUCCAUUCAUGCAGACUCUUGCUUCUCAGUGCCUUUGCCACUGUAAUCAAGGCAAUGGGCAAACCUCCACAUGCCCUGGCGACGUCUAUUGCUGUAGAUUUCAACUCACGAUUUUCAACAUCAUCACCGGCCAUCAUCUUAAACAAUCUCCAGGCUUCUUCUUCAUUUAAAUUGUUAAUCAAGAAGUUGUCUUUAGAUCCCAUUUUUAAGAGGACACUACGAUCUCUUGCUGUCAGCAGUAGUUUGCAUCCUUUAUGAUCUUCUCCAAAAGGAAUUCCCACUGUCUCCAAAUCAAGGUGUUUCCAGAUGUUAUCUAAAACCACAAGGAUCUUCUUCUGAUUUCUCAAUCGCUCAAAUAGUCUACUUGCUCUUCUAGAUUCAACUUCCUCGUGCAACUCCAGGCCCAACUUCUCGGCAAUUUCCUGUUGAAUCUUUUUUAUGUCUGGAGUUUGCGAAACCUCUGAAAAGACCACCAUAUCAAAGAGCUUGUCUUCCAUAGCUUGCCUGGCGACCUUCUUCACCAGUGUCGUCUUUCCAAUGCCGCCCAUGCCGUACACCCCAACGACACUAACAUUAACAUCGAUCAAUGCUUUUUUUAUAGCCUCCAAAGAAGAAAGUCUUGACUCGAAGGCCUCGUAGCCUUUGUGAGACUUGAGCCAUAUCUCCUCCGGAAUGGUACGGUAGGAAAUUCUAUCAUCAAAUCUUGCAGCUUCUUCUCGGAUUUUGACGAGUGCCUUCACCUCUGCCUCUGCUUUCUUGCUAAGCUGAUAGCGAGUAAUCCAAUUAGGAAACAGCCCCAUGAGACAUCGUUCAUUUGCUUUCUCUUCGUCUUGAAUGAAUUUGGCUGCCUGCUCAAUGCUCUUGUUCGCAUUAACCAGCCAUUUCUCAACCUUCUCUUCAAUCUUUUCACUUUUUCUUUCAGCCUCAGAAACUCUGCGCUGAAUGCUUUCUCUUUCAUCCUUGAGCCUAUCGAGUUCUGCCUUGAGAUUCUCAAAGUUGGCAUCGGAGUUAUACCAGUAACUAAAUUCGCGUUGUGCGUGAGGAGACAAGCAGUUUACAACUGGAACAAUGCUUUUCAAAAUGUCCAUUUGUUUUUUUUUUUUGGGGGGGUGGGGGGUGAGUGAACGAAAUAGAAAUAGAACAGGGUCAACGACCGCGCAAUUAAUAAUCAAGUAGAAGCAAAACAAGGCAAAAUGGAGAAAAGAAAUUAUAUUUGUACAAAACAAGGGGAAAAUCAGUGUAACAGAAGAGAAUCAAAGUGUUUUUGAGAUCAGAAAAUUGAAUCAAGAAAAGGGUUGCUUGAUCCAAUGAAAAUGCAAAGAGGGAACAAACAUAAAUAAGAAAACGGCUAGCAGGAGCAGUGACCACGAUAAACAGAAGCAAAGUGUGUAUGAGAUCAAAAGAAGAAAAUCAGGAGAGGUUUUCUUGACUGAGAAUUGAAGGCAAAGAGUAGGAGCUGACGAAUACGGGGAUCAAGAGGGAAAAACUGCUUAAUAACAUUACGAUUGUCAUAAAACAUGUGAUCCUCAUCCAAUAUCCAUUAUUUGUGAUCCUUAAUCAAUAAAAUAUCUAACAAUAUCGAACAGUCGAUAUCCAACACAUGCACGAAGAUUCCAAGAAGUUGCGUGGCUGCCGACUUUUAAAUGCUAAGCCUGAUUGUGUCGAUGAUACACAAAAGAGAGCAGUCGGGGUAAUUGCCAAAACUUAGAACUAAACAGUAGCUUAGUCAGAAAAUCAAACGCCAGUACCGGUAAAAUGACCGAUAAAAAUAUAAAGAAAUAAAACUUUUAAAGUUUUACUUCAUUGCUUUUUUAAUGUUAUUACUAUUUCUCCUAGCACUUCUAAAGAAACCAAAGCUUUAAAAGAAAUCGGCCAAAGAAAUAAAGUUUUACUUCAUUGCAUUUUUAAUCUUAUUACUAUUUCUCCUUGCUCUUCUAAAGAAACCAAAGCUUUAAAAGAAUCAGCCAAAUCACCAAGAUUGAAGAGUAAAUCUAUUGUUUUAGAUUUUUAUUUUUAUUUUUUUAGAUAAUAGAUAUUAUUUUGAUGAAUUUUUUAAUAUUGGAAUAAUGUUAGGAAUUCCAAUAGAUGAAUUCUAACUUGACACCCAAUUGUUAUGUGUCAUUUUUUUAUUGGAUAAUGAAUUUCAUAACUAGUAAAAUUAAUAUUUUGAUCAUCUAAUAAAUAACUACUAUAUCAGUUGGGACUCAAUCAUUGGGAUGCUUAACAUUGCUCUUAGUAUUGUAUUGGACAUCUUAGUUAAAUCAGAUUAAAAAUCAAAUUAGAUUUUAGGCUUUAUUCAACAUCUCCUUUUCUUUAUUUUUUUUUCUUUUUUAGGUCUAUUUGAAGUGAACGAAUUAAAAAUACGACAAGGUCAACGAUUGGGCAAUUGAUAGUCAAGUAGAAGCAAAUGAAGGCUAAAUGGGAAAGAGAAAUUAUAUUUGUACAAAACACGGAGAAAAUCAGUGUAACAGAAGAGAAUCAAAGUGCUUUUGAGAUCAGAAAUUGAAACAAGAAAAGGGUCGCUUGAUCCAAUGAAAAUGCAAAGAGCUGAUGGCAAAAGGGAACAAAGUUAAAUAAGAAAACAGCUACCACUAGCAGCGACCACAAUAAACGAGAAAUUGGAGAUGGAUCUACAAUAUUUCUGCCUUUCUUUAUGCUUUAACAAAUAUUGCUCUAUCGAAAAAAAUAUUGUGGGUUUUUAUUAUUGGAGUCACAAAAGACCAACACAAUAUAGCAAGUGACUAGGAAUAAGAAUAUAUAACUCUCUCUCUAUUUCUCACUCUAGCUUUUAAUUGUCACUCAAAACCCAGACAGCGUAAGGAAAUAAGAGAUGACAGCGUCUGGUUGUCAUACGUGCCUUUUGGUUUCUGGAUGACAUGGCGUACACUUCUUUUGCAAACCAACACGACAUGUCGUACUCUUUGUUUUGAGAUCAUAUUUCAAACUCUUGAUGUUACGAAUGAAAGAUAAACUACAAUCAUCAAAAUAUUUAGUGUUUGUUUGGUAAUGUAAAGUCAUAGUUGUUGUGAAUUGAAAUUAUUUCUGUAAAAUAAAAGGAUUUGGGUCAUUGUUCGUUAUUUUUUGGCAAUAUUGCCUGGCUGUGACUAUUUAUUAAAUAUUAAAAAAAUAAAUUUAUAUUUAUUAAGUAUCAAAAAUAAAUAAACAACAAAAAUAAACGGAAAAAUUAUACAUUACGUAAAAUAAUAAGGACAAUAUCAAUAUUUCACACUCUAUAAUUGAGUGAUGUGUUAUCCAAUUGCAACACAUUUGUCCCAAACGGAGUCUUAAAUAUCAAAGUUAUUGCGAUGAUGACUUAUAAUCACCAAACUUGACAUACGGGUAAUCAUGCAUUAUAAGGUGUUGAUUUCUUACUAUCGGAACCUUAUAUUUCAUUUACAAAUAAAUAAAUGAUGUGACUUAACUGGUGGCGGGUCCUUUGUGCCAUUUGCGCAUUCCACUGAAUAGUUGAUUGUAGCAGAAACAUUCCUGGAGUUGCCAUUUGCCAAUGCUACUGACAUUUUCAAACUCGGAAAACCCUCCAAUCAAUCUUUUAGUGGUAGGCUUGGUAGCUUGGCUUGAUUAUGACAUAUGAUUAUUUGAUAAUAAAGUUAGAGGAUGUAUUAAUAUAAAAAUUAUUUAUCGGUGUUGAAAUUAUCUCAUUAAUAAUAGUAUGAAAAGUUAAUUCUUAAGAAAUACAUAAUAGUAGUUAAUUGGUGUAAUAUUAUUGAGAUUCUGGAAAUAAUUUUAUAUCAUAACUUUGUAGGUGUAUAAAUAUUACUCAUUAAAUUAAUAUAAUUAUUUUAAAAAAAUCAGUUGGAAAAAAUAAAUUAUAUUAUUUUUACUUCAAAUAAUCUUUAAAUUAACUCAAAAUAUAAUCAAGCUCAGAAUUAAAAAUUUAAACUAAUGCUACUAUAUCAGAGGAUUUUCUUUUUUUCUCCACUGAAUAGUUGAUUGUCGCAGAAACAUUCCUGGAGUUGCCAUUUGCCAAUGCUACUGACAUUUUCAAACUCGGAAAACCCACCCUCCAAUCAAUCUUUUAGUGGUAGGCUUGGUAGCUUGGCUUGAUUAUGACAUAUGAUUAUUUGAUAAUAAAGUUAGAGGAUGUAUUAAUAUAAAAAUUAUUUAUCGGUGUUGAAAUUAUCUCAUUAAUAAUAGUAUGAAAAGUUAAUUAUUAAGAAAUACAUAAUAGUAGUUAAUUGGUGUAAUAUUAUUGAGAUUCUGGAAAUAAUUUUAUAUCAUAACUUUGUAGGUGUAUAAUUACUCAUUAAAUUAAUAUAAUUAUUUAAAAAAAUUCAGUUGGAAAAAAUAAAUUAUAUUAUUUUUACUUCAAAUAAUCUUUAAAUUAACUCAAAAUAUAAUCAAGCUCAGAAUUAAAAAUUUAAACUAAUGCUACUAUAUCAGAGGAUUUUCUUUUUUUCUCCGAAGUUUCACUAGGAAAUUAUUGAUGUAUAGCUUUGUUGAGAAUUGAGAUCAUUUCAGUUCAGAAGACAAAUAAUUGAAAGACUAAACUAAAUAGACCGGCGAACAAAUUUGUACAUGAAAGUUAAAAAAUUAAGGUCAUGAGUUGGUAUUGCGGUUCUGUCUUGAGCAACUUUGCUGUCAUUGUUUAUUAUUUUUUGGUAAUAUUGCCUGGCGGUGACUGUUUAGUAAAUAUUAAGAAAUAAAUUUAUAUUUAUUAAGUAUAAAAAAUAAAUAAACAAACAAAAACACAAGGAAAAAUUUAUACUUUACGUAAAAUAAUAAGGACAAUAUCAAUACUUCACACUAUAAUUGAGUGAUGUGUGGCAUCUUAAUUGCCCAACUGCCACACAUUGGUUCCAAACGGAGACUUAAAUAUCAGAAAAAUUCCAAGUUAUUGCGAUGAUGACUUACAAUUGCCAAACUUGACAUAUGGGUAAUCAUGCAUUUCUUAUGAUCAUAACCUUAUUUUUCAUUCACAAAUAAAUAAAUGAUGUGACUUAACGGUUGACGGGGUCCUUUGUGCCAUUUUGGCAUUUCACUGAAUGGUUGAUUGUCGCAGGAAGAUUCCUGAAAGUUGCCAUUUUCCAAUGCUACUAACAUUUUCAAACUUGGAAAACCCUUUAAUCAAUCUCUUAGUAGUAGGCUGUGGUAGCUUGGUUUGAUUAUGAUUUAUAAUCAUUUGAUAAUAAAGCUAGAGGAUGUAUUAAGAUAAAAUUUAUUUAUUGGUGUUGAAGUUAAUUAUCUCAUUAAUAAUAGUAUAAAAGGUUAAUUAUUAAGAAACACAUAGCUGUAGUUAAUUGGUGUCAUAUUAUUGGAAUUCUGGGAUAUAAUUUUAUAUAAUAACUUUGUGAGUAUAUAAUUACUCAUUAAAUUAACAAACUUAUUUUAAAAUAUUUAGUUGGAAAAAAUAAAUUACAUUCUUUUUAUUUCAAAUAAUCUAUAAAUUAACUCAAAACAUAAUCAAGUUGAGAAUUAAAAUAAUGCUACUGUAUGAGAGGAUUUUUAUUUUUUCCCGAAGUUUCACUCGGAAAUUAUUGUUAUAUAGCUUUAUAUGCGAUCAUCCUCAGUUCAAACGACAAAUAAAUGAAAGACUAAGCUAAAUAGACCAGCCAACAACUUUGUAAAAUAGAGUUCGAAAAUUAAAUUAAGGUCAUGGUAGUGUUAUGUCUUGAAAAGUACAACGUAGUACUAAAAUAAAAACUAUUAGUCUUUGGUAAGAUAAUGACAUUUAAAUAAUAAUUUUCACAAAAAUACAAAGAAUAUUUAUAAAGUACUUCUAUAGUGAGGAGGCCCUCACUUUGUGAAAGUGAAAAUGUCGAUAAUAUACAAAAGCCAUAUAUUUUAACACAUUAAAAAUUGUAUUUUUUAUCUAUUGGUGUAUUAAAAUAUGUGUUACUUAGUUUGUUAGUGAUAUCAUCACUUUGUUAAAAUGAGGAUAUCGUCGCUAGAGAAUCAUUAUAUAUACAUAUCUAUAAAGUGCUUCUCUCCAAGACCUAGACUUUAUUAGAAUUUAAGAAAGCAAAUAUAUUUUAAAUGGUAUAAUAGUGUAAUAACAUCACACUAUUAUAUCAUAUAGAGUAAAAGUUUUUCGAACUUUAAUAAAGUUCAAGAUUAUAGAAUGAAUGAUUUAUAUAUAUAUAUUAUACAUUUUUUAUCAUAAAGUGGAGGACAAAAUUAACAUAUUUUUCAAAUUAUAAUAAGUAUUUAUCAAUAAUUUAACAUCAUAAUUUCUCCUAACUAGUAUAGUAAAUACAACCUAGGAGGUACAUUCAAAGCAUUUCAUAGGUUAGUUGUUCGCUCCAAAUUCAAUCACAGACAAGGAGCCUUUUUUGAGAAUAUUAAGCAUCAUCUUCAAAUGAAUUUUCAUGGCAAAGGUUUCAGGUCCAAAUUGUUGUUCCAGAUUAGUCCAAAGCUCAUGUGAGGUUUGAGAGUUUACCACAAGACUAAGGAUCUCGAUACUGAUGGAUGACAUUAACCAGCUCAACAACAAUUGAUCCUUUCUCUUCCAUGAAGUGAAUGCUAGAUUGAUCUGUGCUUUAGCUGUUGAAUCUUCAAUUUCAGUAAAAAGAAACUGAUUAGGACAUAGUUUUGAUCCAUCAAGUAGAUCUUCUAGUCCAUUGGCACGGACUUAAGACAAGAUUUGUAAUUUUCAGAUCAUUUAAUUCGACCGAUCCAGUUUGAUUGGUGAAGUGAAAGUAAACGAGGAAACAAAGAAGUUUGUAUUCUGAUUUGAGCUUGACGAAGCCAUUAGAAUUGAUAACUCAGGCUCUGAUACCAAGUUAAAGAUUCUAAUAUGUUUGGUAAGUAAGAAAAUGAGAGAAAAUGAAAGAAAGAACAGAGAUCAUCUAAGAGCUGGAUUUGAUGAAUAAACUUGAAUCAUACAUUCUUUAGCUGAUUACAAAUGUAUUUAUGCAAAAUUCCUGAACAUUUCAGAUUGUAUAUGCUUGACCUAAGCACCUGAGAGUUGAGCAGUGUGGACUGACAAACUGAUCACAAAAUAAGUAACUUAUGCCAGCUCAGCUAACACGUCAGUAACUCUAACUAUCUUGCUUAACAAACUGAAACAAUAACUAACCAUUUUAACUAUCUUAACAAUGCCAAUAAUUUCUUCAUUUGCGUAUUUCUUGAAUCAUAAUCAAAUGGGUAAAUUUUUCAACUAUUCUUUUAGAUAUUUUCACUUUGGGCUAUAAGGCCGGGGAAGUACGGGGGUCUGAGUUACUCAACUGAAAAUGUCGGCCAAGUUCUUGCCAUCUCAGGUGCAAAACUGAUACUUGUGUUCCCCAUUUAUACUUAUUACGAAACUGAUACUCGUUCCUCUUAACUUGUUUUCUCAUGCAUCAACUGUUGAGAAAAUGUGCUCUUUAAAAGCAUAUGUGUUUAUUUAAUUGUAAUGAAAAAAUGUGCUCUUUAAAACCAUAUGUGUUUAUUUAAUUGUAAUAAAUAUUUUUUCUGAUUAAUAAAAUAUAUGAGGUAUUUUAUUCAAGUAUAUUAAUUGCAUUGAUAUUUUGAGUAAAGUCCAUUUAAUCAUAUUAUAUGUAUUUAUGUGAUCACUAUGUGGAUUCACAAAAGACAUAAAUACAAGUUAUCUUAUGAUUAAAUAAAUUAUGUUCGCAGUUGAUAAAUAAAGUUGGACACUUUAUUUAGGUAUAGACUGUAAUAAAUUCAUUGAAUGAUUUGUCUUAAUCAUGUAUGAAUUUAUUGAUGUAGUGCGAUUACAUUGAAUAGGAUCACAUAUGAGAUUUAAUUAACUUUGUAAUAACUGUCAGACUUAUUAAAUCUCAUAGGCAUUGAUUUUACUGUAAUCUUAAUCUUGAGUUAGUUAUGAUUCCAUUAUUGUAAUUGUUAUUUCAUUUGAGUUACCAAUGGGCAUGACACAUACUUGUAUUCAAGAUUACCAGGUAUCUUGGUGAGAGCAAUUAUGAGUAUUGGAGUUAUAGAUUAACAAUAUAGAAUUUGUACAAUACAUCUCUUGAUGGGUUUUCGGUACUUGAUCAUAGAAUUCUCUGGCCAGAUUGUGUCGACAUAUUUAAUAUGUUGAAAAUGAUCAUUAGAGAAAAACCAGUAAGUAUCAAGGAACAAGAUGUAAUUAAAUUGAUUGGACAGUUGAGAUAUCGAUUUAAUUAAUGAUGUGGUACAAAUGAUUGAGCAGUCAAGAAAUCAUUGUGGUUUGGGACGAAUUAUUAUUCGAACAUACAAUUAGUGUGCGACCAGCAUUGGCCAGCGACAUGCGCUGCAUGCGCAGCGAGCUGCGCAGUCGAGUUUGGUUUGCUUUCGGUGAGGCGGCAGUGGUUAGCUCGGCAUCGGAGAUUGGUGGCAACUUUGAACAGCGGUUGAAGUUUGCGUUGAUGGCGGCUGGAGAAGAAGGGGAGAGAAAUAUAUGGAUUUAAGGCUUUAAUGGUUUUUAUCGUUGAGGUCUCUACGGUUUUACAAUUUUUCUUUCGGUCAGAUAAGGUUUAAUUUUUGCAUUUAAGUCCAACAACAGUUUUGGGCUUAAUGAAUCAUAAUUUUAGGCCCAAUUGAAAUUGGGUUUAAUGGAUUAAAAUGCAUAGAUAAAAUUGAAUAAAUUAAAUUUAUUUUUGGUCCAAACGUUUUAUUUAAAAAAGUUUAUUUAUUUAUUUAUUUCCUUUCAAAAUUAAAAUUGGACCAAUAAUAAAUUUAAAAGCCCAACUUCCUCUAGUCCAUUAACAAAGACAAGCCUAUGGAAGAUGGACAUUGACAAGAAGCCCAAUGAAGAUUAGGCUUAGGGUUAAUGUAUUUUUUUUAAUUUUAGGAAAGCCAUGAAUUCAGAUUAUUUAAUUAUUUUUCUAUAUGUUAUAUUUUGGAUGAUAACAUGCCAUGAUAACACGUCAUAUAGAAUAGGUAGUGCCACUCUAUGCAUAAUGAUACAUGAUGUUCAUUAAUUAUGAAUCUCAUUAUAUUGUUUGAAAAUUGAAUAUGCUUAAUAAUAUUGAAUAUCAUCUAGAUAAUAUUAUAGGAAGCAUGCAAUUAAAAAUAUUAUUUAUGUAUGUUUUAAAAAAAAACCAAUUUUUAAAUAUUGAGUGGGAGAGGGAAAAUUCAAGAUAAUUUUUCCCACGGGCUCCAUUGUUAGUUCAAUAAUAAAAUUAUAUAUAUACCUCGACUUCAUGAUACGGUGAUGCUCCCUUCGAAGGGUAUAUAUAUUAGAUAUUUUAUUUGAUGAACUUCUUCAAAGAUAAAAUUGAAAUAUUUUUCAAUCGAUUGUUCACCCCAACAGUGACUAUUGAUAUGAAAAAUACUUAGAUUGAAACAAUGGUUAUACACUCAACUAAAAUUUGUUAUUAACCUUCCCAACGAAGCUCUGUUAACAAAUUUAGGCCCAAAAGGAUAACAAUAAUUAUUUAUCAUGUCUCUACAUGAAAGUAAAUAAUCCAAUGGAUAAUUGGGUCUAGUAAGUGUAGACAUGACUUCCCCAACGGAUAGCUUGUCAAAGCGGUCCUAGAUUAUCGUUACAAUAAAUAAAAAUGCAGUUAUGGUUUUUUGCAUUUUUGUUAUUUAUUGUGAAUAUUAUAUCAAAUUAUUUAUGCAUGGAUGUUUUAUUUUUCAAAAAAAUGUCUUCCCUGAGCUCACUUACUAUUAUUCUGAGUCAAAACAAACUCACUGGAGAGAACUAUAUAGAUUGGAAAAAAAAAUAUAUUCAUUGUCCUGACUGCUGAAAAUUAUAAAUAUGUCUUAACCCAGCCAUGCCCUCUAGUUCCAGUGGAUGAUGCUCAUAGAAAUUAGAGGAGGCUUUAUGAGAAAUGGCAAAAGGCCAAUGAAAUGGCAAAAUGCUACAUUUUAGCCUCGAUUUCUAAUAUUUUGCAGACCAAACAUCAGAACUUGGAGACUUCCACUGAAAUAAUGGAUAGUCUCCAAGAGAUGUUCGGGCGGAAUACUCGCUCCGCGAGACAAGCAGCGCUGAAAGGCAUUAUGAACUGCAAAAUGGGGAAGGGCACAAGAGUUCGUGAUCAUGUCCUCAAAAUAAUGGACUAUUUGAAUGAGGCUGAGAUUCAGGGAGCACAAAUCGAUGAUAACUCAAAGAUUGACAUGGUGCUAGAAUCUCUGCCAAAAAAAUUUAAGGAGUUUAAGGUUAAUUAUAACAUGAACAAAAGAAACAUGACCUUAACUGAAUUGAUGAACGAACUCCAUUCUGCUGAAGAGAUCUAUUGCACUGAGAAAUCUCUAGGAAGCAUAAAGAUUGCUAACAAGGUUCUUCUUCUAGGCCCAAGCCGAAAGGCAAGGGUAAGAAGAAAGCUGGGAAAAAGAAACCGUCUACCAAGCAAGAUGGCAAGCCGAAAGGCAAAUGCUUCAAGUGUGGACAGAAAGGUCACUGGAACAAGGAUUGCCCUAAGAUUGUGAAAUCAGGAAUGAGAAAUCUUUUUGUAAUUGAGGUCUGUUUAGUUCAGAAUCCUAUUGACACUUGGGUGUUGGAUUCAUGAGCAACUAAUCAUAUUUUUAAUUCACUUUAUUGGUUUUAGGAAACUAGGAAAAUAAGUGAAGGAAGCGUCAAGCUGCAGUUAGGGACAAGACAGUUCGUGACAGUAGUGAAGACUGUAUCUAUUUUAUUAUCUUUUAAUAAUGAGAAUUUAGUUUUGAAUAUUUGUCUUUAUGUUCCAGACAUUAAGUGGAAUUUAAUUUCAAUAGCUUGUUUGUCAAAACAAGGGUACACUGUAAAUUUUGGAUCCUUUGUUUUUAUUUUUUAUAAUAAGAGACUUAUUUGUUCUGGAACAUGGGAAGAUAAUUUAUAUCAUUUAAGUCCUAUGAUCCAUUCUAUGCAUGACACAGUGAUCAAUAAUGAUGAGCAUACACAUUUAUCUAAGAAAAGAAAUAUUUCUUCCAACUAAUGUUACCUCUGGCAUUUGCGCUUGGGUCAUAUAAAGCAAAAUAGGAUACAGAGAAUGAUCAAAGAUGGGCUCUUGGGUCUAUUGGAAAAUGAAUCAUUGCCACUUUGUGAAUCCUGUUUAGAAGGGAAAAUGACCAAAAGACCGUUCUCGGCCAAAGGAGUGCAUGCAAUAGUACCACUUGAAUUGGUACAUACAGAUGUAUGUGGACUAAUCAAUAUACAAGCUUGAGGAGGUUAUGAGUAUUUCAUCACUUUCAUUGAUGAUUACUCAAGAUACGGUUAUGUUUAUCUGAUGCGUCACAAGUCUAAAACUCUUGAGAAAUUCAAAGAGUAUAGGGCUGAGACAGAAAAGCAAUUAGGUAAGAACAUAAAGCAACUUCGAUCUGAUCGAGGUGGUGAAUUUCUUUCUGGAGAUUUCAAAGAGUAUCUGGUAAAAAAUGGGAUUAUAUCUUAGUUAACUGCCCCAAGAACACCACAACAAAAUGGGGUAGCAGAAAAGAGAAAUAAAACUCUUUUAGAUAUGGUGAGAUCUUUACUUAGUUAUUUGUCAUUACCAAUCUCUUUUUGGGGACUAGCACUGGAAACUGCAGUUUACCUCUUGAACUUAGUUCCAUCUAAGUCAGUGCCUAAAACUGCAAUAGAAUUAUGGUAAGGUCACAAACCAAGUUUACGACAUGUCCAUAUUUGGGGAUCACCAACACAUGUGCUGAAACCAAAAGCAGAAAAAAUGGAUUCACGUUUUGAGGUUUGUAUGUUUGUGGGGUAUCUCAAAGGAACAAUAAGAGGUUUAUUUUAUAGUCCUUAAUAUAGAAAAGUGAUUGUGAGCACACAUUUCACUUCCCUCGAGGAAGACUAUAUGAAUAACUUCAAACCUAAGAGUAAGGUAAUACUUGAAGUACUGUCAGGUGAUCAGGUCUUUCAACACCUGUUAUAGAACAAGAAGAAGAACAACAACUAGCUGAUCAACACAGGAUUAUCCCUAAACAACCAUCACUUUUAGAACCUCGUCGUAGUGGGAGGGUAAGUAGGUUACCUGCGAGAUACAUGUUAUUGGGAGAAACUUAUACGACUAUCUCAGAUGAACAUGUACAAGAUCCCACUGGCUACAACGAAGCUCUAAUAAACAGAGAUGUUGAAUUCUGGAAAAAGGCCAUAAAUCAAGAAAUGGAAUCUAUGUAUUCCAAUAAAGUCUGGGAACUUGUAGAGGCACCAAAUGAGGUAAAACCUAUAGGGUGCAAGUGGAUCUAUAAGAGAAAAAGGGGAGUAGACGGAAGGGUGGAAACAUUCAAAGUAAGAUUAGUAGCCAAAGGUUUUACUCAGAAAGAGGGAAUCGAUUAUGAGGAAACAUUUUCUCCGAUUGCUAUGCUUAAAUCCAUUAGGAUUCUACUCCCUAUUGCUGCAGUACUAGAUUAUGAAAUUUGGCAAAUGGAUGUUAAGAUUGCCUUUCUUAACGGGCAUCUUGAAGAAGACAUCUACAUGCAGCAACUAGAUGGAUUCAUACAAAAAGGCCAAGAACACAUGGUAUACAAGUUGCAGAGAUCUAUUUAUGGAUUGAAGCAAGCAUCCCGGUCAUGGAACGCCAGAUUUGAUCAAGCGAUUAAAUCGUUUGGAUUCAUUCAGAACAUUGAUGAACCAUGUGUGUACAAGAAAAUUCAGGAAAAAUCUGUAGCCUUCCUAAUUCUUUAUGUAGAGGAUAUUCUCCUAAUUGGAAACGAUAUAGGAGUAUUGACUACAAUAAAAAGUUGGUUAGCAAAAUAAUUUGAUAUGAAAGACCUGGUAGAGGCAAGUUAUAUUCUUGGUAUCAAGUUACUAUGAGACAGGAAGAUUAAAACUUUAGCCUUGUCUCAAGCGGUCUUUAUCGAUAAAAUAUUGGCUAGAUUUAGCAUGGAAAAUUCCAAGACUGGUUUAUUACCAUUCAGACAUGAAAUUACAUUCUCUAAGGAUCAAUCAGCUAAAACAUAUGAAGAGAUAGAGAAAAUGAGACGAGUUCCGUGUGCAGAAGUUGUGGGAAGUCUCAUGUAUGCCGUGCUUUGCACUAGACCAGACAUCUGUUUUGCGGUAGGGAUGGUUAGCAAAUAUCAAUGUAAUCCUAGACCUGAACACUUGACUGCGGUCAAGCAUAUAAUAAAGUAUCUGAAAAGAACUAAAAAUUAUAUGCUUGUGUAUUCUGGUGAUGAACUCAUUCCAGUGAGUUAUACAGAUUCUGACUUUCUGUUAGAUAAGGAUUUCAGAAAAUCAACUUCUGGCUAUGUGUUUACAUUAGGAAGUGGAGCUAUUAGUUGGAGGAGUGUGAAACAAUCUUGUAUCGCAGACUCCACAACUGAAGCUGAAUAUGUGGCUGCAUCUGAAGCUGUAUGGCUCCACAAGUUCCUAUAAGAUCUUGAGGUGGUACCUGCUGUAACUGCACCCCUUAAACUAUUUUAUGAUAAUAGUGGUGUGGUAGCUCAAUCUAAGGAACCACAAGAAACAAAAACAUAUUGAGAGGAAGUAUCAUCUCAUAAGGGAUAUAGUGCAGAGAGGUGAUGUGGAGGUUACUCAGAUUGCGUCACAGCAAAACUUGGCAGAUCCUUUUACUAAGGCCAUACCUGGGAAACCUUUUAACUUGCACUUAGAAUCCAUGAGCAUGCGUGAGAUGCCAAAUAUGCUUUGAGAGUUAGUGGGAGAUUGUUGGGAAAAUGUGCUCUUUAAAAGCAUAUGUGUUAAUUUAAUUGUAAUAAAUAAUUUUUCUAAUUAAUAAAAUAUAUGAGGUAUUUUAUUCAAGUAUUUUAAUUGCAUUGAUAUUUUGAGUAAAGUCCAUUCAAUCCUAUUAUAUGUAUUUAUGUGAUCACUAUGUGGAUUCACAAAAGACAUAAAUACAAGUUAUCUUAUGAUUAAAUAAAUUAUGUUCGCAGUUGAUAAAUAAAGUUGGGCACUUUAUUUAGGUAUAGACUGUAAUAAAUUCAUUGAAUGAUUUGUCUUAAUCAUGUAUGAAUUUAUUGAUGUAGUGCGACUACAUUGAAUAGGUUUGGGACUACAUUGAUGUAGUCAAGAUUACCAGGUAUCUUGGUGAGAGCAAUUAUGAGUAUUGGAGUUAUAGAUUAACAAUAUAGAAUUUGUACAACACAUCUCUUGAUGGGUUUUCGGUACUUGAUCAUAGAAUUCUCUGGCCAGAUUAUGUCGACAUAUUUAAUAUGUUGAAAAUGAUCAUUAGAGAAAACCAGUAAGUAUCAAGGAAUAAGAUGUAAUUAAAUUGAUUGGACAGUUGAGAUAUCGAUUUAAUUAAUGAUGUGGUACAAAUGAUUGAGCAGUCAAGAAAUCAUUGUGGUUUGGGACGAAUUAUUAUUCGAACAUACAAUUAUGGAGGUUAGUUCCAAUCUUAUAGUGGGGUAGAGUUGGAAUUAAAUGAUUAGGCUUAUUUAACUACAAGCUUAAUUGUUGUAGCCACUAUUGUAUGUUCCAAAAUGAUCCCCGGGUUAGCUCAUUUAAUUGACUGCACCACUACUGGAUUAAUAAGCAAGAUAACUAGCUAUUUGGGUCAAAAGGCUAAAUAUAUCAUUUAGUGGGAGGCUCCAUUUAAUAUGCUUGUGUGUAAGGGACCUUAUGUUAUUUUACAAGGUGGACCCCCUAUAGAAAAAGCAAGUACCGUGGCUUUUGGUUUUUAUUAUUUGGAGCUAAGGAUUUUCACUAAAUGGAAAUAUAAAAAGGCUUAUUUUCUCUAAAGAAAAGAGAUAGAGCCACAUUAUACAGACCAAGAGAAAAAUAAUUUCUCUCUAAUUUUGAGAAAAAAUUUCUCCUGCUAGUUGCUUUUAGUGGUGAUAAAGGUGCCCACACGUUAAGUGCAGAUCAAACUUGAGUUAUAGCCUGGAAGGUUAUUUGAUGGCGGAUCGUGAUCUAAAAGGAGUGGUGGUGACGGAUCGUGAUCUGGGAGCCUAAAUCACUUCAGCGGAAAAAGCAAAAAUUGUUCAUCUUCUCGGAUUGUCAAGGUAUGAUUUUCUAGAUUAUGAAUUCCUAUAUAUUUUAUGAGAUUGGUCCUAAAAGUUUUUUAAAAAAAAUUUAAAAAACUGAUUUUUCCCCAACAUCAACCCCACAAAACUGCUUAUUGAUUGUCCUCAUUUUGAACUUACUAUAGGAUUCACCCUCCUUGUUUUACAACUUACUUUAUACCCUUACGUUGAGAGGAAGAUCAGGCCAAUAAUCAUAACACGCAUUGCAGGGGUAAAAUUUCGAACACACCAUGUGGCAUUUAGACCAUUUGAUAGUUUGUUUCAUACAUAUUUGUUUAUAAAAUACUUUUCUUCAUGGAUUUGGUGACGUAAUUUUCUAUGUAUGUACAGGUUUUAUCGAUACGUCUUUUGACAAGUUACACUUACAUAGCAAUGUUAUCUGUGUUCAGCCUUGCCUUAUUGAUACCUUAUUGAUAAACUGUGCUUCUGUGAUGAAGAAUGUUUUCUCUGUCAGUGGAUAUCCUAAUCAUUGAUCCAUAUACUUAGGUUAUAUUACCCAUUAGGAAGUAUGUAUAAAAAUUAUUUUAUAUCUUCUUUAUUAGAAAUGUUGUAAUUCUUUAUUACUUUUCCUGAAUUAUAACAUCAGAUGUCUAUAAUAACUGGAUUAUUCCUUCUGCAAAACAGAGCAGUGGUAAAUAUUUUUUUUCUUUUGUUUGUUUAGCACAUUUCCAUGAUUUCAGCUUUUUCAAAUUUUGUAUGUGUCAAAGUUUAAAUUUAAUUUGUUGGUUUAUCGUACAAUAACAGGAACAGCAUCAAAGAGGAGCUGCCAAUGGACUUGCUAUGACUGUAGUGUCGCUUACCAAAACUGCCGGUCCAGCUGUAGGAGGUGCUCUGUGAGUGUCCUAUUGAUUUUGUAAAAUUAUAUGUAAAUAAUGUUAUAAUUGUUUUUUCAUUAAUUGGGGUUCUGGCAGAUUUUCUUGGUCACAAAAGCGUCAAGAUGCUGGUUUCCUCCCAGGUAUGAUGAUUUACUGAUGAAAUUUCUGACGAGUUUGUGAAUUACUUUGUCCUAAUUAGCUUAGUUAGCUGCUUAAACUAAAGUGCAGGUAACCAGAUGAUUUUUUUCAUUCUGAAUUUGGUCGAGGCACUAGGAGUAAUAUUGACAUUCAAACCAUUUCUAACUCAACGUGUCCCGUGAGUAGAGAAAAGAUGCAUCUGUUGAAAUAUUCAAAUAUAUGUCAAGCAAAUUAAAGCUUUCAAAAUCUAUCAACAAUUUGAUUAUUUGAUGUGGUUUUCCACUUGCCGUAUUUUGUUUUGCUGUUCUAAAGGCUUAAAUAUGAAAAUGGUGGUUGGCGCUCACACCAAUCGAUUGCUGUUAACAUUGUUCAGUACUUUUCUCUGUCGACAUUUAUACUUGUUCAUUGUCAGAACUACGACAAUUUAUCUUUACAAUGAUGCAAGCUAGAAAGAAUUUUUCAUGUUAAGUAAAAUAUUGAAGCCACAAAGAGUCUGAAUUAAGUACUAAGUUUUCUGCCAUGCUUUCAACGGCAGCACAUUUGUAGCUCUUAUUCCAGGGGCUCCACAGUAGAGAGACCUGAUUUCGACCUUCUUCAGAACUUGGGGAUUCCGUAAUAACAGAGGACAACAGUUAUAUAAGAAUAUUAUUUUGUACAAUUUUCGUAUAACCUGACCAAUGCAAGUAUAAUUUUAUGAUCUUAACUCAUAUCAAAAGACCUUCAAUGAUGUAAAAUUUGCACAUAAAGAUGAGAACCAAACAUUAGAACUUAUGAUGAAACGGAAACAAAAACAUUGAGAUUGAAAAGAUAGAGAAACACAAGCUUUUUAAAAGGAAUAAAUGUUCAUUUAGUCUCUAUAUUUUGACUUAAGAGCGCAUUUAGUUCUUAUAUUUUAAAAAGUGCCUCAACCUCGAGUAGGGCUGGCAAAAAUCCCCACGGCGACGGGUACCCUUGGGGAUUUUCCCUAUUCGGGGAGGGUAUGGGGAUAAUUUCAUACCCAAUUUCUUAUUCAGGGAAGGAACGGGGAAAUUUUUUUACCCAAUUUCUUAUUUGGGGAGGGGACGGGGAUGAGGUGGAAUCCCCAUCCCCUACCCAUUUCCCCAUUUUAAUUUUUUAUUUUAUUUUUAUUUUUUAAAAUUACUAGUAAAUAAAUUAUAAAAUUUGAAUUAUAAAAUUAUAAAUAUUGGUAAAAAUAACAAAUAUCAAAAUAUUUAUAUUAUUAAACUUUUAGGCCUAAUUAACAAAUUAAAGUCCUAAAUUUUUAUUUAGGACAUUAAAAAGACCGGAUAUAUUCUAUUAGCCCAAAAAUUUUGUUUUAAUUUUAAUAUUCAUUAAAUAUUUUAAACUUAAAUCUAUUUAUUUAUUUAUUUUUAGAUGUUAUAAUUGCCCACAGCAAAUCACAAUUUUAAUAUCUAAUCUAAUCUAAUAUUUGCUCUUGAUUUGCUCGGACUUAACUAUUGUGCUGUAAAGGGAAUAGUCCACAUUUAUAAAGUGCCCACGCCACCAUUGAAAAAGUUAAUUUUGAAUCUAAAUUCGAUUUUAUCUGUAACAAUUUUGUAUUAGACUAUUAAUUUAUUCAUGAUAGUUUGUAUCCCUUGCAUGCUGCGUUACUUACUAAUUUAAUGUAUGUGACUUUUGUAAUAGAUAUUAAUGUAAGAUAUAUUUCGAACUUUACUUUUAUUUGAAUUUUUUUUAUUUUAAUAUGAUUAACUCAAAAUCGAAAAUAAAAAAAUGUAUUAGUUAUUCGGGGAUCGGGGAUCCUCUGUUAUUAUUCGGGGAGGGGAUGAGGAUUCUCUCAAGUAAUUCUGACGGGGACGGAGAGGGGAUGAGGACAUACGCAAAAUAUCGGGGAUGGGUACGGGGAGAUUGGUCCCCUCCCCUCCCCUCCCCUCCCCAUUGCCAUCCCUAACCUCAAGACACCCCUACUGUGUUGGAAUAAUAUUUUUGGGAAUAUCAAUGAAAAGAAAAAAAUGGUAAUUCAUCUAGCCAGCCUUAAACAAAAUAAAUAUUAAUAAAAACUUUUAUGUUAUUAUUUUAGUUUUAGGACUAAUUUCGUAAAUUAAAUUUUUUAUGCAUUUAUUAGUAAGAUUGCUUUAAGAAUAUUAAACAUUACUUUAAGAUGGCUGUUAUUAAUUUAUUUAUAAAGAAUUAUUAGCAAGAUUGUUGUAAAAGUACAAAAAAUACUGGUUAUUUCAUAUUGAUAUUUAUUGAUUAAUUUUCCAAUUAACUUUUUUAUAAAUAAAUAAAUUAAUUUAAGAAUAUUAUUGCCAAGAUAUUAUUGUAAAAGUAAAUAAAAUUUAAGGAAAAAUGUAACGUAUUUAAUAUCAAGGUAUAUUGAGGUAUUUUUUAAAAUAUAAAAACUAAACGAGCAUUGAAGUUAAAAUAUAGGUACCAGACGAGCAUUUUCUCUUUUAGAAAGUUUUAUAUUUUAUUAAUGAAAGUCUGAAUAACAAAAUUAAGGUUUUGGACUUCUUUUAAACUAAACUUAAAUAUCACAAAUUUACCAAAAUAAGUAAACCUAACAUAUUACUACAUAAUAACAUUCUCCUAACUGAAAUAAGAUAAAUGUUACUCAAAUUCUAUAUCUAGAAAAAAAAAGAUAAAAAUCCUGAAAACAAUAGGAAAAUAGAUCUUAAACUUGUAAAAUAAUAUGAAAUAAAUAUAAUUUUCAAUCGAACCACGAGACUAAUGCGGUGCUACAGUAUUAGAUUAGAUUCCCCUCGUCGCGAACUUCGAAAUGUAUAUUAUACACCCUAAAUAGAUACUUAUAGCUCAAGUUGUUACCCUAGAGAGAUACUCCACUCAUCCUACGCAACCAUCCGCUGCAUCAAAUUCGUUCCAAAAUUAAGAAUAAACCAGCUGAUGCAUUCCAAAUAAUUUAGAUGAAACGAUAAAAUAAACCUAGAGAUCAAAUAACAUGAAAUGAAAAAGAUAAUUACCUUGGACUGAAGCUCAUACAAAUUCAUUAUUUGACACCUGCAGCAAUUGUUGAAAUAAUAGUUAAUGAAAUAUAAAAUAAGACAAGUACAUAUUAAUGAAACACCACUGUGAAUCGAUAGCUAAGGACGGAGUAAAAUUUAAUUGUAAAUUAGGACAGUAGAGCAAGCAUCCAUAAACAUAACAUGAACGUAAUACAUCAAUUGAAAUAUCAUAGGAUAAAUUAGGACGUCAGAGAAAGAAAUAAGUAAAUAAAUCAGCAAAGGAAACAUGCAUAAACAAAUAAAAAAACAAAGACAAAAUAAGGAAGAGUUUGUGAUAAUUUUCUUCUAUGGUCAUUGAAGUCCAAAAACUAAUAAGGAUCGAGCAAUUGAACGGUUGCAAACUCAAUGGAACCUUAAAAAUGAACAGUGAAGGAAAAUGAAGAAAUCUGCAGGAAAUAAGGCGAUUGAGAGUGAAGAAUUAAUUACCACUGAGUAAAUGCGAAUGAAGAAUGGAGACAGAUCCUUCUUCGCCCCAUUGAAAAGUGAGAUUCAUAGAUUGUAUUGAAAUUGAGAGUUGAGAUCAAGAAGCGAUUCUUCUUCUCCGUAAUUUCCUUUUUCUUUUAAUGUUGUUAUUAUUAUUAUAUCUUUUUUGAUAUCUUUUUUGUUUUAAACGGUAUUGGCAUAUUCUAUUUAUUUAUGUUAAUUUUACAAUACCUCCCUUCAGAUUGCACAAAUUACAUAAAAAAAAAAAAAAGUGCUUUAUGUAUAAAACUUUCAAACAAAUUGGGCCAAAAUCUAACUUUACCAAGUUUAGAGUAAUUUUGGGCUCGACAUUCCAUUUCCGACAAACGAAUUUUCUUUAUCACCAAGGUAUGAUACUUUUCAUAUUUAUCCAACGGCUCGUCAAUGACAAUACCUUUGUAAAAAGUACUUAUUUUGAAUAGUAUAUUGUGGAAAUGUCUGGUCGGUAAUACAACUAUUUCUUAUAGUGUAAAAAUGAUACACUAAGCGUUCACAUUUUGAUGAGUAAAUUAAGGAUUUCAAGAUGAAGUACAUAAUUAGAUUAAUGCUAAGAAACUGAAGUUUGAUCGAUUGAAAAUGAAAAUAAUAAUGAAGGUAAUUAAGAAAAUGAACAAUAUAUGCAGAAGCGGUCCUUAUUAGGACUUCUAGAUUUUCUCUUGGGCUUUCCUUAUUAUUGUUAAAAAAUGAAACGAAGAACUUUGAGUUUAAAAAUCUGGCCCUGAUGCCUGGUAGCCCUCCAACAUAUGAAGCACCAGAUGUUUUGAUGAGAAAAUGACAAGACCAUUUAUCAAAUUUCUUGUGGAUAUAAAUACAUACACAUAGACGAGACCAACCUCCUCAAAUGAGAAUCAGAGUGAUUAAAAGACCUUGCAAUGAGACAAUGAUACACCAUCAAAUGUCAAAAUACAAUAGAAAUUCACGACAUAUAUAUAAUAAAAGACCUCUCAUUGAGUCAUAUAUAUUGAGAAAAAAAAAUGUUAUAAUACAUACACAGAGCUUAGUUAGAAUAAAAUGUCUUUGAACUUGCGAUGAUCAAACAAAGGAAACAGACAGGUUGUAACUCACACUAUCACAAGAAGAUCACGAAGAUGGAAAUGGGAACCCAUCAGAAUGGAAACUUUGAAUAGAGGAAAAAAGAAAAACGACCUUAUUCACAGAAGAAGAGUGACUUAAAUCUUCAUCAGUAUCCAGACAUUUUGCAAUCAUAGAGUAGAGAAAUUUUAACAGGAACAGCAGAGAAAAUAUUAUGAAUAUGCUAUAGACCAAUAUACUUGUUCAUAGCUGACGUUUGAUGGUUUAAGGAUUUGUUCUAGGAAUAAUGGGCUGAUUACUUUCUUUUUAUUUUUUUAUUUUUUAAUCCAAUGAAUGAUAUUCAGCUGUUAAUUAUGUGUUCAUAGGGAAGAACAUUUUCUAAGUACUUUCCUUGCCUUCUAACUUUCCGAAAAGCAAACCCAAUGAACAAACAGAGGACAAACUAAAAUAAAAGAACAGCAAUGAUGACAAUAAAUAAUUGGCAAAGAAAAAAAAGGAAAAAGUAUGCACGUUUUCAAGGAAUUAUAAAAUAUGAAGGCUUUUAAUGAAACUUAAUCAUAAAAAGUAUGCAAGGAAUUAUAAAAUUUUAGAAAACAAGGGGAGCUCUCAAAAAAAAAUGAAAAACUCAAAUUAAACUAGACUAAAAGACAUUCAAUUUUGCAAAAUCUGUCCAUAAAAGUCUGAAAGGAUCAUUAAAAUUGCAUUGCAAAUUUAACAGUAAACCGAGGGACCCAUUCUAAAUAAUUCAGAUGAAAUUGCGAAACAAGACAUGGGAUUAAAUAAAUGAAAUAAAAAUUAAUUACCAGUUGAGACUUUCUUCUAAAAAUUCGCAACUCCAAGUCAUAAGAAGCCUAUGAAAUUAGUCGUACUGCGUAGAGUAUGACGAUGACACCGCCAACAGUUGAAAGUAAAAUUCUUAUUCAUCAAUUUAAACUUACUUUAUAACAAAUAUCUUAUCUAUAUUGUAUUUAAGAAAUCAAAUUUUGUAAAAAUUUAUCAUGGGAGAUAGAGAGUAAUAUGUAUAUACGUACCUUCUCAGCAUGUAAUUGUUGUAUGGUUGUGUUUAGAUCAUUAUUAGCCCAGCGCCGUUGAUCCGCUGUCUCUCCAUAGCAGACGUUUACUCUUAGAGGCGUGAUUGAUUCUCCUGUAGUGAAAAUCUUCAUCUUGGGACAACCAAUCACCCACAAAUUUUGCAAAGAUGGCAAUUUGACGGUGUAAUUGGCAGAGCAGAAACAAUCUCUUCUUUUUCAACUCCAUCUUUGUCAUUUAUUACCACCUCUGUCAUUGCUCUGCAUCCAUAUAUUUCUAUUGCUACGAGUCGCACCAGAGUUUUUGCUGUGGAGGAUGUUACCAUGUGUAACAAUUUCUUGCAACCGAAAGCCACCACAGCUGUUAGGUUCUGAAAAGAUACCGAUGAUGAUGGCAAUAGAAUUAACAGACUUUGACAAUGAUAUGCUUUUAGAAUUUCAAGAUACUGAAAAAUGGGGCCAAGUUUGGAGUCUUGUUUGCACAGCUGCUUCAGAUGAUAGUGCCAGCGCAGCUCUAAUGUUUUUAUCAUUGCCAACUUUCCCGCAUGUUUCUCUAAGCUUCCUUCCUCCGAAAAUACCUCUUCGUGGAAUGAAAAUUGAAACAGUGAGAGCAUUUCAAGAUUGUGAAAUCUCUCAAGUACAUUCCAGAUUGGAAAACAAGCUGAGUUAUCUUCGGCAAUCUCUAGUUGUUUAAGACUGCCAAAAAGGUGUUGUGGGAAAUCGGCCUGCAAAAUCAUCUUCACGUCUUUUCCAUUCAAUGAUAGGUCCUUCAAGUUGGGUAAGAUCUGAUCAUCAUAAAUCAUAAUAACUAAUGAGGUCAAUUGAUGUUCUCUCAAAUGAUUUUGAGUAAUCCAAUCACAAGCAGUGACUUUAUAGUAUCUGUUUUAUAUUAAUUUUACCCCCCAAAAAAAAUUGAAUUAGUGAUAAAAUUCAUUAUAUGAUUUUUUUAUAUGUUAAUUUUAGAGGUAAAAAAGAAAUUAGGGAAAAAGAGUUGAUUUAUAUUUGCAUGAAAAUAUUUUAUUUCACAACAAUAAAUUAUUAAUUUAUUUUGUAAGUCGUUGUAUAAAGAAAAACUAAGGAUUCUUUACCUAAAAAAGUCCAUAUAAUUAUUAAUCUCCCACAUUGAUCCCUUAGUCAUGACUAGCAAAGAUUUUUAUGUAAUAAAAAUUUUCAAUUUAUUAAGUAUCAAUUUAUAAAUGUUUUGUUACAUUUUUCAAAGUCAAAAAUCGUCAAUGAGCUAUUGAAAAAAAUAUCUAGAAUAUGACUUCAUACCUUUUCCAACGGCAAUAAGGGCUGUUGUGCAGGAAUAUCAAGUUGAUUAUUCUCUUUAUUCUGCGAUAAAUCUGCAGCGAAUAUCUUUAAUUUGUCACAACGACACACUGCAAAAUUUUCUAGUGCUGGCCAUUCCGAAGUAUGCAUUCCUGGGUAUAAACAUCUAAGUUUUGGUAGACCUUGGAGAAUCAGAACGGUGAGCUGUGGAAAGACAAAAUAAGGGAUCACUUCAUCUGCUCUGUUUUCAGAAACGAUCUCCUGUAAAUCCUCACAGAAGCGUAUAUCUAAGUGCUGGAGCUGCUUGAGGUUUCCGAUCAUAGACGCUGAAAAUAUGAUUUAAUUAUUUUCCACGUAUGACAUCAAAAGAGAACGCAUGAUAGAAUAAAAUCUGUUAUAUAUAUAUAUAUAUAUAUGAAGAAAAUGUUAGCCUACUGUUGCGGACAGCCCAAUUCGCUAGCCCAAUUGCCCACAAUUUCGGGCUAGAGAGCCAACACAAGGCCAAGAGUGCUAGCUUGGCCCAAUUCCGGAAGGUUCUAGGCAACUCUAGCACAUGUGAACAUGUAAAUAUUCUAGAAUACUUUAUACAAUUCCAGCACAUGUAGAAUUCUCCAUAGAAUUCCAGCACAUGUAAAUAGCUAGGAAAUGGUAGAAUUCUCUAGAAUCUCUAGAGCUUGGCAAGCCUCCCCUAUAAAUAUGGGAUGACAUUAGGCAUUUGUAUCCAACAAGCAUUGUAAGCAACUCAAGCAUUGUAUUAUCUCUUUGUGCAAUACAAGUUUUCUUCUAUUGGCUCAAUUGCUCUCUCUCUCUUCUCUAGUUCGAGAAGCUCUAGGCUUACUUAGCAACAUUCGGCAAAGUUGUCUAAGUGCCGCACGGGUUAGCUGCGCAAAACACUCAUCCCGUGACAAGUGGUAUCAGAGUUAAGGUUUGCACGCACGCAAAUUAGCUCACGAGCAAUGGCCAACCCUUCGAAUCCAGCACAAGAGGGUGUUGUUGGUGUGGAUGUUCCACCGGAACCAAGCCGCGGCCGAGAGGGAGAACGCGCCCAAGGCAAGACUCGCGGCAAGUCCAAGGUCCCAUCCGUGGAUGCGUUGGAGCCUUGUGUGACUACUCUCGAAAUCGCAUUGUCCGCCGCUCAAGAUAGCCUCGAAGGAUUGGAGGAAAGAGUGGAUGGUCUCGAGGGGGAAUACGUCGAGUUCACGGUGGCCACAAAAGCUCUCAUCCAAGAGCAAGCGAACACUCUCAGAGGUGAGUUUCGUUCUUUCCAUGAUGAGUUGCUAAAACUUCGUAGUUUUGUUCAGGACGAACUACGCAAUGUCCGUGCGGAAGUGGAUGAAGUCCGCUCGGAUUGGGCAUGGCACAAGCGCACACUCUCCUCAAGUCCAGCUUCCGCAAACUCGAGUGAUGCGCGCUGCAUUGACGUGCCAAAGCCCGACACUUACGAUGGCACACGCAACGCCACAAUCGUGGACAAUUUUCUCUUUGGGCUUGAUCAAUACUUCGAUGCCAUGGGUGUCCGAGACGAGGCAUCGAAAGUGGGCACUGCACCCACCUAUCUUAGAGGCACUGCACAACUAUGGUGGCGUCACAAGCAUGGCGAGAUGGGCAAGGGCAUUUGCACCAUCGACACUUGGGCCGACUUCAAGCAAGAACUCCGAAAGCAGUUCGCCCCAAGCAAUGCGGAGAAGGAAGCGCGAGCGCGCUUACGUCGCCUCAAGCAAUCGAGUAGCAUUCAGGACUACAUCAACGAGUUCACUACCCUUAUGUUGGAGAUAAGCGACAUGUCCGACAAGGAUUCACUCUUCUACUUCCAAGAUGGCCUCAAGGAUUGGGCCAAGACCGAGCUUGAUAGGCGUGGUGUUCAAACACUUGACGACGCCAUUGCCGUUGCGGAGUCACUCACCGAGUACUCUACCCAAUCCAAGGACAAAAAGGCCAACCAAGGCAAAGGUGGGGGAGAGAGUCGCAAGGACAAGGGCAACAACCGCAAAGAUUGGGGGCAGAAAAAGCCGCCUAGCAACAAGAGCGGGCAAGGAAAAUCGGAGGGCAAGAAGGAAGUGCCAAAGCCGCGAAGCCCAUGCUUCAUAUGCAAUGGUCCUCAUUGGGUACGCGACUGUCCGGAGAAAAGGUCACUCAACGCUCUUGCUGCCCAACUCAAGAGCAACCCCACAAUGUCCGCGGAGGAACCCCAACUCAGCAUGGGUUCUCUCCAACGCCUCGGCGCACUCAAUCGCCAACAGCCCGCACUCGUCAAGAAAGGGCUCAUGUAUGUAAGCGCAAAGGUAAACGGUCAAUCCGUUCACGCGCUGCUAGACACGGGAGCGACGCACAACUUCGUGUCCAUAGACGAGGCCAAGCGCUUAGGCCUCAAGGCCACCAAGGAAGGAGGCACAAUGAAAGCGGUAAACUCACCCGCCAAGCCAAUUGCGGGGAUCGCACAAGGCGUGCACAUCACACUCGGUACGUGGAGCGGAAAGCUUGACUUCUCUAUUGUGCCCAUGGAGACUUCAAGAUGGUCCUCGGCAUGGAAUUCUUCGACCAAGUCCAUGCCUUCCCGCUGCCCGCUACAAACUCCCUAAGUAUCCUCGAUGGGAGCAAAGCAUGCAUGGUACCCACAGAGCGAGGCAAGUCCGAGGAGAAGACACUCUCCGCCAUGCAAUUCAAAAGGGCUUUCAAGAAGGACCCAAGCUUCUUGGUCUCCAUUCGGGAACUAAACGAGGAAGGAAAUAGCGGAACUUCGCCAAGCCAAGUCCCUCCGCGAGUUCAAGCCGUCCUCAAUGAGUACAAGGAUGUGAUGCCUCCAGAACUUCCGAAGAAGCUCCCACCUUGACGAGAGGUAGACCAUGCGAUCGAGCUGGAAUAAGGCGCGAAGCCACCAGCCUUGGAGCCCUAUCGCAUGGCGACCCCCGAAUUAGAGGAGUUGCGGAGACAACUCAAAGACUUGCUGGACGCAGGCUACAUUCGCCCCUCAAAGGCCCCAUUCGGUGCACCGGUCCUCUUCCAAAAGAAAAAGGAUGGAUCGCUACGGAUGUGCAUCGACUAUAGAGCACUCAACAAGAUCACCAUCAAGAACAAGUAUCUGAUUCCCUUGAUCGCGGACUUGUUCGACCAGCUUGGCAAAGCACGGUACUUCACCAAACUUGACUUGCGCUCCGGGUACUACCAAGUGCGCAUUGCCAAGGGAGACGAACCGAAGACAACAUGCACAACAAGGUAUGGGUCUUUCGAAUUCCUUGUAAUGCCUUUUGGCCUUACUAAUGCACCCACCACAUUUUGCACGCUCAUGAACAAGGUACUCCAACCAUUCCUCGAGCGCUUCGUGGUCGUGUACUUGGAUGACAUAGUGGUGUAUAGCACCACGCUCGAGGAUCAUGCCCAACACUUGCGACAAGUCCUCCAAGUACUUCGAGACAAUGAGCUCUUCCUCAAACUAGAGAAGUGCUCGUUUGCCCAACAAGAGGUGGAGUUCCUUGGCCACAAGAUUGCGGGCGGGAAGAUCAUGAUGGAGAAUGCUAAAGUAAAGGCCAUCCUCGAUUGGGAGCCUCCCUCGAAAGUGCCCGAGCUUCGCUCAUUCCUUGGGCUGGUGAACUACUACCGCCGCUUCAUUAAGGGCUAUUAAGCUAAGGCGGCACCCUUGACGGAUAUGCUCAAGAAAAACAGAACGUGGCAUUGGUCCGAAGAGUGCCAACGCGCAUUCGAGGAGUUGAAAAAGGCAAUUUCGGAGGAACCAGUCCUCGCCCUUCCGGACCACACAAAGCCCUUCGAAGUGCAAACGGAUGCCUCGGAUUUCACCAUAGGAGGAGUCCUCAUGCAAGAAGGCCACCCUAUAGCGUUCGAGAGUCGAAACCUAAAUGAUACCGAACGCCGUUACACGAUGCAAGAAAAGGAGAUGACCGCAAUCAUACAUUGCUUACGGGUGUGGCGACAUUACUUGCUUGGCUCGCACUUCACAAUCAUGACGGACAACGUGGCGACAAGCUACUUUCAAACUCAGAAGAAGUUGAGUCCGAAGCAAGCGCGGUGGCAAGAUUUCCUUGCGAAAUUUGAUUAUCGGCUCGAGUACAAACCGGGUAAAGCCAAUGUCGUUGCGGACGCUCUAAGCCGCAAGGCAGAAUUAGCAACACUUAGCAUGAGCCAACUGAAGUCCGACCUUGUCUCACGCAUCAAGGAAGGCCUCCAACAAGAUCAGCUAGCAAAGGAUUUGCUGGAGAAGGUGCUCGAGGGAAAGACAAGGCGAUUUUGGCAAGAAGAAGGCAUCCUCCUCACCAAGGGAGAUCGGCUGUUCGUGCCAAGGUGGGGAAACUUGCGGAAGGAAGUAAUCAAGGAAUGCCACGACUCCAAGUGGGCUGGUCACCCAGGAAUCGAGCGCACCAUCGCACUAGUCCAAGCCUCGUAUUUUUGGCCGCACAUGAGGGACGACAUCGAGGCAUAUGGAUCAUCAACUUCCAGCGGGAUUAUUGGAGCCGCUACCACUAGCAACAAGGCCAUGGGAAAGUGUCUCCAUGGACUUCAUCACAUCGCUGCCUAAGUCCAAAGGUUGCGGAAGCAUCAUGGUCGUUGUCGACCGAUACAGCAAGUACGCCACAUUCAUUGCCGCACCAGUUGAUUGCAAAGCGGACGAGACAACCCGCUUAUUUGUCAAGCACAUUAUGAAGCUUUGGGGAGUUCCGAAGAGCAUUGUGACUGACCGAGACCCUCGGUUCACUGGACGCUUUUGGACGAAGCUCUUCAAGAUGUUGGGGACCGAUCUUAAGUUCUCAAUAAGCUUCCACCCACAAACGGAUGGGCAGACCGAGCGCAUUAAUGGCCUCCUCGAGAUGUACUUGAGGCAUUAUGUGAGCGCUCACCAGCGGGAUUGGGCGAAGCUACUCGACGUCGCCCAAUUUUCUUAUAACUUGCAGCGAAGUGAGGCUACAGGCAAGAGUCCAUUCGAGAUCAUCAUGGGAUUCCAGCCCAUGACCCCCAAUGCCAUAGCCUCGACUUACGGAGGGAAAAGCCCUGCGGCACACAAGCUCGCCCGCGAAUGGCAUGAGGAAGCGGACAUCACGCGAGCCUAUCUCGACAAAGCCGCGAGGAAAAUGAAGAAAUGGGUGGAUACAAGGAGACGGCAUGUUGAGUACAAGGAAGGUGAUCAAGUCAUGAUUAAGCUCCUACCCCAACAAUUCAAGACUUUGCGGAAAGUUCACAAGGGGUUAGUGAGGUGCUACGAGGGACCCUUCCGAGUUGUUCGACGUGUGGGAAACGUCUCGUAUCAACUCCAACUUCCGCCAAGACUCAAGAUCCAUCCGGUCUUCCAUGUGAGCCUUCUCAAGCCAUAUCACGAAGACAUGGGAGAACCAAGUAGCGGAGAAUCGAGGCGCGUGCCAACUGCCGUUGUCACUGCGUUCGACAAAGAUGUGGACUACAUCAUUGCGGACCGCACGGUUUCGAGGAGGGGCGUGCCAGCACAUAGCGAGUACUUGGUGAAGUGGAAAAACCUCCCCGAGAGCGAAGCCACUUGGGAACGUGAAGAUGAUUUGUGGCAAUUCGCUGAGCACAUCCAGAAUUUCAAGCACGAGAGCGCGACGAGGACGCCGCGAGCUUAGGUGGGGGAGGAUGUUGCGGACAGCCCAAUUCGCUAGCCCAAUUGCCCACAAUUUCGGGCUAGAGAGCCAACACAAGGCCAAGAGUGCUAGCUUGGCCCAAUUCCGGAAGGUUCUAGGCAACUCUAGCACAUGUGAACAUGUAAAUAUUCUAGAAUACUUUAUACAAUUCCAGCACAUGUAGAAUUCUCCAUAGAAUUCCAACACAUGUAAAUAGCUAGGAAAUGGUAGAAUUCUCUAGAAUCUCUAGAGCUUGGCAAGCCUCCCCUAUAAAUAUGGGAUGGCAUUAGGCAUUUGUAUCCAACAAGUAUUGUAAGCAACUCAAGCAUUGUAUUCUCUCUUUGUGCAAUACAAGUUUUCUUCUAUUGGCUCAAUUGCUCUCUCUCUCUUCUCUAGUUCGAGAAGCUCUAGGCUUACUUAGCAACAUUCGGCAAAGUUGUCUAAGUGCCGCACGGGUUAGCUGCGCAAAACACUUAUCCCGUGACACUACACACCUUCUCGUUGAAAAGCAGAGUUGAAGUAUCCUCUUGCGAUGAUGGUCUGUUUGGUGAUGCUAAAGGAGUCUUUACUUCACGGCAGAGAUUUAUGAUAUUUUACAAUCAUGUAUUUAGAUUUACUUUAAUUUUAUGUUUAAAGCUUCUACAAUGAAUAGCGUAGCUUGGGCUUUAGUUUCAUUUUCUAAUUAACUUGUUUUAGUUUAUCUUAUAUGCUCGCCAAGUGCUUGUUAUAUUGUCUGAUAAGUUAUAUAACAUUGCUGAUUCUAUAUUAGUAAUGUCAUGUUCCAUUUUCGGAAAUUAUAACACAAAAGUUUUUACAAUGGCUUGCAUCUACAAACUGAAUUGACUUGUAGAGUAAGAGCUUGGAUUAGUGUUAUGUUCUUGAAUAAAUGAAAGUUCAUAUUGUGUAAGAGCAUGUAGAUAUAAAGCAUCACUACCAUUUCUACAAACUGCUUUCAUUCUGUUCAGAUGCUCCUCUUGAACUUUGAAAGGUGCCUCAUUCAAGUCCUAGCUAUAACUACUAGCUCUGAUUGCUUAAGUUCCUGUGCUAGCUGAAACAGAUUUAUUUAAUUAAUUAAUUGUGUAUGUACUAAUUAUAUUGAAAGUAUAUGAAGAAAUUGUUUAACAUGAAUGACUUCUAAAUGACUUAAAAGCCUAAAGGAUAUGUGAAAUAAUGCUCAUUUCACUUGAACGAGCCUAUUAAUACUUGUAUGUCUAUGAUUGUCAAUCUUGCUUAAGUGUUUCAGUUAAGUGGUUUACCUAACAGGGAAAAAAAUUUAAUGGAAAACUUUAGAGUUCUAACAGAAAUAUAGUUGACUGCAGAUAUAGUUAUUUUACGGUACAUAAAUCAUGUUGUCCUAUUCUCAAUGUCCUACGACCUAUUUUAUUUUAUAUGGUCAUUCAUUUUUGCGAUGGUUUUUUGUGCUUAUGAGUAUGGAAAUAGUGGGAUUUAGAGUGGCAAACAAAAAUAUACAUAUAAUCAAGUUUCUUAAUCAUAUAUAUUGGUUUUGGGUAUGAAUGUUUUCCUAUUCUAGUUCUAAGCAAAGUUUCUUCAUUUUGGUCUUCAGAUUUCCAGUAGGUUAAGUUAAGCAACUAUCAUAACUAGCUAGCUAGUUAUUGCCUGCCUUGUCGCCAUUACCGACGCCAUUACAUUGCAUGGCAUAAGGAAUAGUAACUAGGUGAUUAUUGGUGAUUCGUUGAGUUUAUUAUUGGCCAAACAAACAUAUUGGCCUUUACCCACAACUUAGUUUGAUUAGUUAUUAGAUAAUAAAGAGCCUUAAUCUAUGCAUUGCUUUAUUAUUUUUAUUUGGUUUUUCUUUCAACAAUAUUGUUGAUUUCUUAUAAACAGUACUAGUAGUGAAAAAAUGAUGACAACAACAAAAAUAGAAAAUUACAAGACUGCUGAUAAAAUUUCAUUUGCAUGCAUGUCUGACAAAAUUUCCGUGAUUUAAUGUGCUUUCAUGAACGCAAGUCCUAACGUUUCUGUGAUCACAAAAUGAAACUGAAGAUAAAACAGAACAACUACCAAACCUUUCAAGCUUGACGAAGCCAUGAGAAUUGAUAGCUCAGGCUCUGAUACCAAGUAAAAGUUUCUAAUCUGUUUGGUAAGUAAGAAAAUGAGAGAAAAUGAAAGAAAGAACAUAGAUCAUCUAAGAGCUGGAUUUGAUAAGUAAAUAUGAAUCAUCCAUUCAUUAGCUGAUUGCAAAUGUAUUUAUACAAGUGAUGGUUGUCGAAGCCAACAAAAAUAAAUUCCUACUAUAAAUAAAUUGUGUAUAGUGAUUGAGCAGGGUCGUGUCCACAGAGAUCGGUAAUUAUUUAAAUCCUUUUGAAACGUAAAACGUAAAAUGGGGGAAUUGUUGACAAUAAUAAAAAUCAAAUUAAAAUAACAAGAAUACAAAUUAAAGUUGUAAUUCAAAUUGGAGAAAGCUCUGGUUGAAGGAAUUAACUCAGCUUGAUUCGACUACUGAUCAUUGAUUCAAAUAUAGAUUAUUAUUACUUAUGAAUAGACCGGUUAUAGCUACUGAGACCCUCUAAUAGCCAAUCUCUCCUUAACUAGUCGAUAACCAAGGUAUGACCGUUGGUUAUUUCCCUAAUCAAUAGACAACCCUAGAUACGAUCAUAGGAUUUAAUCAAUUGACAACCUGAAAGACCAGAGAGACCCAAAUCCUAAUCAACACAUACGAUGAUUCAUUUAAAUUAGAUUGUUUAUUCUCAUAACACAACUCACUGCUAUGUUAUUCGUCACAAACAUUAAAAGCUUCAUACGAUGAAUCCUUUAAUUAACAAUAGAUUAAGUUGAUAAUUAAAUAGUGGCCAAUUACCUAAUUAACAAACAUAAUCAUGAAAAUAAUUCAGAGAAUAAACAAAUACCCAAAAAGUAAUAAAACAAUUAAAGUAUAAAAUAGAUCUCACAGUAGUGAUGAAUCAAAACUUCAUUAUCCUUCAACCAGAAAAAUAAGUUUAGUUCUUCAUAGAGAGAAGAGAAAAGUUUAGAUCUAGGGUUUCUCUCUUUUUCUCCAAUCCCCAUUUUUCACAAUAGAUUCCUCCCUUAAAUACUCUCUCUCUCUUCUCUUUUAGAAUUCUAUUUAAAAUAAAAUACUAAUAUCUGAAAUAUUAAAUUCGUAAUUACAAAAAUAACCAAAAAUACAAAACACGUUAAACUAAAAACUGCAGGUCCGCAGUUGACAGCACGUGCCCACGCCUUAUCAACAAAGUUCUUCUGACGCUCAUAAUUUCUCCAAGAGAACAAUCAUCCUUAAACAUCAUCUUGUAACUCAAUUUUAUCACCAAUCAAUAGAAUUGCACCUACAAAAGUAAAACACAAGUAAAUCACUAUUAUUAAGUGCAAAACAUCGAUAUUAAGGGAAGUAAACAAUGCAAAACUAGUGCAUAAAUUGCACUCUAACAACAAGGUUCCUGAACAUUUCAGAUUCUAUAUGCUCGAGCUAAGCACCUGAGAGUUGAGCAGUGUGCACUAACAAACUGCUAACAAAAUAACUAACUCAUGCCAGCUCAGCUAACACGUCAGUAACUCUAACUAUCUUGCUUAACAAACUGAAACAAUAACUAACCAUUUUAACUAUCUUAACAAUCCCAAUAAUUUCUCCAUUUGUGUACUUUUUUGAAUCAUAAUCAAAUGGAUAAAUGUUGCAACUAUUUUUUUAGAUAUUUUCACUUUAGGAUGUCAGCCCGAGGAAGUACGGGGGUCUGAGUUAUUCAACUGAAAAUGUCGGCCAAGUUCUUGCCAUCUCAAGUGCAAAACUGAAAAUGUUACUCGUUCUUCUUAACUUGUUUUCUCAUGCAUCAACCCCACAAAACUGCUCAUUGAAGGGGUAAAAUUUUGAACACACCAUGUGGCAUUUAGACCAUUUGAUAGUUUGUUUCAAACAUAUUUGUUUAUAAAAUACUUUUCUUCAUGGAUUUGGUUACGUAAUUGUCUAUGUAUGUACAGGUUUUAUCGAUACCUCUUUUGACAAGUUACAUAGCAAUGUUAUCUGGGUUCAGCCGUGCCUUAUUGAUAAACUGUGCUUCUGUAAUGAAGAAUGUUUUAUCUGUAAGUGGAUAUCCUAAUCGUUGAUCCAUAUCCAUAAGCAAGUAUGUAUAAAAUUAUUUUAUGUCUUUUUUAUUAGAAAUGUUGUAAUUCUUUUUUACUCUUCCUGAAUUAUAACAGCAGGUGUCUAUAAUAACUGGAUUGUUCCUUCUGCAAAACAGAGCAGUGGUAAAUAUUUUUUUCUUUUGUUUGUCUAGUACAUUUCCAUGAUUUCAGCUUUUUCAAAUUUUGUAUGUGUCAAAGUUUAAAUUUAAUUUGUUGGUUUAUGGCAACAACAGGAACAGAAUCAAAGAGGAGCUGCCAAUGGACUGCUAUGACUGUAGAGUCGCUUACCAAAACUGCUGGUUCAGCUGUAGGAGGUGCUAUGUAGGCGUCCUAUUGAUUUUGUAAAAUUAUAUGUAAAUGAUGUCAUAAUUUUUAUUGUCUCCCCCACCCCCUCUCCCCAAAAAAAAAAAUAUUAAAAAAUUAAAAAAUUAAAAACUAAGGCGUGAUUAAAUUGAUCAUUUGUUUGGUAACAACUUGAUUAAUCGGGUUCUGGCAGAUUUUCUUGGUCACAAAAAGCGUCAAGAUGCUGGUUUCCUCCCAGGUAUGAUGAUUUACUAAUGAAAUUUAUCACUAGUAUGUGAAUUACUUGGUGCUAAUUAACUUAAUCAGCUGCUUAAAUUAAAGUGCAGGUAACCUUAUUUUUUUUUCUUUUUACAAUAAUACUCUUGGAAUAAUAUUUCUGGGAAUAUUAAUGAAAAAAUGGUAAUUCAUCCAGCCAGCCUUAAACAAAAUAAAUAUUAAUAAAAACUUUUAUGUUAUUAUUUUAGUUUUAGGACUAAUUUCGUAAAUUAAAUUUUUUUAUGCAUUUAUUAGUAAGAUUGCUUUAAGAAUAUUAAACAUUACUUUAAGUUGGCUGAUAUUAAUUUAUUUAUAAAUAAUAUUAGCAAGAUUGUUGUAAAAGUACAAAAAAUACUAGUUAUUUCAUAUUGAUAUUUAUUGAUUAAUUUGGCAAUUAACUUUUUUAUAAAUAAAUUAAUUAAUUUAAGAAUAUUAUUGCCAAGAAAUUAUUGUAAAAGUAAAUAAAAUUUAAGGAAAAAAUGCAACGUAUUUAAUAUCAAGGUAUAUUGAGGUAUUUUUCAAAAUAUAAAGACUAAACAAGCACUGAAGUUAAAAUACAGAUACCAAAUGAGCAUUUUCUCUCUUAGAAAAUUUUAUAUUUUAUUAAUGAAAGUCUGAAUAACAAAAUUAGGGUUUUGGACUCCUUUUAAACUAAGCCUAAAUAUCACGAAUUUACCAAUAUAGUAAACCUAAAAUAUUACUGCAUAAUAACAUUCUCCUAACUGAAAUAAGAUAAAUGCUACUUAAAUUCUAUAUCUAAAUGAAAAAAAGAUAAAAAUCUUGAAAACAAUAGGAAAAUAGAACUUAAACUUGUAAACUAAUAUGAAAUAAAUAGAAUUCUCAAUCGAACCACGAGGCUACUGUGGUGCUACAGUAUUAGAUUAGAUUUCCCUCAUUGCUAACUUCAAACUGGUAUAUUAUACACCCUAUAUAGGUACUUAUAGCUCAAGUUAUUACCUUAGAGAGAUACCCUACGCAUCCUACACAACCAUCCACUGCAUCAAAGUCGUUCCAAAACAGUAGUUCACAGUUGGUACUGCACAUGAUGCUUGUUUCUCCUUUUGCAUCAACUUUUGUUGUUAACAUUAAUUUCAAUAGCAGCUCGUUAUGUAUGCAACAUUUCAAAAUUAAUCCAAAAAAACAAAAAUUAGUUCAGCUGACUAAAUUUGAAAGCAUGGAUUUGCUGUCGAUUAAAAAUCGUUUUCUAGGGAAAAUUUUUGGAUUGCAAUUCUCAUACAAUACAUAGAAUUAUCAUAAUCUAUAAAUUGUAUUUUUUCUUUUCUACGGUAGUAAGUCAAGAAUCCUUAGUGACAAUUUAAAUUGAAAAAAUAAAAUCAUAAAUAAGAAUUAUUUGAUAAGAAUUAAAAUAAUUGAUAAAUAUUUGAGAGGAACAAUUUUGGAAGACUCGAUCUAAUAGGAGGAGAAUUUGAAUUUUACAACCUUCCGUGAGGAAUCCAAAAUGCACAAUUUGAUGAAAAUUAAAUUUCAAUAGAAAUUGAAUUCCCAUAUAUUAGUGAAAACCAAACAACAGAAAAGUGAAAGGAAUUUGAAUUCAUUUCCUUCCUGUCUCAUCCCUCCAACUAAACACCAUCGAUACCCAAAGGUAUGGGAUUGGGAUUCCAUACUGAUCAGAAUGGGAUUUGUCCAUAUUAUUAGGACCAAUUUUAAAAGCAGUCGGAGUUUAAAAUUGAAAUUAAUCCCAAUUUUUUAUCAAUUUAUGCAUGAAUUUUUGUACGUUUACUUUGGUUUAUUAUUGUUACUUUUAGACAUUUUUAUUGGUUUGAUUUAGGGUCAUUUUGGUAAUCUUGUAAUUUUUAAAAUAGUUACAGUUAGUUAUGCUGUAGAAAUUGAUCAAUCAUGAAGAGAAUCAGCUGAACAUUUAGUAAAAUUUAUUUUUAAAAGUACUUUGUUUUAAAAGCAGUUGUAUGUGUUUCGUAAAUCUUAUUUUUAAACAGGUGCAAGAAUAUAAAUAACUAAAUUGGACAUAAUACUAAAUAAAAUUUAUUUACACAUUUACAAACAUGUAUAUAAAAUAUUUUUAUUAUGUACAUAUAAUUAUUGAUAACUAAAAUAAAUAUUUUAUAUUAUUAAAUUUUAUUCUUUAUUUUGUUAUCUCAAUAUAAUUGGUAAUAAUAAUAAUCUUUUAAAGUUAAUGAUUUUAUUUCUUAAUUAAUAAAGAUAAUUCUGGAUUUUUAUUAUAUAAUGAGGAUAUAUAUAUAUAUAUAUAGAAUUGGAUUAAGUAUAAAAGUGAUUUUCAAAAUCAAAUUUUGAAAAACUAUUCCUUCCAUACUUUUCAAAAUCCACUGUAUGAUGAGAUGAUUUUUCCAAAAAUAAUUACUAAAAAAUUAUAAAACACUAAAAAUUAGGUUUUAGUUUUUAAAAUCACUUUUGAGCUUCCCAAAAACAAUCCUAACGGGCCUUUAUUUGGGUGGUGUUGGAACUUGUAACUUUUGGAUCUUUUAGUUUUUAUUGGUUUGAUACAAGUGUUACACUAAAAAUUGAAUGCAUCUUAAACCCCAAACUUCUUCUUCUUCUUUUUUGAUUGCACAAAAUUAAAAACAAUAGUGAACGCAUUCUUUAAUAAACAAUAAGUAAUUACUAAAAUUGUGUUAAAGAAUUUAGUUGAAACAUAAAUUGAUUUCAAUGUUGUAUAUGCUAAAUUUCUUAAAAAUUUUCUUUCACAGUCUGCGGAAUAGUUUUAUUAGUAUUUUGAAUAAAUAAAAAUAAUUGAUUUAAUUUUUUAAAGAAAUUUAUUAGGUUCAUGUAAAUACGUUUUUGUUAUUUAAAAAGUGUACAAAGUAAAACUUAAUUUUUUAAAUUUAUUAGAUGAAUGGAUAAAAUAAUUGAGUGUUCAUAGUAAAUUUUAAAGUAUAGAUAGUCAGACCCUAAUAUUUUUAAUAAAUGGAAAUUUUUAAAAUAUGUUAAUGAGAAUUAAAAUGAUAAUUAAGGGAGGCAUUCGAGACAUUCAAGAUUGUUAGGAUAGGACAUGAUUGUGAGCGGUUUGAGAUUGGCCCUAAUUUUGAUCACAAAUAUAUAAGCAGGAUGAGUUUAUCCAUACUUACAUUCCAUUUGAUAAUUAAGAUGAGAGUGGAAUUGUCAAAUCCCAAAUUAUCCCGGACCAUUGCCACCAAAGGUACUCUCACUAAUAAUAUCUAAAGAAAAAUCUACAUCUAUUUCAUACUUUUUUUUUUAAACGGAAAGAGCCCUUAUGGGGCUUGAAAUGGUAUCCUAAAUAAUAUUCAGAAUAUCAGGCCAUGACUGGGUUUGUAACAAACAAAUAUUACAUAGUUGGGAUACGUAGUUGCUAGUGUCCCAAUUUAUGUAGUAUCUAUCAUUUAGUGCACAUAUAAAGUGUUUGGGAAAUGAAAUAGGGUGACCAAGAUAAGGUGUUUGCUCAUAUAUUAUCGUGCUCUCCUCAAAGUAAAAAGUGAAAAAAUAGUUGAUAGACUACUAGGAGUUUAUUUGGUCACCUCGACCAGGAUAUUAUUUGAUGAUCUCGAGCACAUCAUCUUGACUAAGAGAUUAUUUGGUCGCCUUGAGUAUAUCACCUCGACCAGGAGAUUAUUUGGUGACCUCGAGUAGAUCAUCUUGACCAGGAGGUUACUAGGAAGCACGACUCAGUCAAAACAAAUCUCACUUAUUUUCUUCGAAAUAUUGGGGACCAUAUUCUUAGUGGGCUGAAAAUUAGUGGUUUUCUUGAGAGUUUAGGUGAGAGGAUAAAAACCGCUAUAAUUUGCUCUAAAAAUCCUGGGAAAGGGGGGGAAAUAGGGAGAUUCUUUUUAUCUCUCUCUCUUUGGGUGACUGAACCCAUGGGAUCUUUUUCUCUCUACCACUGGGAAACUUCUCUUUCUCUCAUGAUUUAUUUUUCUUUAAGAUUGGUUAUUUUUUAUUCUUUUCCCAUAAAUUUACUUAAAAGCUUUUUGUUUAAAGUAUUCAUAAUUAAGCCGCGUGAAUUGUGGUACGGAUUUUUCCAAGUAGACCCAAAUCGCUGACUUGAGCAUCAGAGAAUUUUCUUUAAGAUUGAUUAUUGUUUCCAUAAAUUUGAACCAAGAAGGAUGACGCGAUAAAAUUUGUUUUUAUUGUAUGGUUGAUUUCAUAUCUCAUGCACUCAUUUCUUAAGAUAAUUAGAUUUCAUCUUUUGCAAAUGUGGAAAUAUCAAUUAUGAUCGAUCAAAACAAUCUCAAAACCUUUCAAUGAGACAUAUUUAUAAUACAAUAUUGUGAAAAUUACACCAAAAAUUUAAUUUAUGAUAUAUUAUUGUCCCACCAGCACACAAAAAUGAAUUCGUACAAAUCUAAAAUACUUAGCAAUUUUCAAAUAGAAUUUUAAAUUUAUUUCCAGUUAGAAAACUAUUCGCUGGACUCCGUAUUACUAGCCACCAUGGUAAGCCUAACCGGUUGCCGGCGAAUGGCGUAAAACACCAGCCAUCUUCUUCUUCAUCAUAUUCACCUUUCAUCUUUUGAGUUAAGCCUGUGAUUAUGAGUUUCUUCUCUUACUUAGCUUGUAAUUAUAGAUUUUGAUUCUUUUUAAUUCAUAUUGUAGCCGUUAUUGUCAAUUUUUGUCCCGCCAGCAAUAUUUUUUUAUUCCUACAAGUUGAAAAUGGAUUCAUUUGAAUUACUAUUGAAUUUAGCUUUAAUUUCAAUAUCCAUUCUAAUGUUUUGCUAUUAGAUUUACUUUAAUUUUAUGUUUAAAGCUUCUACAAUGAAUAGCGGAGCUUGGGUUUUAGUGUCAUUUUCUGUAACUUGUUUUAGUUUAUCUUGUACGCUCACCAAGUGCUUGUUAUAUUGUCUGAUAAGUUAUAUACAUUGCUGAUUCUAUAUUAAUAAUGUUAUGUUCUAUUUUCAGAAAUUAUAAUACAAAGUUUUUACAAUGGCGUGCAUCUACAAACUGAAUUGACUUGUAGAAUAAGAGCUUGGAGUAAAUGAAAGUUCAUAUUGUGUAAGAGCAUGUAGAUGUAAAGCGUCAUUACCAUUUCUAUAAAGGACUUUCAUUCUGUUCAGAUGCUCUUCUUGAACAUUGAAAGGUGCCUCGUUCAAGUCCUAGCUAUAACUACUAGCUUUGAUUAAUUAAGUUCCUAUACUAGCUGAAACAGAUUUAUUUAAUUAAUUAAUUGUGUAUGUACUGAUUAUAUUGAAAGUAUAUGAAUUUUUUUUUUUUUUAACAUGAAUGACUUAAAAACCUAAAGAAUAUGUGAAAUAAUGCUCAUUUCACCUGAAUGAGCCUAUUAAUACUUUUAUGUCUAUGAUUGUCAAUAUUGGCUUAAGCAUUUCAGUUAAGUGGUUUACCUAAUAGAGAAAAAAAUUUAAUAGAAAACUUCAGAGUUCUAACAGAAAUAUAGUUCACUAUGCAGAUAUAGUUAUUUUACGGUAUACAAAUCAAGUUGUCCUAAUCUCAAUGUCCUAUGACCGAUUUUAUUUUAUAUAGUCAUUAAUUUUUGCCAUGGUUUUUUGUGUUUAUGAGUUUGAAAUAGUGGGAUUUGGUGUACCUUAUCAUCUUUUGAAAAUUCUCUUUAAGUGUGGCCAACAGAAAUAUACAUAUAAUCAAGUUUCUUAAUCCUGUAUAUUAGUUUUGGGUAUGAAUGUUCCUAUUCUAGUUCUAGGCAAAGCUUCUUUGUUUUGGUCUUCAGAUUUCCAGUAGGUUAAGUUAAUCAACUAUCAUAACUGGCUAGCUAGUUAUUGUCUGCCUUGGCGCCAUUACCCAGGCCAUUAUAUUGCAUAGCAUAAGGAAUAGUGAUUAGGUGAUUAUUAGUGAUUUGUUGAGCUUAUUAUUGACCAAACAAAUGUAUUUGCCUUUGCCCACAACUUAGUUUGAUUAGUUAUUAGACCAUAAAGAGCCUUGAUCUAUUCAUUGGCUUUAUUAUUUUUAUUUGGUUUUUCUUUCAACAAUAUUGUUGAUUUCUUAUAAAAAUAUUCAUUGGUUUUUAAACACCUAAUCAUUGGCUAUAUGAAGCUAAUUAAAACUGAGGCUUUGGAUCAAUUUCUUCUAACAAGAUACAAAUGAGCAAAACCUUUCUCCUCUAAGUAAAUUUUUUUAAUAUCCCUUGAUUUGUAAGGAUCUGGAGGCCUGAAUCCUCUUGAUUUUUUUUAACACUGUCAUUGUUCUUUUUAUUCUGAGAAGGAAAUAAAAGGUUUUAUCUUUCAUACCCGAAUAGUAAGCUGGCCUUGUCUUAACAUGGCCUCCCGAGGACUUGCAAGAUUCAUAGUGCCCCCCACCCCAAAAAAAAAAUCAAAAACACAAAUAGGAAGAUUUUGCAAGAUUCACCACCAGGUUUUUUUUUAAUUUAUUAAUUGUGUGUACGUGCUAGUUAUAUGUUGAAAGAAUAGGAAGAAGUAUUUCAACAUGAAUGACUUAAAACUUAUUGCUCAGUAAAUAUAAUCUGCAUCAGUGCGAAAAUGUAUUUAUCGUUUGUAUUUUUUAUGGUUUUGCUAAAGAAAUGAUAUGUGAAAUAAUGCUACAUUGCAUCAGGAAUAAAUUGAAGAGAUUUAUGAUAUUUAUGUGUUAUUCAAAUUUCAGAUUCAAUUUUAAACUUUUGAUACAUGCAUUGAAAGCUUAGACUUGUUUAAGAAAUUAUUAAUAGACACAUGUUUUAUUAGUUUCAUCUUUGGAUGAUAGUGAGGAUCAUAUGUCUAUUAAUAAUUCUUGAAUUGUCCAGGCUUGGACAGUUUGGGAAUGCAUAGUUCACUCUGGUAGCUAGUAGCUGAAGUUUUUUCCCACGUAAAAAUGGGUUUUUCGGUAGCUGCUCCUCGUGUUCUCUGGGUACGUACUAGGUGAAUGGGUGUCAUGUGUUGUUUUGGCAUAACGCAUAAACACUUAUAUAGCUAUGUCGUGUGCUUGGAGAAUUAUAGGGAGAUGGUGCCGAAAUUUUUAUAAACGUGGAAGAAAACUUUAGGUACUUGAGAUUGAAGAAACUUAUGCAUUCUUGAGUGGGAUAUGUAGGAUUACUUACCUUCUGUAAAUAUGAAGGGAAUGUUGGAUAUAUUGGGGAUAGUGUAGGAGCUGAGUUGGAUGAAUGUAAUUGGUGAUGAUUUUGCUGAGCUGACCUUGGUUUUGAGCUUGUAAUUUUGUUUGUAAAUGGAGUGCUAUCACCAAUGUUGGUUUAUAAAAAUGUUUCAGGACUUGCUGACCUAAUUUUUUGUUUCUAGGUUACAGGCUUUAUAUAUCUGUAAUUGAUAGCCAAGUGAAGUUCUCAGCGCUUGGCGAGGAUAUUUCUUUACAGAAGGUAUUGGAAACUGUUUUUUACAUUAAUUAUCGUUGUUUAUAUACUUUGAUUGUCACAUCUUUUUCUCUGAUUCUUGUGGCUUUGCUUGCUUUCAUAUAUGUAAAUUCUAAUGAAAUUAACCAUAAAAUUGUAAAAUGAUCUUUUUAUUAUAUUGCAAAACUGUGCACACACGAAAAUAUGUUGUUUAGUAGUAGAAAUGAAGAACUAAUUUUUGUAGCGCAUUAAAAGGAGAUAGUCAUGGACAAGUGUUGGGUUGGUUUGCCAAAUAGAUAUCCAAGUCAUAUACUGAUGGCGUUGAAAAAUUUAUAGAUUUUGUAUUUGAGAAUGUUGUUGGUGGUACAAGAAUUUAUUGUCCUUCUUGAUAAGUGUUGUAAUCUAUAUUUCGUUAUAAGGGAAGUGGCUGAUGAUGAUAUGGUUGGAAUGAUACACUGCAUCACGUAAUCAAAUGUUCAAGUUACACGCAGCAUUGUUAUGAACUAUCAGUGGCAACUUGUCUGGGUGGAGUAUUAAAGGUAAAUGAGCAUGUCUUAUUUGCCAACAAAGCACUAGAUCUAAUUGGUUGAUACAGAAUUACAUAGUAGAAAAUUUUGUCACGUGGGUCACCGUCGAUUUUGCCCAACAAAUCAUAGGUUUCGAAAAUAUAGUGUCUUUUGAUAAAACUAGAGAGUAGGGACCAGCACCUUCUCGGUUGUCUGGAACUGAAGUGAAAAAGCAGUUUAAUAUAGUUACUGAGUAUAAGAUUGAAGACUUGAAAAGAGGAGAACGAAUAAAAUGAGAGAAAUGAUAAAAUUACUUGGAAGAAGAACAGCAUUUCUUAAGAUUACUUGGAAGAGAAAUGAUGUGGAAGAUGGCUAUAAAAUAUAAAAGGAAAGGCUUAAAAAGAAAAGCCAUGCCUGUCAAAAACAAAAAACAAUGGCAGCGUCAAAUUUAUAACAAAAAUCAAAACGGUGCGUUUGAGAGUGUAUAAAAUACAUUUAGAGUGGGAGUUGUGUUGUUGCUUGAAGGCAGAAUGUUUGUGAGAUAUUUGUCGACGAAGCCGAAACCAAAGAUGAAGCCCAUCAAAAGUAUUUAUAGUGUAAAAAGUAUAUUGUGGAAAUGUCUGGUCGGUAAUACAACUAUUUCUUAUAGUGUAAAUGAUACACUAAUUUGAAUUUAUAUGCUUUUAUGAUUAUUUUAUUAUCAAGUGGUGAUCAUAUGUGAUGAUAAACUUAGGUAGUACCUUUAUAUUUAUUGCCUUAGUUUUCUAAGCGUUCACAUUUUGAUGAGUAAAUUAAGGAUUUCUAGAUGAAGUACAUAAUUAGAUUAAUGCUAAGGAACUGAAGUUUGAUCAACUGAAAACGAAAAUCAUAAUGAAGGUAAUUAAGAAAAUGAACAAUGCAGAAGCGGUCCUUAUUAGGACUUCUAGAUUUUCUCUUGGGCUUCCUUAUUAUUGUUAAAAAAUGACACGAAUAACUGAGUUUAAAAAUCUGGCCCUGAUGCCUGGUAGCCCUCCAACAUAUGAAGCACUAGAUGUUUUAAUGAGAAAAUGACAAGACCAUUUAUCAAAUUUCUUGUGGAUAUAAAUACAUACACAUAGACGAGACCAACCUCCUCAACUGAGAAUCAGAGUGAUUACAAGACCUUGCAAUGGGACGAUAACACACCAUCAAAUCUCAAAAUACAAUAGAAAUUCAUGACAUAUGUAUAAUAAAAGACCUCUCAUUGAGUCAUAUAUAUUGAGAAUAAAAAUGUUAUAAUACAUACAAAGAGCUUAGCUAGAAUAAAAUGUCUUGGAACUUGCGAUGAUCAAACAAGGGAAACAGACAGGUUGUAACUCACACUAUCACAGAUGUAGCGACACGAUGCAGUGAAUCACAAGAAGAUCACGAAGAUGGAAACGGGAACCCCUCAGAAUGUAAACUUUGAAUAGAGAAAAAAAGAAAAACGACCUUAUUUCAAAUUGUGCACAGAAGAAGAGUGACUUAAAUCUUCAUCAGUAUCCAGGCAUUCUGCAAUCAUAAAGUAGAGAAAUUUUAACAGGAACAACAGAGAAAAUAUUAUGAAUAUGCUAUAGACCAAUAUACUUGUUCAUAUCUAACGUUUGAUGGUCUAAGGAUUUGUUCUAGGAAUAAUGGGAUGAUUACUUUUUUUUUUUUUUUAAUUUUUGUUAAUCCAAUGAAUGAUAUUCAGCUGUUAAUUAUGUGUUCAUAGGGAAGAACAUUUUCUAAGUACUUUCCUUGCCUUCUAACUUUCCGAAAAGCAAACCCAAUGAACAAACAGAGCACAAACUAAAAUAAAAGAACAGCAAUGAUGAGAAUAAAUAACUGGCAAAGAAAUAAUGGAAAAAGUAUGCACGUUUUCAAGGAAUUAUAAAAUACGAAGGCUUUUAAUGAAAUUUUAUCAUAAAAAGUAUGCAAGGAGUUAUAAAAUUUUAGAAGACGAGGGGAGCUCGCAAAAAAAAAAGAAGAAAAAGACUCAAAUUAAACUAGACUAAAAAGACAUUCAAUUAUGCAAAAUCUGUCCAUAAAAGUCUGAAAGGAUCAUUAAAAUUGCAUUGCAAAUUUAACAGUAAACCGAGGGACCCAUUCUAAAUAAUUCAGAUGAAAUUGCGAAACAAGCCAUGGGAUUAAAUAAAUGAAAUAAAAAUUAAUUACCAGUUGAGACUUUCUUCUAAAAAUUCGCAACUCCAAGUCAUAAGAAGACUAUGAAAUUAGUCGUACUGCGUAGAGUAUGACGACGACACCGCCAACAGCUGAAAAUAACAUUCUUAUUCAUCAAUUUAAACUUUUACUUUAUAACAAAUAUCUUAUCGAUAUUUUAUUUAAAAAAAGCAAAUUUUGUAAAAUUUUUCCAUGGGAGAUAGAGAGUAACAUGUAUAUCCGUACCUUCUCAGCAUGUAAUUGUUGUAUGGUCCUGUUAAGAUCAUUAUUAGCCCAACGCCGUUGAUUCGAUGUCGCUCCACACCAGACAUUUACUCUUGGAGGCGUGCUUGAAUCUCCUGUAGUGAAAGUCUUCAUCUUGGGACAACCAAUCACUUCCAGAUAUUCCAAAGAUGGGAAUUCAAAGGUGUAGUUGGCAGAGCAGAAACUUGUGAGACUUUCUAAAUCACGCAGGCCCAACGCCUUCAAUUUGCGGAAAACAAUCUCUUCUUUUUCAACUCCAUCUUUGUCAUUUAUUACCACCUCUGUCAUUGCUCUGCAUCUACAUAUUUCUAUUGCUACGAGUUGCACUAGAGUUUUUGCUGUGGAGGAUGUUACCAAGUGCAUCAAUCCCUUGCAACCGAAAGCUAAAAGUUUUGUUAGGUUCCGAAAAGAUACCGAUGAUGAUGGCAACAGAAUUAACAGACUUUGACAAUUAUAUACUCUUAGAAUUUCAAGAUACUGAAAAAUGGGGCCAUGUUUGGAAUCUUGUUUGCACAGCUGCUUCAGAUGAUAGGGCCGGUACAGCUUUAAUUCUUUUAUCAUUGCCAACUUCCCCACAUGUUUCUCUAAGCAUCCUUCCAUCGAAAAUACGUCUUCGUCGAAUGAAAAAAAAGACAGUGUGAGUAUUUCGAGAUUGUGAAAUCUCUCCAGUACGUUCCAGAUUGGAAAACAAGCUGAGUCAUCUGCAGCAAUAUCUAGUUUUCUAAGACUGCCAAAAAGGUGUUGUGGGAAAUCGGCCUGCAAAAUUAUCUUCAUGUCUUUUCCGCUUAGUGAUAGUUCCGUCAAGUUGGGUAAGAUCUGAUCAUCAUCAAUCAUAAUAACUAAUGAGGUCAAUUGAUGUUCUCUCAAAUGAUUUUGAGUAAUCCAAUCACAUGCAGUGACUUUAUAGUAUUUGUUUUAUAUUAUACUUUACCCAAAAAAAAAUUGAAUUAUUGAUAAAAUUUAUUAAAUGAUUUUUUAUAUGUUAAUUUUAGAGGUAAAAAAGAAAUUAGAGAAAAAAACGAAAUUAUAUUGCACGAUAAUAAAUUACUAAUUUAUUUUGUAAGUUCUUCUAUAGGAAAGACUAAGGAUUCUUUUACAAAUGUUAUACCUAAAAAAGUUCAUAUAAUUAUUAAUCUAUCACAUUAAUCCCUUAGUCUAGACUAGCAAAGAUUAUUGUAUAAUAAAAGUUUUUAAUUUAUUGAGUAUUAAUUUAUCAAUGCUUUGUUAUAUUUUUCAAAGUUAAAAAAAAAAAUGCUAUUGAUAAAAAAUCUAGAAAAUGGCUUCAUACCUUUUCCAACGGCAAUAGGGGCUGUUGUGCAGGAAUACCAAGUUGAUCAUUCUCAUUAUUCGGCGAUAAAUCUGCAGCGAAUAUCUUUAAUUUGUCACAACGAUACACUAAAAGAAUUUCUAGUGCGGGCCAUUCCGAAGUAUGCAUUCCAGGGUACAAACAUCUAAGUUUUGGUAGACGUUGGAGUCUCAGAGUGGUGAGCUGUGGAAAGACAAAAUAGGGGAUCACUUGAUCUGCUCUGUUUUCAGAAAUGAUCUCCCGUAAAUCCUCACAGUGGCGUAUAUCCAGGUGUUGGAGCUGCUUAAGGCUUCCGAUCAUAGACGCUGAAAAUAUGUAUUUUAAUUUGUGACAACGCCACACAAUCAAUCGUGUUAAACUCUGAAAGCGAGGAAACAUGACCGGAAGAUGAUUGUAGUGCCAAAUCUUGUCGACAUUAAUAUCAGUUAUCUCCAAAGCCUCCAAGUUAGGCAACGCAACCUAAAAAAAUAAGAAUUUCUCAUUAGAUCCAAUAUCCAUAUGGGAAGCACUUGUUGAAAUUUUCUUCUUUGAUUACAAAUUAAUGCAAGUCAGAAUCAAUUUCCAACUGACUGCUGAGUUUGAUGCAUUCUAAUUCAUACAACUUUUUAAGAGCUCAAUUAGUGAGCGUGUGAGAUUCUUUUUAUCCUUUUUUCCAUUUUCCUUCAAUUCUUUAAAUGAUUUAAUUAUUUUCCACGUACGACAUCAAAAGAGAACGUUAUAUAUGAAUAAAAUCUGUUAUAUAUGAAGAAAAUGUUAGCCUACGCACCUUCUCGUUGAAAAGCAGAGUUGAAGUAUCCAAAGUGAUUUCGCUGGAGCAAUACGUAGUCGUCGAUUCCUCUUGCGACGCUGGUCUGUUCGGUGAUGCUGAAGGAGUCUUUACUUCACGGCAGAAAUUUGUAACCUCUGGAAGAUUCCCCAGACUCAAAGAUCUUAAUUGAGCAAACUCUAUCUUCUCAAUUGCAUUAUGAUCAACUUCUUCCCCAAUUGAAAAAAUUUCUUUCAUCUUGCUGCAAUUAAUAACUGCAAUUCUCUCAAGUCUUGGAAGGCAUUUUGUAGUGGAGAGCCAAAAGAUAUUGCUUAACUUAUCACAAUUAUAUGCUUCUACGGUUUUGAGUUUGUUGAAAGACUCUACUUUGAGCCGAUCAAUACAUAUCCUCUCCAUGUUGAUCAAAUUGUGAAGGAUAAGUGACUCCAAAAGAGGAAAGGCACCACAAGCGACCAUCGCCCUUGAAUCGACGAUACAAAAGAAGUCAGGAUUAUUUUGAACGCAGAGGACCUUCAAUUGUGAAAAGCCCUCCGUGUCCAAAUUGAAAAGAACAUUCUCGAUGCCUUGCAGCUUGUCCAACCAUAAGCAUUCAACGUUAUUGAUGCCCUGCAAUUUCAAGGAGCAAAUGUCCAUAAAAUCAAGCUUGAGCUUCAAUGCUCUGGAAAUCUUACGAUCUCUGUCGAUCAAAAAGUGCUGCCGACUUUUAAACCAAUUUUGUCCAGCAAUCAUGGGAUGCAUGAAUGACCCAUUUCCAAUAGAUAUUUUGAACCUUUCGAGCUCUCUGGCCAAAAAGCUUUUUGGUAACAUACUCUCAUUUUUAACAUCAAUUUCUAGAGUGGUUAGCCGACGUAAAUGCAUCAAUUCGUCAAGGCUAGCAUUACUUCUUUUGCUGUUGGCUAUUUCAACCUCCCAUUCAAUGGAGCAAUUAUACAUAUACAAUUCUUCUAAUCGGAUUAAGCUUGAUAUGACAUUUGGAGCAAUAACUUUUAGAUGGAAACAGUCUGUUAAAUCUAACAGCCUUAGCUUAGUCAGUUGACCCAGUGCUUUAGGCAUAUCAGAUUGCAAAAAGCUGAGGAUUUCUAGAUUUUCCAACUUUCCAAUAAUAGCUAUGUCUAUGCCUCCCAAAAUGCUUUGAUUAAGACAGAGUGUCUGAAGAUUUACUAGAAGACCAAUUGAAGAUGGCAAUGACAAUAACCGCAUUCUAGUCAAAUCCAAAACCCGAAGCUUUUUCGUCCUUUUGAAGAAGUUCUCAGGAAUAUUAGGCACAGCAAAAGAGUUCUUGGGAGACAUGACUAGAAGUUCAAGUUGUAGAGAUUCGGACCCUUCAGGAAUGUCAUUAAUAGUACUAUCUUUUAAAGAAAUUGCAAGAUAUUUUUUUAAUUCAUCUGCAUUUGGCCAUUUCCAAUCAUCCUCAUUUCUCACCACAAAUCCAAUUUUGUCACGACAUGCAAUUGAAAUGGCAACAUCGCGAACAACGUCGUGCAUUGAAAAGUAUUUACUGCCACCAUCCUCAAGCAACAAACAAGAGUCUCUUAGUUGAUGGACCCAUGCAUGUAAUUUGUUAUGUGCAUCUUCUAGCUUAUGGACACUUUUAAAUGCACCCAAGCCCAUGCUAUAUUUGAACAAGUCCAUAAUAUAAGUUGGUGUAAUUAGACUACACAGUAAAAAAGUUUUCUUGAGUUGCUCACCUCUUAAGUACUUGUAACUCAGCUCAAUUGUUGAGUAUGCCUCUGCUGGUACUCCUUCGUCGAAGCUCGCCUCUGAAGGCGUUCGGAGUUCUUGCAAGGCAUUCUUCCACACAGGCAGCUCUUUUUUUCUCAGUGCCUUUGCUACUGUGGUUAGGGCAAUAGGCAAACCUCCGCAUGCCUUGGCUACACUUGUUGCUGUAGAUUCUAACUCACGAUUUUCAACAUAAUCACCAGCCAUUAUCUUGAACAAUCUCCACGCUUCUUAUUCAUUUAAAAUGCCAAUCGAGAAGUUUUUUUCAGAUUCCAUCCUUAACAGCACAUCAAGAUCUCUUGUUGUGAAUAAUAAUUUGCAUCCUCUGUGCUCAACUCCAAAAGGAAUUCCAAUAGUCCCCAAAUCAAGAGGUUUCCAGAUGUUAUCCAGAAUCACAAGGAUCUUCUUCUCAUUCUUCACUCUUUCAUAUAGUCUACUAGCUCUUCUAGACUCAGGUUCCUCGGACAACUGUAGGCCUAACGUUUCCGCAAUUUCCUCUUGGAUCUUUUUUAUGUCUGGACUUUGGGUAACCUCCGAAAAAGCCACCAUAUCGUAAAGCUUGUCUUCAAUGGCUCGCCUUGCAAACUCCUUCACCAGUGUCGUCUUUCCAAUGCCGGCCAUGCCGUAGACCCAAAUGAUGCUGACAUCAACAUCGAUCAAUGCAUUUUGUAUGGCCUUCAAAGCAGAAAGUCUUGAUUCGAAGGCCUCGUAGCCUUUGUGAGACUUGAGCCAUAUAUCCUCCGGAACGGUACGGUAGGAAAUUCUAUCAUCAAAUCUCCCAGCUUCUUCUCGGAGUUUAAAAAGGGCCUCCUUCUCUGUUUCUGCUUUCUUUCCAUGCUGAUAGCGAGUAAUCCAAUUAGGAAACAGCCCCAUGAGACAUCGUUCAUUUGCUUUCUCUUCGUCUAGAAUGAAUUUGGCUGCCUGCUCAAUGCUCUUGUUCGCAUUAACCAGCCAUUUCUCAACCUUCUCUUCAAUCUUUUCACUUUUUCUUUCAGCCUCAGAAACUCUGCGCUGAAUGCUUUCUCUUUCAUCCUUGAGCCCAUCGAGUUCUGCCUUGAGAUUCUCAAAGUUGGCAGCGGAGUUAUACCAAUAACUAAAUUCGCGUUGUGCGUGAGGAGACAAGCAGUUUACAACUCCUGGAACAAUGCUUUUCAAAAUGUCCAUUUUUUUUUUGGGUUGGGGGGGGGGGGGGGAGGGAACGAAAUAGAAAUAGAACAGAGUCAACGGCCGCGCAAUUGAUAAUCAAGUAGAAGCAAAACAAGGCAAAAUUGAAAAAAGGGAAAAUCAGUGUAACAGAAGAGAAUCAAAGUGUUUUUGAGAUCAGAAAAUUGAAUCAAGAAAAGGGUUGCUUGAUCCAAUGAAAAUGCAAAGAGCUGAUGGAAAAAGGGAACAAAGAUAAAUAAGAAAACGGCUAGCACGAGCAGUGACCACGAUAAACAGAAGCAAAGUGUGUAUGAGAUCAAAAGACGAAAAUCAGGAGAGGUUUUCUUGAUUGAGAAUUGAAGGCAAAGAGUAGGAGCUGACGAAUACGGGGAUCAAGAGGGAAAAACUGCUUGCUCAUAAAACUACUUUCAAGCGAAUCUGAUAAAAUUAUUUCAAUACUCGUGGGCGACUCCCUUUUAAACCGCAGAAGGAAAAAAAAAAAAAAAAGUUCUGAUUUUCAAUAUAUUAAUUUUUAUCCUAAUUUAUGUUGAGACUCGUAAUCUCGUCUCAAUGAUUAAUUAGUAGAUAAUCUUUCUAACAAAUAUGUGUUGAAUAGAUAUAUUUCUUGACUAUUAGUAGGUUAAAUAUAUUUUAGCAUAGGAAUGAAAGUACAAGUUGUGUCAUAUUAGAAUAAAAAUUUGACCUAAAAAUAUUGUUCUACGACCUUUUAAUUAUUUGUCAGCAAAUAAUUAAGUCAUAUAAAAAAAUUAAUAAUCUGAAUUAGUCUUUAAGUAUUAUAAAUAUUUUUAGAUUUUAAUUAUAAUAUCAUUAUUUAAAAAUAAUUGCUUGACUUACAUUAGUAACAUUACGAUUGUCAUAAAACAUGUGAUCCUCAUCCAAUAUCCAUUAUUUGUGAUCCUUAAUCAAUAAAAUAUCUAACAAUAUCUUCACCUAAAGUUUGAGACAUGUGAUCCUUAUUCCACUGCGUCAAAACAAGGAGAAAAUCAGUGUAACUGAAGAGAAUCAAAGUGCUUUUGAGAUCAGAAAUUGAAGCAAGAAAAGGGUCGCUUGAUCCAAUGAAAAUGCUAAGAGCUGAUGGCAAAAGGGAACAAAGUUAAAUAAGAAAACAGCUAGUGCUAGCAGCGACCACAAUACACAGAAAAUUUGAGAUGGAUUUACAAUAUUUCUGCCUUUCUUUAUGCUUUAACAAAUAUUGCUCUAUCAAAAAAAAUAUUUAGAAUUUUAUUAUUGGAGUCACAAAAGACCUACACAAUAUAGCAAGUGACUAGGAAUAAAUAAGAAUAUAUAACUCUCUCUCUAAUUCUCACUCUAGCUUUUAAUUGUCACUCAAAACCCAGAAUUCAUCCUUAAAGUGUAAGCAAAUCAGAGAUGACAGCGUCUGGUUGUCAUACGUGCCUUUUAGUUUUCGGAUGACAUGGCGUACACUUCUUCUGUAAACCGAACAUGACAUGUCGUACUCUUUGUUUUGAGAUCAUAUUUCAAACUCUUCAUGCUAUGAAUGAAAGAUAAACUACAAUCAUCAAAAUAUUUAGUGUUUAUUUUGUAAUGUAACGUCAUAGUUGUUGUGAAUUGAAAUUAUUUCUGUAAAAUAAAAGGAUUUGGGUCAUCGUUCGUUAUUUUCUAGCAAUAUUGUCUGGUCGUGACUAUUUGUUAAAUAUUAAAAAAAUAAAUUUAUAUUUAUUAAGUAUAAAAAAUAAAUAAACAAACAAAAAUAAAAGGAAAAGUUUAUACAUUACAUAAAAUAAUAAGAACAAUAUCAAUAUUUCACACUCUAUAAUUGAGUGAUGUGUUGUCCAACUGCCACACAUUGGUCCCAAACGGAGACUUAAAUAUUAAAGUCCAAAGUUAUUGUGAUGAUGACUUAUAAUCGCCAAACUUGACAUACGGGUAAUCAUGCAUUAUAAGGUGCUGAUUUCUUCCAAUCGAAACCUUAUUUUUCAUUUACAAAUAAAUAAAUGACGUGACUUAACGAGUGGUGGGGUCCUUUGUGCCAUUUGUGUAUUUCACUGAAUAGUUGAUUCAACUAUUCUGAUCGGAAGAUUCUUGGAAGUUGCCAUUUGCCAAUGCUACUAACAUUUUCAAACUUGGAAAACCCUUCAGUCAAUCUUUUAGUGGUAGGCUCUGGUAGCUUGGUUUGAUUAUGACAUAUGAUUAUUUGAUAAUAAAGUUAGAGGAUGUAUUAAUAUAAAAUUUGUUUAUUGGUGUUGAAGUUAAUUAUCUCAUUAAUAAUAGUAUAAAAUGUUAAUUACUAAGAAACACAUAGCAGUAUUCUGGGAUAUAAUUUUAUAUCAUAACUUUGUAAGUGUAUAAUUACUCAUUAAAUUAACAAAAUUAUUUUAAAAUAUUUAGUUAGAAAAAAUAUAUUAUAUUCUUUUUAUUUCAAAUAAUCUAUAAGUUAACUCAAAACAUAAUCAAGCUGAGAAUUAAAAUAAUGCUACUGUAUGAGAGGAUUUUUAUUUUUUCCCGAAGUUUCACAAGGAAAUUAUUGAUAGAUAGCUUUAUUCGGAUCAUCUCAGUUCAAACGACAAAUAAUUGAAAGACUAAGCUAAAUAGACCAGCCAACAACUUUGUACAAGAGAGUUCAAAAAUUAAAGUCAUGGUAUUAAAGUGUUCUAUCUUGAAAAGUACAGCGUAGUAAUAAAAUAAAAACUAAUAGUCUUUGGUAAGAUAUGACAUUUAAAUAAUAAUUUUCACAAAAAUACAAAGAAUAUUUAUAAAGUACUUCUAUAAUGAGGAGACCCUCACUUUGUUAAAGUGAAAAUAUCAAUAAUAUACAAAAGACAUAUAUUUUAACACAUUAAAAAUUGUAUUUUUUUUUAUCUAUUGGUGUAUUGAAAUGUGUGUUAUUUAGUUUGUUAAUAAUAUCAUCACUUUGUUAAAAUAAUGAUAUCAGAACCAUUAUAUAUACAUAUAUAUAAAGUGCUUCUCUCCAAAAUCUAGACUUUAUUAAAAUUUAAGAAAGCAAAUAUAUUUUGUAUGGUAUAAUAGUGUAAUAACAUCACCCGAGUAUAUCAUAUAGAGUAAUAGUUUUUGGACUUUAAUAAAGGUCAAGAUUAUAGAAUGAAUGAUUUAUAUAUAUUUUAAAUUUUUUAUCAUAAAGUGGAGGACAAAGUAACAUAUUUUUCAAAUUAUAAUAAUUAUUUAUCAAAUAAUUUAACAUCGUAAUUUCUCCUAACUAGUAUAGUAAAUACGACCUAGGAGGUACAUUCAAAGCAUUUCAUAAGUUAAUUGUUAAUAAUAAAUGAUACAUGCAGCUCCAACUAUUAUUGUACGGUGAGUAAUUUCAAUAGAUUUUUUAUGGCUUAAUAAUAAUGAACAUUGAAUGUCAAAAUAUUAAUGGCCAAACAGACCAGCUGCCAACGACUUAUUCCAAUGUGAAUAGUUCACAGUGGGUACUGCACAUGAUACUUGUUUCUCCUUUUGCAUCUACUUUUGUUGUUAACAUUAAUUUCAAUAGCAGCUCGUUAUGUACGCAACAUUUCAAAGUUAAUCCAAAAAAAAAAAAACAAAAAUUAGUUCAGCUGACUAAAUUUGAAAGCAUGGAUUUGCCGUCGAUUAAAAAUCGUUUUGUAGGGAAAAGUUUUGGAUUGCAAUUUUCAUACAAUACAUAGAAUUAUCAUAAUCUAUAAAUUAUUUUUUUGCUUUUCUGUGGUAGUAAGUCCGACUCCUUAGUGACAAUUUAAAUUGAAAAAAUAAAAUCAUAAAUUAGAAUUAUUUGAUAAGAAUUAAAAUAAUUGAUAAAAAUUUGAGAGGAACAAUUUUGGAAGAUUCGAUUUCUAAUAGAAAGGGUGAAUUUUACAGCCUUUGGUGAGGACUCCAAAAUGCACAAUUUGAUGAAAAUUAAAUUUCAAUAGAAAUUGAAUUCCCAUUUAUUAGUGAAAACCAAACAACAGAAAAGUGAAAGGAAUUUGAAUUCAUUUCCUUCCUCUCCUCCCUCCAACUAAACACCAUCGAAAUCCAAAGGUAUGGAUUGGGAUUCCAUAUUGAUUAGAAUGGGAUUUGUCCAUAUUAUUAGGACCAAUUUUAAAAGCAGUCGGAGUUUCGAAGUUUAAGAUUGAAAUUAAUCACAAUUGUUGAUUUGGGACUAGAUAAGAAUUUAUCUUAGAACUCCAAUUCUCCAAAAAAAGUACGCUAGCUUCGCCACUGCACUAGGGACAUAUUAAUCAGGUGGCUUAUAUUACAACCAGAGGAUUUAAAUUUGAUUUAAGAUAUGUGGGGUCUGCUUUUGGAUUUAGAAAAUUUGCUCAUUAAGAGUUGAACCCAAGUGACCUACCGUUAGAUUAGAUUAAUAGUGAUUUCUUGUAGUAAAUAUUUGUGAAUUUGAAAUAUGUGAAUUCUAUCCUGGUGAUACAAAACAAGCUUCUUGUACACGAGAACUAUUUAUUUUUAUGAUUUGGAAACCAAUCUAUAAAGAUGAAUUAAGUUGGCAUAAUGGUACAAAGCAACUUUAAUUUUUCAAUAAAUUCAAAAGUUGGCAAGUUGGUUAUGAUUAUUAUCUUUUCUUUUUUACUAUUUAAACUACAAUUAAUUGAAUCCAAAGACUAAAGGGUUGGAUCGAGAAGAAACUAAUUUUAAGUAGACAUUCCGGCGAAAAUCACUCCCAUGAUCGAGACACUCAUGCAAUCAAUGCAAAAAUGGACACAAAAAUUGUCUACUUAAGUUUGGUGGAAUGAUUUUAAAAAUAGUUUUAUUUGUUUCACACUCGAAUUUGUAUUUUGAAAAAGAGUGGGAGUUAAAAAUUGAUUUACACUUUAUCAAUUACUCUAUUUUAAAAAGAAAUAAAUAUUAAAAAAAUAAAAACAUUAAUUUCUUGUUUGUUUGUACUUACCAUUGUAGGAUAAAUAAAGUGGUUGACAAAAAUUAUAUAUCUUAAAAAUAAAUUCUAGAUUUAUAACUAAUGUAUAAUGAUUUCAAUUCACAUGUUUCAAUCCCAAAUAAAUUCUCCUUUGGUUAUUUGAAUCUUAGCGCGGUAAGAUUUCAUUCUCUUAUAUGCAUUUGUGUAAACUUCUCCCUUUACCUUUAUCAUUUUAUCAACUUUAUUGAUUGCCAAUCAACUUUAGGGUUUAGGCAUGAAUCACACAAGGGAAUGAUAUUGUGGCAAUUUUUUCCCCCUUCUUUUUUCUUUUUGAAAAAAAAAAUUAUUUAUAGCUUUGCUUUGAUGGUAGAAGACUAGAAGACCAAUUAAUUUCUUUUUGUUGCGUGGUGAUAAUAAUGAUGGAAAUUGCUAUGUGCGCGUUGGUGAUUGCAUUGCUAGUCACAUAUUGCUUCCCAUCAUGGAGACAAAGGGGACCCCUCUAUCAAAGCUAGCUGUUGAAAUAUCAUACCCAAAAUCACAUGAAUUCAAAGGUUGAAUGGGAAAACGAUCUUGCUUCUUUGUAUGUUUUAUUUUAUUUAAAGACUUAUUGUUUCCCAUAAGAGAUAAGCUUGGAUCUAUCUUUCCUUUUAAUCAUUUUAGCCUCCAACUCCCAUCUUUUUCAAAAGUUUCGUUUAGCCCAUUUUGAAUGGCAAGGUAAGCUUCAAUUAACGCAACAAGUUCCAGUGAUUCCCGUCAAUAUUCGAUUGCAUGUAUGUAGCUUUGAGUGCUCAAAUUUAUUUUAUUUAUUAGUUGUUAUCACUUAUCAUUUUCUUUUUAAUAAUGAGAUUUGGGCAUUUUCUUUUUAAUAAUGAGAUUCGGGUCCCUGGAUGGUGAUUAGCCAACAGUCUAGUUAUGAGAAAUUAAUGUCUUAAUUACAAUGACAAAAAAGGCAAGUGGGGAUCUCAUUUGCCAUUAGGUAACACAACAUCUUCAGCAUUGGAGCUUUUCUUCCUUUCUCUCCUUCUUUCUUUCUUUCUCAAAAUAAUUGAAAAUCUAAUGCAAUACAAUUAAAUUGAUCAACGAUCUAAUUUAAUCAAUACAUUAUAUUAAGAUAUUUAAAAUAAAAUCGGUUCAAAUGGAAUGAGAAGUUCUACUAAAAAAAUAACAACAUUUAUUCCUUAUUAUUAUUAUUCGAAUUCAAAUAACCUUGGAUUCCAAACGCAUUCAAGACUAGCCAGGCUGCAUAUCCAAGAAGAAAACAAAAUCAAAACUUUAGCCACAAACAUAUACGUGUGUGUGUAUGUGUGUGUGUGUAUAUGUGUGUGUGUGUGUGUGUCUGUGUAUAUAUAGAGAGAGAGAGAGAGUUCUUUCACUAGGUUCAUUUGCGUGAAACUUUUUGAUCAUUUAGGUUUAAGACUAUAUCAUAUAUCCUAUUGCACGAACAUUGAUUAAGAUGAAUGAGUCAAACCCACUAAGCUUGCAACAAAAUCUUUUCAUAGUUACUAGAGAAUAUUUAUAUUUUUUUCAAAUAUUAAUAAAAUUAUUGAAUUGCUUUAUUUAUAGUACGUAUACAAUUAAUAGUGUAUGGAUUUUUUUUUAUCUAUUGGUGUAUUGAAAUAUGUGUUAUUUAGUUUGUUAGUGAUAUAAUCACUUUGUUAAAAUGAGAAUGUCGUUACUAGAGAAUCAUUAUAUAUACAGGGUCCAGCUACAAUACCCAUGGGGUUUGGUACCCCAUUUUUUGUCUUUUUCAAAUCUACCGUUGGAUUUAACGUAAGAAUUGCAGAAUGGCUGAGAUGUAAUUUUUGGGUUAUUAACAACAAAGACCCUUAUUGUUCAUGGAAAAUAAAAAAAAUCAAAAGUUUUGAAAUUAUGACGUAUAAGUCCAUAAUAUUCUCUUUUUUUCUUUUUAACUAUUGAACUCGGUUUCUAAUUAAAUGAAUUUUUCUUACAUUUAUUAAUAUCUAUUUAAAUUAAUAUAUUUUUAAUUAAUAAAUUAACUACUUUAUUAUAUAGUUAAACUAUGUAUAUUAUUUACUAACCAUAAUUAACGAUAAGUAUAAAUAUGAUCUUUUUUUUUUUUUAACAUAAUGGCAACCAAUUUCCUCUCACCUAUGUGAACAAGGUUCAAAACCCAUAAUUUUUUUUUUAACACAAGAGAUUUUAUUAUCUCAAGUAGAUGAAAUAUACAAAAUACAAAAAUAAAUUUAAUUUCAUAUUCUAUAUAGUUAAUUUUUUUUGUAACAUAAUAUUUAUUAAACAUACUAUCAAUUAUUUAAUUAACUAGCAAAAAUAUGUUAAUUUACUAAUAAUAAUCAAAUGUUAGUUUAUGAACUUGUAAAAUCUUUUUUUUUAACAAUGAGUUUUUGUCCUUAAAAUAAAAAAUAACAAUUUAAUUGCACACUUAAAUAAAUUAGUAUUUGUUAAAAAUAGUAAUUUAAUUGCACACUUAAAUAAAUUGGUAUUUGUUACUCCACCCCAAUUAUUUAAAUAGUCAUUAACUUAUCUGAGAGAAGGGUAAAAAAAUUCUAAACAAUUACUCUAUUUGAAAAUAAUUUAAAUAUUUCUUUAGAAAAAUAAACUAAAAAUAAGUAUUUUCUAUUCUUUCUUCUUUCUUGCUAACAUCAAUCAUGGAUAACAAUAGAGAUGGCAAUUCAACACAUAUCUAUCAAUUAAAAUAGAAGUCAAUUAAUAUAAUUAAUUGAAUAAUUAAUUUGUGUCAUGAAUGAGUUAUCGUAUUAGGAGUUAUAAAACCAAACCCAAUAGAAUUAUUAAUCGAGUUAACAGCUAGAAAGAGCAAACAAAUCCAUUCAAGUUGGAUGUCUAAGUAUUUGAACCAAAUAGAUUAGAUAAUAUCCAUCUAAAAUACUCCAAAUUUGAUUUAUUCAAUAUCCAUCUAUGAACUUGAAUAUUAGUGAUAUUUAAGUGUAUGUGACUGAAAUUGAGUAUUAUAUUUAAUAUUUAAGUUUUGUAAGUCAAAUGAAAAAUCAAAAUAAUAUUGCUAAAAAUUAUUGCACCAUCAAUGACAACAAUGACGAUAUCAUCACUAAGAAAUAGAAAUGAGUGAACAGAGAAACAAAAACUAUCAACGUAAUCAAAACUCUCUGAUCAAUGUAAUGGUGGCAAUGUUGCCAGAUAAAUAGAUAUGCCGGCAAUAGAUGAGCAUUCCAAUGCAAACAACUAGAACAAGACCCUAUGAUUAGAUGACGUUUUAACGUAGAGUGGAAGCGAUACUAAAUUUCGUUCUAGUAUACGUCUUGAAAACUCAAGAAAGAGACUCUCACCAAAGAGAAGAUAUUUCAAUUGAGAAAAAACUAAAUAUUAUUAAUGAGAAGCUUGUGUCUGUUAUCAUAAAUUAAGAAUAACAAGCCUAUAUAUAUAAUAGUAGCUAACUUAAUCCUUAUCUUUCUCAAAUAAGAGAAAUAAUCUAAAAUCCUAAUUAAAUUAUAAUUACAAAUAUGACUCAAGUAAGCUUAAUAAAAUAAGAUAAAUCCUAAUAAAAUAUUAAAUUCUAAAUUGACCCAAAUAUUAUAAUUCCUAGUAAAUUCUAAUUUAUUUAUUUAUUUAUUUAUUUAUAAGUUUGUUUGGUUUUUGGGUUUUUUUUUUAAAGAACAGAAAAUUAUAGGUAAUAGUGUAAGUAUAGAAAAGUAAAGAGGCAAAAUUAAAAAUAGGCAAAAGUUGGUGUUGCCGUCGACGGUGGUCGAAAAAUUGGCCUAGGAUAGGUGGAUUUGGAAGAUUUGAUGGUGCUGAGUGUGAUGUUGGUGGUGGUUUGUCUCAAAUAGUUGUGAGUUGACCGAAAAGUUGAGCUAAAGUAGUGGGUGGAGGUUGGUUUCGGUUUCCGGCGAUCCGGCCGGGGGUUGGCAGCGUGAGUGGGUUGAAAAGAAAGAGCUAAUGAUGGUGGACGAAUGAGUGGUGGUGGAGGCUGUGAAUCGCGGCUGAUUGUAGCGAAUGGAGAGGCGGAUUUUCGUGGUGGUUCAGCGGCUGUUUUGGCUAGUUUCCCGUGGCUACGGUGACGAGAUGGUGGUGUUAUGGGUUGGGUUAUGAUUGGCGGCGUGUAGGCUUUCGGAUGGGAGAGAGGAUCGACCGAAAAGAAGAGAAACUGGUGGCGGCAGUAGCCGUGUGUGGCAGAUGUAAUGGCGGCUUCGGGUUUUGCUAGUUUUUUUUUUAACUUGAUGGAACUAAUGUACGGAGUUGGUGGUCAGGAAUGCUCUGCCUGCUACCAAAAAAAGCUCUAAUAUCAUUUGUCUUGAAAAUUAAAAAAAAAAUCCCACUAAGGAUUAAUAUCUUAAUUGUGAAAAUAUUGAAUAUUAUUAAUGAGAAGCUUGUGUCUGUUAUCAUAAAUUAAAAAUAACAAACUUACAUAUAUAAUAGUAGCUAAUUUAAUCUUAAUCUUUCUCAAAUAAGAGAAAUAAUUUAAAAUCCUAAUUAGAUUAGAAUUACAAAUAUAACUCAAGUAAGCUUAAUAAAAUAAGAUAAAUCUUAAUAAAAUAUUAAAUUUUAAAUUGACCCAAAUAUUAUAAUUUCUAGUAAAUUUUAAUUUAUUUUAUUUAAUAUGCUUCCUACAUCACGUUUUAAGGUUCAUUGCCUUUAACAACCAAUUUGAGGGUCUCUAAACUAAAAAAAAAAAAAAAAAAGGUGGUAGUAUAAUGUAACUCCUUGUGUUUUGAUGGUAUAGUUAUUGUUGCACCUAUUUUAGAAGGAGCAUGUAACUUUACAUAUCACCAUUUGCUAGCAUUGAGACUAUCUUUAUGUAAAUCAUUCAAUUUCAAGUCUAAUGGAAUCCUUCAUGUUCCAUUUCGGUUAAUAAUGUCAUUGCACAUGAAGAAACAAUAGUCACUAGUGAUUGUCUAUAUUUUUUAAUGCAAAAUAUCUUUUUGUAAUUAAUUAAAAAAUAAGAAUAAUUUUUUAUUAUUAUUAUGUUUCUAUAUGGAAAAUAAUUUUAAUUACCUUUUAAUUAAAAUGGGUGAGAAAAAUGAUGUCAUUGAUGGUGCAAAAUGGAUGAGAAAAAUGAUGUUAUGUAGGUGUAGGACUAAUGCGUAAAACUUUAAAAUUUUUUAACAUUUUUAUUUUUACAACAAAUAGCAGGACACUAUUAUAAUUAACCUUAAUAAAGACAAAAGAGAGGGGUACCAAACGUAUGUUGCAACAUAGCUUUGCCCAUAUAUACAUAUAUAAAGUGCUUCUAUCCAAGACCUAGACUUUAUUAAAAUUUAAGAAAGCAAAUAUAUUUUAUAUGGUAUAAUAGUGUAAUAACAUCACACUAUUAUAUCAUAUAGACUAAUAGUUUUUUGAACUUUAAUAAAGUUCAAGAUUAUAGAAUGAAUGAUUUAUAUAAAUUAUAAUUUUUUAUCAUAAAUGGAGGAGAAAAUUAACAUAUUUUCAAAUUAUAAUAAAUAUUUAUCAAAUAAUUUAACAUUGCAAUUUCUCCUAACUAGUAUAGUAAAUAAUACGACCUAGGAGGUACAUUCAAAGAUUUUCAUAAGUUAGUUGUUAAUAAUAAAUGAUAUAUGCAGCUCCAAUUAAUCAUCAUUGUACGGUGAGUAAUUUCCAGUUAUAAAUAGAUAUUACUCCCUUCCCAGCAAUUUUUGAUGGCUUAAUUUUGUGGGAUCAAAAUCAACAUUGAAUGUCAAAAUGUUAAUGGCCAAACAGACCAGCUGCCAACAACUUAUUCCAAUGUGAGUAGUUCACAGUGGGUACUGCACAUGAUGCUUGUUUCUCCUUUUGCAUCUAUUUUUGUUGUUAACAUUAAUUUCAAUAGCAGCUCGUUAAUGCCAAUUGUUGAUUUGGGACUAGAUAAGAAUUUAUCUUGGAACUCCAAUUCUCUGAAUUAUUUUAGUUGACAAUAUGUUUAACAUUAUUUUUUUUAACAUUAUUAAUUGCAUAUUAUUUAAUUAUCAAUAUAUAAUAUUCUUUAAUUUUUUAAUUUUAUAGGAUUAGACACAAAAUUGAUUAUACCUUUUGAAAUUUAAGGGUUAUGUCAAUUGAAUAGAAAACUUGGAGUUAAACUUUUGGAUGUUUUUGUUGAUUAUCAAUUUAUGCAUGAAUUUUUGUACGUUUACUUUGGUUUAUUAUUAUUACUUUUAAAUAUUUUUAUUGGUUUGAUUUAGGGUCAGUUUAAUAAUCCUGUAGCUUUUAAAAUAAUUAGAGUUAGCUAUGCUGUAGAAAUUGAUCAAUCGUUAAGAGAAUCAGCUGAACAUUUAGUAAAAUUUAUUUUUAAAAGUACUUUUAGUUUUAAAAGCGUCGUAUGUGUUUCGUAAAUCUUAUUGUUAAACUAGUGCAAAAAUGUAAAUGACUAAAUUGGACAUAAUGCUAAAUAAAAUUUAUUUACACAUUUAUAAACACGUAUAUAAAAUAUUUUUAUUACGUACAUAUAAUUAUUGAUAACUAAAAUAAAUAUUUUAUAUUAUUAAAUUUUAUUCUUUAAUUUGUUAUCUCAAUAUAAUUGGUAAUAGUAAUAACCUCUUUAAAGUUAAUCAUUUUAUUUCUUAAUUAAUAAAGAUAAUUUUGAAUUUUGAUUAUAUAAUGAGGAUAUGUAUAUAAAUAUAUAGAAUUUGAUUAAAUAUAAAAGUGAUUCUCAAAAUCAGAUUUUGAAAAAUUAUUCAUUCCAUACUUUUUCAAAAUCUACUAUACAAUGAGAUGAUUUUGCCAAAAGUAAUUACUAAAAAAAUUUAUAAAACACUAAAAAUUAAUUUUUAAUUUUUAAAAUCACUUUUGAACUUCCCAAAAAUAAUCCUAACGGACCNNNNNNNNNNNNNNNNNNNNNNNNNNNNNNNNNNNNNNNNNNNNNNNNNNNNNNNNNNNNNNNNNNNNNNNNNNNNNNNNNNNNNNNNNNNNNNNNNNNNGUGGUGUUAGAACUUGUGACUUUUGGAUCUUUUAGUUUUUAUUGGUUGAUACAAUUGUUACCUAAAAAUUAAAUGUAUCUUAAACCCAAACUUCUUCUUCUUUUUUUUGACUAACAAAAUUAAAAAACAAUAGUGAACACAUUCUUUAAUAAACAAUAAGUAAUAACUAAAAUCGUGUUAAAUUUCUUAAAAAUUUUCUUUCACGGUCUGCUAAAUAUUUUUAUUAGUAUUUUGAAUAAAUAAAAAUAAUUGAUUUAAUUUUUUUAAAGAAACUUAUUAGGUUCAUGUAAAGAUGUUUUUGUUAUUUUAAAAAGUGUAGAAAGUACUCCUAAAAAAAAAGUGUAGAAAGUAAAACUUAAUUUUUUAAAUUUAUUAGCUUACUGCAUAAAUAAUUGAGUGUUCAUAAUGAUUUUUAAAGUAUAGAUAGUCGGACCCUAAUAUUUUUAAUAUGGAAAUUUUGCUAAUAUGUUAAUGAGAAUUAAAAAGAUAAUUAAGGGAGGCAAUUGAGACAUUCAGGAUAGUUAGGAUGGGACAUGAUUGUGAGUGGUUUGAUAUUAGUCCUAAUUUUGAUCACAAAUAUAUAAACAUGACGAGUUUAUCUCUACUUACAUUCCAUUUGAUAAUUAAGAUGAGAGUGGAAUCGUCAAAUCCCAAAUCAUCCCGGACCAUUGCCAUCAAAGGUACUCUCACUAAUAAUAUCUAAAGAAAAAUGUACAUGUAUUUCAUUUUUUUUUUAAACGGAAAGAGCCCUCAUGGGGCUUGAAAUGUUAUCCUAAAUAGUAUUCAAAAUAUCAAGCCAUGAUUGGGUUUGUGACAAACAAAUAUUACAUAGUUAGGAUACGUAGUUACUAGUGUCCCCAUUUAUGUAGUAUCUAUCAUUUAAUGCACAUAUAAAGUAUUAAUCAGCUUAAUUAAUUUAUAAAAUCUAAAUCUAAUUAAUAAGUGACACAUAAAAGCCAAGUGCAAUAUAUGCAAGUCAUGUUUGUCGAUCAUUACAAAACUAGCUCUUGAAAACAAGCAAGAAAGCUUAAUUAAGAACUUAAAACAAAAAGAAAUUUAGAUUGAGAACAGUCAAGCCUUAUUUUUUUCAAGGAUGGAGCUUAUAAAUCUUCAAGUACCAACAUAUGCUUGGCCCAAUUGUUGUUAUUAAAAAUUCAAUAUAUAUAUAUAUAAGUAUGACAUAGCAAAAAUUUGAUGGUACAUAUGUCGGAAUAUACUAGUUCAUGGAUGCAUUUGAUUAUUGUUUCCAUAAAUUUGAACCAGGAAGGAUAACACGAUAAAAUUUGAUUUUAUGGUAUGGUUGAUUUCAUAUCUCAUGCACUCAUUUCUUAAGAUAAUCAAAUUUUCUCUGGCAUCUUUUGCAACUGUGGAAAUAUCAAUUAUGAUCAAUCAAAACGAUUUCAAAACCUCUCAACGAGACAUAUUUAUAAUACAAUGUUGUGAAAAUUACACCAAAUUUUAAUUUAUUAUAUAUUAUUAUCCAACGAGCACACAAAAAUGAAUUCGUACAAAUAGAGUUUACCAUGUACUACAAGAAACUAGGGUAUAAGUGACCCCUAAUGUGAAUGCAAAAGAAGCCAUUAUGUAUAUCACUAACUUCUAGGCUCUAGCUUUGUACCCCGACUUGCUUUUGUUACCCUUUAUGUGACGGCCACACCGCUAUCACAUAUGUUAGUUACUACCCGCGUGACGGUAAAGAGCCGUUCGGUAUAUUACUAUUUUAUAAUUUUAAAUUUAAAACUAUUUGCUGGACUCCGUGUUACUAGCCACCAUCGUAAGCCUAACUGGUUGCCGGCGAACUGCGUAAAACACUGGCCAUCUUCUUCUUCAUCGUCUUCUCCCUUCAUCUUUUGAGGUAAGCUUGUGAUUAUGAGUUUCUUCUCUUACUUAGCUUGUAAUUAUAGACUUUGAUUUUUUUUUUAAUUCGCAUUGUAGCCAUUAUUGUCAAUUUUUGUCCCGCGAGCAAUAUAUUUUUAUUGCUUCAAGUUGAAGCCCCUGUUUUCUUGUUCCAUUGGUGAGUUUGCUCACUCAAAUUAAUUUUGUUCUGCGGAAUUUGCAACGUUCAAAUGGAUUCGUUUGAAUUACUAUUGAAUUUAGCUUUAAUUUCAACAUCCAUUCUAAUGUUUUGCUAUUAGAUUUACUUUAAUUUUAUGUUUAAAGCUUCUACAGUGAAUAGCGGAGCUUGGGUUUUAGUUUCAUUUUCUAGAUAACUUGUUUUAGUUUAUCUUGUAUACUCACCAAGUGCUUGUUAUAUUGUCUGAUAAGUUAUAUACAUUGCUGAUUCUAUAUUAAUAAUGUUAUGUUCUAUUUUCAGAAAUUAUAAUACAAAAGCUUUUACAAUGGCGUGCAUCUACAAACUGGAUUGACUCGUAGAAUAAGAGCUUGGAGUAGUGUUAUGUUCUUGAAUAAAUGAAAGUUCAUAUUGUGUAAGAGCAUGUAGAUGUAAAGCAUCAUUAUCAUUUCUACAAAGUGCUUUCAUUCUCUUCAGAUGCUCUUCUUGAACUUUGAAAGGUGCCUCGUUCAAGUCCUAGCUAUAACUGCUAGCUUUGAUUAAUUAAGUUCCUAUACUAGCUGAAACAGAUUUAUUUAAUUAAUUAAUUGUGUAUAUACUAAUUAUAUUGAAAGUAUAUGAAACUUUUUUUUUUUCACAUGAAUGACUUCUAAAUGACUUAAAAACCUAAAGGAUGUGUGAAAUAAUGCUCAUUUCACUUGAAUGAGCCUAUUAAUACUUUUAUGUCUAUGAUGUCAAAAUUGGCUUAAGCAUUUCAGUUAAGUGGUUUACCUAGCAGAGAAAAAAAUUUUAAUAGAGAAACUUCAGAGUUCUAACAGAAAUAUAGUUCGCUAUGCAGAUAUAGUUAUNNNNNNNNNNNNNNNNNNNNNNNNNNNNNNNNNNNNNNNNNNNNNNNNNNNNNNNNNNNNNNNNNNNNNNNNNNNNNNNNNNNNNNNNNNNNNNNNNNNNNNNNNNNNNNNNNNNNNNNNNNNNNNNNNNNNNNNNNNNNNNNNNNNNNNNNNNNNNNNNNNNNNNNNNNNNNNNNNNNNNNNNNNNNNNNNNNNNNNNNNNNNNNNNNNNNNNNNNNNNNNNNNNNNNNNNNNNNNNNNNNNNNNNNNNNNNNNNNNNNNNNNNNNNNNNNNNNNNNNNNNNNNNNNNNNNNNNNNNNNNNNNNNNNNNNNNNNNNNNNNNNNNNNNNNNNNNNNNNNNNNNNNNNNNNNNNNNNNNNNNNNNNNNNNNNNNNNNNNNNNNNNNNNNNNNNNNNNNNNNNNNNNNNNNNNNNNNNNNNNNNNNNNNNNNNNNNNNNNNNNNNNNNNNNNNNNNNNNNNNNNNNNNNNNNNNNNNNNNNNNNNNNNNNNNNNNNNNNNNNNNNNNNNNNNNNNNNNNNNNNNNNNNNNNNNNNNNNNNNNNNNNNNNNNNNNNNNNNNNNNNNNNNNNNNNNNNNNNNNNNNNNNNNNNNNNNNNNNNNNNNNNNNNNNNNNNNNNNNNNNNNNNNNNNNNNNNNNNNNNNNNNNNNNNNNNNNNNNNNNNNNNNNNNNNNNNNNNNNNNNNNNNNNNNNNNNNNNNNNNNNNNNNNNNNNNNNNNNNNNNNNNNNNNNNNNNNNNNNNNNNNNNNNNNNNNNNNNNNNNNNNNNNNNNNNNNNNNNNNNNNNNNNNNNNNNNNNNNNNNNNNNNNNNNNNNNNNNNNNNNNNNNNNNNNNNNNNNNNNNNNNNNNNNNNNNNNNNNNNNNNNNNNNNNNNNNNNNNNNNNNNNNNNNNNNNNNNNNNNNNNNNNNNNNNNNNNNNNNNNNNNNNNNNNNNNNNNNNNNNNNNNNNNNNNNNNNNNNNNNNNNNNNNNNNNNNNNNNNNNNNNNNNNNNNNNNNNNNNNNNNNNNNNNNNNNNNNNNNNNNNNNNNNNNNNNNNNNNNNNNNNNNNNNNNNNNNNNNNNNNNNNNNNNNNNNNNNNNNNNNNNNNNNNNNNNNNNNNNNNNNNNNNNNNNNNNNNNNNNNNNNNNNNNNNNNNNNNNNNNNNNNNNNNNNGUUAUUCAAAUUUCAGAUUCAAUUUUAAACUUUUGAUAUGUGCAUUGAAAGCUUAGACUUGUUUAAGAAAUUAUUAAUAGACACAUGUUUUAUUAGUGUCAUCUUUGGAUGAUAGUGAGGAUCAUGUGUCUAUUAAUAAUUCUUGAAUUGUCCAGGCUUGGACAGUUUUGGAAUGCAUAGUUCUCUCUGGUAGCUAGUGGCUGAAGUUUUUGUCCCACGUAAAAAUGGGUUUUUCGGUAGCUGCUCCUCGUGUUCUCUGAGUACGUACUAGGUGAAUGGGUGUCAUGUGUUUGUUUUGGCAAAACACAUAAACACUUAUAUAGGUAUGUCUAGUGCUUGGAGAGCUAUCAUUUCAUAAGAGAGUGUAUUGCAAGAAAAGAAGUGCAAAUCAAGUAUGUAAAAUCACAAGAUCAAGCAGCUGAUAGCUUCACUAAGCCACUCAAGCAAGAAGACUUUGUAAGAUUCAGAAGUUUGCUUGGUGUCACAGGAUCAAGUUUAAGGGGAGAUGUUGGAUCAUAAACUUGAUCCAAGAUGAAUAAAUCAAGCCCAACUCAUGGAAGGUUCCAUGAGUAUGUAUGGUUGGUGAGGUUUGAAUUAUUUGUGUUAGGUGUGUUAGGUGUGGUUGGUGAAGUAGGUGAGUGGUAGGUUUUAAUGGAUGGUGAGAAUUUGUUUAUUAGUUGAAUAAAUGAAUGGUUGUGAUUAGUUUUUUUCAUGUAUAAAUACCCCCUCUCCCCUUUGGUUUAAACAUCAAGUGAAGUAGCAAAAUCUCUAAGGUGUAGAGAGUGAAAAAUAAGAGUUGUAAUUGGUGAGGAGUGUUGUUGAAGAAAUAAAAUAGUGUGUUUUAUGUGAGUUUUAUUUAUUAAUUCUCCAACAUGUAAUUGGUGAUGAUUUUGCUGAGCUGACCUUGGUUUUGAGCUUGUAAUUUUGUUUGUAAAUGGAGUGCUUUCUCCAAUGUUGGUUUAUAAAAAUGUUUCAGGACUUGCCGACCUAAUUUUUGUUUCUGCUAGGUUACAGGCUUUAUAUAGCUGUAAUUGAUAGCCAAGUGAAGUUCUCAGCACUUGGCGAGGAUAUUUCUUUACAGAAGUAUUGGAAACUAUUUUUUACAUUAAUUAUUGUUGUCUAUAUACUUUGAUUUUCACAUCUUUUUCUCUGAUUCUUGUGGCUUUGCUUGCUUUCAUAUAUGUAAAUUCUAAUGAAAUUAACCAUAAAAUUGUAAAAUGAUCUUUUUAUCAUAUUGCAAAACUGUGCACACACGAAAAUAUUCUUGUUUAGUAGUACAAAUGAAAAACUAAAAUGAUUUAUUUAACUAAUAUUUGAGCGCAUUAAAAGGAGAUAGUCAUGGACAAGUGUUGGGUUGGUUUGCCAAAUAGAUAUCCAAGUCAUAUACUGAUGGGGUUGAAAAAUUUAUAAAUUUUGCAUUUUAGAAUGUUGUUGCUGGUACAAGAAUUUAUUGUCCUUUUAAGAAGUGUUAUAAUCUAUAUUUCGUUAUGAGGGAAGUGGCUGAUGAUGAUAUGGUUGGAAUGAUACACUGCAUCACAUAAUCAAAUGUUCAAGUUACACUCAACAUUGUUAUGGACUAUCAGUGACAUGAGUGAACUAGACUGAGAAUACCUUCAGUUAUUGAGCUAAGAAGCCAGCUGAGUAAUGUUUGAUCUUGAGAUCUCCAAAUUGUGUAUUCAGGAUUCUCGAUCUGUUGAGAAGAUCCAGCAGCUCCAGCAGUUGUUGCAGCAAAGCUUGAUGAUGCUAUAAAUCGAUUUGGUGCAAUCUUUUCUCCAUUAAUGUAUCCUUCAAGUCGAUUUCCUCUAAUGGAGGCCAGGACUUGAUUUUUCCAAAGCAUGUAGUUAGAUCUAUCUAAUUUGAUUGGUGUGAUGAAAGAAAAAGUUGUUUGAUUUGCAGCUACUGUAUUUUGAUUGUUUGUGAUUGCCAUGAUUGGCUCUGAUACCAUGAAGAAAUUGUAAAAAUGAAUAAAUGCUGUUGUUUGGCAGCUGAGAAAAUACAGAGGAAAAUUUUAUUUCAUUAAUGAAACUGAUAUUUUGUACAUAACAACAAUCACGAACAUGUAGCUAUUUAUACAUGCUUAUGUUCACUAACUAGUUGCUCACUAACUAAUUAUUAAUCACAAGCUCACUCAGCUAAUUAAUAACCAAACACAGAGUGUGCAUUGUGAAGUUAGUUAGGCUGGUAACUGCUGCUGACGUGGAUCUUCUGACGUGGCACUAAUGACAGCUGGUAACUUGACAUGCUGAUUCUUCUUCUUCACUUCUGCAUAAUGACAUAUCUUCACACCAGUCAAGAAGUUAUUUUCAGAUCCCAUACUUAACAAGACAUUACAAUCCCUUGCUGUUAAUAAUAAUUUGCAUCCUCUAUGAUCAUCGCCAAAAGGAAUUCCAACAGUCUCUAAAUCAAGAUAUUUCCAGAUGUUAUCCAGAAUCACAAGGAUCAUCUUCUCUUUCUUCAAUCGUUCAUAAAGUCUACUAGCUCUUCUAGAUUCAGCCUCCUCGGAAAACUCCAGACCUAGUUUCUCUGCAAUUUCCCCAUGAAUCUUUUUUAUGUCUGGAGUUUGGGAUACCUCUGAAAAAACCACCUGAUCAAAGAGUUUCUCUUCACUGGCUUGCCUUGCAAACUCCUUCACCAGUGUUGUCUUUCCAAUGCCGCCCAUGCCGUAUACCCCAACGAUGUUGACAUUGACAUCAGUCAAUGCAUCUUGUAUAGACUUCAGAGUAGAAAGUCUUGAUUUAAAGGCCUCGUAACCUUUGUUAGACUUUAGCCAUACCUCCUCCGCAAUGGUACGGUAGAAAAUUCUAUCAUCAAAUCUCCUAGCUUCUGAUGAGAUAUAAUUAGUAAUCUAGUAAAUUGAGCAAGAAGUUUGAAGGGUUAUUUGGUUUGUUUUUCAACGUGAAGUAAAGGGUAAAAUUGAUGUUUGCAAUGUGGCUUUGGAAAUGUAAAGCAUGAUUAAUGUAAUCUCCAGAGUUGUCUAUAAUGCAUAUAAAUAUAGAACUCUGGUUGUAUGAAAAGGAAGAGAGAAACGAAAAAAUGAAUUAAGCAAUAAAGUUUCAGAAAUUUCCAGCAAAAUACUCUGUUCUUAAAUAAAAAAAUUUCUGCACUUCCGCUUGCACCCAACAAAUUUGGUAUCAGAGCUUUUCAAAACACCCUCAAAAUGACAUCAAAUACCCUACCCACAUUAUUUUCAUAUGCUCCCAGUCAAGUUCCAAUAUUUGAAGGGGUACAUUAUGAAUAUUGGAGUAAUCAAAUAGAAACCUUUUUCCUCUCUCAAAAUUUAUGGGAUGUUGUUGAAGAUGGAUAUGCUGAACCACCAGAAUUUGCAAGUUCUUCAGAUUGGACUCCAGCACAUCAACAGCAGUACAAAGAAAACAUACAGAGAAAUGCCACGACACUUCGAUAUAUCUAGUAAGGUGUUAGUAAGUCAAUUUUCCCAGAAUAUUUGGUGUCAAAAAGGCCAAAAAUGCUUGGGAAAUCCUAAAACAAGAAUUUCAAGGUUCCGAAAAGGCAGUCACCAUCAAGUUACAAACUUUGUGGAAAGAGUUCAAUAAUUUAUCAAUGAAAGACAGUGAAGGAGUUCAAGAUUUUUGCAGUAGAGUUACUGAGAUUGUGAACCAGAUUAAAGGUUGCGGGGACUCCAUUGAAGACAAGAAGGUGAAUGAAAAGGUGCUGAGAUGUCUUCCUCCAAAUUUUGAUCAUGUAGCAGCAGCCAUUAAAGAAUCAAGGGAUUUGUCCAGGAUGACUUUUUCAGAUUUGUCAGGAUCAUUACGGUCUCAUGAGCAAAGAAUCAAUCGACCUUCAAGUCAGCCUACAGAGCAAGCUUUUCAGUCAAAGAUUAAUAAUUUAGAUCAGAAUAAAAGCAGCAAGAAAGACCAGAAGAACGGAGGCUCGUCUCAAAGAAACGGACAGCGUGGCAAAGGGAAAAGAGAAUAGAACGACAACCGCAACAAGUGGAAAAAUGACAGAGGGAAUUCACAGCAAAAUUCAGAUUCUCGGUGCAUCAUUUGUAAUUGGUCUAAUCAUGAAUUAAAAGAUUGUCGUUAUAAAUGCACAAGGUGUCGCAUUCCUAACCAUUCUCAAAGGGAUUGUUGGUAUCAAAAUAAAAAAGGCAAAAAUGAGGCAAAUUUUACAAAAGAAGGUGAUGGAGAUUACUUGUUUUAUUCAAGUAAAGGUACUGAACGUGAAUCAUAUAAUUUUUGGUACUUGGAUAGCGGCUGCAGCAACCACAUGACUAGAGAACGUGACAUUUUCAUCAGCCUUGACUAAAGUUUUAAUUCGCAAGUGAAGCUUGGAGAUGGAAAGAUGCAGAAAGCUGUGGGAAAAGGCACUAUUGCUGUCCAUACAAAGGGAGGUAACAAAAAGCUCAUUUCUGACGUUCUUUAUGUUCCAAAUUUAACUCAAAACCUCUUGAGUGUGGGACAGCUAAUUCAAAAGGGUUUUUCAAUUUAUUUUGAUGAUGAAAAAUGCAAAAUUAUUGAUAAAACUAAUAAUCACACAGUGGCCGUUGUUGAAAUGUCAAAGAACAAAGUUUUUCCUCUUGUUAUGCCACUUGAUGAGAAUGUUGCUCUCAAAACUGAAAAUUCAGAUUUGUCAACUUUAUGGCAUCUCAGAUAUGGCCAUUUAAACUAUAAAGGGCUGAAUUUGCUCAAGCAAAAGAACAUGGUGAUUGGCCUACCUGAUGUUGGAAGAUAUGAAAAAGUUUGCGAGGGCUGUAUUUAUGGAAAAAUGCAUAGACUUCCAUUUCCUAAAAAUUCAUGGAGAGCCAAAGCUCCGUUGGAGUUGGUGCAUGCUGAUAUUUGUGGUCCUACAAGGACUUUCUCUCUCAAUAACAGGAGAUAUUUCAUUCUUUUUGUUGUUGACUAUACAAGGAUGAUGUGGAUUUAUUUUUUGAAUGAAAAAUCAGAAGCUUUCUCAACUUUUCUUCAGUUUAAAGCUCUUGCAGAAAGGCAAAGUGGAUGCAAAAUGAAGACCUUGAGAACUGAUCGUGGUGGUAAAUUUAUCUACACUCCAUUCAUGAAUUAUUGCGGGGAUAAUGGAAUUCAAAGACAACUUACUGUCAGCCGAAGUCCACAACAAAACGGAGUCGCAGAACGGAAGAACCGUACCAUUGUAGAGAUGGCAAGAAGCAUGUUAAAAGGCAAAGGCAUUCCUAACAACUUAUGGGCAGAAGCAUGUCAUACAGCUGUGUACAUCCUCAACAGGUCUNNNNNNNNNNNNNNNNNNNNNNNNNNNNNNNNNNNNNNNNNNNNNNNNNNNNNNNNNNNNNNNNNNNNNNNNNNNNNNNNNNNNNNNNNNNNNNNNNNNNNNNNNNNNNNNNNNNNNNNNNNNNNNNNNNNNNNNNNNNNNNNNNNNNNNNNNNNNNNNNNNNAUAGUGAUGAGUCUAAAGGGUAUCGGUUGUUGAAUCCUACAACAAAUAAGCUUGUUAUCUCAAGAGAUGUUGUAUUUGAUGAGGCAUCAGCUUGGCAGUGGGAAAACGAUCAAUCUCAAGCAUCUAGCUUUUUUGAAGCUCCUGUAUCUCCACCAAAUUCUUCACAGCAAAAUAAUUUGGAACCAAAUUCUCCAAAUUCAGCAGCAGAAAGUUCUUCGGAUGAUGAAAGCCCUCCAAGGAAGAUAAAGUCAAUGAGAGAAAUUUAUGAGUCAUGUGAACUUGCUUUAUUUUCUUGUGAGCCUCAAGACUUUGAGGAGGCCUCAAGAAAUGAAGAUUGGAUCAAAGCAAUGAACGAGGAAAUGGCCACCAUUGUGAAAAAUAAAACUUGGGAGAUGGUUAAUUUGCCAAAUGGAAAAGAAACAAUUGGGCUGAAAUGGAUCUUCAAAAUCAAGUACAAUGAAGAUGGUUCAGUUCAAAAAUAUAAGGCGCGGCUCGUUGCCAAAGGAUACUCUCAGCUGCCUGGAGUUGAUUUUACAGAAACAUUUGCUCCCGUAGCUCGAAUGGAGACUAUUCGAACUGUUCUUGCCUUGGCAGCCCAAAUGGAAUUAAAUGUGUUUCAGCUAGAUGUAAAAUCGGCAUUUCUAAAUGGUGAAAUUGAAGACGAGGUUUAUGUUGAGCAGCCUAAAGGAGACUAAACGCAACNNNNNNNNNNNNNNNNNNNNNNNNNNNNNNNNNNNNNNNNNNNNNNNNNNNNNNNNNNNNNNNNNNNNNNNNNNNNNNNNNNNNNNNNNNNNNNNNNNNNNNNNNNNNNNNNNNNNNNNNNNNNNNNNNNNNNNNNNNNNNNNNNNNNNNNNNNNNNNNNNNNNNNNNNNNNNNNNNNNNNNNNNNNNNNNNNNNNNNNNNNNNNNNNNNNNNNNNNNNNNNNNNNNNNNNNNNNNNNNNNNNNNNNNNNNNNNNNNNNNNNNNNNNNNNNNNNNNNNNNNNNNNNNNNNNNNNNNNNNNNNNNNNNNNNNNNNNNNNNNNNNNNNNNNNNNNNNNNNNNNNNNNNNNNNNNNNNNNNNNNNNNNNNNNNNNNNNNNNNNNNNNNNNNNNNNNNNNNNNNNNNNNNNNNNNNNNNNNNNNNNNNNNNNNNNNNNNNNNNNNNNNNNNNNNNNNNNNNNNNNNNNNNNNNNNNNNNNNNNNNNNNNNNNNNNNNNNNNNNNNNNNNNNNNNNNNNNNNNNNNNNNNNNNNNNNNNNNNNNNNNNNNNNNNNNNNNNNNNNNNNNNNNNNNNNNNNNNNNNNNNNNNNNNNNNNNNNNNNNNNNNNNNNNNNNNNNNNNNNNNNNNNNNNNNNNNNNNNNNNNNNNNNNNNNNNNNNNNNNNNNNNNNNNNNNNNNNNNNNNNNNNNNNNNNNNNNNNNNNNNNNNNNNNNNNNNNNNNNNNNNNNNNNNNNNNNNNNNNNNNNNNNNNNNNNNNNNNNNNNNNNNNNNNNNNNNNNNNNNNNNNNNNNNNNNNNNNNNNNNNNNNNNNNNNNNNNNNNNNNNNNNNNNNNNNNNNNNNNNNNNNNNNNNNNNNNNNNNNNNNNNNNNNNNNNNNNNNNNNNNNNNNNNNNNNNNNNNNNNNNNNNNNNNNNNNNNNNNNNNNNNNNNNNNNNNNNNNNNNNNNNNNNNNNNNNNNNNNNNNNNNNNNNNNNNNNNNNNNNNNNNNNNNNNNNNNNNNNNNNNNNNNNNNNNNNNNNNNNNNNNNNNNNNNNNNNNNNNNNNNNNNNNNNNNNNNNNNNNNNNNNNNNNNNNNNNNNNNNNNNNNNNNNNNNNNNNNNNNNNNNNNNNNNNNNNNNNNNNNNNNNNNNNNNNNNNNNNNNNNNNNNNNNNNNNNNNNNNNNNNNNNNNNNNNNNNNNNNNNNNNNNNNNNNNNNNNNNNNNNNNNNNNNNNNNNNNNNNNNNNNNNNNNNNNNNNNNNNNNNNNNNNNNNNNNNNNNNNNNNNNNNNNNNNNNNNNNNNNNNNNNNNNNNNNNNNNNNNNNNNNNNNNNNNNNNNNNNNNNNNNNNNNNNNNNNNNNNNNNNNNNNNNNNNNNNNNNNNNNNNNNNNNNNNNNNNNNNNNNNNNNNNNNNNNNNNNNNNNNNNNNNNNNNNNNNNNNNNNNNNNNNNNNNNNNNNNNNNNNNNNNNNNNNNNNNNNNNNNNNNNNNNNNNNNNNNNNNNNNNNNNNNNNNNNNNNNNNNNNNNNNNNNNNNNNNNNNNNNNNNNNNNNNNNNNNNNNNNNNNNNNNNNNNNNNNNNNNNNNNNNNNNNNNNNNNNNNNNNNNNNNNNNNNNNNNNNNNNNNNNNNNNNNNNNNNNNNNNNNNNNNNNNNNNNNNNNNNNNNNNNNNNNNNNNNNNNNNNNNNNNNNNNNNNNNNNNNNNNNNNNNNNNNNNNNNNNNNNNNNNNNNNNNNNNNNNNNNNNNNNNNNNNNNNNNNNNNNNNNNNNNNNNNNNNNNNNNNNNNNNNNNNNNNNNNNNNNNNNNNNNNNNNNNNNNNNNNNNNNNNNNNNNNNNNNNNNNNNNNNNNNNNNNNNNNNNNNNNNNNNNNNNNNNNNNNNNNNNNNNNNNNNNNNNNNNNNNNNNNNNNNNNNNNNNNNNNNNNNNNNNNNNNNNNNNNNNNNNNNNNNNNNNNNNNNNNNNNNNNNNNNNNNNNNNNNNNNNNNNNNNNNNNNNNNNNNNNNNNNNNNNNNNNNNNNNNNNNNNNNNNNNNNNNNNNNNNNNNNNNNNNNNNNNNNNNNNNNNNNNNNNNNNNNNNNNNNNNNNNNNNNNNNNNNNNNNNNNNNNNNNNNNNNNNNNNNNNNNNNNNNNNNNNNNNNNNNNNNNNNNNNNNNNNNNNNNNNNNNNNNNNNNNNNNNNNNNNNNNNNNNNNNNNNNNNNNNNNNNNNNNNNNNNNNNNNNNNNNNNNNNNNNNNNNNNNNNNNNNNNNNNNNNNNNNNNNNNNNNNNNNNNNNNNNNNNNNNNNNNNNNNNNNNNNNNNNNNNNNNNNNNNNNNNNNNNNNNNNNNNNNNNNNNNNNNNNNNNNNNNNNNNNNNNNNNNNNNNNNNNNNNNNNNNNNNNNNNNNNNNNNNNNNNNNNNNNNNNNNNNNNNNNNNNNNNNNNNNNNNNNNNNNNNNNNNNNNNNNNNNNNNNNNNNNNNNNNNNNNNNNNNNNNNNNNNNNNNNNNNNNNNNNNNNNNNNNNNNNNNNNNNNNNNNNNNNNNNNNNNNNNNNNNNNNNNNNNNNNNNNNNNNNNNNNNNNNNNNNNNNNNNNNNNNNNNNNNNNNNNNNNNNNNNNNNNNNNNNNNNNNNNNNNNNNNNNNNNNNNNNNNNNNNNNNNNNNNNNNNNNNNNNNNNNNNNNNNNNNNNNNNNNNNNNNNNNNNNNNNNNNNNNNNNNNNNNNNNNNNNNNNNNNNNNNNNNNNNNNNNNNNNNNNNNNNNNNNNNNNNNNNNNNNNNNNNNNNNNNNNNNNNNNNNNNNNNNNNNNNNNNNNNNNNNNNNNNNNNNNNNNNNNNNNNNNNNNNNNNNNNNNNNNNNNNNNNNNNNNNNNNNNNNNNNNNNNNNNNNNNNNNNNNNNNNNNNNNNNNNNNNNNNNNNNNNNNNNNNNNNNNNNNNNNNNNNNNNNNNNNNNNNNNNNNNNNNNNNNNNNNNNNNNNNNNNNNNNNNNNNNNNNNNNNNNNNNNNNNNNNNNNNNNNNNNNNNNNNNNNNNNNNNNNNNNNNNNNNNNNNNNNNNNNNNNNNNNNNNNNNNNNNNNNNNNNNNNNNNNNNNNNNNNNNNNNNNNNNNNNNNNNNNNNNNNNNNNNNNNNNNNNNNNNNNNNNNNNNNNNNNNNNNNNNNNNNNNNNNNNNNNNNNNNNNNNNNNNNNNNNNNNNNNNNNNNNNNNNNNNNNNNNNNNNNNNNNNNNNNNNNNNNNNNNNNNNNNNNNNNNNNNNNNNNNNNNNNNNNNNNNNNNNNNNNNNNNNNNNNNNNNNNNNNNNNNNNNNNNNNNNNNNNNNNNNNNNNNNNNNNNNNNNNNNNNNNNNNNNNNNNNNNNNNNNNNNNNNNNNNNNNNNNNNNNNNNNNNNNNNNNNNNNNNNNNNNNNNNNNNNNNNNNNNNNNNNNNNNNNNNNNNNNNNNNNNNNNNNNNNNNNNNNNNNNNNNNNNNNNNNNNNNNNNNNNNNNNNNNNNNNNNNNNNNNNNNNNNNNNNNNNNNNNNNNNNNNNNNNNNNNNNNNNNNNNNNNNNNNNNNNNNNNNNNNNNNNNNNNNNNNNNNNNNNNNNNNNNNNNNNNNNNNNNNNNNNNNNNNNNNNNNNNNNNNNNNNNNNNNNNNNNNNNNNNNNNNNNNNNNNNNNNNNNNNNNNNNNNNNNNNNNNNNNNNNNNNNNNNNNNNNNNNNNNNNNNNNNNNNNNNNNNNNNNNNNNNNNNNNNNNNNNNNNNNNNNNNNNNNNNNNNNNNNNNNNNNNNNNNNNNNNNNNNNNNNNNNNNNNNNNNNNNNNNNNNNNNNNNNNNNNNNNNNNNNNNNNNNNNNNNNNNNNNNNNNNNNNNNNNNNNNNNNNNNNNNNNNNNNNNNNNNNNNNNNNNNNNNNNNNNNNNNNNNNNNNNNNNNNNNNNNNNNNNNNNNNNNNNNNNNNNNNNNNNNNNNNNNNNNNNNNNNNNNNNNNNNNNNNNNNNNNNNNNNNNNNNNNNNNNNNNNNNNNNNNNNNNNNNNNNNNNNNNNNNNNNNNNNNNNNNNNNNNNNNNNNNNNNNNNNNNNNNNNNNNNNNNNNNNNNNNNNNNNNNNNNNNNNNNNNNNNNNNNNNNNNNNNNNNNNNNNNNNNNNNNNNNNNNNNNNNNNNNNNNNNNNNNNNNNNNNNNNNNNNNNNNNCUCAAGGAUUUGCAGUUCAAUCAAGAUGCUGCAACAACAAUUUAUUGUGACAACAUGUCAGCCAUUGCUCUAACAAAGAACCCCGUAUUUCAUGCUAAAUCUAAGCACAUUGAGCUGCGUUAUCACUACAUCCGUGACUUAGUAAGCAAAGGAGAAGUUAAUAUGGAGUUUAUCAACACUAAUGAGCAGCCAGCAGAUUUUGUCACGUGGGUCACCGUCGAUUUUUACCAACAAAUCAUAGGUUUCGAAAAUAUAGUGUCUUUUGAUAAAACUAGAGAGUAGGGACAAGCACCUUCUCGGUUGUCUGGAACUGAAGUGAAAAAGCAGUUUAAUAUAGUUACUGAGUAUAAGAUUGAAGACUUGAAAAGAGGAGAACGAAUAAAAUGAGAGAAAUGAUAAGAUUACCUGGAAGAAGAACAGCAUUUUUUAUGAACUAACGUAUUGGUUUUUGAUAUCAUGAUCUUGAUAUCAUGCACUGUUUUGAUUUUUGUUAUGAACUCAGAUCAAAAGUUUAAUGUGAUCAAAAUUUCUUAAAAAUAGUGACAACGACUCCUCCUAAUAACAUUGAAGAUGGCUAUAAAAGAUAAAAGGAAAGGAUUAAAAAGAAAAGCUACGCCUGUUUCAAAAAAAAAAAUGGCGGCAUCAAGUUUAUAACAAAAAUCAAAACGGUGCGUUUGAAAGUGUAUAAAAUACAUUUAGAGCGGGAGUUGCGUUGUUUCUUGAAGGCAGAAUGUUUGUGAGAUUUUUGUCGACGAAGCCAAAACCAAAGAUGAAGCCCAUAGAGCUCAAAACUCCACCGGAGCAAAUUCAGACAAUUACGAGGGUUAUAUUUGACAUGGUCAAGGAAGACGGUCCUCUCACCGUCGCCGAUUCUUGGGAACGCGUCAAGGUGUGUGUAUCUGUUAAAUUGAAUUUCAACCGUUUGGUCUGUAAUUAUAAUUAAUCCUAUCGAUCUGACAGUGAUGAUUGAUCAUAAUACUAGUAGUUGUUUUACAUUUUCUACAAGCUGGAGUGAGUGGAUUGACGGGCAAAAGCCACNNNNNNNNNNNNNNNNNNNNNNNNNNNNNNNNNNNNNNNNNNNNNNNNNNNNNNNNNNNNNNNNNNNNNNNNNNNNNNNNNNNNNNNNNNNNNNNNNNNNNNNNNNNNNNNNNNNNNNNNNNNNNNNNNNNNNNNNNNNNNNNNNNNNNNNNNNNNNNNNNNNNNNNNNNNNNNNNNNNNNNNNNNNNNNNNNNNNNNNNNNNNNNNNNNNNNNNNNNNNNNNNNNNNNNNNNNNNNNNNNNNNNNNNNNNNNNNNNNNNNNNNNNNNNNNNNNNNNNNNNNNNNNNNNNNNNNNNNNNNNNNNNNNNNNNNNNNNNNNNNNNNNNNNNNNNNNNNNNNNNNNNNNNNNNNNNNNNNNNNNNNNNNNNNNNNNNNNNNNNNNNNNNNNNNNNNNNNNNNNNNNNNNNNNNNNNNNNNNNNNNNNNNNNNNNNNNNNNNNNNNNNNNNNNNNNNNNNNNNNNNNNNNNNNNNNNNNNNNNNNNNNNNNNNNNNNNNNNNNNNNNNNNNNNNNNNNNNNNNNNNNNNNNNNNNNNNNNNNNNNNNNNNNNNNNNNNNNNNNNNNNNNNNNNNNNNNNNNNNNNNNNNNNNNNNNNNNNNNNNNNNNNNNNNNNNNNNNNNNNNNNNNNNNNNNNNNNNNNNNNNNNNNNNNNNNNNNNNNNNNNNNNNNNNNNNNNNNNNNNNNNNNNNNNNNNNNNNNNNNNNNNNNNNNNNNNNNNNNNNNNNNNNNNNNNNNNNNNNNNNNNNNNNNNNNNNNNNNNNNNNNNNNNNNNNNNNNNNNNNNNNNNNNNNNNNNNNNNNNNNNNNNNNNNNNNNNNNNNNNNNNNNNNNNNNNNNNNNNNNNNNNNNNNNNNNCAAGCCACAUGAAGAUUGUGUAGAGAUGGAUGAGGGAGAGACAAAAGCUCAGGCUCGUCUGCAACCAUGUGGGCCCUCAUUAGCAACUCCUGUACACAGCUUGGCUUACCAAGCCCAACAACUUGAAGCAGGCAAAGUCAGGGAAUGACCAUUCCCCUUCACAACCCUAGCUGCCUUAACCUUGUAUCUCUGAUAUUUAGUUAAAGAGUAAGAAGAUUGCUCCUCUGUCAAUUACCUUUAAGAGAGACUUUCUUUCUCAUUCAUUGAUGCUUGCUUGUGAACGCAAGGGUUUUAGUUACACUUUCAACGCUGUCAAUGUAGUGACACGAUGAAGAUGAAGUAAAGCAGUAGUAGAAUAAUGAAGUUGGAAGCCCCACAGCAUGAAAACUUUUAAACAGUAACACAUCUUUUAUUCCAGAGGCUGCACACGAGUGACCUGAAUCUUCUUCAGAACUUUCAAAUUUUAUUAAGCAAAGCUUUCAAAAUUUCUCAACAAAAUGAUUAUUUGGUGUGGUUGCGGCAUUUUGAGUAACUGCGAUUUGUUCUCAAGUACAAAAUCCUUGCCUUCCUAAGUUAGAAAAGAUAGAUGUGAAGCAAACCAAAUGAAAUAAAUGGGUAAACAGAACAAACAGGGCGAAAAUUAAAAAUGAUGGCAAUUAACAAAUUAAUAGCAACGUUACAUUUGACUCUUUAGCCCUUUGUUCCUUCUCUUAGCAUUCUUCAAAGUUUUUGAAAAUUGGAAGUGAAGCAAACAAAAUAAAAUAAAUUUAGACAACACAUGCCCUGUAUUCAGCAUCAUAUAUAUCUCGAAGACUAGAAUUUCAAACAGUACUAGUAGUAAAAAAAUGACGACAACAACAAAAAUAGAAAAUUACAAGACUGCUGAUAAAAUUUCAUUUGCAUGCAUGUCUGACAAAAUUUCCGUGAUUUAAUGUGCCUUCAUGCACGCAAAUCCUAACGUUUCUGUGAUCACAAAAUGAAACUGGAGAUAAAUCAGAACACCUACCAAACCUUUGGCUGAAAAUUCAGAAGAAUUUAUAUUCAAGAUGUCAAAGUAAACUGGAAAUUUAUGGCACAUAUUACAAGAAGCAGUACACACCAAUGGUAAAUUGAUUCAUCGUCUUUGAACUUAAGAUAGUCAAAUGAAAGAAACACAACGGAGGGUUAAUGCAAUACAGUAAAGUGAAAACCCUCAGCAUGUAAACUUAACUUCAAAGAACGGAGCACAAGUUUCACAGAAAAGUAGCUCUUAUUCCUGAUGCUGCAAACACAGAGGAGUGUUCUCAAUCUUCUUCAUAACUUGGGAAUUCUGCAAUUAUAGAGCACGACAUUGAGCACGAACUAAAAAAAAAAAUUAUUUUCUACAAUUUUCAUAUAACCUGACUAACCAAUAUUAAUUUUGUGGUAAUGUAUUGGGUCAUUAAUUCAUAUGUUUUUACAAUCAUCACUUUAGAAAAAAACUAAUUUCUCAAUGUGAAAUGGCCCAUUGAAAGUAUUCUCAUUUAAAAACUAAAUUUGACGGACCCCUCGAUUAAAGCAGGGAAAAAAAAAAAAGAGAUCUGAGGCUUUCCACAUGAAAAUGUUGUUUGUCACUUUGAAUGAUAUUUUGAAGGGAUUUCAUUCUAAAAAUAAAAUACCUGGGACCUCAUUCUUCAAAAUUGACAACUCGCCAGGUAUUAAAAGCGUAUGAGAUCAGUACUGCGACGAGUAAGAAGACGACCCCUCUAACAGCUGAAAACAAAAUUCGCAUUCAUCAAUUUAAAUUAAAAUUCAUAUUAUGAAACUAAAACUAAUGAUUAAUGAAUUUUCGAGGAAUUUAAUAAGAUUCUCAGAUAUAAACGUGAUAACAAAUUCACUCAUCAAUAACAAAUAUUCUAACAGUUGUCCGUACCUUUUCUUGAUGUAAUUGUUGUAUGAUUGCGUUAAGGUCAUUAUUAGACCAACGCAGGUUGUCCUCUCUCUGUCCGUACCGGAAGUUUACUCUGACAGGCGUGCUUAAUUCUCUUUUGGUGAAAAUCUUCAUCUUGGGACAACCAAUCACAGCAAGAUCUUCCAAAGAUGGGAAUUUGAAGGUGUAAUUGACAGAGGAGAAGCUUGUGAGACUAUCUAAAUCAAAGAGGGACAACGUAGUCAGUUUGCUGAAAACAAUCUCUUCUUUUAAAUUUGCUGUUUCAUCUUCGUCACUUAUUACGACUUCUGUGAUUGCUCUGCAUCCAAAUACACCCAAUGAUACGAGUCGGUCUAGACUUUUUGCUGUGGAGGAUGUUAGUAAGUUCAUCAAUUUCUUGCAAGCAAAAGCUUGCAGGCGUGUGAGAUUCCGAAAAGAUACCGAUGAUGAUGGCAAUGUUGGAACAUUUUCAAAAUAAAUGUGUCUUAUGGUAAAGACAUGUCCUAUUAAUUGUGCCUUAUAGAAAAUGUACCUUUCACUAAAGACAUGUCUAAUUAAAUGAUGUCUUGUUGUAAGGACAUGUCCAUUUAAUUGUGUCUUGUAGAAAAUGUAUCUUUUUACUAAAUGAUGUAACUUUUCAUGACAACAUUUCACUUAGAGAUGCAUCAUUUCAUGGUGACAUUUCAUUUGAAAUUGUGAUGAUUCAAUUUGGACCAUUGAUUAAAAUCAAAUCUAGAUCCAAUGGCCAUGAAUGAAGGGGUAUCAUGAAAGAUGACAACCCAAAUGAGGGGGCACAAGUAUAUCUAUAAAUAGGGAUCAUGUUUAAGCCAUUUAGACAUGAAAUAAAUGAUCCUACACCACUCUUUUCUUAGCAUUCUUUUCUAGUACGAAUUUCAACACAAAACACCCAUUUCUUUUGUGCAUUCACAUUCCAAUAUAUUGUUUUCUGCAGGAACAAUAUAUUGUUUCUUGGCAGGCUUGCAACAUUCAAGAGUAUUCUGGUUUGCUUUCGUCGAUGCACAGCGCAAGCAAACAAACAAGUGCUUCAUUGUAUCCUGGAGGCGUAUUUGCUUAACCUAUGUGCAUCACUCAAUUGGUGGGGGCAAAUAACGUCUUAAGGAAAGCGACAUUUGUAACGUGCCUUGAAGCACACAAAAUUUCUGCAGUUUCUUCCUAUAUACAGAGUUAGUUGUAAACACAUUACUUUACAUAAUAAAGUUCCACCAUUAUUGUUGUAUUUUUCUACAUUUGCCAUUCCCCAAAAAUUUUACCACCAACAAUCUUAAGACGUUAUUUCUACAACAAUGGCACCAAGUUCAUCUCUUCGACAAUUCACAGUAGAUUUUGUCAAAUUGGAGCGGUUCGAUGGUGGCAACUUUAUUCGUUGGCAGAAAAAGUUGCAUUUCUUGUUGACAAGCAUCAAUGUGGUCUAUGUUCUCACAACACCAAAGCCUCAAGAACGUGAGAAUGAGACAUUAGCGGAAACCAGAGUGCAACAUAAGUGGGAGCAAGAUGACUACGUGUGUAAGGGACACAUUUGCAAUGCCAUGUCUGAUACUUUGUUUGAUCAAUAUCACAACAAACCUACAGCAAAAGAGAUAUGGGACUCAUUAGAGGCUAAGUACAUGAUGGAAGAUGCCACAAGUAAGAAAUUAUUGGCUUCUAAAUUUUUUAAUUAUAGAAUGGUUGAUAAUAGAAUUGUGGUUGAACAACAUAAUGAGAUUUUGCAUAUUCUUGAUCAAUUCAACCAACAUAACAUGAAAAUGGAUGAGUCUAUUAUUGUCUCUUCAAUUAUUGAUAAACUUCCUCCCUCUUGGAAAGACUAUAAGAAAAGUCUUAAACAUAACAAAGAGGAAAUUAGUCUGGAUGGCUUAGGCCAAAGUCUUCGCAUUGAAGAGGAACUCAAGCUUAAUAGUUUUGAGGAUCAGACUACUACGUCCUCUAAAAUUAAUGUCGUAGAGGAAGGGAAGGAGUUUAAACAUUCUAAUCACCCUAAGAAUAAUCAAAAGAGAAAGUUUGAUUCCAAAGAGAAUCAAAACAAUAAGAAGAAAAAGAAGGGUACAUGCCACCACUGCGGAAAACCUGGCCACUUCAAAAGAGAUUGUCGACUUCUGAAGAAACAAAAGAAAGUUUCGAACACAAAUUUUGUGGCCAUGAUAUCUGAGAUUAAUGUUCUUGAAGAUGAUAAUGCAUGGUGGAUAGAUUCAGGUGCAACCAAGCAUGUAUGCAAGGAUCGUAGCCUUUUCAAAUCUUAUAAAGCAAUGGAUGAUGGAAGUGUUCUUUACAUGGGAAAUUCCUCCACUGCAAUAGUUAAAGGAAAAGGCAAUGUGCAACUAGAGUUUACUUCUGGAAAAACUUUAACUCUUAUUGAUGUUUAUCAUGUUCCUGAAGUUAGGAAAAACCUUGUAUCUGGUAGCCUUCUUAAUAAGUUUGGCUUCAAACUUGUUUUUGAGUCAAACCAAUUUAUAUUAUCUAAGGGUGGUACCUUUGUUGGGAAAGGAUACAUGUAUGAAGGAAUGUUUAAACUCAAUAUCAAUAAUAUGAAUGUUUCUUCUGCUUAUAUGGUUGAUUCAUUAUCUUUGUGGCAUAAUCGUUUAGGACAUGUGAAUAUUAGAAGAUUGCAUGAUAUGGCUAAUUUAGAGUUAAUUCCUAAGCAUGAAAAUGAUAUGCAUGAAAAAUGUAAAGUAUGUGCACAGACUAAAAUCACAAGAUCUCCUUUUCCAAAAAUUGAAAAAACAUCUUCUUUAUUGCAUUUAAUUCAUAGCGAUGUGUGUGAUAUGCAUAGUAAUCCUUCUAAAUGUGGUAAAAAAUAUUUUGUAACAUUUAUUGAUGAUUUUUCAAAAUAUUGCUAUGUGUAUUUAUUACAUUCUAAAGAUCAAGUGUUAGAAAAAUUUAAAACUUAUAAAAAUGAAGUUGAGAAUUUUUGUGACACUAAAAUUAAAUGCCUUAGAAGUGAUAAAGGAGGUGAAUAUGCUUUUUCUGAAUUUUGUGAAUCUGUUGGCAUUGUACAUGAAACUAGCACUGCAUGUACUCCACAACAAAAUGGCGUAGCUGAAAGGAAAAAUAGGACAUUAAUAGAAAUGGUUAAUGCUAUGCUUUUUAAUGCUGGGCUUGGUAAAGGUUUUUGGGGUGAAGCUAUUUUAACUGCAUGUCAUAUCUUAAAUAGAGUGCCUAAUAAGAAAACAAAGGUGACCCCAUAUGAAUUAUGGAAAAAGAGAAAGCCUAAUCUUUCUUAUCUAAGAGUUUGGGGUUGUCGAGCCAUUGUAAGACUACCAAAACCUAAGAUAAAGAAAUUAGGAGAAAGGGGCAUUGAAUGCAUAUUCUUGGGAUAUGCUGAGCAUAGUAAAGCUUAUAGGUUUCUUGUAACAGAACCUAAUAGCUUUGUUGAGAUCAAUACUAUAGUGGAAUCUAGAGAUGCAAUAUUAUAUGAAAAUAGAUUUUCCACUAUACCAAAAAGUAUUGAUUCUCAAGAGAAUGAUAAACAAAUAGAAAUUGGUCAAAAGCGUGAUGCUAAUAAUGAGCAAAAUCAUUUGAGAAGAAGUAAAAGAAUAAGGACUAUAAAAUCUUUUCCAGAUUUUAUAGUCUAUUUAGUUGAAGGGACAAGAGACUCACAAUCAAAACAGACCAUGAUCGUAUCUACUAUAGAGUCUGAUCCCCUCACCUAUGAAGAUGCAAUGAAGUCUCAAGAUGCUGCUUUUUGGAAAGAGGCCAUUAAUGAUGAAAUGGACUCUAUUGUGGGUAAUAAGACUUGGAAAUUAGUUGAUUUACCACCUGGCUCUAAUCCUAUAGGUUGUAAAUGGAUUUUCAAAAAGAAGAAGAAAGUUGAUGGAACAAUUGAAAGAUUUAAAGCAAGACUAGUAGCAAAAGGCUUUACACAAAAAGAAGGCCUUGAUUAUUUUGAUACUUAUGCACCUGUUGCAAGAAUUGCUACUAUUAGAGUCUUGAUUGCUUUGGCUUCAAUUUAUCAAUUUGAAAUCCAUCAAAUGGAUGUAAAAACAGCUUUCUUAAAUGGAGAAUUAGAUGAGGAAAUUUACAUGAAACAACCAGAAGGGUUUGUUAUGCCAGGACAAGAACAUAAAGUUUGUAAACUAGUCAAGUCUUUAUAUGGUCUUAAACAAGCUCCAAAGCAGUGGCACGAAAAGUUUGACAAAGUGAUUGUCUCAAAUGGAUUUAAUAUUCAUGAAUCUGAUAAAUGUGUCUAUAGCAGAUUCAAUGGAAAUAAAGGUGUGAUUAUUUGUUUAUAUGUAGAUGACAUGUUAAUUUUUGGUAUUGAUAGUGAGAGCAUUGAACUCACUAAAUUAUUAUUGUCAUCUAAUUUUGAUAUGAAAGACAUGAGACUUGCUGAUGUGAUUUUGGGGAUUAAAAUUAUAAAAAAUGAGAAUGGCCUAGUAUUGACCCAAUCACAUUAUAUUGAGAAAAUUUUAAAGAAAUUUAAUUAUUAUGAUUGUAAGUCUGUGUCAACACCUUUUGAUUCAAACAUAAGACUGUAUCCUAACACUGGCAUAUCAGUAUCUCAAUUAGAAUAUGCACGUAUUAUUGGGUGUUUUAUGUAUGCGAUGACUUGUACUAGGCCUGAUAUUGCUUUCGCUAUUGGAAAGCUCAGUAGAUAUACUAGUAAUCCAAGCCAAGCACACUGGCAAGCAGUGUACAAAAUUCUAAAAUAUUUAAAACAUACAAUGGAUUAUGGUAUAUACUACACUGGAUAUCCUUCAGUUUUGGAAGGAUUUUCAGAUGCUAGUUGGAUUACUGAUCGAGAUGAUCAUACAUCCACAAGUGGUUGGAUUUUUAAUCUUGGUGGAGGAGCUAUUUCAUGGGGUUCAAAGAAGUAAACUUGUAUAGCAGACUCCACCAUGGCUGCAGAAUUUGUAGCGUUGGCUUCAUGUUGCAAGGAAGCUGAAUGGUUAAGGAAUUUGCUUAUAGAAAUUCCUAUUUGGCCUAAACCAAUGCCUCCUGUAUCUAUUCACUGUGAUAGUGAGGCAACUUUAUCAAGAGCAUAUAGUCAAAUCUAUAAUGGAAAGUCUAGGCACAUUGGUCUGAGACAUAGUUAUGUAAGACAAUUACUUACAGAUGGAGUAAUCACAAUUGACUUUGUGAAAUCAUGCCAAAAUUUGGCAGACCCCUUAACUAAAGGUCUUGCAAGGGAUAUUGUAUUUAAAACUUCUAAGGGGAUGGGACUGAAGCCAACAUCAUCUUAUCACCAAUGAUGGAAACUCAACCCAACACUUGAAAUAUCAAGAUCUUGGGUUCAAUGAGCAAAAGUACAUCAUAUGUUGUGAUAGGAAGCACUAUAAUAUUUUUAGAUGCGUCCCAAAGGUUAGUGCUUGAUACUUGUAACAUAUGGGAAAGGUUAAGCUACUUAGCUUUUAAUGGACUUAUAAAUGUUUUAGUUACAGGGACAUUCUAGAUAAGUCUACCUAUGUGAGUGUAUGAGGUGGUGCCGCUUCCUAUGUAACUUGGCUGGUUACUAAAGCGCUAAUGAAAACAGGAUAUAGACACAGGGCCAAUCCACGUGUCGGCUAAGGAAUACUUGAGAAUUUGAAAACUUAUGUGUGAGGUAUAUCCGGUUAGUCGAUUAAGGUCGCUGGUUCAAAGCUUGCCUACCAUGCCACCUUGAUUAACUUUGAUGUAUUGUCACUAAGUGAAGGUUCAAGUCCACAAGACACCUUCAUCUAUGCAUAAGUUUUCCAAGCCUGUGUAAGAUAAUUUUUCAAAAUUCAUUUAUUUUGAAAAUGGUGGGGGAUUGUUGGAACAUUUUCAAAAUAAAUGUGUCUUAUGGUAAAGACAUGUCCUAUUAAUUGUGCCUUAUAGAAAAUGUACCUUUCACUAAAGACAUGUCUAAUUAAAUGAUGUUUUGUUGUAAGGACAUGUCCAUUUAAUUGUGUCUUGUAGAAAAGGUAUCUUUUUACUAAAUGAUGUAACUUUUCAUGACAACAUUUCACUUAGAGAUGCAUCAUUUCAUGGUGACAUUUCAUUUGAAAUGGUGAUGAUUCAAUUUGGACCAUUGAUUAAAAUCAAAUCUAGAUCCAAUGGCCAUGAAUGAAGGGGUAUCAUGAAAGAUGACAACCCAAAUGAGGGGGCACAAAUAUAUCUAUAAAUAGGGAUCAUGUUUAAGCCAUUUAGACAUGAAAUAAAUGAUCCUACACCACUCUUUUCUUAGCAUUCUUUUCUAGUACGAAUUUCAACACAAAACACCCAUUUCUUUUGUGCAUUCACAUUCCAAUAUAUUGUUUUCUGCAGGAACAAUAUAUUGUUUCUUGGCAGGCUUGCAACAUUCAAGAGUAUUCUGGUUUGCUUUCGUCGAUGCACAACGCAAGCAAACAAACAAGUGUUUCAUUGUAUCCUGGAGGCGUAUUUGCUUAACCUAUGUGCAUCACUCAAUUAGUGGGGGCAAAUAACGUCUUAAGGAAAUCGACAUUUGUAACGUGCCUUGAAGCACACAAAAUUUCUGCAGUUUCUUCCUAUAUACAGAGUUAGUUGUAAACACAUUACUUUACAUAAUAAAGUUCCACCAUUAUUGUUGUAUUUUUCUACAUUUGCCAUUCCCCACAAAUUUUACCACCAACAGGCAAUAGACUUAACAGAUUUUGACAGUGAUAUGCUCUUAGAAUUUCAAGAUGUUGAAAAAUGAAGUCCGGCUGUUUGGAAUCGUGUUUCCACAGUUGCUGUAGAUGAUUAAGUCUUGUCAGGUGUAACUCUUUUAUCAGUGCUAGCUUCCUCGCAUGUGUCUCCAAAUACCACUUCGUACGAACAAUCCGACAGGUGGAGAAAUUCCAGAUUGUGAAACCUCUCAAGUAAACCAAGUGGAAAGAAAGCUAAGUCAUCAUCCUCAACCUGUAGUCGUUUGAGACUGCCAAAGAUGUGUUGGGGGAAAUGGCCUUGCAAAAUCAUCGUGAUAUCUUUUCCACUUAAUGCCAGUUCCUCCAAGUUGGGUAAGAUCUGAUCAUCAUCGAGCUCAAAUUAUUAACUCAGCACAUUGAUCCAUAAUUCAAGACUGGCAAAAUUCAUUAUGUAAUCAAAGUUUUCAAUGAUUAUAUAUAUAUAUAUAUAGUGCUUUCGUUGGAAUUAAUUAUUAAAAGCUUUAAUCAAACAAUGUUUGGAUUGGGUCGGCCUAUCCAACUUUUAAAUAAGAUUACCAACUUUAAAUUAAAAUUGCUUUAGAUCGCGGUUGGUCAGGUUUUAGUGGAGGUACGUGGCGUUGUAUCUAGAUCGAUGCAGAGCCAAGUCUGUCCUUUGGAACCAGAUCUGACUUAGGACAGAUCAAUAUUCCGCACGCUCUAGUUUCCAGCCGAUAUACCAAUAUUAUUUACCAAAUAUUUAUUAAGUUCUUUAGUCAAGCCUAGCAACAACAUUCAUCUAAAGGCUUGGGUGCAUACACAGUACUAUUUCCUUCUGGUAUCAGAGCCAAGGGGAGGAUAGUGUAAUACAGUUUAGAGUUUUGUGUUUAAAGACUUGUGUUUUAUUUUGAAGUUUUGUUGUGUGGUGAAUUUUUACUGGUAGUAAGUCCCGUCCAAGGAUAAGUUUUUCGUUUAGGGCUGUAAAACCAUACCUGUAGCCAUUCUGACCAAACCAUAAAUAGACCAUAGGUUUGUAACCAUGGAUCCUCUACUCUGUAGAACAUCGUCCUUUUCUAGCUCUUCUUCCGGGAAGACUAGUGAUUCAAAGCAUGUUGUGAGUUCAGAAGAAUUCGUUAUUGAGAACUUUGAUAAAGCAAUUGAUUGUUGGGAACUUCCAAAAGUUUCUAAAGAAAAGAUUUACAAAACAAAAAAGCUUGAUUUUCUAAAAAAUGAUUAUGUAAUAAAGACUGAAGAAAGAGACAUAACUCUCUCAGAACCUUUUGAAACAAUUCAUUUGUUUUCAGAAAAAUCUUUAAAGAAAUUAAGAGAAAAGAAUUAUAAUUAUAUUCACAUUGGUUUAAUCCAAGUUGGAAUAAAACCUUUGACCAAAGAAGGCUUGGAUACUUCUAUCCUUACUGUCCUUAGAGAUGGGCGAUUCAUCUCUUUUGAUGAUUCUUUGCUAAGUAGCAUCGAAUCCAGUCUUUGUAAAUGUCCGAUCUCUUUUGAUUGUUAUCCAAACAUAACAAUUUCUCUUAAAGAUAAAAACAUUUUGAAAAACAUGAUCUUACAAAUCAAAACGCAUAAUUAUAAUAUGAUUAAGGGAUCUGUCCCAGUUGCCUUAAUUUUCAAAAUUUCUUAUAAAGCCAUGAUCUUUGCGUUCAGUACGCAACACAAAUUCCAGUCAGAAAGAGAUGAAACUCUUCUCUUGCAGACUGAUAUGUCUAAAGCCAAUACUGUCAUUCCAAAACCAAUCUAGUGGAAAGAUGUCAAUCUUCCAGAAGAAUGGAUUCUUGAAGGAGCUGCUCCACCAGCAAUUCCAAAACAACUUGAACCUAAUACGGAGUUGCAAAAAGUGACUCAGUAUUCUGAUGGUAGAGUUAAACUGUCUUUCAGGAGAUCUAACUCAACCAGAUUUUCUGAUAAAGAGUCGUGUUCAAGUAUUCCUUCAUUAGAAAGGAAAUUCACAAAAAUCCCUUCUGUCAUAAAUCUUCAUUUUCAAAGUCAACCUAGGUUUUCCACUUCGGCUAUACCUAGUUCUUCCAUUUGUUCUGUUGACUAUACUACAAACAUUCCUCAUCCUAUUUAUACUAGCAGUCAACAUGAACAAAGAUAGGAAGAGAAGUAACCUUCUCCUCCAACUUCCCCUACAUUCUCUGUUGUCACAGAAAAUGUAAUUAAUGUUAUUGAAAAAGAAUUUGAACUGGAUAAAACUCUCCUUCAUAAUGAUUUUUAUUCAGAUAAUAAUAAAGAAAAGAGACUUUGGUUUUUUAAACAUUUUUUAAAUCAAAGAAAAGAAAUCCAACAAUUUUAUUAUGAAUUUGUGAACCUUCACCAAGUUCAUAUAUUAUUUUUUGAUUGGUUCGAAAUACAUUCUUCUGAUAAUAACAUUUCUUACCCCUUCAAAGAGUCAAACCCUAUUACUAUUAGGAAGAAAACCACUGAAUGGAAACUUUCUGAUAGUGAUAAAACCAUAGAAUCUGAGCAUCCACCUCUUCGGAGCAUAACCGUUGAUCACGGCGAACCUCCUAUUCAAAUUAGAGCUUCACCUUAUAAAAUCCCUAAACCAAAUGAUUCUGAUGCAAAUUUAAGUAGUAUUAUUCAACAGAAUAAUUUCUGUAAUACUAACUUAAAUACAAUAGGAAAACAGUUGACUAGAAUAGAAAACCAAUUCCAACAGUCAACCAUAGCUAUUUCUCCUGUAGCAAAGCCAAUUCCUUCAAAAUCGGAUUCUGAUAAAAAGCUUAAGGAACCUAUUUUCAAACCUUUUCAGGUUUCGAAAACUAGCCAAAAGCUUGUCCAAGAAUCAAAAUCAGAUUUUGCUAAAGCCAUUAGGGAACAACUAGAUAGGAUAGAAGCUGUUUCUUCCUCAUCUAACAGAGUCCAAAUAGCCCCUGAUACUCCCUAAUCUAGCAAGAUUGGAGUAUUAGAACAAGACCAGGUUUUUAUUGCCUCUUCCAAUCUAGAAGCCUUUACAGAAGAACCUAUUCCUAAAGCCAAUAAAAUCCAUUGGGAUUUAGCUCUCCCAACUGUCAAGUCUCCACCUGAUUUGGCCAUAGACAAUAGGCCUAGUGCAUUAAACCAAUCACGUUUUAAUGCAUCCUCUGUCUAUGAGUGGAACAUUGAUGGUAUGUCAGAAUAUAACAUCUUAGGAUUGUUGCAACAGAUGACCAUGGCAGCCAAUGCCUAUAAAACCCAAUCGGGAACUUCUGACAAGGCCAUUGCAGAAAUUCUUAUUGCGGGUUUUACUGGUCAACUUAAAGGAUGGUGGGAUCAUCUUCUUACCAAACCGCAACAAUUAGAUAUCCUAAACUCCAUACAAAUAGAUGAGAAUGGUGCCCCCAUUCUUGAUGAGUUCAAUAGUCCUAUUCAGGAUGCUGUUGCUACCCUGAUUUUGACUAUAUCCCUCCAUUUCAUAGGUGACCCUGCUCACCUUAGAGACAAAAACGCCGAGUUACUAUACAAUUUGAGGUGUAGAAAACUUAGUGAAUUCCAAAGCUAUAAAACCUCUUUCUUCACUAGACUUUUCCUUAAGGAUGAUGCUAAUCAUACAACUUGGAAGGAGAAAUUCCUUGCAGGUUUACCAACCUUACUAGGAGAAAAGGUUAGAAAUUCCAUUAAAGCCCUUUAUGACAACCGUAUUCCUUAUGAUGAGCUCACCUAUGGUGAACUUGUCAGUUUCGUCAAUAAGGAAGGCUUAAAGAUCUGUCAAGAUUUGAAAUUACAGAAACGACUUAAAUGGGAGCUUAAAAAGUCUAAGCAAGAAUUGGGCAGUUUCUGUAAACAAUUCAAUUACGACCCCUUUAAGACUUCUACCUCCAAAGAUUGUAAUGGUAAGUGUUCUACAAAACCUUACAAGAAACAUUACAAGUCUAGAUUCCGUAAAAAACCCUUUCAAGACUUUAGAGAACUUCAUUAUAAGAAACCUUCGAGGCCUUAAAAGAAACCGAGUUCUUCUAAAAAGAAAGAGUUUAAAGCCAAACCAAAAACUCCGUACAAAACCCUAUUCAAUUACAGAGAAGCCAUAUGUCACAAAUGUGGUAUGAAAGGUCAUACUGCAAAAUAUUGCAGAAUGAGCAGAAAGCUCCAUGAGCUAGACCUAGAUGAGGAAACCCUCUCCAAAAUUACCUCUCUGCUCAUAGAGUCUUCUGACUCUGAGUCUUCCAUGUCGGGAGAUAGUGACCCUCUUCAAGUUGAUGAGAUAAUUGACUCAGAUGAUUCUGCAUCUAGCAGUAUUGAUUCUGAAUCAGAUCCUUAUUUAAAGAAAAUCAAUGUUUUAACUAAAGACCAAGAAAUUUUUCUUGAACUUGUAAAACAUAUUUCCGAUCCGAAUCUUCAAAAGGAAUACCUAGACAAACUUUUGAAAACUCUGGAUUCUAACAAAGCAGAAACUUCUAAAGUUCCAAUUGUUAAAAAGAAUUCUUACGAUCUCACUGAAAUUUUGGAUAAAAAGAAAACAAAAAAGUUAAUUCCUAAUAUCCAAGAUCUUCAUAAAGAAAUCAAAGAUAUCAAAAUUGAGAUUAAAGAAUUAAAAGAAAAACAAAAGAAAGAUUCUGAAACCAUCCAACUUCUUAUACAAAAACAAUUAGAAGAAAACUCAGAAAAAGAAGUUGAAUCUGAAAGCGAUAACAAUCAAAAUGUUGACAACAUUGAAUCUGUACCUAAUGAUUUUCUGUUUGUCCUAAAACAAAUCACCACUAGAAAAUACUUAAUUAAAAUAACUUUGAUUUUUUCCAAAGACUUUGCUAUUGACGCCAUUGCCCUUUUCGAUACUGGUGCCGAUUUAAAUUGUAUAAGAGAAGACAUUGUCCCCAAAAGAUUUCAUGAAAAAACAAGGGAAAGGCUUUCCACCGCCAACAAUUCAAAACUUAAAGUCAAUUCUAAAGUGGAAGCCUCAAUACAUAACAAUGGAUUCGAAUUUAAAACUUCAUUUCUUCUUACAAAUGACAUUCACCAUACUGUCAUUUUAGGAACCCCGUUCAUAAAUUUAAUUACCCCAUAUACUGUCAAUUAUGAUAGUAUAUCUUUCAAAGCAAAAUCUAAAAAACUUGUUUUCCCUUUUAUUGAGAAACCAAAAACAAGAAAUCUAAAUAUUGUUAAAGCCUGUUCUGUUUACCAAAAUCAAAUCAACGCCAUACUUAAAUCCAAACAAAAUGACUUGUUUUGUUUAAAAAAGAAUUUAAGUCUACAACGAAUUGAAAACCAAUUACAAAAUGAUUUUAUCCAAAGAAAAAUCAAUGAUUUUAGAGACCUCAUUGAAAAAGAAAUAUGUGCUGAUUUACCAUCUGCUUUUUGGAACAGAAAACAACAUUUGGUAGAUUUGCCCUAUGAAAAUUCUUUCGAUGAAAAAAAAAUACCCACUAAAGCCCGUCCAAUCCAAAUGAACAUGGAAUUGGAAAAACAUUGUAAAGAUGAGAUACAAGAUUUAGAAUCUAAAGGAUUAAUUACAAAAUCUAGAUCUCCAUGGUCUUGUGCCGCUUUUUAUGUAAACAAAAAUUCUGAGAUUGAAAGAGGAACACCGAGACUUGUAAUAAUUUACAAACCCUUAAAUAAAGCAUUAAAGUGGAUUAGGUAUCUCAUACCUAACAAAAAAGAUUUACUCCAAAAAUUGUGUUCCGCCUUUAUUUUUUCAAAAUUUGAUAUGAAAUCUGAAUUUUGGCAAAUUCAAAUCCAUCCUAAAGACCGUUACAAAACUGCUUUUACUGUUCCAUUCGGACAGUAUGAAUGGACUGUUAUGCCAUUCGGUUUGAAAAAUGCACCCUCAGAAUUUCAAAGAAUUAUGAAUGAUAUUUAUAAUCCUUAUUCUGAUUUUUGCAUUGUCUAUAUAGAUGAUGUUUUGAUUUUUUCUCAAACCAUCGACCAGCAUUUCAAACAUUUAAAGACUCUCUAUUUUGCCACUAGGAAGGCUGGCUUAGCCAUUUCUAGUUCAAAAAUUUCUCUAUUUCAAACUAAAGUCUGGUUCCUUGGUCAUUAUAUUUCUAGAGGAACUAUUACCCCAAUUGAAAGAUCUCUUGCAUUUGCUGAUAAAUUUCCUGAUAAAAUUCUUGAUAAAACUCAAUUGCAGAGAUUUCUUGGUAGUUUAAAUUAUGUUCUUGACUUCUGCCCUAAUAUCAAUAGGAUGUCUAAACCUCUGCAUGAUCGGUUAAAAAAGAAACCUGUUGCAUGGACAGAUGAACACACUAAAGCUAUUCGAUUAAUAAAAAAUUCUGUAAAGAAUAUUCCUUGUUUAUUUUUAGCCAAUCCUGCAUUACCUAAAAUAGUUGAAACUGAUGCAUCUGAUUUAGGUUUUGGAGGUAUUUUGAAACAAAAGGAAAAUGAUAAAGAACAGAUAGUACAAUAUGUUUCUGCACAUUAGAAUGAUUGCCAGAAAAACUAUUCUACUAUCAAAAAAGAAAUUCUUUCUAUUGUCUUAUGCAUAUCUAAAUUCCAAAGUGAUUUAUUAAAUCAAAAAUUUUUGCUUAGAAUUGAUUGCAAAGCUGCAAAACAUGUUUUAGAAAAAGAUGUUCAAAACAUUGCAUCAAAACAAAUUUUUGCACGAUGGCAAGCCAUUUUAAGUGUUUUUGAUUUCGAUAUUGAAUUUAUUAAAGGUGACACAAAUUCUGUUCCUGAUUUUCUAACCAGAGAAUUUUUACAAAACAGAUAAUGCCGCCAAGAAAGAAUAACAAAGGUAAAGUUGUUCUUAAAGAUACUGAGUCCCAAGCCACCUCUAAAGAACCUCAACCAACUCCCUCUAAAGAAAAACUACUUUCUUCUGCCAUGCCCAUCAAGUCCUGGAUUGAAAUGGUUGAAGAACAUGAAGCCCAAUACAAAACUAUUUCUUCUGAUGACCAAGUAAAGGAAUGGAUGAGUUCCAUUACAAAAUCGCCUGAGCUUAUGCUCGCCCUCCAAAGCUUUUCUCAAAGUCAAAUUUCUCCUAAAGAAGAAAUUGAAAAAGAAAAACCUAAGUCCAAAGAAAUGACAAAACCUUCUUCUCAAAACGUUGUUGUCUCCGGUGAAAGCUCAUCUUCUCAAAUUGUGCUUUCCCAACCAACACUUUCAAAGAAAUCAUCCGAUUGGUUUGAUAAAACCCAUUUUCAAAACAUUUUAUCUAUAGAAGAUGGAUUUUACCAUACUGAUCCUUUUCAAGCAAUUUCAAAGUUUUUCCCCAAAUGCUGGUUUUUUAAACCAUGUUAUUUAACAAAACCCCAGUCUUACUAUCAAAGCAUUUUAGAAAUUACUGAGUCAGUUAAAUUCAAACAUUUCUUUCUCAGUGAUACCCAUUCAGAGCCAGCCUAUUCCACGGCUACUAUUUUAAAAGUCCUGAGCCCAAACCAGUGGGGGGAUCUGCUCCACAAUUUUAAAACCUUCCCUUUAAACUUUCAAACACGUUUACCACAUUGUCGGACUUAUUCCUACUGGGAUUACCAAUAAGCCUGGUAUAACACAUUUUUUAUCCAAAACCCCAAAAAAUCCCACUCUUGGUUAUUUUUCUUCAAUUAAAAAAUAACCGUCCAAAGCCUCCCAAACUGGUUUCAUCAUUGGUGGAAUUCUUUUGGCCCAAUACCUCAAAUCCUAACUCCAAAUGCUACCCAAUGUUUAAACUUCUUUAAAGCCCACUACAUUCCUUCUGAAUCUGAGAAAAGGUUUCCACCCUUUCUCUGUUUCUGUACAAAUUUCUUCCUUCCAUGGGUAUGGAUGUGGAACCUCAGACUUCAUACCCAAGAUGCCCAGCUUAUCUUACAAAGAACAUUCAAAGUAAAAUGGUGGUCAAAAUUUGACGAACAAACCAAACUUACUGAUACCCUCAUCAGAAAUUGGCUUUGUUCCAAAGGCUUCCUCCAACCAACCAUUAAGGGAUCCAAAGCCCAACAAACCUUCCUUACUCAAAAGUCCAAAGCCCAAUCUCUUCUGGCAAGUGCCAAAACCGAAAAAGAAUACUUCAAAGCUAUGGAACAACUCCUCGCCUCCAGGUCAAAGUCAUCAGUGGCAGAUUCCUCUGAAGAUGAAGACAAUGAAGAAGAGGAAGAGCCGUUUAUCUCUCUUGGAGAUGAAAAUGAAGACGACUAUUUCAGAAUUUUCUCUCCUGUAAAGCAUUGUAAAUAAUUAUUGUUUAAUUAAUGUAAAAAAAAAGUAAAUACUCAUUUUUUUUAUUUAUAUCAUUCGGGUGGUCCCUUGGACACAAGUGAGAGCGCACAUGUCUCUUCACCCGUAUUGUAUGUCUACAAAGUCACUAUUUCAACAUACGCUCCAAAAGCUUAUUGUUACAUACGAUCCAAAGCUUACUGUUUGCUUCAACCCCGUUACAGUGAACAGUGCAGAGUUCCAAAGAUUACUGUAUGCUACAGCUCCGCUACAGUCUACAGUUUAAAAUUUCAUUUUGUAUAUAAUCUGAAGGAAGACUCAGACUCCUCAGAUUUUUUGAAUCUCCUCUCUCUCUAAUUUUCAUUUUCUCUCUCUCCUCCCUGGGAAUCAGGAAUCCGAAGGCACUAAGGAAAUUUUUCUGUUUACAGAAUAGUUCCUUACCUUCAGGAUUAAUUUCCCUUUUCUUUUCUACAAAGAAAAAGCAAUUGAUGUAAGCAUUUUAAUUUUCAGUAUUAUUUCAAAGCAUUUGUAAAUUUUAUUUAAGGCUUUCCAUGUAUGUUUAAAUUUCUGUACUUUAAUUUUCGCAAUUUACUUUAAAGCAUUUUUAAAUUUUUAUGCAGACUGAUCUCUAUCAGAUCUGCCAUAAAACUGCUACGUUCCUCUGAGGCAACGAGACCAGAUCUCAAUCCUCAGUUGUAUUCUUUCUCUUCUCCCUCCAUUCCUUUAGAGCACUAUUUCCGGGAACCGGAUCUAGUACUGUGUAUGCACCCAAGCCUUUAGACGAAUGUUGUUGCUAGGCUUGACAAAAGAACUUAAUAAAUAUUUGGUAAAUAAUAUUGGUAUAUCGGCUGGAAACUAGAGCGUGCAGAAUAUUGAUCUGUCCUAAGUCAGAUCUGGUUCCAAAGGCAGACUUGGCUCUGCAUCGAUCUAGAUACAACGCCACGUACCUCCACUAAAACCUGACCAACCGUGAUCUAAAGCAAUUUUAAUUUAAAGUUGGUAAUCUUAUUUAAAAGUUGGAUAGGCCGACCCAAUCCAAACAUUGUUUGAUUAAAGCUUUUAAUAAUUAAUUCCAACGAAAGCACAUCCAUCCUUCGAUCCUAUUUCCUUCUGGUAUCAGAGCCCAAUAAUUAAUUCCUUCAGAUUAAAUCAGAUGCAUCAGUUUCAACUAUUUUAGGUAAUGCGGGAUUGGCUAAAAUAAACAAGGAAUAUUCUUUACAGAAUUUUUUAUUAAUCGAAUAGCUUUAGUGUGUUCAUCUGUCCAUGCAACAGGUUUCUUUUUUAACCGAUCAUGCAGAGGUUUAGACAUCCUAUUGAUAUUAGGGCAGAAGUCAAGAACAUAAUUUAAACUACCAAGAAAUCUCUGCAAUUGAGUUUUAUCAAGAAUUUUAUCAGGAAAUUUAUCAGCAAAUGCAAGAGAUCUUUCAAUUGGGGUAAUAGUUCCUCUAGAAAUAUAAUGACCAAGGAACCGGACUUUAGUUUGAAAUAGAGAAAUUUUUGAACUAGAAAUGGCUAAGCCAGCCUUCCUAGUGGCAAAAUAGAAAGUCUUUAAAUGUUUGAAAUGCUGGUCGAUGGUUUGAGAAAAAAUCAAAACAUCAUCUAUAUAGACAAUGCAAAAAUCAGAAUAAGGAUUAUAAAUAUCAUUCAUAAUUCUUUGAAAUUCUGAGGGUGCAUUUUUCAAACCGAAUGGCAUAACAGUCCAUUCAUACUGUCCGAAUGGAACAGUAAAAGCAGUUUUGUAACGGUCUUUAUGAUGGAUUUGAAUUUGCCAAAAUCCAGAUUUCAUAUCAAAUUUUGAAAAAAUAAAGGCGGAACACAAUUUUUGGAGUAAAUCUUUUUUGUUAGGUAUGAGAUACCUAAUCCACUUUAAUGCUUUAUUUAAGGGUUUGUAAAUUAUUACAAGUCUCGGUGUUCCUCUUUCAAUCUCAGAAUUUUUGUUUACAUAAAAAGCGGCACAAGACUAUGGAGAUCUAGAUUUUGUAAUUAAUCCUUUAGAUUCCAAAUCUUGUAUCUCAUCUUUACAAUGUUUUUCCAAUUCCAUGUUCAUNNNNNNNNNNNNNNNNNNNNNNNNNNNNNNNNNNNNNNNNNNNNNNNNNNNNNNNNNNNNNNNNNNNNNNNNNNNNNNNNNNNNNNNNNNNNNNNNNNNNCGUUGGUCUCUAAUAGGAUGAGGAAUGUUUGUAGUAUAGUCAACAGAAUGAAUGGAAGAACUAGGUAGAGCCGAAGUGGAAAACCUAGGUUGACUUUGAAAAGAAAGAUUUAUGACAGAAGGGAUUUUUGUGAAUUUCCUUUCUAAUGAAGGAAUACUUGAACACGACUCUUUAUCAGAAAAUCUGGUUAAGUUAGAUCUCCUGAAAGACAGUUUAACUCUACCAUCAGAAUACUGAGUCACAUUUUGCAACUCCGUAUUAGGUUCAAGUUGUUUUGGAAUUGCUGGUGGAGCAGCUCCUUCAAGAAUCCAUUCUUCUGGAAGAUUGACAUCUUUCCACUGGAUUGGUUUUGGAAUGAAAGUAUUGGCUUUAGACAUAUCAGUCUGUAAGAGAAGAGUUUCAUCUCUUUUUGACUGGAAUUUGUGUUGCGUACUGAACGCAGAGAUCAUGGUUUUAUAAGAAAUUUUGAAAAUUAAGGCAACUGGGACAGAUCCCUUAAUCAUAUUAUAAUUAUGCGUUUUGAUUUGUAAGAUCAUGCUUUUCAAAAUGUUUUUAUCUUUAAGAGAAAUUGUUAUGUUUGAAUAACAAUCAAAAGAGAUCGGACCUUUACAAAGACUGGAUUCGAUGCUACUUAGCAAAGAAUCAUCAAAAGAGAUGAAUCGCCCAUCUCUAAGGACAGCAAGGAUAGAAGUAUCCAAGCCUUCUUUGGUCAAAGGUUUUAUUCCAACUUGGAUUAAACCAAUGUGAAUAUAAUUAUAAUUCUUUUCUCUUAAUUUCUUUAAAGAUUUUUCUGAAAACAAAUGAAUUGUUUCAAAAGGUUCUGAGAGAGUUAUGUCUCUUUCUUCAGUCUUUAUUACAUAAUCAUUUUUUAGAAAAUCAAGCUUUUUUGUUUUGUAAAUCUUUUCUUUAGAAACUUUUGGAAGUUCCCAACAAUCAAUUGCUUUAUCAAAGUUCUCAAUACCGAAUUCUUCUGAACUCACAACAUGUUUUGAAUCACUAGUCUUCCCGGAAGAAGAGCUAGAAAAGGACGAUGUUCUACAGAGUAGAGGAUCCAUGGUUAAAAACCUAUGGUCUAUUUAUGGUUUGGUCAGAAUGGCUACAGGUAUGGUUUUACAGCCCUAAACGGAAAACUUAUCCUUGGACGGGACUUACUACCAGUAAAAAUUCACCACACAACAAAACUUCAAAAUAAAACACAAGUCUUUAAACACAAAACUCUAAACUGUAUUACAGUAGUUUUCUGGUCAGGGAAUUUAAAGUGCGGGAAAGUCCGGGAAAGCUUUAAAACCACACGGCUUUAAAGGCUUACAAUUUUAAGCCUUUAAAACCAUGCGGUUUUAAAGGUUUCCCGUACUUUCCUGCACUUUAAAAUUCCUGACUGGAACAUUUCUAUAUAUAUAUAUAUAUAUAUAUAUAUAUAUAUAUAUAUAUAUAUGUAUGUAUAUUUCUUCUCUAGUGCGGACGCCCUCAUUUUCUUUUUCAUGCGGACCAGUUUUUAGACCCCAUGGUUUAAAAGACUUAGUUUUUAACUCUCUAAAACCGCAUGACUUUAUAAUUCAUUUAAAAACUAACUAUCUUAAACCGCACGGUUUAAAAGUGUGUCCCCAUUAAAAAAAAUGCGGACCCCCACACCUAAGAAUGAUUAUAUAUACAUACACGCUCUUAAACCGUGGGACUUGAAAGCUUCUCCGCAUGAAAAAAGUAAAAAAUGAGAGCAUUCCCACUAGAAAAAAACUCCAUAUAGGUAUUUAUUAAACCUCCUAAUCUGUGAGUGAGGAACAACAAAGAUAAUUGAUAAAAAAAAUCUAAAAUUUGGUUUCAUACCUUCUUGAACGAGAGCAGGGGCUGUUGUACCGGAAUACCAAAUUGAUCAUUCUCGUUAUUCUGGGACAACGUUAUUUUAUCACAAUUACAGGCUUCCAAUUUUUUUAGUGCUGGCCAUUCUGAAGUAUGCAUUCCAGGGUAUAAACAUCUGAGUUCUGGCUUUUGGAAAGACAAAAUAUGGGGUCACUUGAUCUGCUGUGUCUUUGGAGAUGAUCUCUUGUAAACCCAUACAUAUCCGUAUCUCCAGGUGUUGGAGGUGCUUAAGGCUUUGGAUCAUAGAAGCUGAAAAUAUGUAUUUUAAUUUGUCACAGCCCCACACUAUCAAUCUUGUCAAGCUUUGAAAGCAAGUAAUCAUGGCCGUAAGUUGAUUGUCAUGCCAAAUCUCGUCGACAUUAAUAGCAUUCAGCUCCAAAGCCUCCAAAUUUGGCAACACUACCUAAAGAUAAUUUUCUCUUUAGAUCCAAUAUCAGUAUGAAAAGCACUUGUUUUGACACAAUAUCCAUAUGAGAAGCACUUAAUUAAGAGCUUAAUUAGCGAGUGUAUCAGACUUUUUUUUUUCAAAUGCGAGUGCAUGAUAGAACUAAAAAAAAAAGAAGAAGCAUUGGCCUACGUACCUUCUUGUUGAAAAGCAGAGUUGACGUUUCGGAACUGAUCUCGUUGGAACUGGCUGUCAAUUCCUCUUGCGACUCUUGUCUGUUUGGUGAUGUGGAAGGAGUCUUCACUUCACCGCAAAACCUUGUAACCUUUGGAAGCUUUCCCAGACUCAAAGAUCUUAAUUGACCAAACUCUAUCUUCUCAUCAACAUCAACAUCAGCUUCUCCUCCAGUUGCAAAAAUCUCUUCCAUGCUGCUGCAAUUGAUAACUGCAAUCCUCUCCAGUCUUGGAAGGCAUUUUGUACUACUAGAGAGCCAGAAGAUAUUACUCAACUCAUCACAAUUUUCUACUUUUAUGGUUUUGAGUUCAUUGAAGGACUCUAUUUUGAGUCGAUCAAUACAUAUCCUCUCCGUAUUGAUCAAAUUGUGAAGAGUAAGGGACUCCAAAAGAGGAAAGGCGACACAAGGUUCUCUCUUCAUUGAAUCGACGAUACACAGGAUGUCUGGAUUAUUUUGAACAUGGAGAUGCUUCAAUUGUGAAAAUCCCUCGGUGUCCAAUUCUAAAACAACAUUCUUGAUUCCUUGCAACUUAUCCAAACAUAAGUAUUCAACGUUAUUGAUGCCCUGCAACUUCUUGGAGGAAAUGGCCAUAGAAUCAAGCUUGAGCUUCAAUGUUCUUAAACUCUCAAGAUUACUGAUCAUAAAGUGCGGCCGACUUUGAAACCAGUCUUUUCCAAAUAACCAUGGUAGAGUCGAAAGAUCCAUCUCCUAUUGAUAUAUCAAACCUUUCCAGCUUUUUGGUAAAAAAGCCAUCUGGUAAAAUGCUAUCAUCUUUAACAUCUAUUUUUAAGGCGGUCAGUCGCUGCAAAUGCAUCAAUUCAUCGAGGCUGGCAUUACUUCUUUCACUAUUGGCUUUUCUCACUUCCCAUUCAAUAGAGCAGUUACUCAUAUACAGUUCUUCCAAUCGAGUGAAGCUUGAUAAGAUAUUGGGCACAAUAAAUUUUAGUUGCAAGCAAUCUGUUAAAUCUAGCAUCCUUAACUUAGUCAGUUGACCUAGUUCGUCAGGCAACCGUACAAUAUCAGACUUUAAAAAGCUAAGGAUUUCUAGAUUCUUCAACUUUCCAACUAUGGCUAUGUCUCCCAACAUGCUUUGAUCAAGACACAGUGUUUGAAGAUUUGCUAGAAGACCGAUUGAAGAUGGCAAUGAAAAUAAUCGUACCCUUGUCAAAUCUACGACUCGAAGCUUUUUCAUCCCUUUGAAAAAGUUGUUAGGAAUAUUGACCUCGACAAAAGAGUCUUCGGGAUCAAUAUGUAAAAAUUCAAGUUGCGGACAUUCGAAUUCCUCGGAAACUUCAUGAAUGCUACUAUUUAGUAAAGGGAUUGCAUAGCAUUUUUUAAGUGCAUCCUCAUCUGGCCACUCCCACACAGCGUCAUUUCUCACCAAUGAAGCAUGUUGGUCUCGACAUGCAAUUGAUAUGGCAACAUCGCAGACAACAUCAUGCAUAGAGAAUUGUUCAGUACUAUCACCCUCAAGCAACAAACAACAGUCUCUAAGUUCAUGGACCAGUGCAUAUAAUUUGUUUCGUGCAUCUUCCAUCUUAUUGACUCCAUGAAAUAUUCCUAAACCCAUAGAGUAUUUAAGCAAGUCUAAAAGACAAAAACUGUUGCCUAUUAGACUGCAGAGCAGAAAAAUUUUCUUGAGUUGCUCACCUUUUAAAUACUUGAAACUCAGUUCAAUACUUGAAUAAGUCUCUGCAGGCACACCUUCGAAGUUUACCACUGAAGGCGUUUGGAGUUCUCGCAAGGCAUUCUUCCACUCAUGCAGACUCUUGUUUCUCAGUGCCCUCGCUACUGUAGUCAGGGCAAUGGGCAAACCUCCACAUGCCUGGGCUACAUUAAUUGCUGUAGACUUGAACUUACAAUUUUCAACAUCAUCACCAUUCAUUAUCUUAAACAAUCUCCAAGCUUCUUCUUCAUUUAGAUUGCCAAUCAAGAAGUUAUCUUUGGAGCCCAUACUUAAUAGCACAUUAUUGUCUCUUGCUGUCAGCAGUAGUCUACAUCCUUUAUGAUCAUUUCCGAUGGGAAUUCCAACCGUCUCCAAAUCAACAUGUUUCCAGAUAUUAUCUAGAAUCACAAGAAUCUUAUUCUCAUUCUUCAGUCGUUCAUACAGCCUGCUAGCUCUUCUAUAUUCAGCUUCAUCGGACAACUCCAGACCUAACUUCUCUGCAAUUUCCCCUUGAAUCUUUUUUAUGUCUGGAGUUUGUGAAACCUCUGAAAAAACCACCCGAUCAAACAACUUGUCUUCCCUGGCUUGCGUAGCAAACUCCUUCACCAGUGUCGUCUUUCCAAUGCCGCCCAUGCCGUACACCCCAAUAAUGCUGACAUUCACAUCAGUCAACGCAUUUUGUAUAGACUUCAAAGUAGAAACUCUUGAUUCGAAGGCCUUGUAACCUUUGUUAGACUUAAGCCAUAUCUCCUCCGGAAUGGUACGAUGGGAAACGAUAUCAAACUUCUUAACUCCUUCUCCAAGUUCAACAAGGGCCUUCACCUCUGUCUCUGCUUUCUUGCUAAGCUGAUAGCGGGUCUUCAAAUUAGGACACAAGCCCUUGAGACAGCGCUUGUUUGUUGACUCCUCAUCUUCAAUGAAUUUGGCUGCCUGGUCAAUGAUGCCGUUUGCACUGACCAGCCACUUCUCAACCUUCUCUUCAAUCUCUUCCCCUUUUUCUUUCGCCUUUGAAACUCUGCGCUGAAUGCUCGUACGUUCAACCUCAACUUCUCCAUUUCCGCCUUGAGAUUCUCAAGGUUGGCAUUGUAGUUCCGCUUGCGCAAAUAAACAAGUUGGCGUUCUGUCGGAGGAGCCAGGCAUUUUACAAGUUCCAAAACGAGAGUAACAAUGAUUUCCAGCAUCUUGAAUCCUGACAGCAAUGUAGAAGUGAAGAAGGCCAAAGGACAGUAAAAACAGAGAGACAACGAUACGACAAGCAGUUAUAGAGCUACAAAUAAAUAACAAACAAACAGAAGCAAAGUGUUCUUCGAAUGAGAAGAAGGAAGCAAGAAAAGGGUUUCUAUUUAGAUUAAGAAUAAAUGUAAAGAGCUAAAAAAGCUGAUGGGUACAGAAUAAGAAAUGAUUAAGAGAAUGGGGGAGCUAACAAGACUGUGGAGUGAGCAGGCGUAAAUAAACUUUUCUUAACCUUUUGUCAUACGUGUAUAUAAAAUAAUAUAAUUAAUUUUAUAUUUUUAUUCAAUAACUAUUAAUUAUAUUUUUUUCAAAAUUAAUAAAAAGAAUAAUUAAGUACUGAAUCCAAAUCCUAUCCUAAAUGGUUAGAUAAAAAUAAGGGAAUGAAAAGAGUAAUGGUAGAUUAAUGAGAAGGUGAUUGAUUAAUUUAUGAGGCCAAUUAACGAAACGACAGAUCUGGUUUCCAUGUUUGUAGUUUAAGUGUAUGAGUACGAGGUGAACCGAAGCUUUGUCGAGUCAGGCAAAUAGAAAGAGAAAUUACUAAAACAAGAACCAGCAACUUUUACUCACACAUGAGCUAAUAAUGUAUUGAGAUUGUGCAGAGUAAUAUAAAAGAUUAAAACUAGUAUAAUCAAUUUGUCAUCAAGUUUUAGCCUUCUUCUUCAACCAAUUACAGCACGAUCUUGAGCUCUGUGUUUCUUUUUUUAAAUCAUUCAAAAGAUCUCUGUCAUUAAUUUUUCAAUGAUAAAAAUUAUAUUUUUGUCUCAUAAAAUAUAAAAUAUAAAAAAAUCAAACAUAUAUUAUAAGUCCGUUUGAGAUUAUUUUUAAAUAAAGUAUACAAAUCUCUAAAUUAACUUCGUCCCCUUGAAAUUCAGCAUAAAUAUAAAUAGAAUUAUAGAAAUCUUACUACCUUUUAUGAGAAAUCCAACUUAUAUAUUUGAGACUUCUCUCUCUAAACACACGCUUCCUCUCUCUGUACACUUUCCACCUUUAAAUUCUCCUUCAUUAAGUCUACCUAAAUGAAUUUAGCAUUCUCUCAGUUUCUUCAGCAUUUUUCUCCGUGAAAAUAGGUGAAAAAGAGAAAGUGAUUUGAUUAUUUUAAUGUACGACAGAUCUGAUUUCCAUCUCUGUAAUUUAAGUGUAUCAAAACGAGGUCAACAACUCUUGGUCGAGUCAGUCAAAUAUAAAAGACAAAUUACUAAACCAAGCAGAGCCACAAAAAAAAAAAAAAAUCCAAUUAAAUAAUCAUCAAGUCUUUUUCAAUUAAAAUAGGGGGUGCAGAACAACUGUCAAGAGAUAAUCAUUGUUUAUUAUAUUUUCGAUUAAAAUAGUUGCGCGUGAACGAUUGUCCGAAUUCGUAUAAAUUGUUGUAAGGUCUAUUAUAAUUAACAAGUGGAAUGGCCAAUGGAUGAAGAACCACUGUAAUUUCGUUUAUGAAUUUAAAAUGCUAAAGAAACUGGACACCAACGCUAAACGUGAGUCUGCCCAAUCUAGAUAAAUAGGAUAAAAAAUUAUCCGUCGGCUAUCUGAUCUUUUAGCCAUUAUAAAAAAUAUUAAAAAAAUAUACAAACAAUUUUUUUUUUUUUUCAACAAUCCAUCUGAUAUUUAUGAAGUGCAUUAGUGCUCCACUACUAUCAUAACCCUUUAAAAAUAUCGCUUAAACACAAGAACGUAUUGCCUAAAAUUAUUUUUCAAGCAAAUGUAACGACAUAUUUGGUUUUGAUCUUCGUGACUUUUUAAGUGUACAAGAACAAGAUGUAUGACCCUUUGUCGAGUUGAAGAAUUAAAAUAAAUCAGUUACAAAUCCAGAACAAACUUACGGGUGACAUUUUAGUAUUAAGCAAACUAUAAUUGAUCAUCCAAUGAUAGGCUUAUUUUCAAUUAAAUUAGAGUAAAUAUAGACAUUCCAAAUUUUUUCUCUCAAAUUUAAUCCUAGAUAAUGUGUUAUUAAUUGAGUGCUUGGUAAUUCUUUCAAGAUCUAAGUGAAUUAAUUAUAUUAUCUCUCCAACCAAUUGAUGAAUAUUAUAUUAUUAAAUAAUCAUCAAGUAAUACGACACUUCUCAUGUUCCGUUAACAUUUCAGUUAUAUUAUUAAUUAUCAUUUUAAUUUGGAUAGUAUUUUUGUUUAGGAGAAUAUAUCAAUUAUGAAAUUUUUAAUUUUGAAAAUUAAAGAAAUAAUUGAACUGAUUUUUUCUUAUUAAUUGAUAGCUUAGAUGCAUUUUGUUACAUGUUAAAAAAUUAUGAAUACAUAUCCUUUUUGGUAAUUUAAUUACACAAAAGCACUUUUAGUUUUGCACAACCAAACCGUUUAAUGGUUCAAAAGUACUUUUUUAAUUGACAACCAAACACCCAAUGACUUUUUUGUCCAAAAACUCUAUUGGUAUAAGCUCUACUUCUAUAAGCUCUACUGCUAUAAGCUCUAUUUAAUAAGUUGUACCAAACGGAGCCUUAAAAUCUAAGUGAAUUAAUUAUAUUAUCUCUCCAACCAAUUGAUGAAUAUUAUAUUAUUUGAGUUUUUUUUUUGUCUCAAAUCCCAGCAAAGAAAACAGAACAAACGGAGCAAAAAUAUUUUUACAAACCUAAAAUAACAAAAAAAGAACUUUUUCUUGUUUUUCUUAUUUUCCACUGUUAAACUUCAAAAUGAACAACUUUAUUCUACCAUCUCUCAAAUAAUAAUAAUAAUAACAACAAUGUCAUCAUCAUCAAUAAUAAUAAUAAUAAUAUAUUAACUUUGUAGGAUGGAGCUCUCGCAAAUCUUCAAGACACAAAAUGUGCUUGACCCCAUUGUUGUUAAUAUAAUUUCAAAAUCAUAUGUAUUAUAUAAUAUUAGAGAAUAUGACAUAGCAAAAUUGAUGGUACAUAUGCUGCAAUAUACUUGUUCAUGUGGCGACACAUUGAAGUAAAGCACAAGCAGAACAACGAAAAAUGUAACGGGAGAGCUCUCAUUAUGUAGAUUUUCAAUAGAAGUAAUGCAAAUUUCACAAGGGCAAUGGCCUUAUUUCGAAUGCUGCACCUGAGGAAUGACUUGAAUCUUCUUUAGAACUCAGGCAUUCUAUAAUCAUAGAGUAUAGCAUUUCAACAAAAAUAUUAUAUAAACAAAAAUAUUAUAUAGGUGGUUCCUUUAUAUAUUUUCUGGGUACACCUACAAAAAUAUUAUUUUAGGUACAUUUCUUGCAAUAAAACCUGCCCAAUCUAGCGUUUUCGUAAGUUGGGUUUCUCAUUUACAUUUUUUUCCAUUGGUUAAUUAUCACAAACCUCCACUGAGAUUUAGCAUGUUUUUAGUUUGAUAGAUUGUAUUCGCAUAUUCUCAAAUACCUUUUAGUUUACCACUUCGUAUAAAUUAAGUUGGUGAGGAUAAAAUCGUAAAAGUACACAUUAAUGAUAAAAAAAUUCAAGUAAACUUGAAAUUUUCAAGGAUUAAUUUUUCGGGACCUCCCUUGAGGUUCGGUGUAUUAAAAGUCUCAUAGAAUGUAUUCAUGUAAUUAUAAGAACCUCCCCUGGCGUUAGUACACAGUUAACUUGACUGUUAGUGGACUGAUAAAAAGUCAAAAAUGCCCUUGGCUACAAAAAUGAGUGCAACAAUUUGGAGCUAAAUAGUAAACACCACACUGGAGCACUAAAAAGUCUACAAUAAUCAUGGAAAACAAAUCAUUGACAUUUACAUAAUAUAAAAAAAAAAAGUAAAAUAUAAAUUAAGAAAAUCAACAAAAUUGUCAACGUAUUGAAUAUUUACAGCAGCAGUGGCUAUAAAUACAACCAUCGUCAAAUUAAAAUAUCACCAUUAGUAAACUACUUCAAUAAGACAAUAAACCAUGAUUCAAUCUUCAAUGCAUUCAAAAUACACAACCCGCACAAUAGAAUCACAUACGCACACCUGCUAAUGAAAUAUAAGAACAAACGGGAAAUUGAACUGACAUGGCUAAGAUACUCCUUCCCGAUAUCUAUUAGAAAGAUAAUGAGCGAUUUAUGAAUCAUGAUGCUUGCUUUACUUUCUGGCAGUGUUAACUUCAAAUUCAAUGAUAGUAAAUGAACAAUGGUUCAUUCAUUAUGAAAGUAAUUGUAAAGCUAGGAAUUUAUAAUAUUCAGAUGUUGGAAUUAGAAAAAUAUUUCUUAAUCGUUUCAAUUGAAGCCAAGGAAGAAAAAGAAAUGAGUCUUCUUUUUUCAGGCCACAAGCCAUAUGAAGAAGGCAGACCAGAGCAUAAGAACGAAUGCUAUUGCCACAGUAAAAGCCUGGAUCAAUGGGUAAUGGCACCUGCCAUGUCAAUUUCAUGACAAACAAAAAUCAAUUAUCAUCCCCAGACCACAACACCACCAAACCAACCUUUUGCAUCUAAAAUAACAAGUUAAUAAAUCAAAGAUUUCAAUUCAUUUAAGUUUGAAAUCAACUAAAAUAGAAAAAAAAAAACCCAAUUUCUUUUUUGUUCAAUAUAACUCAUUCAGCAUCUUCUUCAACACAUUUUUAUCAUUCUUCAUCAUCACAACAAUAAAAAGAACAAAAAACUUUGAGUUCAACAUGCAAUUCUUUUUUUUUGGGAAACUAACCUUUUUUAGGUUCCAAUUCUAGUAGUCUUAAACAGUAGCCGCCGAUGAAAUUCGCUUGGCAACACCCUUUUGCCACCAUUGCAGCUUGUCAUGUUCAUACUCAACUUAAAAUUACUUGAAGGCAGCAGGGAUUUUAUAGUUACAAAAGUUUCUUCAGAGCUUUUCAAGCUUGAAAAUGGAGUUUUCAUUCAUCUUAGAUAAAUUGAAGAUAAUUUGCAUUGUGGGUAAUAAAUUGAUUAUCAGUGUCUAAAUCUGGGUCAUCGACGCAACAUUGGAUUUUGUUUUGAUUUUCUUUGAUUUUUUUUAUGAAACCACUAAUUUACCCUCAUAUACUAACAAUAUACGAAAUGGUAUACUAACGUCAGUUACGUCAGGGAGCUCCCUAUAAUUACAUGAAUACUUUUCAUGAGACUGUCAAUACACAAAACCUCAGGGGAGGUACCUAAACAUUACCCAAUGGUAUCAUUUCUUGUAUGGAUAAUGGAUGAUUAGAUUUUGUUUUUUUGUUAUCCGACGAAGGAUAUUCAGUUGUUCUUUAUGUGUUCAUAGGCAAGAGCAUGAGCAUAUGCAUGAUUUGAUAUAUGCUUCUUGCAUUUUCUAAUUAAGUGUUCUCUUUCCUUGCCUUCUUAGUUUUGAAAGAAAGAUGUGAAGCAAGACAAACCCAGUGAAAUACACAGAGCAACAGAACCAUCAGAGGAAAAACUAAAUAACAGAACUACAAUUAAACCAAACAAAAUCAAAUAAACCGACGCAACAGAUGCCCUGAAUCAGGCAUUCCUUUUUCUCGAAAGAAAAUAUGUUUGCAUGGGUGGGAACCCAGUAUUUACUCAAGAGUUGAGGAGUUGGAAAGAUUUGGUAUUCAUAUCUUCUCAAUUCAUAUGCUUUAAUGCAGAAUCGACAGCUUUAUAUUAUUUUAUACACUUGCACUUGCUUGAGUAUUUGUGCCGACAUUUUCAUAUGUGAUGCUACUUCUUAGCCAGUAGAUAUGUUGAAGUACUACAAAACAGAGUAUUUGAUGAAGUUUUGCUACUUUCGUAUCCCCUUUUUUGUUGAAUUCUUUAUAAACAAAAAUUAGAAAGCUACAAAUAAUACAGUAGCUUGAAUUUAUAUGCUUUUAUGAUUAUUUGAUAGUUUAGUGCUGAUCAUAUGUGAUGAUAAACUUAGCUAGUAGUUUUAUAUUUAUUUUCAUAGUUUCCUUAGCGUUCACAUUUUGAUGAGUAAAUUAAGGAUUUCCAGAUGAAGUACAUAAUUAGAUGAAUGCUAAGGAACUGAAGUUUGAUUAAUUGAAAACAAAAAUAAUAAUGAACGUAAUUACGAAAAUGAACAAUGCAGAAGUAGUCCCUAUAGUAUUUCUAUAUUUUCUCUUGGUGUUUCUUAGUAUUCCUCAAUAUUUUUAAAAAAUGACAUGACGAUCUUUGAGUUGACAAAUCUUGGCCUGCUGCUUAGUACCCUUCCAACAUAUAAAGUACUAGAUGUUUUACUGAGAAAAUGACAAGAUCAUUUUUCAAAUUUCUUGCGCAUAUAUACGUAUGUACACGAGAAAUGAGAAUCAGUGAUUAUAAGACCUUGCAAUGAGACAAUAAUACAUCAUCAAAUCUAAAAAUACACAAGAAAUUCGGGACAUAUAAAUAACAAAAGACCUCUCAUUGAGUCAUCCAUAUUGAGAAUAAAAUGUCAAAAUGCAUACAAAGAGCUUAUACAGAAAAUGAAUGUACACAUAUUUAGAAUAAACUGUCUUUGAACUUUCGAUGGUCAAACAAAAGAAACAGACAGGAUAUAACACACACUAUCAUAGAUGUAGCGACACGGUGAAGUAAAUCACAUGAAGAUGGAAACGGAAACCCUUCACAACAUAAAAUUUGAAUAGAGGGGGAAAAAAAGGCUUCAUUUCGAAUGUUGCACGAAAGAAGAGUGACUUGAAUCUCCAUCAGUAUCCAAACAUUCUGCAAACAUAGUGCUGAGAAUUUUAACAAGAAUAACAGACAAAAUAUUGUGCUUCUAUACUUGUCAAAAAACUAGACAAAAAUAGUUCCCUUUUUGGUUUGUGAAAACUUGAUAUUUUUGAAAAUUCUAUCCAAUGCUUUCAAACAAUAUUUCCAUAAUAUAGUUGUUCAUAGCUAACCUUUGAUGGUGUAAGGAUUUGUUGUAGGCAUAAUGGGCUAAUUAUAUAUAUAUAUAUAUAUUUUUUUUUUUUUUUUUUUUACCCGCUGAAUGAUAUUCAGCUUCUUAAUUAUGUGUUCAUAGGCAGGAGCAUUUUCUUAAGUACUUUCGUUGCCUUCCAAGUUUCCAAUGAACAAACAGAGCACAAACAAAUUUAACGGAACAGUAACGAUGACAAUAAAUAAUUGGCAAGGAAAGAAAGAAAAAAGUUUGCAUGAUUUCAGGGAAUUAUAAAAUCUGAACACUUUCAACAUGCAAGUGUUGCCCCUCUUAAUGAAAUUUCAUCAUAAAAUGCUUGCAAGGAAUUAUAAAAUUUUAGAGAACAAGGGAACUCUCAAAACAAAAUACUCAAAUUAAAUUACAAUAGGCCAAAAGACGCUCAAUGACGCAAAUCUGCCCAUAAAAGCUUGAACGAAUCAUGAAAAGUGCAUUCCAUAUUGAUAGUAAACCAAGUGACCCAUUCUAAACAAUUGAGAUGAAAUUGUGAAACAACCCACGAGAUCAAAUAAAUAAAAUAAGAAUUAAUUACCAGCUGGGACUUUCUUCUUCAAAUUCGUAACUCCAAGUCAUAAGAAGCCUAUGAAAUUAGUCGUAAUCCACAGAGUAUGACGACGACCCCGCCAACAGCUGAAAAUAAAAUUCUUAUUCAUCAAUUUAAACUAACUUUAUAACAAAUAUCUUAUCGAUAUUUUAUUUAAAAAGAAAAAGCAAAUUUUGUAAAAUUUUUCCAUGGGAGAUAGAGAAUAACAUGUAUAUCCGUACCUUCUCAGCAUGUAAUUGUUGUAUGGUCGUCUUAAGAUCAUUACUAGCCCAACGCCGUUGAUUCGAUGUCUCUCCAUACCAAACGUUUACUCUUGGAGGCGUGCUUGAUUCUCCUGUAGUGAAAAUCUUCAAUUUGGGACAACCAAUCACAGAUAGAUCUUGCAAAGAUGGGAAUUUGAAGGUGUAAUUGGCAGAGCAAAAACUUGUGAGGCUAUCUAAAUCAAACAGUUCCAACCUCUUCAAUUUGCGGAAAACAAUCUCUUCUUUUUCAACCCCGUCUUUGUCAUUUAUUACCACCUCUGUCAUUGCUCUGCAUCCGUAUACACAAAGUGAUACGAGUUGCACUAGAGUUUUUGCUGUGGAGGAUGUUACCAAGUGUAUCAAUUCCUUGCAACCGAUAGCUACAAGUUUUGUUAGGUUCCGAAAAGAUACCGAUGAUGAUGGCAAUAGAAUUAACAGACUUUGACAAUGAUGUACUUUUAGAAUUUCAAGAUACUGAAAAAUGGGGCCAAGUUUGGAAUCUUGUUUGCACACCUGCUUCAGAUGAUAGUGCCGGUACAGCUUUAAUUCUUUUAUCAUUGCCAACUUCCCCACAUGUUUCUCUAAGCAUCCUUCCUUCGAAAAUACCUCUUCGUCGAAUGAAAAAAAAAACAGUGAGAGUAUUUCGAGAUUGUGAAAUCUCUCAAGUACGUUCCAGAUUGGAAAACCAGCUGAGUCAUCUUCAGCAAUCACUAGUCGUUUAAGACUGCCAAAAACGUGUUGUGGGAAAUCGGCCUGCAAAAUCAUCUUCGCGUCUUUUCCGCUUAGUGAUAGUUCCGUCAAGUUGGGUAGGAUCUGAUCAUCAUCAAUCAUAAUAACUGAUAAGGUCAAUUGGUGUUUUCUCAAAUGAUUUUAAGUAAUCCAAUCACAUGCAGUGACUUUAUAGUAUUUGUUUUAUAUUAUAUUUUACAAAAAAAAAAUUGAAUUAUUGAUAAAAUUUAUUAAAUGAUUUUUUAUAUAUUAAUUUUAGAGGUAAAAAAGAAAUUAGGGAAAAAAAGAAAUUAUUUUAUUGGUAAUUAAGUGUUUGGUAAAUUUUGUUUCAAGAAGUACUGUAAAUUUUGAAAACAAUUAUGGUCGUUUGGUAAAUUUUACUGUUAAACUGCUGAGAGAAAAUAAAUGACUAAAAUAUCCAUAAUAUAAGAUAAAAUUUACUUAUAUAUCUCCUAAAAGCAAUCCCAAACGGGCCCUAAGGAUUCUUUUAUAAAUGUUAUACCUAAAAAAGUUCAUAUAAUUAUUAAUCUACCACAUUGAUCCCUUAGUCUAGACUAGCAAAGAUUAUUGUAUAAUAAAAGUUUUCAAUUUAUUGAGUAUUAAUUUAUCAUUGCUUUGUCAUAUUUUUCAAAGUUAAAAAUAUGCUAUUGAUAAAAAAAUCUAGAAAAUGGCUUCAUACCUUUUCCAACGGCAAUGGGGGCUGUUGUGCAGGAAUACCAAGUUGAUCAUUCUCAUUAUUCUGCGAUAAAUCUGCAGCGAAUAUCUUUAAUUUGUCACAACGAUACACUAAAAGCAUUUCUAGCGCGAGCCAUUCCAAAGUAUGCAUUCCAGGGCACAAACAUCUAAGUUUUGGUAGAUCUUGGAGUCUCAGAGUGGUGAGCUGUGGAAAGACAGAAUAAGAAUUUGUCACUUGAUCUGCUCUGUUUUCAGAAAUAAUCUCCUGUAAAUCCUCACAGUCUCGUAUAUCUAGGUGUUGGAGCUGCUUGAGGCUUCCGAUCAUAGACGCUGCAAAUAUGUAUUUUAAUUUGUGACAACGCCACACAAUCAAUCGUGUUAAACUUUGAAAGUGAGGAAACACGGCCACCAGAAUUUGAUUGUAGUGCCAAAUCUUGUCGACAUUAAUUUCAGAUAUCUCCAAAGCCUCCAAGUUAGGCAACGCAACCUAAAAAAAUAAGAAUUUCUCGUUAGAUCCAAUAUCCAUAUGGGAAGCACUUGUUGAAAUUUUCUUCUUUGAUUACAAAUUAAUGCAAGUCUGAAUCAAUUUCCAACUGACAGCUGAGUAUGCAUUCUAAUUCAUACUACUUGUUAAGAGCUCAAUUAGUGAGUGCGUGAGAUUCUUUUUAUCCUUUUUUUCCAUUUUCUUUCACUUCUUUAAAUGAUUUAAUUAUUUUCCACGUAUGACAUCAAAAGAGAACGCAUGAUAGAAUAAAAUGUGUUAUACAUUAAAGAAAAUGUUAGCCUACGCACCUUCUCGUUGAAAAGCAGAGUUGAAAUACCCAAAGUGAUUUCGCUGGAGCAAUACAUAGUCGUCGAUUCCUCUUGCGACGCUCGUCUGUUCGGUGAUGCUGAAGGAGUCUCCACCUCACAGCAAAAACUUGUAACCUCUGGAAGAUUCCCCAGACUCAAAGAUCUUAAUUGAGCAAACUCUAUCUUCUCAAUUGCAUUAUCAACUUCUUCCCCAAUUGCAAAAAUCUCUUUCAUCUUGCUGCAAUUAAUAACAGCAAUUCUCUCAAGUCUUGGAAGGCAUUUUGUAGUAGAGAGCCAAAAGAUAUUACUCAACGUAUCACAACUAUAUGCUUCUAUGGUUUUGAGUUUGUUGAAAGACUCUACUUUGAGCCGAUCAACACAUAUCCUCUCCAUGUUGAUCAAAUUGUGAAGGAUAAGUGACUCCAAAAGAGGAAAGGCAUCACAAGCGACCAUCUCCCUUGAAUCGACGAUACAAAAGAUGUCAGGAUUAUUUUGAACCCAGAGAAGCUUCAAUUGUGAAAAGCCCUCCGUGUCCAAAUUGAAAAGAACAUUCUCGAUGCCUUGCAGCUUGUCCAACCAUAAGCAUUCAACGUUGGUGAUGCCCUGCAAUUUCAUGGAGCAAAUGUCCAUAAAAUCAAGCUUGAGCUUCAAUGUUCUUAAACUCUUGCGUUUACUGUUGAUCCAAAAGUGCGGCUGACUUUGGAACCAAUGUUGUCUAACACACUUGGGAGGCGUGAAUGACUCAUUUCCAAUAGAUAUUUUGAACCUUUCGAGCUUUCUGGCCAAAAAACCUUCUGGUAAAAUACUGUCAUUUUUAACGUCAAUUUCUAGAGUGGUUAGCCGAGGUAAAUGCAUCAAUUCGUCAAGGCUAGCAUUACUUCUUUUGCUGCUGGCUCUUUCAACCUCCCAUUCAAUGAAGCAAUUACCCAUAUACAGCUCUUCUAAUCGAGUUAAGCUUGAUAUGAGAUUGGGCGCAAUAACUUUCAGAUGGAAACAAUUGGUUAAAUCUAACAAUCUCAACUUAUUCAAUUGACCUAGUUCUUCUGGCAACUGCAUAAUAUCAGACAUCAGAAAGCUUAGGACUUCUAGAUUCUUCAACUUCCCAAUGAUUGCUAUGUCCCCCAACGCACUUUGAUCCAGACAUAGUGUGUGAAGAUUUACUAGAAGAUCAAUUGAAGAUGGAAAUGAAGAAAACUGCAUUCGAGUAAAAUCUAGAACUCUAAGCUUUUUCAUCCCUACAAAAAAGUUCUCAGGAAUAUUGAUUUCAAGAGAAGAAUCUUUGGGAGAGAUAAAUAAAAAUUCAAGGUUUGGGCAUUCUAAUCCUUCAGGAAAUUCACGAUUACUAUAAUUUCUUAAAGAGAUAGCAUUGCAUUUUCGAAGUGCAUCCUCUUCUGGCCAGUCCCACACAUCCUCAUUCCUCACCGAAAACACAUGUUGGUGGCGGCAUGCAAUCGAUAUUGCGACAUCGCGAACAACAUCAUGCAUUGAAAAUUCUUCAUUGCUAUCAUCCUCAAGCAACAAACAAGAGUCUCUAAGUUCAUGGACCAAUGCAUAUAAUUUGUCUCGUGCAUCUUCCAUCUUAUUGACUCCUUUAAAUAUACCCAAACCCAUGGAGUACUUAAACAAGUCCAAAGUAACAAUACGGUUAUUCAUUAGACUACAGAGCAGAAAAAUUUUCUUGAGUUGCUCACCUCUUAAAUGGUUGAAACUCAGCUCAAUACAUGAAUAAGUCUCUGCAGACACUCCUUCGAAGUUUACCAUUGAAGGCGUUCGGAGUUCUCGCAAGGAAUUCUUCCAUUCAUGCAGACUCUUGCUUCUCAGUGCCAUUGCCACUGUAGUCAAGGCAAUGGGCAAACCUCCACAUGCCCUGGCGACGUCUAUUGCUGUAGAUUUCAACUCACGAUUUUCAACAUCAUCACCGGCCAUCAUCUUAAACAAUCUCCAGGCUUCUUCUUCAUUUAAGUUGUUUAUCAAAAAGUUGUCUUUAGAUCCCAUUUUUAAGAGGACACUACGAUCUCUUGCUGUCAGCAGUAGUUUGCAUCCUUUAUGAUCUUCUCCAAAAGGAAUUNNNNNNNNNNNNNNNNNNNNNNNNNNNNNNNNNNNNNNNNNNNNNNNNNNNNNNNNNNNNNNNNNNNNNNNNNNNNNNNNNNNNNNNNNNNNNNNNNNNNNNNNNNNNNNNNNNNNNNNNNNNNNNNNNNNNNNNNNNNNNNNNNNNNNNNNNNNNNNNNNNNNNNNNNNNNNNNNNNNNNNNNNNNNNNNNNNNNNNNNNNNNNNNNNNNNGGCUUCCAUAGCUUGCCUGGCGACCUCCUUCAUCAAUGUCGUCUUUCCAAUGCCGCCAUGCCGUACACCCCAAUGAUGCUGACAUUAGCAUCGAUCAAUGCGUUUUUUAUGGCCUCCAAAGUAGAACGUCUUGAUUCGAAGGCCUCGCAGUCUUUGUUAGACUUGAGCCAUAUAUCCUCCGGAAUGGUAGGGUCGGAAAUUCUAUCAUCAAAUCUCCCAGCUUCUUCUCGGAGUUUAAAAAGGGCCUCCUUCUCUGUUUCUGCUUUCUUUCCACGCCGAUAGCGAGCAAACCAAUCAGGAAACAGCCCCAUGAGACAUCGACCGUCAUUUGCUGUCUCUUCGUCUUGAAUGAAUUUGGCUGCCUGCUCAAUGCUCUUGUUCGCAUUAACCAGCCAUUUCUCAACCUUCUCUACAAUCUUUUCACUUUUUCUUUCAGCCUCAGAAACUCUGCGCUGAAUCCUUUCUCUUUCAACCCUCAGCCUAUCGAGUUCUGCCUUGAGAUUCUCAAAGUUGGCAGCGGAGUUAUACCAAUAACUAAAUUCGCGUUGUGCGUGGGGAGACAAGCAGUUUACAACUCCUGGAGCAAUGCUUUUCAAAAUGUCCAUUUUUUUUUUUUUAUGGGGAAGUGAACGAAAUGGAAAUAGAACAGGGUCAACGACCGCGCAAUUGAUAAUCAAGUAGAAGCAAAACAAGCCAAAAUGGAAAAAGAAAUGAUAUUUGUACAAAACAAGGGGAAAAUCAGUGUAACAGAAGAGAAUCAAAGUGUUUUUGAGAUCAGAAAAUUGAACCAAGAAAAGGGUUGCUUGAUCCAAUGAAAAUGCAAAAAGCUGAUGGCAAAAGGGAACAAAGCUAAAUAAGAAAACGGCUAGCACGAGCAGUGACCACGAUCAACAGAAGCAAAGUGUGUAUGAGAUCAAAAGACGAAAAUGAGGAGAGGUUUUCUUGAUUGAGAAUUGAAGGCAAAGAGUAGGAGCUGACGAAUACGGGGAUCAAGAGGGAAAAACUGCUUGCUUGUAAAACUACUUUCAAGCGAAUCUGAUAAAAUUAUUUCAGUACUAGUGGGCGACUCCUUUUUAAACUGCAGAAGGGAAAAAAAAAAGUUCUGAAUUUCAAUAUAUUAAUCUCGUAAUCAAUGAUUAAUUAGUAGAUAAUCUUUCUAACAAAUAUGUGUUGAAUAGAUAUAUUUCUUGAUUAUUAGUAGGUUCGAUAUACUUUAGUAUAGGAAUGAAAGUACAAGUUGUGUCGUAUUAGAAUAAAAAUUGGACCUAAAAAUAUUGUUCUAUGGCCUUUUAAUUAUUUGUCAGCUAAUAAUGAAGUCAUAUAAAAAAAUUAAUAAUCUGAAUUAGUCUUUAGUAUUAUAAAUGUUUUUAGAUUUUUAAUUAUAAUAUCAUUAUUUAAAAAUAAUUGCUUGACUUACAUUCGUAACAUUACGAUUGUCAUAAAACAUGUGAUCCUCAUCCAAAGGCCAGGUGAACAACUCUUUGUCAAGUCAGUCAAAUAUAAACGACAAAUUCUUUUCAAUUAAAUAAUCAUCAAGAAAUAAUCUUCUAUUUCAGUACAAAUGGCGAGUGCAGAACAGCUGUCAAGAGAUAAUCAUUGUUUACGGAGCCAUAUAUAUUUUCUAUUAAAAUAGUUGCGUCACUUGCGUGAACAAUUGCCAGAAUCCGUAAAAAUUGUUGAAAGGUCUAUUAGUUUCGAGUAGAAUAUUUUCGAUUAAAAUAGUUGCGUGAACAAUUAUCAUAGAUAGUGUUUAUAUUUUGGAUUGAAGUGAGAAUUUUGAGAAAUAAAAAUCUAAGAUUGAGAGUGUAGAGUGGAAGUGAGUGUAAGUUAUUUACUUACACUGAAAAAUAAGCAUGGAAUGGAGAUCAUAAUCCAAUUUAUGUGUUUAUUUUAUCUUCAAUUGAGAAUAAAUAGUUUCAAAUUACAAUUUUACCUUUAUUUAAAGAAUUAUAUAUAUUUAAUGAAUAAACAUUUAUUUUAUUAUAUUUGUAAAUUUAUAAUAAUUGUUAAUAUUCUUAAUUAUGUACAUCAUAAUUUUUUAUUAAUUUUAAUUUUAAUUAUAUAAAUUAAAAAUUAUUGAUAAGAGCAAUAUAAAUGAAACAUUUUUACUAUUAACAUAGUACAAAAUUAAUAUUUUCUUAUAAUUAACUAUUUAUUAUUACUAAUUAUUGAUAUUAAAUAAAUAUAAUACUAUUAUUUUUAAAUAAAUAUAAUAAUAUUAUAUUUUCAAAUAAAGAUAGUAUAUAGUAAUAUUAUUAAUUCUCUAUUAAUAUAAUAAUAAUAUUUAAAUAAAUAAAAUAUUUUUUAUUUUAUUUUAUUAAUAUAUAAUUAUAGUAAAUUUAAUAAAAGGGGGUUAAAAAAGGAAGGUAAAUAUAAAAUGAAAUAUUAUUUUAUUUAAUUAUAUUAAAUUUAUUAUUAUAUAAAUAAUAAUAUAAUAUUAUUUAGUAUAAAAUUAAUAUUUUCUUAGAAUAAACUAUUUAUUAUUAUUAAUUAUUAAUAUUAAAUAAAUAUAAUACUAUAUAUUUAAAUAAAUAUAAUAAUAUUAUAUCUUCAAAUAAAGAUAACAUAUAGUAAUAUUAUUAAUUCUCUAUUAAUAUAAUAAUAUUAUUUAUUUUAUUUUAUUAAAUAUUAAAUAUUAAAUUUAAUUAAAUAAGGUAGAAAAUGGAGAGGUGGGAAUGGGUUUCCCAUGGGAGUCCCACUCCCACUCCCACUCCCCACUCCAAAAAUGGGUGGAGUUUAUGGAGUGAGAUUCCCAAUUCCUCCUUAAAAUGGUAAAGUAAAUAUUGAAGUGGGAGGAAUUCACACUGCUCACACCCACUCUAGAAAAUAAACACCGAAAAGGCCAAAGGAUGAAGAACCACUAUAAGUUCUUUUAUGAAUUUAAAAUGCUAAAGAAACUUGAUUUUGAUGAUAACAAACUACAUAGGGUACAAUGGUAAAUUUAUUUCUCACAAUCUCACAAGUUUUUGAAGGGCAAAAAUCAUUCAAGUGAGAUCAAGAUCAAGAUACUCAAUGGACAAUGACAAUCAAGGACGAAUACUAAGGGUACUAGUUUAAGCAAUCUUUAUUGUUAAAUUUAUUGUAAAGCCAGUAUAAUUUAAUGUGUGCAUGAUUUAACAUUUAAAAGCUCAAGAUAUUUUUCAUGACAUUUUCAAAUUAAAUCAUCAUUUUCUAUAAUAUAAAAGUUUUAACGAUUUUAUAAAAUUAGUUGCUUUUUCCAAAUUUAUGGACUAACUUGAAAAGUUUUGAGAACUUGGAAAUCAACCAAUAAUGUUUUAAAUCCUAGAAAUUGACAUAUUUGUAAAUAUUUCAAACAUUUUGGGUUGUAAUAUAAUUUCAAAAAAAUUAGGUCUAAUCUAUAAAUCCUGGAACAAUAGUGGCUAAUCGCUUAACCAAUAGCGGCUAACUACUUCAAGUCCAAAAACAUAGCAGCUAACCGCUUAAAUCAAGUGGAAUCCGCUUGAACCAAAGUUUUCAAAUUUGAUUUGCAACUGUAACUUACCAUAUCAACAUAGUGGCUAACCGCCUCAUUUUAACGGCGAUCCAGCAAGUCCCUAGAAAAGCCAAUAAUUGCUAGUUUGAUUGUUUAAACUAUAAAAUUCAAAUUAAACUCAAAUCUAACAAUUUUUUUCAAUCUCAAUUAAGCUAAAACUUAUUCAUAUAUCUUGAGGUUUCAUUUUGCUUAUCUACAUACAUUAAUCAUUAUAGGGCUAUCAUUUGCUUAUACACUCUUAUAGAGUGUAAUCUUUGUAAUCUUCAAUUAAAUAUCAAAAUUGAGUGAGUAUAAGUGUGGGAAACACUUGGGAAAAGAGGCGUGUGUAUACAUAACUACUUGUAAAGGUUUAUUGACACCUUAGAAGUCAAUUGUAAAAUCUUGGAGUCUUGGAAGGUUUAGAUAGUAGAAUUCUCAAGUUUGGAUUGCUUGGAGGCGUAGUCAUAGGCGGGUUUGCCGAACCACAUAAAAAUUCAUGUGUUUGUUAUCUUCUCCCUUAUCUUUUUAAUUUCACGCAUUGUUAAAUUUACCAUUAUUAAAUUUCUUGAAGCAUUUGUUUAAUUUGUAUUGUGUUUUUGUUAGUAUAAUUUUUAAUACCUAAUUCACCCUCUCUUGGGUUGCUUAGCUAGAAUUUUAUUUGGUAUCAGAGGAAGUUCUCUUAUUAUAACUUAACCAUCUAGAGUAAAAGAUCUAUAGUAAUCCAAAAUGAUCCCAGAUUUGGGAAAGGUUAAUCCCUUACUAGAUCACCAUUCUUUGAUGGGAAUGAUUAUCCAUGUUGGAAAAUUAUGAUAAGAAUUUAUUUGCAAGCAUUAUAUUAUGAAAUAUAGGAAGUUGAUUGUGAUGGUCCAUUCAUGCCUACUACUAAAAAUGAAGAAGGGAAAGAAAUUCUAAAACUUUCACAAGAAUGGAAUGUGUCAGAAAAGAGAAAAAAUUCUCUUAAUUUCAAAGUCAUGAAUGCUUUGUUUUGUGCCUUAAGGUUGUUCCAAUGCUUAUGAAAUUUGGAAAAAAACAUAAACUCGUUUAUAAAGCUACAAAUCAAGUUAAAUAGUCUAAAAUUAGUAGAUAUACUAGGCAAUACGAAUUGCUAUAAAUGGAACAAAAUGAGAGUGUUAAUUCCAUAUACACUAGAUUUACAAACAUUAUAAACACUUUAGAAGCUCUUAGAAAGGCCUUUUCAAAUAGCGAGAAGGUAAAAAAAAUCAGUAGGUCUUUACCAAAAGAAUAGAGACCUAAGAAAAUUGCCAUUGAGGAAGACAAUGAUACUUUAUCUAUUGAUGAUUUAAUUAGUUCAUUUAUUUCUUAUGAAAAGGAUUUGACAACUUGAAAAGGCAAUGAAGACGAGAAGAAGAAGAGUAUUUCCUUAAAAGCAUCAAGAUCUAAAAGUGACAACGAAAGUGAGAUCGAAAAUGAAGACAUGGCUAUGAUAGCUGGAAAAUUCAAAAAAAAUUUCAAGAAAUCCAUCGAGCGAAGGAAUUCAAAAAUCAGAAAGAAAAGGAGGCAAUUAUUUGCUUUAAAUGCAGGAAGCCUAGACACAUAACACUAGCAUGUCCUUUUCUCAAUAAAGUAAAGAAGAAAGCUAUGGUAGCAACACGGGAUGAUAGUGAUAAGGAGACUAUAGAUGAAGAGUAGUCUCAUGAAGUGUCAAAUUUGGCACUUAUAGUUAUAGGAGAUGAUUAUAGGAGAUGAACUUGAUGAGGUAAACCUCUUAGGAUGAGUUGUUUGAAGUAUUCUCUAAAUUGCAUAAAGAUUUAAAGAAGAUUGGAAUGUAAAAUGUUUCUCUUGGAAAGAAAAAAGUAGAACUUUUAUAUGAGAAUGACACUUUGAAUAAAAAGAUUAAGUGCCUAGAAUUAUUUGUGAAGAAAUUGCAUCUUUUAAAGAAAAAACAAAGUGUUUCAUCUAAGAAUAAAGGUUUACCUGUAAAUGAUUUGAAAAAGAAAAAUAAAAGAUAUUGCUUUAGAAUUUGCUUAGUAUUAGUCAAUUGUGUGAUAAAGGUUACAAAGUUAUUUUUAUGUGAUAAAGGCUAUAGAGUUAUUUUUUUAUAAAACAAAAUGUGUUAUUAAAAAUGCACGUGAUGGCAAAGUUUUAUUUGUUAGAUAAAGAUAUGUUAAUGUAUACACCAUUGAUAUAGAUUGUGUAUCAACUCAUAAUAAAUGUUUUUUUCACAUUACAUGAUGAUAGUUGAUAUGGCAUGGAAGACUAGGUCAUGCGAGCAUGGAUUUUAUUUCAAAAUUUUUUUAAAAUGAUUUGGUUAUAGGUCUUCCAAAAAUUGGUUCUAAAAUAGAUAGAAUUUGUGAAGUUUGCCAAUUUAGAAAACAAAUAAAAUGUCCUUUAAAAAUAAAAUUCAUAUUUCUACUUCAAAACCACUUUAACUUUUUCACAUGGAUUUGUUUGAAUUUUCUAAAUAUGCUAGUCUAAGUGGUAAAUAUUAUGCAUUUAUAAUUAUAGAUGAUUAUUCUAUAUACACAUGGUAUUACUCUUAACUAAUAAAGAUGACACCUUUAAUGCUUUCAAAAUUUCUAUAAAAAGGUUCAAAAUGAAAAAUGAUAUGUUAUUUCUUGCAUUAGAAGUGAUCAUGGUGGAGAAUUUAAAAAUUGUAAUUUUGAAAAUUUUUACAAUAACUUUGGCAUUGAGCAUCAAUUCUUGUCACCAAGAACUCCACAAUAAAAUGGAGUAGUUGAGAGAAAGAAUUAGUCUAUCCAAGAAAUGACUAGGACCAUGUUAAAUAAAAAUGCUUUACUAGAAUAUUUUUAGGUUGGAGCCGUCAAUAUUGUUUGUUAUGUUUUAAAUCGUGCAUUGAUUAGACCUUACUUCAAUAAAACUCCUUAUGAGCUUUGGAAAAAUAGAAAAACAUUGACUAUUUCAAAGUUUUUGGUUGCAAAUGUUUUCUAUUGAAUACAAAAGAUAAUCUUGGUAAAUUUGAUCUAAAAUCUGAUGUUGAUAUUUUUUCUUGGGUAUUCAAAUACAAGCAGAACUUAUAGAGUGUAUAAUAAAAGAACCUUGGUCGCUAAAGAAUCUAUACAUGUUGUGUUUGAUUAAAUCUAACUUUUCUUCUACGAAGAAAGUUGUUGUUGAUAAUGAUGCAUAUGAAGAGUUACAAAAAAAAAAGUCUUUAAAAGACAAACAAGAUGAUUUACUAGGAAAAAAUCAAGAUGAGCAACAAGAAGAACCAGUUAAAUAUAUUCAAAAUGAAGGUAAUUCACAAACACUCUCUAAGGAGCUAAGGUAUGUCUCUUCAGACCCUAAAGACUUAAUCUUAGGAGAUCCUUCAUGAGGUGUAACUACUAGAUAAUCACUUAGAAAUACAUGUGAACAUACUGUAUUCGUAUCUCAAGUUGAACCAAAAUCCUUUUCAGAUGUGGAAAAUUAUGAAUCUUGGAUCAUAGCAAUACAAGAAGAGUUAAAUCAAUUUGAAUGAAACAAUGUAUGGAAACUUGUUCAUAAACCAGAACAUCAAUCUGUAAUAGGCAGUAAAUGGGUGUUUAGGAAUAAAAUUGAUGAAUCUGGUGUGGUUGUAAGGAAUAAAGCUAGAUUAGUAGCUCAAUGAUGCAACCAAGAAAAAGAAAUUGAUUUUGAUGAAACCUUUGCACAUGUAGCUAGAUUAGAAUCCAUUACAUGCUUUUAUCAUUUGCAUAUCAUAAUGAUUUUAUUUUAUAUUAAAUGGAUGCUAAAAGUGCCUUUCUAAAUAGUUGUAUUAUAAAGGAAGCUUAAGUGAAACAAUCCCCUCGUUUUAAAAACGAAAAAUAUUUUUGGAUCAUGUUUACAAGUUGUCCAAAGUUUUAUAUAGUUUAAAGUAAGCAUCUAGAGCAUGACAUGGUAUACUUAGUAAAUUUCUUGUAGAAAAUAGUUUUUCAAUGGGUAAAGCGAAUACUACUCUAUUUGUUAAAUACAAGGAUCAAGGUAUACUUGUUCAAAUUUAUAUUGAUGAUAUUAUCUUUAGUUCUACUAAUGAGUUUCUGUGUAAGGAAUUUUCAUCUUGUAUGAGUAGAGAAUUUGAGAUGAGCAUGAUGAGAGAAUUGAAGUACUUUCUUGGACUUAAAAUUUAAAAAAAAAAUCAUUAAUCAAGCCAAGUAUUUUAGAGAUCUACUCAAAAGAUUUUGCAUUCAGGACUAAAGACACUCCAAUGAGUACUACAAUCAAGAUCGAUAAGGAUAAAAAAAGUAAAGAUGUUGUAUCAAAAGAUAUCGAGGUAUGAUCAUAUCUUUACUUUACUUUACUGCUAGUAGACAUUACUUUAGUGUAUGUUUGUGUGCAUGAUUUCAACCAUAUCUCAAAGAAUCUCAUUUGCUUGCGGUUAAAAGAAUUUUUCAUUAUUUAUGAGGAACAAUUGAUCUUGGUCUAAGGGAACUCAUAUAGAUUAGUAGCUCAAUAAAUUUGUCAAAGAAUCCCAUUCAACAUUUUAGGACCAAACAUAUUGAAAUUAGGCAUUAUUUCUCACGUGAUCAUGUUUAAAUGAGAGAUAUUGCUUUAGAAUUUGUUUCUAUGGAAAAAUAACUUGCUCAUAUUUUUACAAAGCCUUUUUGUGAAGAAUAGUUUUCAAAGAUUUGGCUUGAGUUUGGAAUGAUGACAUUUUCACAUCAAUAUUUCAUUACAUGAUAUUGAGACUACAAAUUUGCUUGAUUUUCUAUCUUGAUUGAUUGUAUGAUAAAAACUUGAUUUUAAUGUGUUAUAUGCUUGAAUUUACUUCUUUGAAUGUUUAUCAUCAUAUCUUAUGCAUUAAAAAUGGCUUUUGAAAUACUUCGGGAUCACAAAAUGGUCUCAAAAUUAAUUAAAUUUUGGCCAAAAAGCAAAAUCGUGCAAAAUUCAGGGGAACUAGCUAACCGUUAACCACAAGCGACUAGCCAAUUGUGAGGCAGAAACUAGCUGGCCAGCCGGCUUAAAGCAAACGGUUAAUUGCUUGGUUUCUAAAAAUGAAACGGUUAACCGCUUUCUUCAAGUGGCUAGCUGGCUUCACGUUUUCAAAUGUUGUUCAUCUUCUUUUUCCCACUUUCAGUUGUUACCCUCUCUCUAUCACUGUCAUCUCUCAUUUCUUUUACUCUCUCUCUAAAAUCUUCCAUUUUUACAUCACUUUUGUGUCAAAUUAAACUUUCCAAAUCAUUUCCCAUCAAUUAAUCUUCACUCAUUCGCUUUUAAAACACAAUCUAAUCACUCUUUUCUCAAAAUCUUAAAGCCUAAGUCACCAGUUUCAACAUUCUCAAAUUUGAACCAUUAUUUGACCAUUUUCGACCAAAAUAAACCCAUACAUUCCUUAGAUAUUCUCAAAGAAUAUUUUAACAUUUUAAUCGGUUCAAAAUCAUCUAUUUCUUUAAAAACUUACUAAACUCAAAUUUGUGCAAUUUUGGACACAUUUUGAUAAUUUCUUAAUGGCUAGUGGUGAGAAGUCCAAGGGUUAGCAUAUGCCUAAAAUGUAAAAAAAAGAUUCAUAAAGACAUUAUGAAAUUUAUUUCCACCCACUUUCCAAAUCCACCUCAAUAGAAUGAUUCUAUGAUCGAUUUAUGACAAGGUCAGUCCUCCCAUCCUAUAUAUGUUAAUCUUGAUUAAUUAGAAAAUUUGUCAAGUUGUAGCAAAACUUUUAGAACUUUACUUGCUGAAUUGGGUUGGACAAAUGUCUUAGUUCUUAAGGAACAUAUUUGUCCUAAUUUGGUACGAUUAUUUUAUUCGAACAUGCUUAUUUAUACAAUUACUGCCAAUAUGAUUAUUACUAAUGUUGCUGGGAUUCCUAUUAAGUUUACAGUAGAAGAUUUAAACAUGAAUCUCAGGACUAGGAAUGAUAGGUUGCAUUUGUAUACAUCUAGGACUAAAAUUGAUUAUCCCUGGUAUUCAGGACUAGGAAUGAUAGGUUGCAUUUGUAUACAUCUAGGACUAAAAUUGAUUAUCCCUGGUAUUUAGUUGUAGAUGAUGUUUGAAACAUAGAUGUUCGAAAAAUAUGUAGGUGAUCUGAUCUAUCCAUGGAGCUUUUUAAUUCCUCUCUUAGAUCACAAAUGUUGCCUCUUCAAGUUCGGAUCCUACAUAGUGUUCUUCAGCUUGCGAUCAGUCCUCGCAAGGGACAUGGUGCUAAGGUUACACGCUUAGAUGUUACUUUAUUAGAUAGCAUCCUUGAGGGUAAAAGCUAAAUGUGCGAAUAUUAUCAUUCAGCACAUGCUUAAUACACUGAGUAUAGGAAACCGAUCCUUUUCAGUUGAUAGUGUCAUUACCCAUAUCCUUCAAUAUUUUUGGGUCCCUAUAGCUGAACCAUCUCAUGAUGAACCCAAGGAGUUAGGGGAUGAGGUCAUUGCUAGCUUAGGAUUUGGGUGGGUAGAUGACCAAUAGGUUAAGAAUCAGAACUUGUUGAGCAAACCCACAAAGCUGGCUCUUUUUUAUCAUUGCAUCUUUAACGAUGUGCUUCCCAUUACUGGGUUCUUGAUCUUAGCUCUUCCCUGAGGUCACAAGCUCUACAUUGGCCUUCUGAUGCUCCACCACCAUCAUCUUCAGCCAUUCCCAAUAACCCAAUCCAGCAGUUGUUGAAUAAAGUGUGUUCCAUAUCCGAGUAGUAGAGCAAACUUAAGAUACCGUUCGCAGCAUUCCAGGAUCAUUUUCUUUCUGAGCAGCAGCGUCUCUUUCUUCAACAAUAACAAAUUCUAGACCAUCAGCAGCUUAUUUUCAUUGCUCUCAAAUUUUUGCCACCAUCCUUGUUAUCAUGUUUGCCGCCUCAUCAGUGAUUUUCUUUUAUCUCUUUUGCUUCCUUGUUUUAUGCACCGACAUUAUUUAUCAUAUGCAUUUUCGUUUUUAGCAUUAUGGAUACUUGAUGGAUGUUAUUUUACUUAUGCAUUAUAGAUACUUGAGUUAAUAUGGAUUAUCUUUAUGCAUUCUAGUUAUUGAUCGUGGUAUCUUUAUUAGUUAUCUUUAUGGAUUAUCUUUAUUGAUUAUGGAUUAUGUAUAUGGAUACUUGAUUAAUGGUCAUGUGUGGAUUCUUGAUUGAUGAUCUUUGUGGGGGAUAAUUAUUGAUAAUAUUUGUAUAAUAGAGGAGUGAUUUUUCAUGAUGAAGGGAGAGAAGAUAUUGACAUGUAUUUUGAAGUGUUUUGACAUGUUUUUGGCUCAUGGGGGUUGAUUGAGUGUUUGUAGUAUUUUAGUUACUUUAUGAGUCACUCAAGGAGAGUUUACAAAUGUUGUACAAUUAUAUGGAUCAUGUACUUAGAGGGAGUGAGUUUAUAUAUUUGGUUAUAUUUUUUGAAUUAUGUCAUAUAUUCAGGGGCAAUAGAAAUGUCAAAAUACAUAGAGUGUUUGUCAUCAUAAAAAAAGUAGAGAUUGUUGGGGUAAACGACUAUAUGAUCCUUAAUUUUGAUGAUAACAAACCACAUAAGGUAAAAUGGUAAAUUUAUUUCUCACAAUCUGACAAGUUCUUAAAGGACAAAAAUCACUCAAGUGAGAUCAAGUUCAAGUCACUCAAUGGACAACAACAAUCAAUGAUGAAUGCUAAAGGUACUAGCUUAAGCAAUCUUCAUAGUUAUAUUUCUUGUAAAGCUAAUAUGAUUUAAUGUAUGCAUGAUUUAGUAUUUAAGAGUUCAAGAUAUUUUUCAUACAAUUUUCAAAUUAAAUCAUCAUUUUCUAUAAUAUAAAAGUUUUAAACGUAAAUAAAAAUGAUUUUAUAAAAUUAGUUGUUUUCAAAUUUAUGGACUAAAUUGAAAAGUUUUGAGAACUUUGAAAUCAACUAGUAAUGUAUUAAAUUCUUGAAGUGGACCUAUUUAUAAAUAUUUCAAAAUUUUUAGGCCAUAGUAUAAUUUUAGGAACUUUUAGUUUAAAUCUAUAAAUUUUGAAACAGUAGCGACUAACUGCUUAACGAAUAGUGGCUAACUGCUUCAGGUCCAAAAACAUAGCUGCUAACCAUUUAAAUCAGGCGACAAUUCGCUUAGGCAAAAAAGUUUUUAAAUUUUAUUUGUAACGGUAACUUACCACAUCAAUAUAGCGACUAACUUCUUUAUUUUAACAGCAAUCCGGUAGGUCCUCAGAAAGUCAAUUACGACUAGUUUGAUUGUUUAAACUAGAAGAACCCAAAUCAAACUCAAAUCUAACAACUUUUUCAAUCUCAAUUAAGUUAAACUUGUUCAUACAACUAAUCCUGAGCUUUCAUUUUACUUAUCUACAUGCAUUAAAUCAUUAUUGAGUUAUCAUUUGCUUAUACACUCUUAUAGAGAUUAAUCUUUGUAAUCUUCAAUUAAAUAUCAAAAUUUUGUGAGUAUAAGUGUGGGAAACACUUGGGGAAAGAGGUAUGUGUAAACAUCACUACUUAUAAAGGUUUAUUGACACAUUACAAGUCAAUUGUAAAAUCUUAGAGCCUGAGAAGGCUUGGAUAGUGGAAUCCUCAAACUUAGUUUGCUCGGCAGCAUAAACAUAGGCGGGUUUUGCCGAAACAUGUAAAAAUUCGUUUGUCUGUUAUCUUUUCCUUUAUUUUUUUAAUUGCAUUCAUUGUUAAAUUUACUGUUAUAAAUUUCUUAAAGCAUUUGUUCAAUUUGUUUUGUAUUUUUGUAAGUAUAAUUUUAAUACCCAAUUCACCACCCUCUUAGGUUGUGUAGAUAGAAUUUCACAUUUGUUGUACAACAACAACAACAGCAAUAACAAUAAUAAUUGUUAUAAUGGUUGUAACAAUUACUAUUGAAAAAAAUUUAUUGUUAAUAAUAGUAGAAAAUAAGAAAAAAAAAGGAAAUUAUCCACUAACCAUGUAGUCUUUGGGACUUUUUCAAAAAUACACAAAAAAAAACUUUCUUUGUAGAAAUCCACCUAGAGUUUAUUAAUUAUUCAUUGUCAUCUUAGCUCAUUAGAUUCUUGUUGAUGUCAUAAGAUUAAAAUUAUCAUUUUACUUGAACACCUAAGAUUAAAAUUAUCCUUUAGAGUUUCUUUCGCUGGGGCUGGUGACCUUAGUGGUUAGAUUUGCUAGAUAUGGUCGUGAGAAACUCGACAAUGACCGAGGAUUGGCUGGAUUCACGGUGGUUUGGUCAAAAAUCUGACUUGAAUUGGCAUUUGUGGUGCUUCAUUCAUGUUGGAGAUUUUGAUUGCGAUUUGGAUAUCGACAAUGAGAAAGUGGCAUUUGCGGUGGCGCUAGGUGAAGCCCGGGUUUUGGGUUAGCGUUGUGGCGAUUUAUGGCGGUGAUCAUUGUUGGGUUUUGUCAAGUUAUGACCAGUGGAAUGUAGCAAGUUUAGUGGUGGUGUUGGUUGACAGUGAAGAUGGUUGGUUUCACGGUGGCAGCUGGUGGAUGCUCCCAGUUUUAGGUCUAGAUGAUUUAUAGUAGGUACAAGCGGCGAUUGAUGGCAGGAGUGGCUAAGGCUUGGUCAGUAGUGGCUAAUGAGUUUGGUAGAGGGAUUAGCCAAUGGUGAACUAUUAGUGAAGAGUGGCAGUGGCGGUGGGCGGCUGCUAAGGUUUUGUAAUUUUGUAAUAUUUUUUUGUUGGAUAAACAGUUAUGAAUUUGGUGGGGAUGGAUAUGGGUAGCCAGGAAAACUGUGCAAUUGGCAUUGAACCACUCUAAUACAAACUAACAAAUUGGAAUAGCGGAAGUGGAAUUGAUAGAGUAGGAAAUAUUAGCUAUCAUUCUAAUACUGGCUAAGGUAAUGUGGAUAGUUUACGUCCUAAUCGAAACGUGAGUAGAUCUCAUUCUAACAAUGGCUCAAUGAGAUUUUAAUAACGCAUAAAGCAAGAUUAGACGACGUUCUAAUCCAAAUAACUUUGUAAGAGAGAUUUUGAUAAAUAAUUUUAGAGAGAAUUAUUAAAAAGGGCUUUAUUAGUUGAUCAAUAGUUGAAGUUACAAUAAUAAGAUUUUGAUUUAUAAUAUAAUAAACCUACUUCACUAAGUUAACUUAAAAAGAAAAACUAAAUCACAAUUUUAAUAGAAAUAAAAAACUAAGACAUAUACCAUAGUUGACUAUAAUUAAAAUAGAAAACAAUAAAAUAAUAAAAAUUAUAGAAUCCUAAAAUAAUGUCUACAUCGUAUCCUCACUAAAAUAAAAAUAUAAAAGUAAAGCAAAUUGUGGUAUAACAGACUUUAAUUCUAUCACUCUUCAAUUUUUUUGUUUAUUAAUUAAUAUUGGUGUCUAUGGUUAAAUUUGUUAUUUUUUAUAACAAUUUUAUUUGUUAAUUGAAAUAUUUAGUCUAUGUAAACAAAAAAAAAAUGGUUGGAAAGAAUGAGAGACGAAGGGGGAGAGAGAGAGAGAGAACAAAGUCAAACAAAUAAUUUAUUGAAUUAUAUUUUAAAAUUAAAUUUUAAUUUGAUUAAAUAAAUGAUGUAGUGAGAAAAUGAGUAGGUUCAAAUAGCUUUACUUAUAUUUAUUUCAUUAAUGGCUCAAAAUUUAAUGAAAAUAAAUGGUUUUAAAAAAAUUGCAUUUAAGUUGCAUAAUUCAAUGAGUAGUGCCACACAUCCUAAAUCUUUUAUCUUAAAAAAUUAUCUCAAAUGAUAUGGUAUUCAUCAAUAGAUUGAAGAGAUAAUACAAUUAAUUCACUCAAAUCUUGAAAGAAUUACCUACUAUUCAAGUAAUGACACACCAUUUGGGAUAAAAAAAAUUUGGAAUAUCUAUCAUUACUCUAAUUAAAAAUAAACCUAUCACUGGAUGAUUAAUUAUAGUAGGUUGCUUAAUACUAAAAUGUCACUCAUAAAUUUUGUUUUGGAUUUGUAAUUGAUUUAUCUUAAUUCUUCAACUUGACAUAAGGUCGUUCUCCUCGUUUCUGUACACUUAAAAGUCACCAAGAUCAAAACUAGAUCUGUCGUUGCAUUUGCUUGAAAAAUAAUUUACAAGCACUAGGUUCUCCUGAUUAAGCAACAUUUUUAAAGGGUUAUGAUAGUAGUGGAGCACUUUGUAAAUAUUAGAUGGAUUGUUGAAAACAAUAAAAAAUGUUUGUGUGUUUUUUAUAAAGGCUAAAAGAUGAAGUGGUCUAUGGAUAAUUACUUAUUUUUUCCCUUUUUAUCUUAAUCAUAUUUGAACGACAUCCUUUUAUAGUUCCCAGGCAUUCUGCAACUAUAAUAGACAAUUUUAAUAGGAACUACAGAGAAAAUAUUAAUAUUUUUAUACUUAUUUACUUACCUGAUGGAUAGCUAGAUAAGUGUUACUUUUCACACAACUAGACCAAAUUAGUACCCUUUUUGGUUGGUGAAAACGUGAUUUUUAUGAAUAUGCUAUAGAUGCUUUCAAACGUUUCCACAGUUUACGAAUUUACGCAUUAAACGAAAACCUCCAACUAUCAAACAAAAAGGUGAAAAUUCAAUAGAAUCGACAACUUCUCAGACUCACGUAGGUGGUGGUUCAAGUUUCUAAACUACUAUUAUUAUUAACAGUUUUGAAAAGCAAAUAGUAACUUCAUUUCACAGCAUCUGCUUUUGAGAAAGCUCAGAUGUAAUCAAAAUUCCAAAACCACUCUAAAUAUGUUAGGGAUAUGACCAUAAAUAGAAGUUAAAUAUGAUAGGAUAUAUAGUUGUUCAUAGCUAACAUUUGAUGGUUUAAUUAUUUGUUCUAGGGAUUAUGCGCUGAUUAGUGUUUUUUGUUAUCCACUGAAUGAUAUUCAGUUUUUCUUACAUGUUCAUAGGCAAGAGCAUUUUCUAAGUACUUUCCUUCCCUUAAAAUUUUGAAAGAAAGAUAGAUAUGAUAUGUGAAGCAAGCCCAAUGAAAUAAGCAAAUAAAAUAGAAUAAACGAAGCAAAAAUAUUUCUAGAAACAAGAAAUGACAAAGGAAACACGAAUACAACUUUUUUCUUGUUUUCCUUAUUUUCCACUGUUAAGCUCCAAAAUGAAUAACUUUAUUCUACCAUCUCUCAAAUAAUAAAAACAUCAACAGCACAUCAUCGUCAUCAAUAAUAAUAAUAAUAAUAAUAAUAAUAAUAAUAAUAAUAAUAAUAAUAACAACAAUAAUAAUUUAACUUUGUAGUAUGGAGCUCUCGCAAAUCUUCAAGACACAAAAUGUGCCUGACCCCGUUGUUGUUAUUAUAAUUUCAAAAUGAUUUGUAUUAUAUAAAAUUAGGGAAUAAGACAUAGCAAAAUUGAUGGUACAUAUGUUGCAAUAUACUUGUUCAUGUAGCGACACAUUAAAGUAAAGCAAAAGCGAAACAACGAAAAAUGUAACGGGAGAGCUCUUAUUAUGUAGAUUUUCAAUAGAAGUAAUGCAAAUUUCACAAGGGCAAUGGCCUUAUUUCGAAUGUUGCACCGGAGGAAUGACAUGAACCUUCGAUACGUCACAAAUGUAUCAUGAAAGUGUGAUAGAUUUGUGACAUAUAUUUAUUUAUUUAUUUAUUUUUUGGUCUUAACCACGAGGUAUUCUGGGGAGGGCUCCAACUGUGGAAAACAUCUUUAAGCCCGUACCACAACUCAGACUACAAGUUUCCGCUCGAACCGGGAGGCAUAAGUUCUCCCAACAAAAGCGACUUUCCUACAACUCGAACUAGGGAGCAAACCCAGUCAAGCCACUUAAGGGGACUCCAUUGCCAGUGGAGCCAACACUUUGUUGGUGUGGCAUAUAUUUAUAUGUUCAGAGUUUAUGACAUAUUCAUGACUUAUAACUUAACUAACAUAAAUAAAUGAUAGAUAUAAGUGAUGCUCAAGUUUUGUGGAUUUAUAAUAUCAUAAAAUGAUGACUAUUUAAACGACGUCGUUUUUAUGAAACUUAAAACAUACCAACACUUCAGCCAAAUAUCGACAAGUGUUGAAUAAACCCCUCUCUCGCUGCAACCUAAAAUCAAUGAACUUUGAGCCAUUCUCAACAACAUUGUGUAGAACCCUAGCCCUAACCCUCACUUCCACCACCGAUAAAGCUAAGAAAGUUUUCCGUAUAUCAGAACCAUGGCGAAUUGCCUUCAGCUCUUAGGACCCAUAAUAAAUCUUGUAUUCCCUCGCUUUCACUUUGCUAAUUUUUUGUAUUAUUCCAUCUCUUUCACUUUAAUAACCCAAAAUCUUUCUCUGUUUCAAUCGAAAGAAGACCCUAGCUUAAAUUAAGCUGAAAUUUACAUAUCAAAGCUCUCGCUCAGCUUCCCUCCUUCAAUUGAAACAAAACGAAGCCAUAAGACCCCAAUAUGCCACGCCCUUUUGUCUCAGGCCAACAUUCAUUUAAACCCUACCUUUCGGUUCAAUGCCAUUUAAUGCGAUUGCAGAUGCCGUUUCAACUCAUUAUUUAGUUAACGCCAUUCAGUUCUUUGCGGUAAGCCUUAACCCUAAUAACUAAUCAACUGUGGUAGCACGUUGCUGACUGGGGUGGGAAUACAUUAAUUGAAUAUAUGAAUUGGGUGAUGUCAGUGAUUCAUCCCCCUAUUUGCCGUUAAUGGAGAUUUGUGUAUAAUGUUUGUAAGAUUGUUAAAAAUUUCAUGUUCCAGUCGAAUUUCUUGCUUGUGGAAGAUAAAACAAAAGUUUAAUCUAUAUAUAUAUAUAUAUAUAUAUUAGCUUCUUUAUAGUCAGGCUCUGGCUUUGCUGCUAUGCUUAGUGCAGUUUAUGGUUUCAAGAUUAAAUUAGGUUUAUUUGACGACAUUGAUAUCUUAUCUAGCUCCGCUUGAAAAUGAAAAUGUUGUACUAGUAAUCAUAGACUUUGUUUAUUCAGUUGAUAUUUUAAUUAUACAUAUAAGAAUGAAGGUUUAUUUGGGAAAAAAAGAAAUAAAGAAAUAGGCUCUGUUGAAGCUAAUUAAUACUUCAUUCUUUCUAUACGUGCGACCUGUGGUGGAAACAUGAUAUGAAAAUGUGUUACUGGUGAGGUUGCUGCUUGAGAUGAGAAUGAUGAGAAUGCCUUCUAUUCGGAAAUCCUUGGUAGGUAUUAUAUAAUUAUAUUUGAUGGAAUAUUAAAUAGCUAAAGAAUCUGUGAUAUUGUCUUUGUUCAAUUGUUACUGUAGUAGUGUUUGUUGGUCUUUUUCUGGUUGGCGUUUGGAUGUUAAUGUCAUCAUCAGUUGUACUGGUGUGGGAUCCAGGAUGUUGUCCUCUUAAGAGCCUAUAAGCAAAGUGAAACAGAGAGUAUCUGAGAUUUUUCUGGGCCUUUCGUAGAAAAUCAAGGUGAUGAAUGACAGGAUUCAACAAAUGGGGAUGGGGAUGAUGUUCCUGUUGAAAAGUUAGAGAAUAGAGUGGAAGAUAAUCACGAAGAGAUGAAUAUGUAUGAGGGUGAUGGUGAGACGAGUGAAUCUAAGAAUAUGGUUAAUCAAAACCAGGAAGAGAAUUUAGUGAAGGAGAGUUUUGAUGAGAAUACUGAGUCUGAAGAGGAAUCUAGGGCGGUGUCUAAAAAUUAUGAUGUUAGAAAAAAGGAAGAUAAGGAAUCUAAAAGUGAAGGUGGAGAUUUGAAUUAAGAAGCUGGAGAAACAGAAGGCGGCGAAUUGAAUAAAAUUGAGCAAAUUGAAUCAGAGAAGAGCUUGGAUGAAAAUAAAUGGAUCAGGCUAGUCAGAUUGAAAAGGAGAAGGAUUCUCAAGAUCAAGAUAAUGACACUGAGAGUCGUUGAAAGGAUCAGGCUUCAACUGAGAUUUUUCCUUUUGGUGACUAGUCAGAAAUUCUGAAGGAAACUAAUGCUCAGAAUGGGGCUUGCUCAACUCAACCUAUUGAGUCAUAGAAUCAGAAAAUAUCACAACAAUCUUCUAUAUCUAAGGACCAGUAUGGUCGUCGCUGGAAAGUGUGUAAUGCCACUGCUAGGCCAGAUUGCAUCCCUUGCCUGGAUAAUUUGCAAGCAAUUAGAAUGCUUUCCAGCACAAAAGCAUUAUGAACAUCGAGAGAGGUAUUGCCCUGAAGAAGCUUGUACCUGUAUUGCUCCUUUACCGGAAGGAUACAAACACUCAAUUAAGUGGCCCCAAAGCAGGGAUAGGGUAUGAUCUUAUAUUAUGCAUUAUAAAAUAUAUACUUGACUACUUUUAAUUCACUUGGGCUAAGAUUUGUUCUCAUGCUGUGUGGGAUAGAUUUGGUAUUAUAAUUUUCCCCACACAAAGCUUGCAGAAGUUAAGGGUUAGCAAAAUGGGGUUAAAGUUACUGGUGAAUACCACAUUUUUCCAGGUGGCAGAACUGAAUUUGAGAAUGGUGCUCUUCAUUACAUUGACUUCAUUCUGAAGGUGAGCAUUUUUCAUUUAUCAUUUUAUGUCUGUUGUUAGCUUCAAUUAAUAGGUGGCUUAUUCUUUUCUUUGUAUGAACCAUGGGCGGUCCAUUUCAUCUUAUAAGCUAUUUCUUGGGUUUUAGCAAGACAACUUAUGGAGGGUAUACAGAGGCUCAAGAGCUCGAUUGCCAUUCAUUUUACACUUGGCUGGGCUAUAGUAUACCAACUAGUGAUUAAUAAAGAGAAGGUAUGAAGGUCCUGUUGCUGGUGGUAUUAUCAAUCAGAAUUGUUAUUUUACUUAGUCAUACUUACCAUGUAUACUAUUCGUAGGCUUUUUCAUUUUCAUGCAUUCGCAUCAUCUUCUGGUUAAGCUACAGAUGGUUGAUUUGUGUACUCAUUUGUAUCACUUGUAGCUCUUGAGGAAUAAAAUUUAAAAUUAUGUUGCAUCCCUUGUACUAAAUAGUAAUUUUGUUGGCUUUAUGCAUGGGAAAUGGUUUGUUGUCUUAUUUCUUUGAUGUGUAUGGUGUUACACUGUCUAAAGUUAAGAAGUAUUUCUAUCACUUGUGUAAAAAACAACCUACUUUUUUCAUUCUUCUUAUAUUGAAUAAAAGAGGGACACCAAGAUUGAACGAAAUUUGAUUCAGAAAGCAUAGCAAUUAGGCCAGUUCAAAACAGCUUCCUUCUGAUUCUUUGAUAUUUGACUUAAAUCUUUUGUUUGUUUCAUUUAUCAAAGUCAUUUUGGAAAGUAACGGGGGUGAUUUGAUAUUUUCAUUGCAUUCACAUCCCUUAGGCACCAAAACAAGCAUGCUGGUACUAACCAACAAUUUUUUAUUUUCAGUAUACAAAUUAUUUUUUUCUAAAUUAGGGGUAUUAAGAAAAGGUAUACUAGCACCAGGGGAGGUAUUUGAGAAUACACAAAUACAAUCUAUUAAACUAAGAAUAUGUCAAACUUCAGGGGAGGUUUCUGAUAAAUCUCUUUUACUUUUUCCUCCAUUCACCAUAGGUUCAAUUUAGAACAGUUGACCAAACCGAAGGUUUAGGUUGGUAAACGCACUAGUGUUAAUGUCAACAACCCAAGGGGCUUCAUGGUCCUCUGGGCUGAAAUAGCGUAAUUAUUAAUUCUCCUCCAGUGAAAAUCUUCAUCUUGGGACAAAUAAUUACAAAUUGACAUUAUGGCUAUGCAAAUUUUGAGGUGUAAUAACCGGAAAAAUAAAAAUCUUAAGAGACUUUUUAAAUAAAAAAGAUACAACACCUUUAAUUUGCUAAAAGUAAUGAUAUCAUUACUUGUAUGGAAAAUGGAUGAUUAGAUUUUCUUUUUUGUUAUCCGACGAAGGAUAUUCAGUUGUUCUUUAUUUGUUCAUAGGCAAGAGCAUGAGCAUAUGCAUGAUUUGAUAUAUGCUUCUUGCAUUUUCUAAUUAAGUGCUCUCUUUCCUUGCCUUCUUAGUUUUGAAAGAAAGAUGUGAAGCAAAGCAAACCCAGUGAAAUACACAGAGCAACAGAACCAUCAGAGGAAAAACUAAAUAACAGAACUACAAUUGAACCAAACAAAAUCAAAUAAACGGACGCAACAGAUGCCCUGAACCUAGUAAUUACUCAAGAGUUGAGGAGUUGGAAUGAUUUGGUAUUCAUAUCUUCACAAAUCAUAUGCUUUAAUGCAGAAUCGACAGCUUUAUAUUAUUUUAUUCAAAAAACGAUAAAGCAGGAAAACCACAAUAAUCCACCAACUUUUGAUACUUGUAGGAAUUUUUUUUAGUCAAAUUAAGUUUCAUGAUAACACAAGUGGCUCGUCCACACACUUGCACUUGCUUGAAUAUUUGUGCCGACAUUUUCAUAUGUGAUGGUACUUCUUAGCCAGUAGAUAUGUUGAAGUACUACAAAACAGAGUAUUUGAUGAAGUUUUGCUACUUUCGUAUCCCAUUUUGUUGCAUAACUAAAUUCUUUAUAAACACAAAUUAGAAAGCUACAAAUAAUACAGUAGCUUGAAUUUAUAUGCUUUUAUGAUUAUUUGAUAAUCUAGUGCUGACAAUAUGUGAUGAUAAACUUAGCUAGUAGUUUUAUAUUUAUUUUCGUAGUUUCUUUAGCAUUCACAUUUUGAUGAGUAAAUUAAGGAUUUCCAGAUGAAGUACAUAAUCAGAUUAAUGCUAAGGAACUGAAGUUUGAUUAAUUGAAAACAAAAAUAAUAAUGAAGGUAAUUACGAAAAUGAACAAUGCAGAAGUAGUCCCUAUAGUAUUUCUAAAUUUUCUCUUGGGGUUCCUUAGUAUUCCUUAAUAUUUUUAAAAGAUGACAUGACGAUCUUUGAGUUGACAAAUCUAGGCCUGCUGCUUAGUACCCUUCCAACAUUUCAAGUACUAGAUGUUUUACUGAGAAAAUGACAAGAUCAUUUAUCAAAUUUCUUGCGCAUAUAUACAUAUGCAUACAAGAAAUGGGAAUCAGAGUGAUUAUAAGACCUUGCAAUGAGACAAUAAUACAUCAUCAAAUUUAAAAAUACACAAGAAAUUUGUGACGUAUAUAUAACAAAAGACCUCUCAUUGAGUUAUACAUAUUGAGAAUAAAAUGUCAAAAUGCAGACAAAGAGCUUAUACAGAAAAUGAAUAAACCGUCUUUGAACUUCCGAUGGUCAAACAAAGGAAACAGGCAGGAUAUAACACACACUAUCAUAGAUGUAGCGACACGAUGAAGUAAAUCACAUGAAGAUGGAAAGGGGAACCCCUCACAGCAUAAAAUUUGAAUAGAAGGGGGAAAAAGGCUUCAUUUCAAAUGUUGCACAGAAGAAGAGUGACUUGAAUCUCCAUCAGUAUCCAGA